Molecule: long non-coding RNA, 286054 nt
Filed under: Eucalyptus grandis
Lineage: Eukaryota; Viridiplantae; Streptophyta; Magnoliopsida; Myrtales; Myrtaceae
Description: long non-coding RNA (EGRA_LNC000846)
Source: RNAcentral
AUCUGAAGCACAUCGAAUCCUCUUACCAGAGCGAGAGCUUCAGCUUGAAUCGGCAGAGGGAGCAAGGGAUCUUCUUUCUCGCGAAUCCAUCGAGCAGUACGCCUGAGGCCGUCACGAAGAGCACCUGCAAUCGCUCCUUCCGAACCACCACCGGCUUCAAAGGACCCCAUCGAUAGUUUUCUUGAGGGACUGGGUAUUCGGCGGGCAGCGAUUAACAGGUAAAAUCAACUCGAAUCGUGUCGAGUUUCCAACUUUUUAGUGUUCCGCUCGCUAUAAUUUCUGAUCGCAGACUCCGCUGAGGCGAUUAGGGUUCCUGGGUUUGGUGGCGCGGUCUUCGCUGGGAACACGAGGGUCGUUUCUGGGAUCUCCAGAUAUACCAGAGAAAAGCUGCGAUUUAAUCGAGAGAUAGUAAGUUCCUUGCCUGUUGUUGGUGAUUUUGUAGCCACUGCUCGUCCUUUCUUGUGAUGUUCUGACCUGAGAUGAUCUGCAAAUUUACCUCGGCGUAUUUCCAAACCAAGCCGGUCCAGGUCAAGGCGUGAAGGUGAUCCUUGGGAUUGUGCUGCCUUACGGGACUCAGACACGACUCGAUCUGCUUCGAGGCGACUUCUUCUCAAACACUGAAACCCAUCACAGUGAGCUCCUCGAGGUAAGCACGACCUUUAUUCUCCAGUCUAUUACAAUUGAUCGGACAAAUAAUAAAAUACAUCUGAUUAUUACUCAUAAGGCAUACGAAAUAUUACAUGUGAAACUCCCUCAGACUUUUUCAAAAUCAUCAGCACAUAUUUAUUGCUAAUUUUUCUUACUACAAUCUUCUCAUUUAAACUAAUUGGUUAUGAAUGGUUAGACAGAUUGAAUUUGGUGGAAUCACAUGCUGCCCCUCAUCCCGAUAUUGUUUGCAAAACAUUAAUGGUUGACUGAACUCCCUUGGGACAAAAGGCCUGUCUUAAGAUUACGAAAAUACCCUUCUAGAUGCAAUAAAGCCUGAAACAUCCAAAAUACUCAGUUUUUGGAAAAGUAUUUUUUUUCCCUUGGAAGCAGUUAAAAACUAGAUUUUUUUUUUCAAAUAUCGAUUGUGCUGGUCUAUUCUCUUCAAUAAUCGCACAAAACCUUUCAAAGGAAUCAAAAUUAUCAACAACAAAAAAAUUAUCUGAACAAUCGGAUCAACUGCAGAAUUUUUGAAUGUCCAUAAAGCUAUUUUCCAUUAUAUUGGCAAUUUUCGUAAUUUCCGGAAAAUGACAGAAAAUUCAAAUAUUUUUCAGAAAUUAUACACUAUUGCAAUUUUUUUUAAAAUUUUUUUUAAAAUUUUUUUAAUUUUUAAUUUUUUUUUCGUGUUGGUUACCAUAGAGAACUUGAAAUUGAGCAAAGCUGCUGGUUUCGAUGCGCUUACACAUAUUUAAUAUGUGGACAAUUUUUAGGUGGACUGUGUCUUAGCGGAUUGAAUUAGAGAAACUCAUCACAAAGUGUGGUUUUCAUGUAAUUUAAAUGCUUACAGCAAAUACAUGACUUUUACGUAUAUAUAGCAUAGAAAGUUACUGACCUACCAUAGAUUUGACAAUAUGAUUAAUGCAUGUUCAGGGUGGGAGAGAAUGUAGCAUUUACAGGAGGAAGAACGUCUUUGAUAAUAUCAUAAUGAAAAAUUAGCAAGAGCCACAUUUAUCUGUUUAACAAAAUGGUUUAUACGUAGAUAUGAACAGAAUUGGUCAAUCUGUAUUCUGGUCCAAAUAAUUCUCUCUCUCUCUCUCUCUCUCUCAUGUUUGGCCUCUCUUUUGCAGAACAAUUCAAAACUAUCGUCCUCAUUCGCUUUCUUUGAUCUUUUCCCUCUUAAAAGUUCUCACCUAGGCUUGUUUAGGGUCUCCUCUGUCCGAUCUCGCACCUCUCUUUGCGUCUCAGCUCACGGGAGGUAAUUGACUUUUCAUAUCUAAUUAGCGUGUUGUUUCUAUUGAUCGGCUGCUUUGUUAUUGUAAUGAUGAUGGGCUGAACUAGUGUGUUUUGGGCCCUUUUUGUCUAUUGGCGAUGUGGGGUGGCUGCUGAAUAGCUGAGGAGGGUCUUUUAUUCUCUCUUUGGAGUCGCUGUGGCCUGUUAACGAGGUAUGUCCCCCAGCUCAGAUUUGACUUCGGUGAAAAAGGAAUCCUUUGUUUUCAACUUCAGAUGUGGCUAAUGCUCCGAUGGCCUUGUUGUCUGAUUGUUAGUUUCAUUGCGAUUCUAUUGUGCGCAAAAUAUCCAUAUUGUGCUUGAAUCCAAAGAUCAUUUUUUUGUGCGUUGUAAGGUUCCUCUGUGUUUGAAGGUCCUAGGUCAAUUUAUAGAAAAAUAAAUCAGAAAAAUAAAAGUAGGCUGGUUCAGGGUCAGCUAGUUUGGUUCUUACAUACAAAAAUGGAGAACUGAUUAUUAUUGAACAAAUUCCUAAUUCUUAGUUUAGAACCCACUCAUCCCGAAAUCGAUGAUCCUAAGAGUAAGUCUUAUCUUAAGGAGACUUCAUGGGACAAUUUUACCUCCCUAUAGAACAUUCCAAAUGAGUAAUAUUCUGUUUUCCUCGAAUUGUUGGACCAUUAAUCCUAGAAAGUAUAUUCCCUUUCACAUUUUCUCCCUUCUUUAUCAAGAAAAAGAAAAAGAAAGAAAAGCUCAUUUUCUCUUUCCAAAGCUUUAAAGCUUGACCGGGUCUUUAUUUGAAAAAAGAAAAAGAAAAUGAGGAAUAAAAAAGUACAGUGAAAGUUUGAGCAUUUUAACUAUAUUGCUACUUUUCACCUGCUCUCAACAUAAUUUCAAUCAUCACAGUGAAAAAGAUACCAAAAUCCAUAAUAUGAUAUUUCUUAAGAUCUUUUACAUGAUAUCCAAUAGUUAUUAAAAAAAAAAAAAAACAUAGUUCAAUCUGACACAUGAAAACAAUCAAAUGAGGCGAGCCAAUACACGUAUAUUAUUCGCCUAGCUUUAAAUCACUCGUUUCUUACACCUUUUGUGAUACAAACGACAAAUUCGUUCUUGAAAAUGUGAUUAAUCAAUUUAACCUGACUGAGCACAAUUCAGCCGAUAAUCCUAUUCUACUUCUAUUUAAUUGGAUUAAAAAAAAAAAUCUUUGCAGUGAUAUUCUCAAGGUCGGCCCUCCAACAAAAAUGGGGACAAGCACUAAACGCCAUUGUUUCAAACCUUGGUCGUCUCUGAAUUUUCCUCAGCAGCUUCCUUUUACUUCCUUUCUUAUCUUCUUCUCCUUCUUCCAUGGAAUCAGUACCUACUUUCUAAUCGUUCAGAUUAACAUGGAGAAAGAAAAGAGUGCAUAAAAAUAGAGCACUGAGGAAGCAUCCACUCUUCCGUUCGGUGCCAUCUAACAAUUUAUAGCUCUAUUUCAAAGACAAGAUAUCAGUCAAGUGGACCCGGCACAGAAUAGAUGAAAGAUAAAUAACCACGAGCAUUUGUUUAUCUCAACCCCACAUUUCCAAUUUUGUCUCAGCUCAAUUAUCAGCUUUUAAAUGAUUUAUCAAAUUCUUUGACAAAAAUUGAUUUAUCAAAAUCUUAUUUUCAAUGAUCAAGUAAAAACUGAACCACUACAUAUAAUUUUGAACGAAUGCAAUAUGCUUGUACAUAGAUUCCAUUAUUCUAUAGCCCAAUUAAGAAAUUAAUGUACGUGUUAUACGUUAGGGGACCAAAGCCGGCAAGAUUGACUUGACUAGAGGAUGAUAUCCAAAAGAAGAUAAAGCAAGGAUUGAAAGCAUCAGCGACUGCUCCUAGUCAAUCAAAUAAUAAUUAAUUAAUAAUUUUAUGUUUAUUUUUUCUUGCUUGGUAAAAGAUUUCAUGUUUAUACUUGUUCAUACUUCAUAGAGACUAAUUAUCAAUCCUUUUUAUGCAGCAGGAGAGCAUCUUUCUCUCCAACUUUCCCACUCAGAUUGCCAUCGACAAAGGGCGGAGUCACACUGAAACAAACGAAGGGAUGCACCCUUUAAUAAUGGGGCGUUCUCCCGCGGUGCUUGCCACGACGAUUCUUUUUAGUAUGCUUGCAUUCUAUCUUGUCAAGAAGAAGAGAGCAUCCACACCUUCGAAAAACUCUCCAACACUCGAAGGAAUACGUAACGAUAAUUAUGAUGUGUUCUUGAGCUUUAACGGGUCAGAUACCCGCAAGGGAUUCACCGAUCACCUCUAUCACAGUCUAAUCAGGGUAGGGAUUGCACCAGUUUCUGUGUUCAAGGAUGAUAAGAGCAUCCAAAUUGGUGAGGAAUUCGGUCCACAAAUUCUCGAUGCCAUCGCUCGGUCUAAGAUUUCGAUUCUCAUCAUCUCCGAAAAUUAUGCUUCAAGCAAAUGGUGCCUCCUCGAGCUUAUUCAUAUCAUGGAUCGUGUGAAGAGCCCAUCACACACAGUUUUGCCCAUCUUUUAUAAAGUGGACCCAUCGCAUGUGGGGAAUCUAAAGGGAAACUUUGGUAAGAAGGCCUCUCAUACAUGUAAGAAGUAUAAGAAGUGUUUUAAUGAGGAGAACAUCCAGAAAUUGCGGAAAGCACUCGAAGACGUGAGUCAUUUACAAGGAUGGGAGUCUCAAAAAGUUGCUGACGGGUACUUUGCUUCUACCUAAACUUCUCUUUUUUGAUAAGUAAGUUUUUGGAGAAAUUACCAAAAAAAAAAUAUUAAACCUAUUAUAACAGUGAUAAUUUAGUUCUAGAAUUUUUUAUUUAGUCAUUUUAAUCAUAAAGCUUUUGAAAAUCUACCAAUAUAGUCCUUCUGGCUGAUUUUAGCUAGAAAUCCCUUCUUUCUCUCCGGCUGCCGACCUCCUUGAUGGCCGGCAACAGGCCACAUACUAGGGUUAGUGAGGCUCGCCCUCCCUGUCAAGGGCCAACCUCGCCGGAAUCUGGUCCUUCUAAAGAGGUCAGGCCAACACAAACUAAUAACCCUAAAAAAAGGAAGGAAGAACAUCAGAAAUCGGGAAUCCAGAAACGCAAUCAUUCGAGAACACGAUUAUAUUUGCAGAAUUAAUGGGGAUGUCGCAAGCGAAGUGGUUGAGGGGGAGCCACUGUCCUUUUCUUCCGCAGAUUCACUUCCUUCUUCGCCUUCGACUCCACUCCACCUACCAAAAAUGGGGGACGAAAAUGGAAUCACCACUUCGUCGCUGCCGUCGUCAUCUCGCUCUUCUUUGUCUCUGUCUUCGUCGUCAAAGUAACAGUCCCUCUGCUCCGCUGCCUCCACCGGCCCCACCUGCGCCGUCCAGUCGAAGUUCGCCAGCACGUUCUGGCUGCUGACGAACCUCCUCAUCUGACCCAACGACGGCCCUCUCUUAUUGGAAAAACUCUCGGUCUCCCUCCUUGCGAUUCUCUAUAGGACCACUAGAAGGACCAGAUUCUGGCGAGGUCAGCCCUCAUAAUGAGGCAGCCCUCGUCUAUGGCCGGUGACCGUAGAGAAAAAAAAAAAAAAAAAAAAAACAAAACAAAAAAUAUAAAUAAAUUAAAUCAAGUUCAGAAAAAAUAAUAAAAAAUAAUAAAAAUUCGCCAUAUCAAUACUAGGGGUAUACAUAGAUUUCUAGUCAAAAUUGAUUGGAUAGAUUGUAUUUGCAUAUUUUCAAAAUGUUUAGGAUUAAAUUAACCAUAAAAAAAUUAAAACUGAACAGAUAUAAUUAUAAUAAAUUUAGGACUUUUUUAGUAAUUAUCCCGUAAAUUUUCUUGUUCAUGCGAAACAGAUGAAUUGCGGUUGUCUCCAACAGAGCAAAAAUCAAAGAAAUGACUACCCCUCCAGCCAAUAGUGUCAAUCACCAAACAAUAUGCUUAGAAAGGACUCGAAUGCUCAGUAUUUCAAAGCUUUAUCACCGCCAGAUAAAAUAUACCUCCUCAUGUGAAUGGAAGUUGGCUCUGGUGAAAAGGAUCAGACACUUCACAUUUACCAUGUCUAGGUUUGAUUUCCACUGUCAGUAGACCCCAUUGGUAGCGAUUUGUAAAUCAACUAUAAGUCCUCAAUUUUGGCAUGUGAGAUGCCCUGGCCUUAGAGCGGAGUAACCUACUUUUCUCCUAAACUUCUUUAAUUAAAACAAAAUUGGCCUCCUAUGAUUUAACUAGCAUCAAUCUUAAGCCUUGUAACAAACAUUACACUUCUAAAGACUCUUAACGAGCCACGCGCACCGUCUUAUUUUCUUUCAACAAGAUCCAUCUAGCAAAAGAGAGAAGACAAAAUGAAAUGACCGCUGGCCACCAUACCCCAUUGUUAUUUGUAAAACCAAAAUAUCUUGCAUGUUAAUUGGUCCCAUCCAUUCUUCACAUGCCUGUCGGUGCCUUUUGAUGAGUUUAAGUAUAAUCAUGAAAUUAUCAACGAGUUUUUUUGUUGGACAGGCAUGAAGGAGAAUUAGUGAAAAUAGUUAUCGAAAAUGUUCUGAGCAAGUUGCAACAAGAUUUUCAGCUUGAUGUUACUGAGCACUUAAUUGGAAUUGAUGAUCAUGUGAAUAGAAUCAUGAAAUGGGUAGACACUCCUACCACUAAUGCUCGAAUGAUUGGAAUCUAUGGCAUGGGUGGGAUUGGAAAAACGACUCUUGCCAAGGUACUCUAUAACCAGCUGUUGAAUGACUUUGUGCAUCGUAGCUUCCUUGCAGAUAUUCGAGAAACAGCUCGCCGCAAUAAAAUUGCUUAUGUACAAAAGCAACUAAUUAAGGAUAUUCUGCAAAUUGACCUUGAAUUUGGGAAUGUUGAUGAUGGAAUUAGUUUGAUCGAAUCUAGAUUCAGAGGAAAAAAGGUUCUCAUUCUUCUGGAUGAUAUAGAUCACGAGGAUCAAUUAAAUGCUUUGGCUAGAGAACAUAAUUGGUUUAUGGCGGGAAGUAUAAUUAUUGUUACAACCAGAUACAAAGCCAUUCUUGAUCGAUCUAAAUUCGCUGUACACGAGUAUGAUUUGAAUGAAUUGGAUCAGGAGCAUGCUUUGCUUUUGUUUAAUAGACAUGCUUUUGGUACGGACUAUUCUCUGAGGGACUUUGAGGGUAUAUCUGGUGAUAUCGUAUCCACCAUGGGUGGGCUUCCCUUGGCAGUUAAGGUUGUAGGUUCAUAUUUGAAUAAAGAAAUGAAUCGAGAAGUAUGGGAAGAGGUGCUGGAUAAGUUAAAAACCCAACCACAUGAAGACGUCCAAAAAACAUUGCGAAUAAGUUUUGAUGCAUUAGAAGACGGACCUAAGCAGAUUUUUCUCGAUAUUGUUUGUUUCUUUAUUGGCGAAAUGAGUAAAUACGCCAUGUACAUGUGGAAGGACUGUGGGUUUUAUCCAAUUCAAGGUAUUAAAGAGUUGAAGUUGAGGUGCUUAAUUAAAAUUGGAGAUGGUGGUACAUUUAAGGUGCAUGAUCAAUUGAGAGAUCUUGGAAGGAGCAUUUUUUGCGAAGGACAACCGCUUGACAAACGUAGCGGACCAUGGGACGACGACUACAAGGGAGUCCCAAAAGUACUAAGAAUCUUUGUACAGGUAAAAUAUGGCACUACCUUCUUUUUCUUUCCCUCUUAUUUUAAUAUAUUUAAUCUUAUCUAUUCUAAUAUUUCAUCUAGGAUGAACAUAUGCUCUUACUUUUUAGGAUAAAAAGAUCUAUGUAAACAUCCAUUUAUGUCCAUCUUAGAUUAUUUGUGACAACUAAAUGGAUUAUAAGUAUUUAAAGGAUGAAAAAGUUAUACCAUUUGAUUCGAUUUCAUUGAUAUAAAUUACAUCUGUAAAGAUUUGCUUGACAAUCAAUUUAAGAUCCUUUAGUUAUAAUUUUGCUCUAUAAAACUCAUUUACUAAAAGCAUGCCAUUGUCAUAUCUAGUUGAAAAUAUUGAUAAUCUGAAGGAAUACAAGAACAAAUGUAGAUGAAGUAUAAAUAUCAUAGAUCAAAUAAAUGAAGAUUUCUGGUUUAAAAAAAAAAGAAAAAAAAGAUAGUAUGUGCCGAUUACAAUAACUGAUAAUUAAUUCAAAACAAUAAGAUUCGAAAAAAUCUCACACUUUUGACAUGUGCUUACUUUCUAGUAUGGUGGAAUGUACUAGGGGGCUCUUGUGAUUCGGGAAUCCAAUGUUUGAUAUUAUUUUCUCCAUUUUGAUUUUGAAGAUAUCGGUCCCUCUAUUAGUUAUAUCUAUCUCUUUACAUCCUUAUUUCCUCUUAAUAGAUAAGAUAGCAAAAAUCCCCUUAAAAAUAUUUUUAGGAAGAUCUUACUGUUUUCAAAAGUUUUAUCUCGUUGACCUUGCUCAUUUUAUGGAUUAGGUUAGGUGUAUGAUAAAGAGUGGAUUUUCUUGUAACAAACAUUUCUAUCCGUUAUAAGUUGUUUUAUAUUAUUUAUAUUGUUGGGGACAAUGCCUCUUUCAUGCCAGAAACGUCUAGACUGACUUGACUAUUUAUAAAAUAAAUAAAUAAAAGAAAACUUGACCAAUUAAAGGAAAUGUCAUGCUUAUUAUUAUAUCCAUACCCUUGUCUUCUGAUAUGUGAUUUUCAGCAUGAAGCCAAUUUUUUCAACUAUGUUUUAUCUUUUACUUAAAUUAUCAAUGUUCGUGUCAUUUAUUAUUAUACAUUGUCCAUUUGGGAUGCCUCAUAAGCUCAUGGCUAAUCAAAGGCGAGGAAUUAGCCCUAGCAAUUAACCAAGAGAUGGGCAAACAAAACGGCUUUAUAUUCUUGAUAUAAUUUGAAAUAGUUCGUUCCUAUGAUUCCAUAUCACACUCGUUUGUUGAUCCAAUAACUUCUUAACAUUAGCAAAAGGAGCACACCAUACUGGUGUUUGAAAAAUGACCCAAAAAAAAAAAGUCAAAUCUGUUUUGAAUGGACAAAAGACAAUAAUUAGUGUGGUAAAAAAAUUAAAUGAUUGUACGAUUCGAGAGAUUUUGAUUUAACUUUGGAAAUUGAAAUACUUAUGGUAAUAAUUUUCAAUUGUCUUGACUAUUUCAAAUAUGAUUAUGUCUAUUUUGUUACAUUCUAUUUGUUCAGUUCAUUUUGGUGAAAUAUAUGUGUAUUGUUGUGGAAACUUUUCGCGAAAGCUUGAGUUUGAAACCCUCUUUCCAUAUAAUAGAUUUUUUUAAUGUAAUAUACAGUAUAGAUGAAUGUGCAAGCAAAAAUUAUGAAAGCUAGUAUGGGAUGGUGAUUGCAACAAUUUAGUGACUUUUAUGAUGAACGGACCUAAGAGAAAUUAUACCAUUGCAUUUCUAUGGUUAAUAUUUAAAACAGAGAUAACAACAAACGUGCCAAACCAUAAAAGUGAAUUUCUAACCAAUUAAACUUUUUGGGGGAAAAUAUAGGUAUUAUUAUAAAAGUCAAUCAAAGCCAUGGGGGAAUUUUUUUUCACCAUCUUCAACUCAUUAAAUGAUCUGUUUUAGCAGGAAAGUUAAAGAAUAUGUUUUUUGAUUUAUAAGAUGGAAAAAGAAACGAUGCCAUUCUUAUGGAAACGGACAUAUGAUGAUUAAACAAUGUCAUCGCGUCACUUUUUAGUUAAUCGGUUCAUGUUUUAGCUAUUCUGAAAGCGACUUAUUUUUUUCAAUCCCUAUUACAACUACUAACCAAUGUCAACACGUCACUUUUUAAACAUACUUUACCGCAUAAAAAAAAACAUUUCAAUUUUCAAAGAAAUGAGUAAACACUUAACACAAAUAGUUAAUGAUGUUAAAGAUAGUUAUAUAUCUUCUAGAGAUAUUUAGUAUAUUUAUUUUGAUUUUGCAUAUCAGAUUUGAUUUCUUUUUAUUUCCCUCCAUGUAAUCUUCUUUAUAUAUUGAAAUAUAUUAAAAAUUUCCUUUUUUUUCUACAUUUAACUAAUGAAAUGAAAACCGGGUGCUUCCUUAGCUACUUACAAGUGGCCCAUUGGCACUUUUUAACAUAUUCUUUAGAGAAAUUAUAGAGAAGUCAUAUGAAAAUUUACAAUUAAACAUUUGUACGUUGUAAAAUGGUUCCAUGUAUUUCAUCUUAAAUAAAAGUCAAAGUGCACGCGCUACAAAAUUUGAAAAAAGAAGAAGCAAGAGACAAAACAUUGAGGUGCAUUUUGCCUUAGUUUAAAGCAAUAACUUUUUUUUUUUCUUUAUCUUUGUGUCAUUAGCUUAAUUUUCGAAAGGUCGUCAUAAAAAGAAUUAUAUGUGAGUUUAUGUGUCCGUAUCUUUAUUGGGGAAGGAUAAAAAGGCAUCAACUCGUGCAAAUCCGAGAUUUUUAAAAAGCAAAAAACUAAAAAGUUAAAAAACUUGCAGAGACUCCCCUUGGUAGAAAACUUGCAGUUGCAGAGAUACUUUUCGUUCCACGACUUUUUUGGGGCAACUUCAACCAGACGCGUCGAGCAACUUUCCGAAGUGAGAUGGCUUCAGUGUAAUGAUCGUGGAAGGAAUGCAUCUCUUUCGACGAUCAAUUUGCAUCUGCCGAACUUAUCGGUGUUGUGGUUAUCUAACAUCAAGAUUACAGAGGAUUGGGAAGGAUGGAGUUCAUUUAGGGUAAGAUUGGGAAAAAUACAUCCUCUCUGCGAUUUUAGGGUUUUGUUUUUGUUUAGCCGAUUAACUCCUUCUCUGAUAGCUUAUUCUCCUUUUACAUCAGCUGUCAAAGCGGCUACAAGUUCUCGAUCUUUAUGGGCUUUCUAAUUUAAGAUGUACUCCAGAUUUCUCGGCUUUCACACAGUUGAAGAUUCUCAAAUUGUCCACUUGUGGCAGAUUGGAGCAUCUCCACCCGUCUAUUGGCAAACUCACGAGCCUCGUUACCCUGAAUUUGUCUUACUGUGAAAAUCUCAAGGACCUGCCAGAGGAAAUGGGCGAAUUAAAAGAUUUAGAAGAACUUAUAUUAACAAGGACUGAUAUUAUAGAGAUUCCUACAUCUAUUGGUAAGCUGAAGAAACUGGAUGCCUCCAAGUGUCAGUCCCUGAGAAAAAUCCCUAGCUCAAUUGGGGAUUUACAGAAUUUGCAACAUCUGGACUUGUUUUCUUCUGCGAUUGAAAAACUUCCCAGUGCUAUUGGAAGGUUGAAAAAUCUGCGGACUCUAUUUCUCUUAUGGUGCCCUAGUCUGAAAGGGGCAAUUCCAAGUGAAAUUGGUGACUUGUCUUCCCUCGAGUAUCUCAAUCUCGAAGGCUCACCGAUAUCUGACCUGCCAGAAAGUGUCCGGAAUCUUUCUUCUCUCCGACGCCUUGAACUAGUGGGCUGUAAGGAGCUCCAGUCGUUGCCAGAGCUUCACUCGGGCUUAACUACGCUGUCGAUCUCUUGUCAGAGUCCCAGAAGGUUGCCACAGCUUUCUAGCCUAAUCCACCUAGAAGAACUCCAUCUUAAGGCAUGUCCUCUACUUGAAUCCAUCCCCGAGCUUUCCUCGAGACUCUCGAAACUCUGUGUUGAGGAGUGUGAUAAGCUGAUAUUACUCAAUCUCGAUGGAUGCACGUAUUUGGAAGGGUUUACAAUAAGAGAGUGCGGUUCCAUUGAAAGAUUGGACCUUUCAGGAUUGGUUCGUCUGAAAGGAUUGCAUGCUAAGGGUUGCAAAAACCUAGUAGAAAUUCAGAGCUAUGAUAAUUUGGAGUCUUUACAGGUCAUAUUUAUAUAUGACUGUGUUUCCAUUAAAAGGCUUCUCUGUCCAGAAUCACAGCGUUUGAAGAAAUUAGUGGUUGUCUGCUGCGACAAUAUGGUCGAAAUUCAAGGUCUUGACGGUGCAAAGUUCUUAGAAGAGUUGAAUUUUACAAAAUGCAGUUCAAUGGAGGCUUUGCCAAAUUUGACGGGAUGUGAGAAGUUACAAUCUCUAAUAGUUCGAGACUGCAAGAAACUUACUCAACUUCGGGGACUUGAAAAGUUGGAUUUAAUUGAUUUGGAUAGUUCUGGUUGUGACUCAUUGGAAGCAUUACUGAAAUUAUCUGGAACGCGCAUCUUAAGAAAUUAUGAUGAAGACCUGGAUUUUGACUCAAUGAGUGAAGUUUUCCUAUAUAAUGUAAAUAAGCAGUGAACAAUCAUUUUUCUUAUCAGAUUCAUGACCUACUUUUCAUAUUUUCUUUUGACAAGAAGGUUUUCCAUGGCAGGGUUGGGGAACUUUCUAAAUUGCUAGUCUUACACAAUUGAAGGAUUGGGGGAGUCGGUCAAAAGAUGACAUGAUGCAUCAGCCAAGAUCAAAAUGUAGCCCCAAAUGUCAAUAGAAGGCAUAGUAAGAUUCUUCAUCCUUGAAUCGCCAGUGUGAGCAAAAAGAGAAAUUUUUAGAAUGAUUUGCUCUACACUGGGUAUCUAUUUGAUUGAUUUUGGAAACUCCAGAUUUGCCUCUGUAUAAUUGUUGUUGAUUAUGUUAUAGCAAUGUUUUUCGUUUAUUCUUCCAUUGCCAGCUUUUGUAGAUUGCAAACAUAUAGCGGCUUGCGAGGCAAGAAUGAAAAUAUCAAUAAAGGUAAACAGGAAUUACCUUGUAAUUAACAGUUCCCUUAUCGGUAAACUCAGGAUUUGAAAUUUUCAUCUAGAGGCUGAUGAACUUCUACUACUCGUUAUUGUAUACUACGCCUAGAGUUUCCCAACAUCCAAUGUUCAUAUUUUCUUUGAAAGUUCUUUUGUAUGUCAAAUUUGAUUAAUGGGAGAUAUCCUGUUCGCCUUUGGAUUUUCCGUAAUGAACGAAACCCCCGUCAAGUUUCUUAUUGUUCCAUUGAUGUCCCUCAAUAAUCUUCUAAGAAGAGCAUCGCUUCUCGGAAUAUGAUCAACUGAGCCAAAAUAAAAUUCAAGGUUCAAGUGUUUCUGUUUGGUGACAAAGAAAAUGUUAAAAGUUGUUUUGGCUAGUCUGUCAUAUAUGAAUGUAGAAAAUUUUUUCCCGUCUGUGAAACAAGCUGGGACGAGGGGCUCAAGAAUUGGCUAAUUGGUUUGCAUCACGUUUGAUCCUAUUGCUGCCAUGGAAUUGUUUUAUCACGACUGAUUUGGGUGUGGCUAACUUGGCUGAGGAACUUCAAAUUCCAUACUUGCGACCAAUCAAAAUGAAGAAAAGGGAUUUUGUGGAGGAAGCAUCAGCAACAGCUGAGGACCAUCUUGUGUGCCAACCUUGAAGACGUUCUAGGGCCAACUGGAGUGUCCGAAAGAAGUUUUGAUUUGUGUGAAUGUUCAAACAUGUGAUCUUGUCUCAACAACACAUGCCUGAACAAUUGUAAAUGUACCUUUUAAAAUUAAAUAGGCUUUCUAUAUGCUCAUUAGGUUCACCUCUCCGUUAAUCAAACAUAGCUUCUAACCUUUUAUAUGUUAACCUGAUGCAGAGUUGCUUGAUACAGUUGCAUUCUAAUGAUAUCACUCCUGAACUCGAUGAGGCUUUGAAAGGGGAGGUAUGCACUGCUAGUCGUACCGUGAAAGACCAAAUUGUGUGCUUAUUCUCUAUGAGCUGUGGAAUUUCACUUGAAAUUAGGACACAAGUAUGCAUGAUGACAAUCUCCUCACUUCUGUCAGUUUAUUAGUGUGAUAAUAUCCUCUAAAUGUUCUCAAAUAGGUUUCUGAUUUGAUAGGCUCAGCUCUCAUGUAUGUGGCAUUGGAUUUGUUCCUCGCAAAUUAUCCUGUAUUGCCGAUUUUGCUAAUUGGAUUCGGCAAAAUAACCAAGUAGCAAAUACAUCUUUCUAUUCUAUAGUUUAGGGAAUUCACCUUUUCAGCAUAAUUUUAUUAACUUCAAUUCCGUUCCUAAACACAAACAGGGAAAGUGUUGUUAAUUGCUUACUUCUUUUGAGCCUAUUGGUUUCUUUUUCAUCGGCCAGCUAAUGAAGUCUCUGUUCAUUGUCGUCUAACUGCAAUUUGGUGUCAAUGAUGUUUACACAAUUGUACUUUAUCUCUCAUGGGGUAAAUUGUGAUGCUAGGAUCUCAGAUAUCUUCAUUUAUUGAUAACUAGUCAGUGCUAUCUUCCUUGUGUAGAUUGAAGCUGCAUUUCAUGAAACUCGGAGAAAGUCCCAAAACACUGCAGGGAUGAGCUAUGUCAUUAUGGAAAGGCAUUCCGAAGUUCCUUGCUAAUGGCGUUUAUCAUGUGCUCUGUGUUGUUAAUACUCUCCAAAGGAUUCUUGAUACAAAGCAAACUCUUCUCAUGUGGUGUUUUAGUCCUUUGCAAGCUUUGGCAUCGUCCAGUUUUUUGGCAAAGAUUGAAUCACAAAUCACUUUCGGGAAGAUUGCAUGUGCAGGUGGUUCUAUAUGUGAAGUCAAGUAUAAAAUGAGAUUUGUUAACAUGAUUACUAGUUCUAACUUGGCUGAGGAACUUCAAAUUCCAUACCUGAGACCAAUCAAAAUGAAGAAAGGGGAUUUUGUGGGGGAAGCAUCAACAACAGCCGAGGACCAUCUUUUGUGCCAACCUUGAAGACACUCUAGGGCCAACUGGAGUGUCCUGAGGAAGUUUUGAUGCUUGUGAAUAUUCGAUCACUUGAUCAUGUCUCAACAGUACAUACCUGAACGAUUGUAAAUGUAUUUUUUAAAAUAAAAUAUGGUUUCUGUAUGCUCAUUAGGUUCUAUCUCUUUGUUAAUCAAACACGUAGCUGCUGACUUUUUGUAUGUUACUCUGAUGCAAAGUUGUUUGAUACAGUUGCAUUCUAAAUAUAUCACCCUUGAACCCGCUGAGGCUCUGAAGGGAGAGGUAUGUACUGCUAGUUGUACCAUGAAAGACUAACUUAUGUGCUUUGACUAUAUGAGCUGUGGAAUUUCACCUGAAAUUAGUACGCAAGUAUGCAUGAUGACAAUCUCCUCCAUUUCUAUCAGGUUAUUAGUGUGAUAAUAUCUUGUAAAUGUUCUCAUAUAGGUUUUUGAUUUGAUAGGCUCAGCUCUCAUGUAUGCGGCAUUGGAUUUGUAAAGUUGAAAUUGUAUUGCUGAUUUUGCUAAGAGGAUAUUACGAAAUACCCAAGUAACAAAUACAUCUUUCUGUCAUGUGGUUUAGUUACUCACACCUUUUCAGCAUCAUUCUGUUAGCAUCAAUUUUGUUCCUAAAUACAAACAAGGGAAGUAUUGCUAAUUGCUUACUUCUCCAAGUCUGUUGUUUUCUAUUUCAUCGGCCAGCUAAUGAAGCGUCUGUUUUUUGUGGUCCAAUCGGUGGAAAUGAUGUUUAUGCAUUUGUGCCUUAUCUUUGAUGGGGUAAAUUGUGAUGCUACGUAUCUUGGUUUUUUUCAUUACUGAUGAUUAUAGUUAGUGCUAUUCCUCUGGUGUAGAUUCAAGCUGUAAUUCAUGAAACUCGGAGAAAGUCCCCAAACACCAUGGGAUGGAGAUGUGAGCAAGAAUGAGCUUUGUCAUUAUGGAAAGUCAUCCCGAAGUUAUUUACUGUUGGCGUUUGUGUUGUUAGUACUCUUCAAAGGAUUCUAGAUGUGAAGCGACCUCUUCUCAUAUGGUUCAUUAGGCCUUGGCGAGCCUUGACAUCAUGCUAUUCUUUAGAAAAGGCCGAAUCACAAAUUGCUUGCUGGAAGAAAGCAUUUGCAGGUUAAGCAUAACAUGAGAUUUGCUAACAAGAUUACUGGUUAGAUGUCCACUUCAAGCUAUAAUUUUGUGGCGGAGAGAUUAAAAGCGAAUGCCAUGGAAUUAGCAAAUAAUUUGUCAAUUGCAGGCAAGAGUUUCAAUGAUAAUGUUUCCAAGAAGACAAUAGUUUUCUCAUUUGAAAGAAUUUUGAACACAAAAUAAAGCACUCGUCAGUGUAAAAUCAUCUUUCAAGUCUGGUUACAUUGAAAAAUCAUAUGUAGGUAUUUUGCAAUUAUUUUGAUCGUAUAAUCUGAAACUUGAUUUAUUUAAGCAUGAAUCUAAAAGCGGAAUUUUUUUUCUUACCAAAAAAAAAAAAAACUAAAAGCGGAAGAGCCACAUCCAUGCACAUUUUCAUAUCUGAAACCUAUUUUUCUCUGGCGUAGACUACGAUUGAAGACUAUUGAAAAAUGUGGGAAAUUUUUGGAAGGGUGAAAAGGGCCAUUUUCAAAAUUUACUCAUUUGGUUUGAACAAAAAAAAUUUAAAAGGGUCAUCUUAUUGGUUAAUAAUCAGACUCUCCUACACCAAAUUGUGUUAACCAGUCACGCAUUGAACCCCUAAUCGAAGCAAUUUCUUUGAGGUUACUCUUUGAUAUUCCUGUACCCUUGUACUAGAUGACAAUGGUGGAAUUUUAGUAGUUGAAAGGCUGAAAGCUCCUGGGAAGGUACUCUGUCUAUUUCGCUGCUUGUCUACUUGAACUUAUACUCAAUUUUUCCAGAGCUCAAUACAAGGCCAAGUAGCUUGUAAGGGCAAGUAGCUUUCUAAGCCAAGUUCGAAUCUAUAAUUACUAACACAAAUAUAGUGUGGGUCGUGUUGAAAUACUUGUUAAACAUACUUAAUGUGAAAUAAUUAAAUUUUCAGAAUAUUGAUUGAACAUUUCACAAGAAAAAUCACAAGUCGAUGUAUUGAGUCUACACUUUAUUUACUAAGUUGCUUAACCAGUGUCUAAGCCAUUAUUCCAAAGGGCAAUGGCUAUGUGUUUUGACUACUUUUAGAAUAUUAGUCACAACCUUAUCGGCUGAAUUGAUUUAAAAUUUGAAAACUGUGAAUCGACUAGAUAACUAGAUGAGGGUGUUAAACCCGGUGAACUGGUUCGGUUCUGCUCCUUCGAUUUCAUGCCAAAGAUUUGCUUUGACCUUGUUUUUGAAAGUUCCAUAACAUUUUACAUCAAGAUCCUAUAAAUUACGACCAUUUGAACAAUAACUACGCAAGUUUUGAUAGAAUUAAAGAGGGUUCCCUUUGGGCUUUUCAAUGUUCCACAUUUUUGUAACUCCAGUCUCAAUGGGACGGCAUUCGAAAUAUGAAAAAUUGUCCUCAAAUCAAAAUGGAACCAUCGAAAGCCUUUCGUUUUGUUUAGCGCAUGUCAUUUUAGAAUAUCUACUUUAGGAAUAUAUGUUGCCAUAUGAUGAAUCAUACAACAAAGAGGAAUUGAACCAGACAAAUUGAGGAAAUAAGGGGGUUAAAGAACCCCAGAAACAAGGCGUAGACAACAUUCGGCCAAAACAAAAUCGUACCCAACAAAAUCGACCACAAAAUAGAUGGUAAUGUCAAUCCUACAAAUACAAGUAUCCAUCUGGUUUUGCAAUCAGCAUCACAUUUCUUAGGAAAAGAUCUUACAGAAAAGAGGAGAAUUGAACAAAUCAGACAAUUCUACUUUGCAUGGGCAUGGAUGCAGAAUCCUGUUACAAAUGUAUUAGAAGGUAAGAAAAUUCAAAAAAGAAAAAGAAAAAUCGGUAAAUAUAAAUAUAUAUUACUAUCACGUACGAGUCAUCUCAUUUGCCUAUGUUUUGAAUGCUGGAGAUCGAUGAAUGAAACAACGAGUCAGAAGAACAUAAUAUCGGAGAGAUUGAACAUUUGCGGCACCCUUUCGAAUAUUUGAUUACCAUUAGAUACAUAUAAAGAUGAAGACCCACAGAGCACAGCAAAUCUCUCUGUUUCUCACCCUUUUUCUCUCUUCAUGACGAUGGACACCGUAUUCCUUAAUUUCUGCUAAUUAGAAUCGACGUGCGAAGGUCGAGCAUUUGCGCUUCAACCAUCGGAACCCUUGUUUGAAAGAAGCCUUGAACUUGCCUUCGACCGAAUAAAGCUUGUACCUGGCCACCCUCCUCUUCCUCUUCUUCUCUGGAUCAUUCCACCACGAUGCUUUUAUCGCCGACUCCUUGACGUUGUCUAGUCUGUGCGGGGGCGAAGCGUGUUCGAGCAUGCGAGGCCGGGAUUUGGCUACGUACAUCUGGUUUUGGUUAAGAGUUUGAAUCGUCAUGAUCUCUAGACUCCGGCCAACCCCAUGGGAUCUGUAGCUCGGCGACCACGGGUCCAUCUCUGUCCUCAAUAUCUCCCCUCUCUCUCUCUCCCGGCCUCGGCCUCUCCCCUUUCUCGGAUGGGAAGGAUUUUUUUUUUGGAGGAUUUUUUUUUCUCUCUUGAUGACCAUGAACACGUCUACUGGUUCUCUGAGGAAGUUGAAGAAAUCGAGUGCUUAUGGUUGUGAGUCUCUGAGAGAAAUCCCUAGCUUGAUUGUGGAUUUACCGAAUUUGCAACAUCUUCACUUGAGUCAUUCUGCGAUUGAAAAGCUUCCUAGUGCUAUUGGAAGGUUGAAAAAUCUGCAGACUCUACAUCUCUCAUCGUGCUGUAAAGUGAAAUCGGUGACUUGCCUUCCCUCGAGAUUUUCAAUAGAAAAGUGCAGUUCCUUUGAAAGAUUGGACCUUAGACAAUUGAUUCGUCUGGGCAGAAGAACAGCACAAGUGCCAUAACUUGGCACGCCGGGACACUUAAGUGCCAUAACUUCCAAACGGUACACUUAAGUGCCACUUUUUUUUUCGAGUGGGACACUUAAGUGCCACCUCCGGCGACCCUUGCCGGAAAUCCUACGUGGCAAUAUUUUAUUAUUAUUUUUUGCCUACGUGGCUCGCCGGAGCUCCAAAUCAGCAUAAAAAUUAACAAAAAAAUUUUUUAAAAAAGAAAAUUUUAAAAAUUUUAAUUUUAAAAAUUUUUAAAAUUUAAAAAAAAUAGAAAUUUAAAAAUUUAGAUUUAGAAUUAAAAAAAAAAANNNNNNNNNNNNNNNNNNNNNNNNNNNNNNNNNNNNNNNNNNNNNNNNNNNNNNNNNNNNNNNNNNNNNNNNNNNNNNNNNNNNNNNNNNNNNNNNNNNNNNNNNNNNNNNNNNNNNNNNNNNNNNNNNNNNNNNNNNNNNNNNNNNNNNNNNNNNNNNNNNNNNNNNNNNNNNNNNNNNNNNNNNNNNNNNNNNNNNNNNNNNNNNNNNNNNNNNNNNNNNNNNNNNNNNNNNNNNNNNNNNNNNNNNNNNNNNNNNNNNNNNNNNNNNNNNNNNNNNNNNNNNNNNNNNNNNNNNNNNNNNNNNNNNNNNNNNNNNNNNNNNNNNNNNNNNNNNNNNNNNNNNNNNNNNNNNNNNNNNNNNNNNNNNNNNNNNNNNNNNNNNNNNNNNNNNNNNNNNNNNNNNNNNNNNNNNNNNNNNNNNNNNNNNNNNNNNNNNNNNNNNNNNNNNNNNNNNNNNNNNNNNNNNNNNNNNNNNNNNNNNNNNNNNNNNNNNNNNNNNNNNNNNNNNNNNNNNNNNNNNNNNNNNNNNNNNNNNNNNNNNNNNNNNNNNNNNNNNNNNNNNNNNNNNNNNNNNNNNNUCCACUUGAUGCGUCGCCCCAGAUCUGGGCGAGGGCUCGCGGGCCCUCGCCGCCGGUCGGCCGGCCCCUGGCCAGGGCCCGGCGACCCCGGCCGACCCUCCCCCCUCCGUCGCCAGCCCUUCCCGGCGACGGCGGGGAGGCGGCGACGGCGGGGAGGCGGCGGCAGCGAGGGCUCAGCCCUCAGCCGCCCGUUCGACCUCCCCCACCCUUUUUUUUUUAAUUUUUCAUUUUCUUAAUUUUUUAAAAUUUUUAAAUUUUUCUUAAUUUUUUAAAUUUUUUGAAUACUUUAUAAUUUAAUUAAUUUUUAUAUUAUUAUUUACACGUAGGCACAAAACGGCGUCGUUUUUGCGUUUUCUCUGCCACGUCAGCGUGCAAAACGACGCCGUUUUGGACUAAACUCGCCGGAAAAUUGCCACGUCAGCCAUUUGGCCGGAUUUUCGCCGGAGUGGCACUUAAGUGUCCCAUUUUACUCCGAUGAUGGCACUUAAGUGUACCAUUUUAAAGUUAUGGCACUUAAGUGUCCCGGCGUGCCAAGUUAUGGCACUCCAGGUGUCCUCACCUCAUUCGUCUGAAAUGAUUACAUGCUGAGCUUCGUGAUAGCCUAGUUGAAAUUCAGGGCAUGAUAAUUUGGCAUUCUUGGAGGUCAUAUUUAUAUAUGACUGCAAUUCUAUUAAAAAAGGCUUCUCUGUCCAGAAUCAUGGUGUUUGAAGAAAUUAGUGGCUGUCGAGUGCGACAAUCUUACGUCUUCCUAAUGCCGCACAUCACUGCUGUCUGCUUCGAGCUUUAGCUUAUCUCUACUUAGGCUCUUCGUUCUUCGUCCCUUCCUCUGGAUGCUGGUCGAGGUUUGCUGGGCUGUUUUUGUAGUUGUGGCUUUUAUGGUGUGUCCUUUCGGCUGUUAGUUUGGUUGUCUUCUUCUUGUUGCCUUGUGGCUUUCUUCGGCUCCCUUUCACUCUUUAUGCUUGUAGCAUUUAGAGUGUAAGUUUUCGGCGCCGUUUUUGUAAAGUUGACCUCAGCUCUUUAUAUAUUCUUACCUUUACCAAAAAUAUAUAUAUAGUCGAAAUUCAAUGUCUUGACGGUGCGAAGUUCUUAGAAAAGUUGGAUUUUAUAGGAUGCAAAUCAAUGGAGACUUUGCCAAAUUUGAUGUAUGUGAGAAGUUACGAUCCCUAAGAGUUCGAGACUACAAGAAACUUACUCAGUUUCGGGGACUUGAAAAGUUGGAUUUAAUUGAUUUGGAUAUUUCUGGUUGUGACUCAUUGGAAGCAAUACCGAAAUUAUCUAGGAAUGCACAUCUUUAGAAAUUAUGAACAACAUCAGUUUGGAGUUCUCUAUGGAAAUAUUAUCUUGCAGUGAUAUUGAUGUGAGGAAUCUUAUACCCAUAUUACAACAGUGAGACUAGUCCUGUUUCUUCAAUAGAGGUAAACAAGCAUCAUUUUUUUUUUUUUUAUGAGAUUGAUGACCUAGUUUCCAUCACUAUCUCCUUUUGACAAGAAGGUUUUCCAUGACAGGUUUCUGUACUUUCCUAAAUUCCUUGUCUUAGAUAUUUGAAGGAGUGGGGGAGUUGGUCAUAGAAUCUGACAUGAUGCUUCAGCGGAGAUCAAAAUGCAGACCCGAAUGUCAAUAGAAGGUAUAGUAAGAUUCUUCAUCCUUGAAUGGUCAGCAUGAGCAAAUAGAGUAAUACUUUUCUCGAAGCUCUACUUUUUUUUUUUUUAAAAGAAUGAUUUGCUCCACAUUGGGUAUCUAUCUGAUUGAUUUUGGAAACUCCAGAUUUGCCUACAUAUAUUGCCGUUGGUUUCGACAUAGCAAUAUUUUUCAUUUAUUCUUCCAUUGGUAGCUUCUGCAGACUGCAAACAUAUUAGCAGCUUGCGAGGCAAAGAUGAAAAUAUCAAGCAAAGAUGAACAAUUCCCUAGUGAUUUAAUAGUUCCUCUAUCAGUAAACCUGGAUUCGAAAUUUUCGAAUUGAGGCCGAUGAACUUUUGCUACUCAAUAUAGUAAACUAUGCCUAGAAUUUCCCUGUCCAGAAUCAAUAUUUUCUUUGAAAAAAAUCCUUGGCCAUUUUGAGUUACUUUCGUGAGUUCUUUUGUAUCAAAUUUGACUAAUGGCAGAUGUCUUGUUUGGGAUAAACAUAUCAGUUUUCUGUGAUGAAACCCUGUCAAGUUUCUUAUUGUUCUCUUGAUGUCCCUCUUGAAACUUCUAAGAAGAGCAUCAAUUCCUAUUAAGUAUGAUGAACUGAGCUAAAAUAAAACAUAUCAAGUGUUUCUAGUUAGUGAUAAAAAAAAAUGUUGAAGUAGUUUUGGUUAGUCUGUCAUAUAUGAAUGUACACCACCUUAACAUUACUAGUAGUCAAACUAUUGUUUUGAAAGUUUAUCAAGCAAGGUAAAUUGGUGUUGCUUCUAUGACAAGUUUGGUUGGUUUAUGUAACGACCAAGGCUUACUUUGGGACUUCAAUUCAAUCUACUGUGAAACAAGCUGGGAUGAGGAGCUCAAGAAUUUGCUGAUUAGUUUGCAUCCCAUUUGAUCCUAUUAUUGUCAUGGAAUUGCUUUAUCACAUGACUGAUUUGGGCGUGGUUCACUUGGCCAAGGAACUUCAAAUUCCAUACUUGAGACCGAUCAAAAUAAAGAAAAGGGAUUUUGCAGAGGAAGCAUCAGCAACAGCUAAGGACCAUCUUGCGUGGCAAACUUGAAGAGGCUUUGGGGCCAACUAGAGUGUCCUGAGGAAGUUUUGAUGCUUGUGAAGAUCCAAAACACUCAAUCUGAUCUCAACGUCACAUCCCUAAGUGAUUGUAAAUGUAUUUUUUUUCAAUUAAAUAUGCUUUUUGUAUGCUCAUUAGAUUCUAGCUCUCCUUUAAUCAAAUACUAAACUGCUGAUUUUUUGUAUGUUACCGUGAUCCCUGAUGCAGAGUUGUUCAAUGCGGUUGCAGUCUAAUGAUAUCACACUGGAGUUGAUGAGGCUAUGAAGAGGGAGGUAUGCACUGCUAGGCUCCUCCAUUUCUAUCAGUUUAUUUGUGUGAUGAUAUCCUUCGAAUGUUAUCAUAUAGAUUUGACAAGCUCAAUUCUCAUGUAUGUGGCAUUGGAUUUGUAAAGUUGAAAUUGACCUCCUCGCAAACUAUCCCGUAUUGCUAUUGGAUCUUGCAAAAUUACCAAGUAGGAAAUACAUCUUUCUGUUCUGUAGUUUAGGCACUUCACCUUUUCAGCAUAAUUUUAUUAAUUUCAGUUCUGUUCCUAAACACAAAUAGGGAGCUAAUUGCUUACCUCUUUUAGCCUGUUGGUUACUUUUUCAUUGGCCAGCUAAUGAAGUCUCUGUCCAUUGUGGUCCAACUCUAAUUGAUGCCGAUGUUUAUGCAUUUGUACCUUAUCUCUCAUGGGGUAAGUUCUGAUGCUAUGAUCUUGGACAUCUUCAUUUAUUGAUAAUUACUCAGUGCUAUCUUCCUUGUGUAGAUUAAAUCUACAUUUGAUGAAACUUGGAGAAAGUCCCCAAACACCACAGGGUUUAGAUACGGGCAAGAAUAAGCUACGUCAGUAUAGAAAGGCAUUUCGAAGUUCUUUGCUACGUCAGUAUGCUGUUAAUAUUCUUCAAAGGGUUCUUGAUAUAGGGCGACCCCUUCUCAUGUGGUGUAUUAGUUUGCAAGGUUGAAAUCAUGCUAUUCUUUAGCAAAGACUGCAUCACAGAUCACUUGGAGGAAGACUGCAUGUGUAGGUGGCUUUAUAUGUGAAGUCAAGCAUAAAAUGAGAUUUGUUAACAAGAUUACCAUUUAGAUGCCCACUUCAAGCUACAGUUUUAUGAUUGGGAGAGACAUUUUUGGUGGAAAAAGCAAAUGUCGUGGAAUCAGCAAAAAAUCUGUCAAAUGCAGCCAAGAGUUUCAAUGAAAAGGUUUCCAAGAAGAUGGUAGUUUCUUAUUUGGAAGAAUUUUGAACCCAAAAUAAUGGCAUUCUAAAAUCAUCUGUUUGCCCUGGUUACAUCAAAAUUCAUAUGUAGGCAUUUCCAAUCACUUUGGUUGGAUAACCUCAAACUUGAUUUAUUUAAGCAUGAAUAUAAAAGUAGGAGAGACACAGCCAUGCACAUUUUCAUACCUAAAACCAAGUAGAGAGACCAGUUCGUUCUUGAAGAGCAGCAUUACUUCUCCCCUUCGAGAUUCUCUCAUGCGGACGCAUGGAGCUCACGCCACUUGGAGUCGCUCCUCCAUGGUUGUUUGUGGUGAUUCCACUACCAAAACCAAGUCUUGGUGAAUUUGUUCUAGUACAUUUACCUCAGUCUGAUAGGGCACCGGGGUCUGUAGUGAAGUAUUGAGUUGUUUUAUGCAAUGUGUUUUAUCAAAGGUUUGUCUGUGUUGCUAGUGUGGAUGGAGUUUAUGUGGGGUCUAUUUCUUGAAUGAGAAUUGGUGCGAAAUAAAAGAGUUAUUUUGUUCUUCUUUUGAGUUUUUCUUGCAAUAAAAGCUAGCGGCACUGAUUCUCUGACACUAUCUGUAUUUGAGGUUUCUCUUUGAAUGUGGUGUUAAAUGACAAAGAAUGAAUUGGUGGUUCAAGUGAAAAUUGCUAUUUAAGUUGUUUAGACAAGGAAGGAGGUUAUUGGUAGAAGCUAUAAUUUAGUGUGUUUGUUGCAGAGAAGAGAGAAGAGAGCGAAGAAGAACAUAUCAAAGUCGGGAUGGGAGAAGGUGCAUCUCAACGUUCGGUUGGAUCACCAAGUUCAAAUUGGGGAGAUUGUGGCAAUCUUAGGAUCCACAGGAGAUUUGGGAUCGUCGAAGAAGAAUGUGGCAAUGGACUGGACCAAGAGCGGAUGGUACGUGAGUUAGAACUGAAAGGAGGCAAAUCUGUCAAAUUAGAAGAACUUAUAUCAGAUUUUGCUGAUAUUACUGAGAUUCCUAAGUCUAUCGGUUCUUUGAGGAAUCUGGAGAAACUGAGCGCCAGCUGUUGUGUGUCACUCGGAGACAUCCCUAGCUUAAUUUGGGAUUUAUAGAAUUUGCAACAUCUAGACAUUAGUGUUCUUACCCAAAAAAAAAACAUCUAGACAUUAGUGGUGUUGGGAUUGAAAAGCUUCCUAGUGCUACAGUAUCGUUGAAAAAUCUGCGCACUAUAAGUCUCUUAUCAUGCUGUAAUUUGAAAGAGCAAUUCCAAGUGAAAUUGGUGACUUGUCUUUGCCUGAGAUUCUCUAUGUCACUUGAGGAAGUUUUGAUGCUUGUGAGGAUCUAGUACACUUUUUCUAGGCUCAACAGGACAUACUUGAAUGAUUUUGAUGUUGUAUUUUGAGUUGAGUCUGCUUUUUUGUAUGCUCAUGAGGUUCAACCUCUCUGUUAAUCAAAUACGUAGCUACUGAUUUUUUUGGAUGUCACUCUGAUGCAGAGGUGUUUGAUGCCGUUGCAUUCAAAUGUUACUGCUCCUAAACUCGAUAAGGCUCUAAAAAGGGAGGUAUGCACUACUAGUUGUACCAUAACAAUGAAAAAAUAACCUGUGUGCUUAUGCUAUGCGAGCUGUGGAAUUUUACUUGAAAAAUCAGUAUGUAAGUAUGUAUGAGGACAAUCUCCUUCAUCUCUAUCAGUUUUUCGAUGUGAUACUAUCCUCUAUUGCUGAUUUUGCUAACAGGAUAUUGCAAAAUAACCAAGUAAUAAAUUCAUCUUUCUGCUUUGUAGUUUAAGCACUUCACCUUUCAGCAUAUUUUUAUUGACAUCAAUUAUGUUCCUAAACACAAAAAAGGAAAGUGUUGCUCAUUGCUACUUCUCCCAGGCCUGUUGUUUUCGUUUUCAUCAGGCAGCUCAUGAAGUCUCUGCUCAUUGCGGUCCAACUGCAAUUGGUGCAAAUGAUGUUUGUGCAUUUGUACCGUAUCUUUCAUGAUGUAAAUCGUGAUGCUUCGAUCUUAGUUAUCUCUAUUUAUUGAUAAUUAGUAAAUCCUAUCCUUCUUGUGUAGAUUCAAGCUGCAUUUCAUAAAAUUCAGAGAGAAUUCCCAAACAUCACAAGAUGGUGAUGUGGACCGGAAUGAGAUUUGUCAUGAGACGUUAUGGAAAGGCGUUCCAAAGUGCUUCGCUAAAGGUGCUUAUAAUGUGCUUGAUGCUGAUAAUCUUGAUAGGAUUCUUGAUAUAAAGGGACCUCUUCUAAUGUGGUGCAGUAGUCGACUCUUUGCAAGCUUUGACAUCAUGUUAUUAUUUAGCAAAGGUCGAAUUUCAAGAUGCUCGCAGGAAGACUGCAUGUGCAGGUGGUUCUGGAUGUGAAGUUAAGCAUAAAGUCAUGUUUGUCAACAAGAUUACCAUUUAGAUGACCACUUCAAGCUACAAUUCUGGGAAUGUGAGAGACUUCUUUCAUGAAAAAAGCGAAUGUCAUGGGAUCAGCAAAUAAUCUAUCGAUUGCAGGCAAGAUUUUCAGUAACAAGGUUCCUGAAAGACAGUUGUUUCUCAUUCGUAAGAAUUUUGAGCACAAAAUAACAGUGUUUGUUAGUGUACAAUCUGUCACGCCCCGAUCCUCGGACGCGCGCACAUCCUUCUACUUGGUCGAUUUUAUAAUGCGAUAUCCCAGGACUAUGUAUCGCCGACCCUUUAUUUUUAUUAAGCACAUGCGGAAGCAGUUAUAAAUCCCCAGACAAUAAAACAAUGGGAUAGGAAAGUAGGCCAUAUUUUUCAUAUUGAAAUUUACAACCACACUUUCUUUAACAUCACCACUCAUGGUAUAUUUACAAUACUAUUUACAGCAUAAAAGUCUCACACCUAUCUAUACCAAGACAGGGUUCACAAAAAGGGACGGGAUCUCAAUCCACAUCCGGGUUAUACUUAAGAUCCCUCUCUGGAUCAUCUUCUUCCUCAAAAGUCUUUCUCCAUCUUCAGGUUCCUCCUCCUUAGAUUCUCCUCAGGGUCCUGAAAUGGUUAUUCAAUAACCAAUGAGACCACGUCUCAGCGAGUCCUACCCACUAAGACUCGAUUAAUAAACUAAUACACCAUACGGUUGCCUAAGCACAACACGAGUCAGAGGACUUACCUUGGCCUCAGUUUCAGCCUGCAAUUCAAGGUUAAACACAAGCAUUCAAACAAUUCACGACAUCCGAUCAAGCAUUGAUCAAUCGACUAAGUCGAUUACAUGUCAGCCAGACCCUCUCUAGGUCAUUCCCACUCAUACCACGCUUUCCCAGUGGUGUACUCAUUCACCAAAUCACAUGUGUUUCUCGGGCGUCGUUUUCGCCAAUGACAUACCGAUCACCGACACCGUGCGUUCUUUAAGGCGCCGUUUUCACCAGUGAUAACCUUGAUCACCGAACCACGUGUCCUUUCAAGGGCGCCGUUUUCGCCAAGGUGACAUCGGCUAUAGACAACAUCGUGUGUUCUUUAAGGCGCCGUUUUCACCAGUAAUAUUCCCAUAAUCACCGAACCACAUGUGUCUAUAAGUCAUUUACGUGCGUUCUUUAAGGCGCCGUUUUCGCCAGUGAUACUUCCAAUCACCGAACCACGUAUGUCCAAUAAUAUCGUACCUGAUUGGUCUCACCAUUCUUCCUACUAUAUAGCCCAUCAACGUACUGGCGCUAUAUAUCCAUGCUUAGCCAUUACCAAUCAAAUACUCAAUAACAAACAAUUUAGGACAAUUCCUAAAAUUCCACAAUAAAUUCAAUUCCACACAACGUAGAGCUCAAAUAAAUAAACGGUCUGCACCACGACAAUCGGCACGAAAUUCCGGUCACCGGCCAUCCCGGUUGAAUUUCCGGAAAAUAAUUAAUUAAAUAAAUAAAUUUCGAAAAUAAAUAAAUAAACAUUAAAAAUCCAAUUUAGGCCUAUAUUGCCUUAUUGGAGCCCGAAACGGGUCGGGAAAAAUCCCGAGAUACAUUCAAUAAAUAACCAAACAUUUCUACUUGCUAAUAGCUAGGUCUAACCACCUAACAUGCAUUAUUAAGUCACUAAUUUAAUUGUUCUAACCUAAUCUAACCACCUAAGUGCAUGUAAUUAAAUCUAACCAACCCUAAGGCAUAAUUAGCAAAUUAAUAAAGCUUUAGUGAGUAAAACUCACUUGAUAAAAGCGGAGACCGAAUCACCGCAACGGCAACGCUACGGCGGCCGAAAUCGGACUUUCGACAACACCGGCGGGCUUGGGACCGGGCCUUAAGCUUGGCCCAACAAAUCUCAGUCCAAAUGAGAUUUGUUCUUGCACUGGAAUGGGCUGGACCUGCUGAAUUGGGCUUGCGAAAUUCACUUGGGCUUCAAGCUAUGGGCUGGGCUGCAAUUGAUUUGCUGAAAAUUGGGCUUGGCCAAUUAACUCACAUGGACUGGACUGGGCUUGAACUUGGGCCAAACUGAUGCUGAUCACUUGGGCUGGAAUAAAACUAAACUGGGCUGUCUUUGCUGGGCCCAAAAGAAAUUCACUGAGCUUGGAGACUGCUGGACUUGCGGUUGAACUCACGAAGGAGUUGGGCUUCGCUAGCUUCGUUGGACGCUGCUCCGUUAGCAAAUCAAAGGGGCGGGUUGUUGGAGUUGACCGGUGAAUUCCACACGGUUAGAUGAAGAUGAUGAUGCUGUGCGACUUCGGUGAGUGGGGGGGGGGGCAGCGAAAAUGGAGUGGCAGGUUCGGUCUUCAUGGAUGUGUGGAGACGCAAGCUGUUUCGUUUGAGCAGAACACGAACAUGGACGGGUGGCAACGAGCGGCUGGCUUCGGUCAAUCACGGGGGAGCUCGCUGGUUUGGUUGACUGAAGAACCGUGGACCGUUGCGGAGGAGGAGCAGCUUCGCUUGGUGGAGUCUUCGCUGGCUCAACGUGGCAGCAGCUUGGUCAACAGAUUGAAGAGGAGAAGCUUGGAGUUGACUGGCGUGCGCUGGCCGCGUGGGUGCUUGGAGUAGCUUCGUGGACGAUCAAUCUUCAACGAAGCAGAAUAAAAAAAGUUUCGGUGGAGCUGCUGUAGGGGUCUUCGCUGGCGUGAGUGGCCGACCAGCUCGGUGGGAUCGUGGCUUCACUCGGUGGAGUUUCUGUCUUCAAAGCUUCGUGCGGUGAGGAUCUUCAGUCAACGACGGGGCUUCUUCUGGCUUCGCUAUUGACCGAGCGUGAGCUGGCUGAAGACACGAAGCGGUGGAGAAUUCGGCGGAUGCUGAGCUCCUCGGGCAGCUUGGUGGACGCUCGGAAAAAUUUCAAAGGAAGCAGCCGGGUCUUCUUCAAUUGCUGCUGGAAGUGUCGCACGCCAGAGAAAAAUGGAAAGAGGAGAGAAGCAAUUCACGGCAGCAAGAUGGAGAGGAUGAGGAAGAGGUGGGCCUUAGCUUGAUAUUUUGCAAGAAUAUCUCCAUGGAUCACUCUUAGCCAAGUAAAAACACUUGGCCCUCAUUAGACCAUCCAAAUGACUUCCAUAACCUCUCAACUAGUCCAAAAAUGCUAGAGUGAGGGGAUGAUACGAAUUUCACCAUUUGAACUUCAAUGUCUCCAAUAAAUUCCCAAAUUGAGGUCCAAUUUCGACGUAGGAAAAUCCCAAAUGAUUUUCUAUAAAUCCCCGACACACAACGGCUCAACCCGAAAGUCAAAUUUCCCAUUAAUUUAGCCAAUCUGAACUUCGGCCAAACUUCCGCGACGUCCGAAUCCAAUUUCCGUAAAAAUCUCGGGACCUCCGAAAAAUCUUCUGAGACUGAGUCGAUGCUCCUAAAAUUUAUUGUGACAUGGCCAAAACUUCAAUUUCUGAAAUCUGACUCAAAUCGACGGUUAAUUUCACUCCGACGUGCUUUUAGUGUGACCUAGACUACCGGGUAGUUUUCAGAACUUUUUAGGGCAAUUGACUCGUGGUCGAUUUUCUUCGAGCCACAAUGAACCCACUCGACACAUUGGCGACUCUCAAUUGUCGUGAAAAUCUCGAGGGCUCGACUACCAACACAGGGUACCAAAACGACAGAAAAUCAAAUUAGUGUCGGUCGACGAGAAUUUUCCAAUUUAGUGGAGUCACCCACGAUCGGCCACACAUCUCAGUCGAACCGACCUAUCUCUGAUCUCAAUUCGAUCUUUAACUGUGCAGUAGUGACCUCUAAAGAUGAACACGGUCGAGAAGCCGCUUCCUGGUCGAAUUCUCAAGUCUAUUGCCUUAAUAUUCUUUAAUGGCUUACCCAGCUAGUCUAGUUAUCUCGAGAGUGAUCAGCUCUGAGAACAACCCUAUAGACACGUCAAUGAAAUGCCCGAUUAAUUUAAUAGAAAACAAUACUGAAAAUUCUGGAUGUCACACAAUCAGCUCUCGGAUCCAGGGAGUUCAUGUAUUGGCAUUUUGCAAUCACUUUAAUCGUAUAAGCUCAAACUUGAUUCUUUUAAGCAUGAGUCUCAAGACCAAACAAAAAGAAAAAAAGAAAACAUGAGUCUAUAAAGUAGAGUAGACACAGCCAUACAUUUUCAUACCUGAAACAAAAUUUUCUUUGGCGUUGGCUACAGUUGAAGACUGAGAAAAAUGUGAAGAACCUUUGGAAGGGUGAAAGUACCCCCUCAAGAUUUAUACUCAUUUGGUUGGUACUUGGACUCUACUAUGCCAAAUUGUAGUCAUUGGUCGUGCAUUCAAGUUUCAAUCGAAGCAAUUUCUUUGGGGCCACCACUCUCAGAUGUUACUCUUCAUACAAUGGUGGAACUUUGUAGUUAAAAGCUACUCACAAGAUAAUCAUAUAGUCUGAUUCGCUUGCUCUCUACCUACUCACAAGAUAAUCAUAUAGUCUGAUUCGCUCGUUCUCUACCAAAACUUUAACUCAAUCAUGCAUAAUGUGGGCCGCACUAACAAGUUAAAACAUUAGUGAAGUAUACCAAACACAAAAUAAUCUAAUUUUGAGCUUAUUGAUUAUAUAUAACAUGAGAAAAGUUGCAAGUAAAGUCAAUGUAUUGAAUGUAUAAUUUAUAACUUAGCUGCUCAACAAGUGACUAGAUAUUUUAUCCAAAGGGCAGUGGCAUUAUGUUUGACUGCUUAUACGACAUGAGUCAUGACCUUAUUGACCGAAUUAUUUGAAGUUGGAACGUGAAUCGACCAGAUGAUUGGAUGAACAUGUUGAACUGAUUGAACCAUUUGGUUCUAUUCAUGAGUUUCCCCCCUUUUUCUCUUCUACUUUGGUUUCAUGCAGAGGAUUUGCUUUGAGCUUGUUUAUAAUAGUUCCAUCACAUAUUACAUAAAGAUCCUAUUAAUAACAGCCAUUCGAACAAUAACAACGUAGGUUUCGAAAGGACAGGAAAAGUUCUUUGGUUCUCCUCAUUUUUUUUUGGCCCAAGCUUGACGGGAGGGUACUAAAUUAAUGAAAGCCGUCACAAAAAAUCAGAAUGAAACUGUUGAAGGCCUUUCGAUUUAUUUUACAACUGCAAACUGCAUGUCGGACUUUAUAGCUUCUUUAGUUUGCCAUAUGAUGAAUCAUAUAACGCAGAGGAAUCGAAAUAGACAAAUUGAGGAAAUUACAGGGUUAAAAGAACCCCAAAACGGAGACUUAAAAAACAUUUGGCCAAAAGAGAGUUCUAAACAAUGAAACCGACCACGAAGUAGAUCUAAACGUUAAAUCCAACAAACGAAAGUAGUCUUCUUAUUUUGCAUUCAGCAUCAUGUUGUCAAGAAGAGGAGAAAUUAGCAGGACAGAUGAUUUUACUUUGCAUGCGAAUGCAUGCAUGCUUGUAAAAUCAUGUUGCAGAUAAAUCAAAAGGUAAGGAAAUUCGGGGAAAAAAACAAUCCUUUUGGCAAAUACAAAGACAAGACAUAUGGACUAUCACAUAAAAGUUGUCUCAUUUUCCUAUGUCUUGAAUGCUGGAGAUCGAUGAAUGAAACAACAAUUUGAACGGACAUCAUACCAGAAAGAUUGAACAUUGUGACACUCUUUUGGAUACUUAUUUAACAUUAGAUACAUAUUAAAGUGAUAACCCAAUAAACAAAACAAACCCCUCUGUUUCCUCCUGACUGAUUUCAUCCUUUUCUCCCUUAAUGACGAUAAGCAUGAUAUUCAGUAAUUUCUACAUAUUAAAUCGACACACAAAGCUCGAGCAUUUGCGCUUCAACCUUCGAAACCCUUGUUUGAAAGAAGCCUUGAACUUGACUCGACCAAAUAAAGCUUGUAUCUGGCCACCUUCCUCUUCCUCCGCUUCUCCAGGCAUUAUACCACGAUGAUUUUAUCGACUUCUAAAAGAUAAGAAAUAGGCAAAGGCCAGAGUCCAUUUCUACAUACAACAUUAGGUUUGUCUAUUCCCAUUCCAAAGGCAAAUGGUAGCACAUACAGUCUGGGCCUCUCCAGUAUGCCAUUUCUUUUGAACAGCUACUCUUCGAUGGGCUAGUAAUCAAGCAUGAUAGUACACUAUCUUUAUACAGCACUUCUUAUUCAAGUAUCUUGUGAUAUCAACACAUUCACUCUUUGAAAGGCAAUAUGCUAUGCCACAACAAUUUGCAAAACGAUUCUUUAGCAACUCUCCCAGUUGCCUCAUAAUUUAGAUUUAGUUUGUCAAAGCUUGUCUCGAGAACAAGAGCAUGGGGAAGCCCAAGAGUUUGUAGGAUAUCCUCCAAUGGAUGAAUAAUUCAAUCAGAACGAACAUAUUAUUUCAACAUAAUGAGGAGGUUAAUAUAUAAGUUUAGUACCUCACGAACUCACUGAGUGGCAGUUGCGGCUAAGGCCAUCACUAAGUCAUAAGCAAAGUUAGUCUUGAGACAUACCAGUACAUAAUCUGGACAAAAAUCUUGUCCCCACAGACUACAAUAAUGACAACCACGAAAGUGACAAUCAAUAAGCUUUCAAUUAUAAUCAGUCUAAUGUAGAAGAAAAGCUCAAACCAGCAGUACGUUCCUUUCAUGAGAUCAAAUUGGCAGAGCAAAUCCAGUUAAGACCUUGUAAGAAACACAAUCAAUGAUCACAUGGUCAAACCUUUGCCUUUCUCAAGUUGUUAACAUAAAGUAUAAGCAUUAAUAUAAUAAAUAGGGAUACAAGAGCCAGCUUAAGAGACUGAGUAUCCUGCCAAACAUAGAGAGGAGUUUGGAUCCUUAUCCAAGCUUAUGUUGGAUUCAAUUUCUCUAGAAAGUAAUUUCCGUUGGAGCUUAUUUAAGUUGUGUGCUCUUUACUCAAUAUAAUGAACGAUGUGCCACUAUGUAUUCCCAAAUGACAGAACCUAAAUCUUUUCAUCAAACAAGGAACACUACAUUCUGUUAUAUUAGAACUUCACAGGAUUCUGGGCUUCGAAGACAAUUUAAUUAGGCUAGAAAUGCAGAAAAUGUAGAAAAGUUUGGAAAAAGAGUUUACGUUAGCAUAUAUAAAAGUUAACUUGCUUAUAUUUAUCAAGAACAAGGACAACAGUUUUACAGUGAUAACAAUAAAACCAGCUAGUCGUGUUCGUAAUGCACGAUGGUCAAAUAUAAAUUUUUUUAUAAAGAACCAUUUAGAAAAAGUUAUGGUGCAUCAGAAACAAUACCUUUCUAUGCAAGCAUUUCAAUAUCUUGAGAAAAGGUGGGUUUCCCACAAUCCUUUCAGGAGUUACAUACAAUAGCUAGCAUGAUGGUUUAUCUUUUCUGAAAAAGCAGGCAAAGCAGAAGUGGAGAUUAAUAAUUUGACAGUCACAACACUUAGAAUAUAAGUUUUAGAAGUCCAAUAUAGCUAACUCUUGCAUUAGUUAUUGGAGGACAACUGCUGCUUGGGCAGCACUUUUUCGAGAGUUCAAGAAAAUAGAUGGUAUGCCGUACUUGAGGUAUAGAGUAAUUAUUUGAUCUUAAAUGAGAGAUAGCAGGGGAGAUAUAACAACUGUUACACCUGGUUUAAGAGUUGCUGGCAGCUGAAACGAAGGGUAAAAACAUCAGAAGAGCACAUGAAGAAAGGAAGGGACAAGGGAAUUAUUACUUCUUUCACCAUCAGCUGAUCAGGAAGGACCAGUAGUCACUACUUGUCUUCUAAUUACUUUGAGCUAGAAACACAUAUCAACUACUUCAAGACUGAACAUAAAACACUUCUAAAAUUUUUGACUUAAUAAAUCCAGAUUAUGAUCUUACUCCUUAAUUCAGUAAAUCAAAUAUUUUGCAUGCUAUGAAGAUCCAUUGUAUAUUAAAGGACAUUAAUUUCGAACCAAUUAUGGGAAAAAUAAGUGAUAGAUUAUCAACCCUUGUGAGAUAAUGGCAUAGCCAAUAACUGCGAGGAAAUAUAGAAAUCUAGAACCUGUAUUUGGCGGAAGUACUUUAAAAACUUAUUCCUCUUUGACUUAGCAUAACCCAUUUGAAUUGGACCUAAAUUAUGACUGACAAUAACACUUACAUGCAUAAACAAGAUGAAUUUUCCGGUAAGUGAUUAGAAGGUCCUAGAUGCUGCAUUGGUUGAAAUGAAGCAAUCUUGCUUGGCUACAGAAGAUUUACAAGCUUGAUGCUGCAUUGGUUGAAAUGCUUUGUUUCUGAAUAUUACAACAUUUGCCAAUUCUAUGUCAUCCAAGGGUUGCAAUUCCUCAUAACUCAGAGUUCCCUAUUUGCAUGUCGAAAUCUGAGAGUAAUGUCUUUUAUUUGAAACUGACGAUAUCAAACCUUGGGUGACAAUGUUCUUACAGUCCUUCAACACAAAUAAGCCUGUUCAGCACCAUAGAUAGUUUCCAACAUGGAAGUGAUGGAAAAUGAAAAUUGUGCACAAAAAAAUCCCAAGCCUUCAUUUCGCAAAACACUCCUAUUAAAGCCAUCGGAUGCUAAGUCCAACACUUGGAUGAUGUACUAUACUUUCAAAACAAAAAUCAACUGUUUUUAUUGGCCAAACGGUUCUAAUAUAAGUCAUUUUAGAUCUUAAAAGACUGAAGUAACUAGCAAAAGUUAGGAGUGUCUUAUACAUUUGAUCGAAUGAGAGCCCUCAUAAGCAAUUUACUAAAUGCUCUUGUACAGAGAACCCUGUGUAAGGUCCUUUGCUGUAAGCAGAAUUACAAGCAAACUGGAAACGAUCAAGGAAAGACAUUAAUUUUAAGAGCAAAGAACAGUAACACGCUAAUUUAAGGGGUUGGUCAGUUUCAUCCAUGUCAAUGGGAGGACUUGUUUCACAAUGACCAAGAAGGAAUUACAAUAAGAAAUAAAUCAAUUUCUCACUAACCAAAACCCCAAUUGCAAGAGUCAAUCAAAAGCAAGCUAGAUGAGUGGAAAGCGUUUUAAGAGUUUUCUGAAAGGAAACUCUAAACUCUCUUGAUCAAAAACCAAGACAAUCUGUUCUCAAUUCUUCUUAUUAUCCUUCUUGGCCCAAAUAUACCUCAGCAACAAAAAUAUAUAAAAAUAUGAGUUGCAGAAUCAUUGUUAAAAGAAUAAAAACUCAUGAGCCGAGAUCUGCCAACUUUUUGUUAACCUCCUAGACAAUUGGACCAUUGUGGCCAGACUCUUGGGAUUUGCCCAGUAACUAUCGUGGCUUCUUCAGGUGUCCACAGUUGCUUCACUAAACGGCCAACCCUAUACAAUACUCAGACAUUCUUCAAGCUGCGUAUUUGGUCCAUGCAAUUAAACGAGCCAAUCCCAAGCCAAAUCUAGGUCCAUGAAUAAAAAACUCGAGCCAUAAAUUUAACAACUAUCACCCAAUUACGUUUGGGCAUGGGAAAAAACAUGCCAAGCCACCUUGCUUUUCUUUCUUUUUCUUAAUCCUUUCAAACUGGUGGGGGCAGAAGGGAGUGAGACAACUUCAUAGUUUUUAGAAGCAUGCCAUGGAUUCUAAAGAUUGUCUGGCCAGAAGUUGAGUGGAUAAAAGGCUCGGAGUAUUGCUUUGAUCAGGAAUAUAGCAUGUGGGAUUCCUGCUCAUUUUACUGCAAAUAUAUCGUCGUCGUCUGCACUAUCAGUAGAGGAAUCUACCUCAAGGAAAGUUCAAUUUUUCUCAGGUCAUGGAGAAUCUUCUAUAAAAUUGACAUCGUACACAGCAUUGCAUUCACCAUCAUUAUUGAUAUCUUGGCCAAACAUAUCAGUCAAAACUGCAGAAGCCUCUGAUUCCACAGCUUGCAAAUCAUCCCAAUCCUCAAAAUUUUUGCAUGGUUUCAGGAAGUUCUGCUAGGAAGUCAUUGCCCCAGUGCUCAACAGUGAUAAACUCUUGACCUUCCUUGCCUUAAGAAAACCAAAAGAAGAAAGAAAUGAUUUUGCAAGUUCCACAGCAAACAAGAGAUUAAAUAAACAAAAUCCACAAUAUGUAAUUUGCACUUAGUUCAGUGAGACACCAUAUUUAUAUGCAGGCAAGACACCAUAUGUAAAUUUCGCUAGUCAAUAAGACUGCUCCGCAAAACCCACAGAGAAAUGGGGACGAGAUCAAUGAACUAGAUUUAACCAGCUCUCUGGUCCAUUCACAUCCAAAAGGCAGACCAUUCCACAGCCAUCGUCAGAAUGACGACUAACCCCAAUAAAUCUCCGUAUUCACGACUGCACAAUCAAUCGAUUCAUGAAUCAUCCACGCAACACAAUCAAUCGCCAGAAUACCUACACAACCUCCGCAACGCUAAUCAGCAUAAAAAAAAUGGGCGACGAAAUAACGAUUCCAGUUACCGUAGAGGGAAACGAGACUGUCCCAAGCACUUGCUGGCGGACUGCUUGUCGAAGCCGAACUCAAGGGCCAAGCUCAGCAACCCCGAGCUUUCUCUACCUCUUCCAAGCCCCGAUCCUCCAUGGAGUCUCGACCUGUUCGAACGAUUCAAUCAAUCGAUCGAUCGAUGAUGCACGAGCUGCAGUCGAAUCGAGACGAUCGCUAAUCUCUCCAGAGACCGCGGGCUUCGAAGUGCUCUUUUCAAAAGACGUUUCCAGCGAUGGCGGGAUUGGUGAUGUUUUCCGCUGCCUAUUUUUAUAUAUACGCUGGAGAAUGGGAGAGAUUGGAACCUUAUUUUUUCGAUUUUCUUUUUUGAAAUUUCCUCUUUCGCCCCUGAAGUUUGUCUAAGCUCUAUUUUGCACCCCGGGCUUCAUUUGACACGCUUGGGCUUGAAAAAUCGUUAACCUCGGCAGAUAGGAUUAUGUGUGAAGGUUACUUCGGAAACGGAAGACUUGCAUAUCAUAUGAAAUUUAUAGACGUAUCUGUUGCUGUGCGUCAGUGAAAGACAACUUUGGCAAAGUAAUAUUGUUUCUUAAUUUACAUUUUUUUCCUUUCUAUAUAUUAAAUAUAUAUUACAAUGGAAUGAUUUUCAAAACUUCAGGAAAAAUAGCAUUUCCAAACACUACUUUACUGUUUGGCAAAAAUAAUAAUAAAAAGCUACUUUAUUAUAGGCAAAACCUCUUGAUGGGGACGGAAAUUUCGCAAAUCAAAACUCUCUUUUAUGGGAUUAGUCCUACAUUCAACGUGGACCGUUGGAUGGAAAGGGCAAAAACAUGAUCCGUCGAGUCUAUUUUGCAAAAUCGAUUUUCUGUCAUCACUUCAAUACAUGAAAGAAAGUCAUGGAUGUGAUCAAAUUAUCAUUUGAUAAAGAAAAGUUACGAUGAGUAAGGAAAUUUACCAAGACAAAGAUCUCAAGACUUUACGAAGUGCAAAAUUGAAAGAUUUGUCAUCUUUAACGGUUUCUUUCGUGACGUGACUGACUUGUUAAUGGCUUUUUUAUCAGAUUUAUUAAUGUUUGAUGCCAAGGGGUUCAGAAGAAUUUGUAUUUUGUUGGUUCCUUAAUUGUGGUUUAUGUUGUUGCAUUGCUUACCAAAGUUAGCAUUCCCCGCCAGAUAUUCAGGCUCUACAUCAUCAAUCUGGAGCAUCGAAUGAUUUUCAGGAAUUGGAAGGAAAAAGAAAUUCCUAAAAGACAAUAUGACAUGGAUCCUGCAAUGGAGGACAAGAUUUGUGAUCUCUAUGACCUUUUUGUUGAUGUACAUAUUUCCUUUGCAUUUUUUUAUACUGCCUUUUUCUACUUGAAACAUGCUUUAGAAAGCUACUUUUAAACAUGAGUGUCUAUUUGAUUUCAUGCUUUGAGGGUCUUGAUGAGGACACCGGUCCACAAGUCAGAAAAUUAUAUGCUGAGGUACCACUAGCCCCAAAAACUAAAAAUUACUAUCUGUAUGGCUGUUUAGCUGUUAUAGACAUGUUGCAAUCUUGUUUUGACAAUUCAUCUUUGUGAAGCGUUCGCAAAACCAUCAUGAUGGUGUAUAUUGCCAUAGUUUGCAGGAUAUAAUAGUUGGAUGUGAGAUCAAUUGCAUUUACAGUGCUGAUAUAUAAUAUAUUUUAUGUUCACAGUUGCAAGUAUGUUCAUAUAGUGGUCAAACAUGGUGAUGGUUUUCAAUGUGGGUUUCACAUGCAGUGUUAGUUUAUGAUUUAUUUAUGCAAUUAUAUGAAACUAUGCAAGCACUAAACCCGCAUUUCCCCUUGUUCUGAAUUAAUAACUGAUGCAAAGAGUGGAGAGUGCAACCUACUUUUUGAAAUGGCUGCAGUUGUCAACUUUGGGCUGCUACGAAGUCGUUUCGAGUAAACGUUUUGAUGAUAAUCAUGAUGGCAUGCAUAUGAAAUGUGGAGAACCCACUGAAUUGGUUGGCUUGACUUGUUAUUUUAUAUGAUCUCUGUUUAUUUAUCACACUUUGAUCUCCGUCCUUGUCUGAACCCUGGGAUUACUGGGAUUUAAAACAACUAGAGGGUAUUCUCGAGAAGGAAAAGAUACAGGAGGAAUUGAGGUUGCGAGGCAUGUGGGCACCGGCAUCUUAAAAUAAGAAAUAUUUUCAUGGAGUUUGUCAUCUCUGCAUCGCAAACGGUUUUAUAUGAUCUCUAUUUGUUUAUCACCUCGGUUGGUUUUUACCUGCAUCCACUGGUUCUAAGACUUUUGUCAGUGUAAAGUCUUCACUUUUUGGAGGGUAGGUACAGCUUGCAGAGCUGUGGCCAAAUGGUUUUAUGGACAACCAUGGUAUUAAGCCGGCAAUUUGUAGGGCCGAAGAGAGGCGAAGGACACUUUACAACAGACACGAGGUAUGGUUAAUUUCUACAUUCUUCCACCAACUUUCUUUUCCAUGAACUGAAAGAGAAUAUGUAGUGCUUGGUGAAAGGGGAGAACGCCAAUAUUUUUUGUGUUCUACCUGGCCGCUGCAUGACUUAACAUAGUUUUCCUUCAAAGUGAUUAUAAUAUCGUCUUUACUUAUCCACAUAUUGCUUUGACUUUUUUUAUGGGUAAUUGCUAUGUAAUAUGGCUCUUAUGUUUCUUCAUGUGGACGGAGGAAAUGGUGAUUCCCGAUUCGCAAAGAAAUAAAAGUGGUUGUCGGCUUUACAAAAUAGAUUAGACAUUGGUAGUAUAAUUAAUGUAUUUGCCUUGAGCGGUGUAAUUUAUGAAUUUUGAGACCUCAUAGUGGUAGAAAUAUAUGCAGUUUCGCUUUUCACGAGAAUGUAGAGUAGCAUCUUUCUUCUUUACUUGUGUAUGUGAAUUUUCUUCCAAGUGCGAUGCAUAAGCAGAUAUAUGCCACUGGAUGGUAGCUUAUGUCAUCCUUAUAAUCCGUUUAUAGGAGGAUCAAAGAAAAUGAGGCGGGAAAAGAUGUUGGUGCCUAAAACAGAGGAGUCAGUUCCAGUUGAGGGUCUUUCAGUUGCUCAGCCACAAACCCCGCCAGAGAGAUUGUCUAUUGAUUUAGGCUUCAUGGUACAACUACUACUAGCAGACCUAUUCACAGCCCAACAACGGCAACUGCUAGGGUUUCUAAAUUUGUUUAUGCAAAAAAGCUUUCAAUCCUUGCCAUAUUGACAUGAUACUGGGACCAGAAUCCUAGCUGUUUCAUCUCUCCAAUAUGAACAUAUUUGAGGUUGUAUGCCAUAAUUACAUGAACGGCAGACAAAGUAAAGGAUGAAACAGAAAAGCUCACUUGUGUUGCAUAAAAGUAACCGUAAUCAAUCAUCAUCAUCAUCCGGUACUAAAAGAAUCCUAAUAAACUACUAGGGUGUGGGAGAUUAGGGUUUUGCCUCUUCUGUUCCCCAUGGCGGUCGACGCUCGCUCAAUGCUUGACGGAGACGAUGAACUGCUAUGUCUGUUCUGCAUUUUCAGAGUGAAGGGUGGUGAAAGUGUUUUUCAAAGAGCGACGGAGAGAGAGAGAGAGAGAGAGAGAGAGGAUUUGAGGAGGAAGACCAAAGGUGCGAGUCUUAUGAAUUUUCGGUAGGAUGGGAAUUGAGGCAAGGGGAUGGCGAGUUUUGACCUCACAAGUUCGGCCAGGCGCAUUUUCCGCACGCUCCUCCGCCACGGGGGCAGCUGCAAUUUAUUGAUCUUUUUGGUAGUCAAACUCUCUGCAUAAAUUUUUUGACCAAAAAAAAAAAAUCAAAAGAAGACUUUGCAUCAAUUCUAUUGAUCCGGUCUUAUAAAUUAUAAUUUACUCGUACUUCUUUUUCGACGGUAAUCCAAUUUCAGAAAAAUCUCCAAAAAUAACCCUCUAUGUCAUAAACCGAAUAAAACAUAAGUCAAAAUCCUAAUAAGUGGCCAAAGCAUUUGUAGUACUUCUUUUUAUACAACGCAUCUAAUCCAUCUCGAGAGAUUCGUUCUCGUUUUUUUGCAAAAAUUGAGGUUUCUCCACUAUUCAGAAAUAAUUUUAUUGCCAAUAAGUGAAAAUGGAAAAAAGAGAAGGGUACCCAGAUAUACAUGGCUUCAAUUUGACGGACUUUCCCUUUUCAAGAUCUCUUUCAUUUAAUUAGCAAAAAAAAGAAAAGAAAAGAAAAUUUCGUCCUGCACAAAUCGGGAUUUGCCUUGUUAGAAAUAUUCGAUUUGGCCUUUAACCAUAUUCAAGAAGAAGAAAAAAAGAAAAGGAAAAAAAGAAAAGAUGAAAAGUUCAAAAAUGGAGGAUGGAAGAGCGAAACGACGUUCUCCUCUGCCAAGAACUGCCGAGGUCGAGCAGUUCGUGCUGCGUCGUCGUUUUUUCCUUUAAACUCCAAGCGUUGAAGCUGGCGGAUCUAGGCGUUGGAGGGGGGCUCACAUGGAAACCGGAAGCCUUCAAAUCUCCCUCUGUCUCUGCACCUGCGAGUCAUGUGCCAUAGACGAGAAAUGUGGGGGAUGGAUCGUGGGUCGGGCGAGGAAAGAGGCCAUUUGCCCGUGGCAAUCGGUGCUGCGAAAACGGUGCUGAGUCCGGAUCCGAUCCGGGUGUGUUUUUGUCUUCUUAUCCUUCUUGAAUAUCUAAACCUGUCAAAAGUAGAUCGUUUAAUGAAUGACAAGAUAUUAAAUGGAUUUAUGACCCGACCCAUCUCGUUUUUGGGUGUAAAUUUUUCUAGAUUUGGGUUAAAUAAAAAAAUGUUUUAGCAUCACGGGACAAUGUUAGAUAUGAGUCACUUAUAUACAUAUUGUAUAUAAAUUGAUUAAAACGGAUUAAAAUGAGUUUAUUUAGGUUGAACUAUUUUCGAUACAUACCAAAACCAGGCUCAAACACCCUUUUGAUGGGUAUAUGAAGAUCUAUCUCCAAAUGGCAAAAUAAGUUCACUACCAUUCAAUCUUUAUCACUCGUGGUCCCAGGUUUGAAUCUCCCAACAUUUGCACCUCUUUGUUUUCACCAAGACAUCAUUUUGUUGCUCUCUUUUUACCAAAAAAAAAAAAAUCUAUAAAAAGAUUUAUCGCCAAGAAGCCCCAAUCUUUGGUUGCUCUUGAAACAUGAUAAAAAGUGUUAUCCAUGAUCCGAUGUAAUUUUUAAGCACUUAUGGGUCCACAAUAAAAACUUCAUGUGGAGUUUUGAUUUAGACAUGAAGUUUUUAUUUAGACAUGUGACUAACCUCUUAGAGAAAAUUAACAAAAUAAUCCUUAACGGAUGUCGAUUUGAUCAUAAACUUUAUAAUUUAGUCGAUUUAGUUCUAAAAUUAUUGACAAUUCGUUAAUGUAAUUUUUCUGAUUAAUUUUAAUUAAAAAUUACUGACGUAAAUAUUGAUCAUUUGUUGUGACGUAACUAAUAUUGGCAUGGACAACUUUUUACAAUUUUUAGAAGAAUCUUUUUGAAUUCUUUGCUUUUAUUCUUUUCUUUUACUUUCUUUUCAUGGCUCGUGUCGCCUGGCGCGGGCAUAGUGUGUAACUUUUUCAAAGUUGGAGAGCAGUCGUGCAACGGUGUGGAAGUUGCGGGGGUUUUUGAGAAAUUAUCCACAAAAUUAAUGGCACAAAGAAGGGGAAUUAAAAAGGAAAAUCCGAAAAGAGCGCAAGAAAAACCCCAUUCCCGCGCUUUCUCAUACCCUAAUCCAUCCCAAUUUGGGGGAAGAAUGCACGUGGUCCCAAUGAGUACAUUUGGCAUCUAAAAGGACACGUGGGCUCGGUAAUUUGAUGCAUUACCUCGGAGAAUGCACGUGGUCCCAAUGAGUACAUUUGGCAUCCUGAAGAGACACGUGGGCUCGGUGACUUGAUGCAUCGCCUCGGAGAAUGCACGUGGGCUCGCUGAUUCAAAAUGGCAUUUUAAAGGGCACGUGGGCUCGGUAAAUUAAUGCAUUACCUCGGAGAAUGCACGUGGCUUGGUAAUUGGUUUUGUCAAUUGAGACUGUAUAGCAAUAGCCUGAAUGACCGGGAAAGGGUCAGUCUGAUACGUAAUCGACUAGGUCGAUUGAUCAUUGAUUUGAUUUGAUGUUGUGGAUUGAUUGAUUGAUUAGAAAUGACCAUGAGUGGUCUUGUUGACAUGUAAUCGACUAGGUCGAUUUGAUCGAUGCUUCGAUCAGCGAUAUGAUUGCUUGGGUGCCUAUUAUGAAUUGUACUGACUUGCAGGUGGGAUCUGAUGCUAAGGUACGUCUUCUGACCCAUGCGUGUAUAGGCAGCCUUUAGUAUAAUGGUUUACUAAUCGGGCUUAGUGGGGUAGAACUCGCUGAGACGUAGUCUCAUCCCAGUUUGGGGAAAAACAUUUCAGGACCCCGUUGAGGAGCUGAGGAGGAAUCUGAGAAGGAGAACUUGGAGGUGAAACCUGAGUAGAAGGAUUUUUGGAAGAAGAAGAUAAUACCGAGAGAGAUUUUGAGUAUGACCUGAAGGGAUUGAGAUUCCAUCUUCUUUUGUGAACUCCAAUUGAUGUGAAUAGUUAUGAAGUUCUCUAAUUGAUGUCAUGUACAAAAGUUUGGUUAUAAAUUUCAAUAUGAAAAAUAUGACCCUGCUUUUCUAUUCCAUUGUUUUAUUGUCUGGGGAUUUUAACUGCUUUCGCAUGUGCUUAAUAACUGAAAGGGUCGGCGAUACAUUGUCCUAGGAUAUCGCAUUUAAAAAUCGACCAAGAAGAAGGAUGUGUGCGUGCCCGAGGAUCGGGGCGUGACAAUAAGACUACUUCACCAAACCCGCUCGAUCUAUUCAAACCUAGAGCAGACUAUUCCCUAGUCAUCAUCACCAUCGUCAUGGUGGAUGAUGAAAUACCUACACAACCUAACCUCUGCAAACGCUAAUUAGCAUAAAAAAAAAUGGGCGACAAAGUAGCGAUUGAAGUUACCGUAGAGCGAAAUGAGACGGUCCCAAGCACUUGCUGGAGGACUGCUCGUCGAAGCCGAACUCGAUAGCUAAGCUCAGCAACCAGAGAUUCCUCUACCUCCUCCAACCCCCGAUGCUCCAUGGAAUCGCAACCUGUUCGACGCAAUUCGAAUCGAUCGAUCAACUAUGCAAGGGUAGGAAUCAAAUCGAUCCGUAGUCUCUCUCUCUCUCGAGAGCGCGCACGCUCGAAGCGAUCUCUUCCAAGAAAAACCAUGCCAGCGAUGGCGAGACUGAUGUUUUUUGCUUUGCUUUUUUACUUGUUGGUUGCUGGAGAGUGGGAGAGAUUGGAGCCAUGUUUUUUUUUUUUUUUCAAUUAUUCCGUUUUUGCACCUGAAUUUUGCUGGAAGCUCUAUUUUUUGCCCCCCUAAUAAGUUUUCCUGGUUUCAUUUGACACUCUUCGGUUUGGUCUGCGUAAGUAUCAGAAGAAGAGCAAGCAUUAUCUAACAAAAGUGGCUGCGGGUUACAACUAGUAGGGAGAUUGUCCCAUUAGUCUUAAAAUUAUAUAUACGGAUGUCGCUUCAAUUAUAAAAUUAUCAAUUAUAUCAAUUAAUAUGAAAUCUUUGCUCAAAAAUCUAAUAUAGUCCUUCUAGAUAAUUUUCGUUGAAAGUCGCUGACAUUAUAGUGUGCCACGUAAGAUGGUCAACAGUAACUGGACCGUCAUGUCAACAAUUGCUUAUGGAAAUUGAUCAGAAUGACUACAUUGAAAUUUCUCAUAAAGAUUUAAAACUAAAUCAAUGGAAUUGAAAAAUUUUAAAAUUAAAUUGAUAUAUAUAUAUAUAUAUAUAUAAUAAAUUUAUUAUUGAUUGGAUAAUUUUCCUUAUAAACGGCAAAGUAGCUUUACUUUUUCUUUUUUUUGUAAUUUCAAGUUCUAUAAACUCCAAUGUGUGACAUUUAUAACAUGGAAUCCAAGAAGAUCUUCUCUCCUUUCUUCGUCGCGUAUUUUUUCCUGUUCUUUUAGGGUUGUCCUUUAUUUUUCUUUUUCUUAUUUUUUGUGCCAAUGACUUAUUUAUUUCCUUCAUAUGUUGAAUUUCUAAGUCCAUCAACCCAGCGCCUUAUUUCAAAUUAUAUAAACACCACCCUCACAUAGACAGUAUACUUAACUCUCGCAUAAAAUACUUACUCACAUCUUUUUUUCUUUUUUUCCUUUGCAAAGAGAAGACUUUACGUGUCAAACUUAUAAACUUUGGAUUGUCAUGCUCUUGACGGGUCUACGCUGCACGUUCCAAUUUUGCUUUUUUCGGAAAUGUGGGUUUGUUUUAAACUCAGAUAAUUCGAAUUAAAAAAUAAGUUGAAUAAAAAAAGAAAAGAAGAAGAAGAAAGGGGAGGAGGAAGUGAUGAUUUAUAGAGAUGUGAGAUAAGAAAGAUCGAGAGAGGAAAAUAUUUUCCAUUUUUCCUUUCAUGAAAAAUAUUUUUCUCAAUAAAUUCAUUUUCUGUGAAAUAAACGCCGAAAAUUCCAAAAAAUGUUUUUUUAGAAAUUAUUUUCCACGAAACGAACGGAGCCCAAGUGUUUCUACAAAAUUUUUGUAAAUUCUUCUACAUUUCGGAGAUAGUGGAGUAAUAUAUAUAUAUUGGUUGAAGUAAACAUAUUUCAUUAUUUCAAGUAGCUCCAUGAUUACAAACUAAGUAGACCUCUAACUAAAUUAGGUCUCACAAUAUUUUUGGCGGAUAAGAAACCCAGUUGGUGGGAAGGGAUUUUCGCCGAUGGGCCUUAGAGAUCCAAUCAGCUACCUAGCUCGCUCCUCUCCUAUAGUAGGCUAAUCACUUGCUCUUGUAUUGGGCUAGCAGGUUGUUGCCUUUAGAGAUAAGAGACUGGAUGCUCCGCGCUGGUUGUUCUUGAUUUGAACGUGCGCUUAUCGUUGACCAACUAUCUAACUCUAGAGAGUACUUGAGUUCAGAAGUAGAACAAAAGAAGCGUAGGGCUUCCAUGCAUGCCAGGGCUUCCACUUGCUCCGCCGAGUUCGCCCGUACUUUCUUCACAAAUGCAUCCACGAUGUUCCCAGACUCGUCUCUACAAACGCCGGCGAUGCUUCCUGUUCUCUCUCCCUUCGUAUACGAGCUAUCCACAUUGAUUUUCAGAGUGCAUUUCUUGGGCGGAAUCCAUUUUGUUGAGGAGAUGAUGUUAAGCCAAAGGCUGAAGUAGGCGCAUCCUUAUGAUACAAUUGAUUACACAUAAUAGGAAAAAAAAUGUAGCAAUUUCGGAAUUUGAUGGCUAUCUAUAUAAAGGAAUUGGUAGACGCGGAACACAAAUACAACAAAGACCACUUAACCAAAAAAAAAAAUACAACAAAGACCAAGUAAAACACUCUACCCAAUGGUAUAUAAGAAUCAUCAAGUCCCUAGUUUUGAGGGACGUAUACGGCGUACGGACAAUUGACGAUGAUUGACCUCUGAGGAAAUGGUGCCUAAUGACACGAUUGCUCGAGUGAAAUCAUUAGUAGAGCACCACCAAGCGUAAUUUUUUUUUUUAAAUAUUUGAAUAAGUACUUGGGUUUCAAUUUGGUUUAAAGAACGAGUGUUUUUUUCUUAUUAAUUUUCCUCAAAUAAUUUCUCAUUAUUUUCAUUAUUUGAAAAAAAUAUUAUAGUUGUUUUGAAUUUAAUUUUGCUUAAUGAUUUUUUUUUAAAUAUCUAGGUCCAUGCCAACCAUGCCCAGGUCGUGUCCGCUCAAACAUGCCCCAGUGCUCAGUGUUGACAUUUAAAUUUUGGCGACCCAGUUAUUUAUUUAUUGCAUAAAAAAUUAGGGAUUAAUUUUAAUCCCUAAAAAAAAAAAGAAUUGCAUAGUAUAUAAUUUUAGUUGCACUUGUUUAUUUGUUUAUCACUUUUGCAUUUGAUUAGUGGGGGAUAAGCUAUUAAUUUUACAAGUUGACAAUUCGGUAUUUUCAAAAAGAAUUCAUAUUAUUCUUUCAAUAUUCGGUAAAUAUUUCAUAUAUUUACAUGAUUUAUACAUUAAGUGAUAAAUUUUACAGAGGAUUGAAAGUUUAAGGAUGAAAUAGAAUAUUGCACGGGACAUGUAUUGAAUAAUAUAUUUUUCGACUCAAAAUAAGAAAGAUCACAUGAUCAAAGGGGAUUUCAUGCGUGAACCAAAAAUGAAAAAAAAUGUUCUGCAAAAACUCAAAUCCCUCGCCUGUAAGAAGGCUGUUCGCGUAAGGAGAAAAGGGGGGGGGGGGGGGGGGGAAGGACUUUUUUUUUUUUUUUCGGAAAAAAGGGGGUCAAGGUCAACAAAAAGGGUUUCCUUUGCUGUUUGGCUUGUCCUUGGCCUAGAUCAAUGUAAAAUGAAAGUAUGAAAAAAUUUCAUCAUGCUUAGUCAACAAAAAAAGUAAACUCUAUUGAUGGUCCUUUCGAUUCCGUCAAUAACUCUUCCCGUGAUUAUUGUUGAAAAGUUAAUGGUUGUCAACCAAUAAAACAUUUCUAAUAUGCAAAUCUUUUAAUAAUAGAUAGUAAAUCGCAUUGUGUUCAUUGACAAAAUCAUUGCUUUAUUUUCCAUUUGCCUAUGCAACAUAAGCCAUGUCUCAAGGAAUUAUAACAUCUAGGCGACUUCUCAAGCUAGUCAUUAUGUUAAAGAACUUCAAUAACUCUGUCACUAGUCUUUUUAAUUUACAAAGGCAUUUAUUAGAAUGUUGAGACAAAAAACAUUGGGAGUCAUUUCCUUCGAAUUCAUGCGACUAGUCGUGUCAAUGGCAGGGGCGCAAUAUUUCUUCAUCUUCUCCAUGGCUGUAACAUCCUCGAUUCCAACCCCGUAAGGAUUGGCUAUAAGGUCCUACAUGGAUUGACCAUGGGCCAUGGAUCGACCAAUUCGAUUGGCAAUGAAUCACGGAUCGGUCCAACCGACCAACCAAUUGAUUGAUCGAUUACGAAUUGGUCGAGGUAUCGGCCGUGAAUUUUCUACCGACCAUACCGAUGGGAUAGGAUCACCAGCUCAUAAGAUGACAUUUUUUAUCACGAAGAUUGGUCAUGGGAUCAUUUUGGAUCAGCGGAUGAUCAUGGGUCGAUCCGACCAGUCAUAGUUUCUAGUCGCGGGUGAAUUCGUCCAGUUAUGCACCGAUACACGGACGAUCUGACUUGACCAAAUGUGAUCAUCUUAUGAUCGAAAAUGCAUCAUUUCCUAUUUAAUUCUUAGUAAUCAGAAAGGAAUCUUGAAUUGGUGAUGUCCAAUUGUGGAUCGGUAAUGCGCCGACCAUGAGCCAUACAGAUGGAUUGGGUGCUAACCAGAAUGAGCUUAGGGAUAGACUCAGCUAUUCUGCCACUAAUUCUAAGAUCCAUGAGUGUCUUGAUUUAGUGCUAGGCCAUAGGUAGCCUUAGGAUUGGCCUUGAAUCGGCCGAAGGACAACUAACUCUUUAGGCCGAUCGACCGUCCAAAGCGGUUCGGGCAAGCAUAGGGAGUGAUGGCCGAAUCUUGGGUGUACAUGAUUCGAUUUUUCAAGGUGUAUCGAAUGAUCCCUUGUCCAGUCUCGAAACCAACUUAGACGAUAUAAUUCUCUACAUCGUCUUCUUGAGGAAGAAAAGUUUAAAAAGAAAUCCUCUAGAAUACCCUAGCUUCUUCAUAAAGGGGUUGACUUAUCAUUCCACCUAGAAUUUUCUAGAUAUGGUCAUGAUUAUCAAGGAUUUACCUUGGGAAUUAAGCAAAGUAUCCAAGUGAAUUGUCCCAAUAAAAAUAUGAAAUAUUGGAGCUACUUAUGGCUAUCUUAUAGCCUUGAUGCUACCUUAAAUUUCAUAGGUUUUGACUUUCCAGUUUUUUUUUUUUUAACUACUAGGUUUUUCUUACUUUUCAAUUUUAUAGAGCUCUUUGUACUUCGAAUUUGGAGAAACUUCCUUCAUGAAAGUUGUUCAAAAUAUCUUAAUCUAUAACAUACUUAAAUUUCAUAGUUUUCUGAGGUGAAAUAGUUGAGACGAAGGCCCAAUCAAUUACCAUAUGGAACUUGCCCAAAAUAGUGAAAACGGUAACCAAGUCGCUUUCUCGAAUUUUUAUAAAAUCUUUCCUUUAGAAUUUGGACAUUCUUUCUUUAGAAAAGUUUUGAAUGACAUCUAUAUAUACAACAUAUUAAAAUUUCAAAGAGUUUUGUGAAUAUUUGGAUUUCGAAAUGAGUCUCUCUCUCUUUCUCUGACCAUGCAGUUUGCUCAAUGGAUGAAUUUUUGGGUUGUGUUCAAUGAUUUUAUGCUCUUUCCAUAGAACGAAUUUGGCUUGGAUUCUUUCAUAAAAAAUAUUUGCUAAGGUCUUCUCUAGAACACAUUAAGAUUUUAUAAUUCUUCGGGUCUAUUUGUUAAGGUAAUGGUAAUGAUUUCGAAAGUUGCUCAAAAUUGUUUUCGUCUUAGAAUGAGAAAACCACAUGCUCAACUUGGAGGGGAAGGGGGCUGCACGCCCACCUUGAGGAGCAAGCUAAUUUAGAGACUUAUUGGUUUGAAGAUAAGAAUACAUUAAAUGCUUUUGGACCUUAGUUUGUUAAAGAGAAGAAACUUGGAGAAAGUUGGCUAAUGCAAACAUAUCUAAGCCUAAUGAUUGCAUGAAAUCUUGGCAAUUAAUGAGAGAGGUGAGUCACCUACUUAGGUGUCCCCUAGAAUCUUAGGUGAACCUUAGGUUAUGAUGGCCUUAGAUUGUAGCCUUAGGUUAUGGUGUCUCCUACGCUUAUCGAUUUUAGGAUUAUGUCAUCAUUUGCUUCUGUUGGCUUUGUAUUGUUAUGCUUGUUGUUUUUCUAUUGCUUGUUGUUGUAUCAAGUAAGUUCAUGAUCAUGUGUGGGUGUCGAGCACACCCGGAUGUUGAGCACACCUGGAUGUCGAGGAAUGGUCUUGGCGACUUUGGAUGUGUGCCGAGGUGUGUGCACGACUCACACUUGAACCCGAGACAAUAUUGAGGCGUGUUGUUACUCGGGACAAGUCAUGGGUCGAUGUUGAAACCAGAGCGAAUGGUUCCAAGUCAAGACCACAAGGCCGAAUCGCAUCUAGCAUGAGUCUAACAAGGUAUAAGAGUUGUUGAUUGAUUCACUUUACAUGGCACGCCUUCGGGCCUUUCAUCUGGCUAAAAGUUCAAAGAUAAAAUAAAUCGAUUGAUGCUUGAAACACAUGAAUACACAAUGGACUUAUAUGCCGACGUUGGGGAUGCCGGGUUGUUGCCUGGGGUAAAGCCCCAGAUGCCUUCCCGAUAUUGAGAUCGUGGACGAUGCUGGCCUAGGUGAGGCUAAUGCUUGGGGGUUGCCAUGGAUGCCAUCCUGAUAAUGAGAUCAGGACAAUGCUGGUUGCCAAAGGGGGGGACCAAUGCUUGGUUGUUAACAGAAGAGUCGAUUAAUUUCGACGAAUAUAAUACUAAAAAAGAUAAAUGAAACUCCACAUGUGGUCCAUGACUGAGACUUGUGUGAUGCUUGCAAAAGUUGAGUUUGUCUGAUAUGUAUUGUUAAGUCCUUGCAGCAAUUCGAGCAUAUAAUUGAAUUGGGUCACUUAGUGCUUGAAUGAGUUUCAUGAGAUGUGAGCAUCCGUUUUUAUGACCGAAAUUAUCAUAAGCCACAGAUCCUUGGAAAGAUUGUUUAUAUAAACUAACUCAUUGUCUUUAAUUCUUGAAAGCACAUAGAAGGUUGAGAGCCUUUCAUAUGCAUAAGCAAGGCAAGGCAUGAACCUUGCUAUUGAUUUGCCAUCAACAAGUGGUGGUGAUCUUGUAUCCAACGAUCGACGGCGAGAUGUCCUCCUAUAGGAGAAUGAGAGAUUUCUGCUUACUAAGUCAUCGACUCACUCUUGUUGUUCUCACCAUUUCAGGUAUGUGUUGGGUGAACAAGGGUCCAAGAAGGGAAUGAAUCUAGCAUGGGGGCUGCUUUUAGGAGCAGCUUGGUAGAGGAGCUAGGCUACCCCAGCCCUUUUGAUUGACUAUAUAUGAAAAUAAAAAUAAGUAACCCAGGACCAGGAUGGGCAUGUAAUCAAAACAGCUUUUGUUGUGUAAUAUGUAUAUGUAUAUGUUACUUUUAUUUACUUGGCCUGCAUAUAUCUUGUCCGGCUUCCAUGCUUGUUUGUAUGGGGAUUAUUUAUGAUAUAACUAAAGACAAAAGACUUUCGGGACAUUUGACGUUGCCUAGGGCAUUGAUGCUAACCCGCCGGGUCAUGCUCUCGUGCCAAAGAUAGGCGGGGGUGUGACAACGCCCCCCCAAGGAGUUGGGUGAAAUAGGGAGGUGAACGCCAAGGGUUCAUCCUAAUCAUCCUCUUCCAGUAGAAUAAAGCAUCGUUGUUCUUCUAGCAAUCUGCCAAUUUUGCAUUUGUUUAUCACAAAAGGCCAAAGACUCCGAUAGAUUCACGGAGAUAGUAACUCACAUUAGUGGAUGGGCAAGUGUGAGAGUGACGCGAAAAAACUAUUUGAUGCAAAGACAGGAAGAUAAAUGAAAGGUUAAGCGAGAUAACCAGAUUCUCAAACAAGAUCAUCAAAUCAAACAGCAGAACCACAAAUCGACCCAUUUAUUCUCUUCAUUUAGGCUAAUUUUGUCUUAUUGUGAGUCCACACAUUCAUAAAAUAGUUUUUGGAGAGGGUGAAGUUAAACAGUUCAAUGAGUUCCUUCAAGGUAUGCAGGUUCAAGCUCUACUUAGCUCAUCUAAAGUUAUUAAAAUUUCAGGAAGAGCCCCAAUCACCGAAAACUUCUGUAAUUAAGUGUUUCUACAAAAAUUUUGUAAAUCCUUCUACAUUUCAGAGAUAAUGGAGGAAUCUAUAUAUAUAUAUAUAUAUAUAUGGUUGAAGUAAACAUCUUUCGUUAUUUCAAGUAGCUCCAUGAUUACAAACUAAGCAGACCUCUAAACAGAUUAGGUCUCACAAUAUUUUUGGCGGAUAAAACCCAGUUGGUGGGAAGGGAUAUUUGCCAAUGGUCCUUAGAGAUCCAAUCAGCUACCUAGCUCGCUCCUCUCCUAUAGUAGGCUAAUCACAUGCUCUUGUAUUGGGCUAGCAGGUUGUUGCCUUUAGAGAUAAGAGACUGGAUGCUCCGCGUUGGUUGUUCUUGAUUUGAAAGUGCCCUUAUCGUUGACCAACUAUCUAACUCUAGAGAGUACUUGAGUUCAGAAGUAGAACAAAAGAAGAGUAGGGCUUCCAUGCAUGCCAGGGCUUCCACUUUCUCCGCCGAGUUCGCCCGUACUUCCUUCACAAAUGCAGCCACAAUGUUCCCAAACUCGUCUCAUCUCUACAAACGCCGGCGAUGCUUCCUGUUCCCUCUCCCUUCGUAUACGAGCUAUCCACAUUGAUUUUUAGAGUGCAUUUCUUGGGUGGAAUCCAUUUUGUUGAGGAGAUGAUGUUAAGCCAAAGGCUGAAGUAGGCGCAGAACACAAAUACAACAAUAAGGGCACUUGCGGAAUUUGAUGGCUAUCUAUAUAAAGGAAUUGGUAGACGCAGAACACAAAUACAACAAAGAUCAAGUAAAACACUCUACCCAAUGGUAUGUAAGAAUCAUCAAGUCCCUAGUUUUGAGGGACGUAUAAGGCGUACGGACAAUUGACAAUGAUUGACCUCUGAGGAAUGGUGCCUAAUGACAUGAUUGCUCGAGUGAAAUCAUUAGUAGAGCACCACCAAGCGUUUUUUUUUUUUUUUGAAAAUAUUUGAAUAAGUACUUGGGUUUCAAUUUGGUUUAAAGAACGAGUGUUUUUUUCUUAUUAAUUUUCCUCAAAUAAUUUCUCAUUAUUUUCAUUAUUUGAGAAAAUUAUUACAGUUGUUUGAAUUUAAUUUUUCUUAAAUGAUUUUUUUUUUAAAUAUCUAGGUCCAUGCCAUCCAUGCCCAGGUCGUCCUGGCUCAAACAUACAUGCCCCAAUGCUUAGUGUUGGCUUUUUACUGGGGAAAAGGACUUCUUUUUAUUUUUUCGGAAAAAAGGGGGUCAAGGUCAACAAAAAGGGUUUCCUUUGCUGUUUGUCUGAAUGUGUGCAGAGAGAGGGGACGUGUGAGAGAGAAAAAAGGAAAGCAAAAAGACAAAAAAGCAAAGGUCUCCUUCUUCGUGCAGCCGAGCUCCUCGCCGACCCCUGCACUCGCCGCCGCUGCUGCCGACGCCAGCAGCCGCACCUCUGCCCGUCGACUCCCUCCUUCCGGUGAGCACCGCUCGCCCGUCCCCGUCUCCACUGCCGCCCGUCCCUCGCUGGUCGCCGUCCGCGACGCCCGCAGCACCUCCGCCCGCCGCCUUCCUCCUUCCGGCGAGCAUCGCUCGCCCGUCCGCGACGCUUGCAGCGCCAUCCGCCGCAAAUCCUCCGGCGACCGGCCGGAUCCCACCAAACGAGGCGAUCUCAUCAGCGCGUUGCCAGACGAGGCGAUCCGCCGCAUCUUCUCGUUUCUGCCCCUCGAAGACGUCGUGAGGACCAGCGUCCUCUCCAAGCGGUGGCGGUACAGAUGGAGGCCACACAUUGAACAUACGGCCAAGAGAAUACACGUGAAUAGAGAGGAAGAAGGAGAGGGACGCUACGGCCAGUACUCUAAGUCAUACAUCCUCACGGCCACGCUUUCACCCAUCCUCAUCGCUGCCGUCGGCGUCCUUGCUGCCAUCUGUUGCUGCCCAAACGAAGCUGAGAAGCUGCUGCCGUGCUGAACAUCGGUAUGAUUCGCAAGUGACACGUGAAAGAACAGGGAGAGUACACGGAGGAGGGAUAAAUUGUGAAAGGUGGUCCACAAUUUGAGAGGGAAUUGGUGCAUGAGUUUUGUGGGUAAAAGUGAGUGGGAGAGCUGCACCACGCCCACUGAGACGAAUUCCACAUGCAGAAAAUGUCAAAAAGAGAAGGCGUUUACGAAGUCUCUUUCGCCCGACGCCGGUAACAGACUUCAAGGACCCGAGCGGCUUCCCUGUUGCCGUCAUAGCAGCGAUCUUGCAGCCUUGCCGCCGUUUCCUUGGCGAGGUUACCUACCGUGACGGCUAGUCGUAGCGCCCCACAUCAAGCCUAUAGUCAUAUAAGUUGCCGCGCCCCUCCAAGUUUCAAAGCCGGCCCCUCGACUAUCGCUGAACCACCAGCCAUCCUUGCUUAACCGAGCACCACCACACACCGCCGGUCACUCGUUGAACGGAUCGGUUCAAAUUUGGUAAUAUUAUUUGCGGAAUUAGGUAAUUAUCUUAUCAAAAUUUGAUUUGGAUAUUUUAUUGUCUAAUAUAUAUGCAAUAUCUUACAUGCAUAUAUGAAUGGAAGACGUAUUUCCAAUUAGGAUUUAUUGCCUAAGAUGCAACUGCACGUCGAUUUUUUAUUCCAUUUAUAAGGCUUUAAAUGGAAUAAUUAACCAUGCGGGAAUAAAAUUGAUAUUAUGAUCUUUAAGGCUUAACAUCAAUUUAUCGAUUUUAUUAGCGAAAUAAUCAAAUUGAUUAUAUAUUGUUUCCUAAUUUGAACAAUGGAUAAUGUCUUUGAUGACCGUGAAUGAUUUGGUACUUAUCUUUUAAUUGCUUUAUUUAUCCCAAAAAAAAAAAAAAUUGCAUUUGCAUAUCAUGUAGAUUAGAAUUGAUUUCUUAGAUAGAAUUGCAUGAUAGAAUAAUUAGAUUCUUUUUUAAUUAUAUUAGAAUGCAUGUUUAGAUGGUAUCCAAGUUAGACAAUAUCUUUGAAUUAAAUUGCAUGACAUAUAGCUUAGGUUUCAUUAAACAAGAGAAAAUCCUAAAAAAAUUGGGUGACUGCGUGUUAAUUAGGAAUCAUAUCUAGGGCUUUUGAUGUGAAUUUCGAGCUAACAUUUUAGAUACUUUCAUUAUUACGAGGUAAGUCCCGUAAUUUAUUCAUUGCUUACUUGGGUGUUAAAUUGGUGGUUUGCGCACUCGCAUGAUCACCUCACAUGUUAGGGAAGUAAAUUAAAAUUAAUUUAAAAUGCCUGCAAAAUAUUUUUUUUAAAAUAAAAGAGAAAGGUACCGAAAGGGCGUUAGAAUCUAGCGUAAUCAAGUCCUUGAGCUCACAAUCUCUGAUUUGCAAGAGUAACACCAAAAAUAGAUUAGUGGCGACUUCUAAUUGAAAAAUCACAGACAUGUUAAAAAGUUGAAUCUAAGUUGUGAAUUGAUAUGAGUUUGGGAGAGCCCGAACUAAGUUUAAGUUUAGUAAUCCAUUAGCCAAACCUUAGGUGAUUCACCCGGGGUUAGGUUGUGACACUCAGUCCCAUUCAUGCUUCACCAGGCAAUAAGGCCCGAAAACUAUGUCAACUGUCAUAUUGCUUGUGAUUAAACCUAGAACAAAACUAGCUUAUGAACAUAUAUCAUAUCCCAAGACACAGUUCGACCAUGAGCACUGACCCAAUUUCCAUAUAUCAUAAUCUAACAUGCUGAUAUGAGAUAUACGAAAAAUAAUUCACCCAUCUAAACAUUUUCGAUGUAUGUCCAAAAUAAUAAUCUAACUUGAAAUCCAUUCAAUGCUCAAUCCAAUCUUAUUAAAUUAGAUGCGAUGAAUAGUUUAAUUUUCUCUUAAUUCUUAAAGUGCGUGGGUUAAGGAAAUAUGUGGUUGGGCUAUGUGGUUUAUUUAGUGCAUUGCAUGGUUUAUUGAAAAUAAUAAAAACCAAAGACCAUGAUUCAAACAAUUAUAAAAGACCAAGAUAAAUAAUCAAUGACUAGUGAGGCACAAUUCUUAAUUUUUCUAUUUUUGUCCAAAACAUACAUAUUAGUUAUCCUUUGCCUAGAUUGAUAUAAAAUGAAAGUGUGACAAAUUUUGAUUAUGACUCGCCCUCAGAAAAAUAAUCCCUAUUUAUGGUCAUUUGACAAUAUAAACUAGUUGGCUUCAAUAACUCAUCCCCCGACUAUUUUUGAUAAGUCGAUGGUUGUGGACCAAUAAAACAUUAUUCAAAAUGCAAGAAUCUUUUAAUAUUGGACAGUGAAUGGUGUUCCAUUUUUCUGGCAUAUAUUCUGAUUAUAGACCAUACUUUCCCAAACAAUUUCUUGAACUGCAUGCCUUGUAUUCAAAAUACUCUUCUUUUUUAUGGUUCUUUUGCGACCAACUUUUAAAAGGCAAUAAUGUCACAAUCUAAGAUCCCAUCCAUGUUAGCCAGCUGGAAGAUGCAACAAAGACCAAGACUCUUUCUAGUGAAAAAAGAAAAUAAAAAACAAAGACCAAGACUCAAACCCUUAUAAAAGGCAAAUAAUCAGUGACUAAUGAGGUAGAUUUAUUAAUUUUUAUUUUUCCCGGAAAAUUAGAGUUAUUACUUCUCCUUGGACUAGAUCAAUAUAAAAUGAAAGUGUGAUAAAAUUUCAUUAUGAUCAGCCAUAAACAAAAAAAUCCCAUAUUUAUGGUUCUUAGACGGAAUAUAACUUUAAUAACUCAUCCCGCAACUUUUUUUGAAAAUUCAUUGGUUAUGGACAAAAAAAUAUUAUCCAAGGUGAAUAUCUUUUAAUAAUGGACAGUAAAUAGUGUUCAAUUUUUUAGCAUAUCUUCUAAUACUAGCCCAUAAUUUCUUGAACAAUUUCUUAUAUCGCGUGCCUUGUAUUCAAAAUCUUCUUCUUCUUUUUUUAACUGUGUGUGUGUUUUUUUUUUUUUUUUUUUUUUUGUGACUGAAGAUGAAUAUUAUUUCUUUGUUUCCACAUUCAACAACCAAAUCCAGUUAUCAAGCAAUACCGCAGAAGAUAAAUGCCAUGUUUUCUCAUUUUCAUGCUUUCAAAAACCCAUAAAUAUUUAACCAAAAUUUUUCUUACUAUGAACCAAAUUAAAACGUCAGCUUUGAAAAUCUGUCUGAGUUUCAAAAAAUUGAGAUGUUAACAUUAAAUCAAAACCUGAUUUCAAACUCUAAAAAGUUCUAUAUAUAUAUAAGGAGAACCUAACUUUAAGAGUAAAAAUCGUACCGUGCUCCUAUUUAUCUAAAAAAAUUAUGAGUCGAAAGCACCCAAAAUCUAUUUAAUUGUAACAUCAAAUAAAAAUCAUUAAUUUAUAAAAUGAUGUACAAAACAACUUAUCAUAUAUGAUUGUGGUGAAUGUCACGUGAAAUUACUGAAUCUCUUACAUAUUCAGAAUAGCAUGUGCAUCUCGUAGAUGGUCAUAUUAUGUCUAUAUUCAUGAUAUUGCGUAUCUCUAUAUUACUUCGGGGUCUACAUAAUUUAUUGCCAGUACUUGUAUUAGACAUUCCGGUUAUGAACAAAAGGCCUUCAGUUCAUUCGUCUCAGCGCUUCGAAGCUCGCCAUAGACGUUGAGACAGCCUCUGCAGAAAUAUACUAAAAAAGACUUUGAAUCCAAGAAUCAAGUUGCUGAAGUGAGGCCCACUGCGACCCAACUCCACCAUGGAUGAAAGCCUCACGAACCGGGACGACACAAACUCCUCCAAUCUGUGCCAUCAUACCCCGCCAAACUUCGACACUCAUUUGUCAACGAACCACUCAUCAGACAAGCUAGCGCCACUCACCGCCAAGUUAGUGCCACAGCCCGUCCUUGCAUCAUCCUCAGGAAGAUAAUGUCAGCAUCAAGUAACCACCACAUCUCCGACAAGUUAGUGCCGCUGAACCCUCCAUGUUAUCACAACAAUUUCGCUGUGAGAGCUGGCAAUUUUUGUUCACAUGUAAUAAUCGGGUCUUGCAAUCGUGUCAAGCAGCGCUUCCAAACCCGGACCGUCAAAGAACCGGUUUGUGUUCUAGUCUAAAGGUCAACUGGUCGAAUCGUCCUAUUGAACCAUUGGAACUGAAAACUUCUGUGUCCCUGGUUAAGGACCUCUGCCCCUCCAUUACCAUGUAGUCUUCCAAUAAUUGCGGAUGAUGGAACUAGAAGAACUGUGCGGGUCAAGAUCAUGCGUAAGGCAAAACCUUUUGCCCUCAAGAGAGUUGACACCUGAAAGGUUUACCUUCAUGAAGAGGCUUUGAGACAAUUGUCGUAAGGAUUAGAACUGUAUUUACAGUCUUUCCGAUUCAAAGACUCGCCAAAGUGUGCAAGGAAGGUUUGUCGCUGACACUCAUCCUGAAAAUUUCACAAAUUAGAGAUGAAACACACGUUUAUCAAUAGACUUUUCUCUAUUUAGAUGUGCGGAAUUUGAGUUUAUCCCAAAGGUUCCAUUAUUAUUUGAAUAUGUUGCCAACCCGACCCAUCUAAUGAUCCAGCACCCGGACAAGUUAAUGCCAGACCAACCCUAACAACAAUCAAUAGAACAAAGUGAAAAGCGUAAAAACAAAAUAAAAGCAUCACUUAGUUGAGAUCAUCAUAAAUUGAGAAAUUGGAUUACCUUGAGUUCACAAUAUUGCUGCAUUUUCCUAGCUUGAGCCAUUGCACUUUUAAAGAUUUCGGUUUUACAUCCUUGACCACUCGUUGUUAACAUGCACAAAACCCGGCCGAAAUCCUUUUGCCAUAUAGAGCACUGCACAGUACUGGUAGAUUAUCUCUUCCUGCCCUCCCUGAUUCUUGGUAAUAGCUUUCGAUUGACUUGAACAUUGUGUUGUGGACAACAAAACGCUGACCACAUGCCAUAAUUAAAAAUAAAAAAUAAAAAUACUGAACCGACAAAAAUAAGUUGAAAUAUGACAAAAACAUUAUAACAGAAAGUCAAGUUAGAUCAGAUUCAUUUGCCACUCUUGCAGUAAAGAAAAGAAUUUUAUCCUAGUUUAACAUAAUUUCAGCAUACCAAAGUUCCAUGCAUGGAAGAAAGAAUUUGACUUGAAAAAGACAUAAUUUGCUAGUUCCCGCAAUCAAUAGCCAAGAGCAACAAUUUAGCAGGCCACUGGACCAUGGAACUAGCAAAGUUUACUUCCAAGCACACUAACAAACCGAUGAGUGAAACUAAAACAUUAGAAAAAAAGUGAAUUAGUUGAGUAAUUGCUAGCAUGUCACCUUGAUUCUAAAACUGAAAAUAGGCAAAGGCUUAGAGUCCAUUUCAACUUACAACAUCAGGUUUUGUCUAUUCCCAUCCCAAAAGCAAUGGUUACUCAUGCAACCUGGACCUCUCCAGUAUGCCAUUUCUUUUGAACAGCUACUCUUUGAUGGGCUACUAAUCCAGCAUGAUAGUACAGUCUUUAUACCACACUUAACAUUCAAGUAUUUUGCAACAUCAACACAUUCGCUCUUCAAGAGACAAUACACUGCCACACAAAUUAGCAAAACGAUUCUUUAGCAGCUCUCCAAGCUGCUUCAACGGUUCCUUGGGUCUCAGCUAUGAUCUCAUAUUUUAGGUUUGGUCUGUCAAAGCUUGUCUCCAGAACAAGAGCAUGGCGGAUCUCGAGAGCUUUUAGGAUAUCCUGCAAUAGAUGGACAUUUCGAUCAGACCCAAGUGAUUUUUUAACAUAAUCUGGAGGAUAAUGUGCAAGUUUCGUACCUCAUGAACUAGCUGAGUGGCAGUUGCAGAUAAGGCCAUCACUGGGACGUAUGGAAAUGUAGGUAUUGUUACAUCAUCCAAAACGAAAGUCAACUGUUUUUAUUGACUAGACAGUUCUAAUAAAGUCAUUUUGGAUCUUAAAGACUGGAAGUAACUGGCAAGUUAGGAGUGUCUACUAUAAGUUUGAUCGGAUGAGAGCCCUCAAAAGCAAUUUAUUAAAUGCUUUUGUACAGAUACCUUGCAUAAGGUUCUUUGCUGGGAGCAGAAUUACAAGCAAAGUGGAAAUGAUCCAAGAAAGACAUAUUUUUAAGAGCAAAGAACAGUGACAAGCUAAUUUAAGGGGAUGAGCAGUUUCAUCUAAGUCAACGGGAGGAGUUGUUUCACAAUGACCAAGAGGGAAUUACAAUAAGUAAUGAAUCAAUUUCUCACCAACCAAAACCCUAGUUGCAAUAGUCAAUCAAAAAUGAAUGAGACGAGUGGAAAGCGUUUCCCAAGAGUUUUAUGAGAAGGACACUCUAAUCUCUCACAAUCAAAAACCAAGACAAUCUGUUCUCAAUUCUUCUCAUUGUCCUUGUUGACCCUAAUAUACCUCAGCAACAAAAAAAAGGGAUAUAUGGGUUGCAGAAUCAUUGUUAAAAGAACAAAAAGUCGUGCCCAGAUCUCCCAACUUUUUGUCAACCUCCUGAACAACUGGACCAUUAUGGCCAGACUCCUGGGAUUUGCCUAGUAACUAUUGUGGCCUCCAGGUGUCCACAAUUGCUUCACCGAAAGGCCAACCCUGUACAAUACCGAGACAUUCUUCAAGCCGCGUAUUUGGUCCAUGCAAUUACACGGGCCAAUCCCAAGCCAAAUGAAUCAAAAACUCGAGCCACAAACUUAACAACUAUUGACCAAAUUAGUUUUAGGCAUGGGGGUGGACACAGAAAAGAGUGAGACAAAUUCACAGUUUUCAGAAGCAUACCAUGUAUUCUGAAGAUUCUCUGGCCAGAAGUUGAGUGGAUGAAUUGCUAGGAGUACUGCUUUGAUCAGGAAUAUAGCAUGUGGGUUUCCUGCCCAUUUUAUUGCCAAAUAUAUCAUCUUCGUCUUCAUUGUCAGUAGAGGAAUCCACCUAAAAAGAAGUCCGAUUUUUCUCAGGUUGUGGAGAAUCUUCUAUAAUAUCAAUAUCGUGCACAACAUUGCAUUCACUGUCAUUAGGGGUAUCUUGGCCAAACAUAUCAGUAAAAAAUCCACAAGCUUUUGAUUCCAUAGCUUGCAAAUCAUCCCAAUCCUCAGUGUCUUGCAUAGUUUCGGCAAGUUCUGCUAGAAAAUCAUCACCACAGUGCUCCACAGUGAUAAACUCUCAACCUUUGUCACCUUAAGACAACCAAAAGAAGAGUGCGAUGAUUUUGCAAGUUCCAUGACAAAAAAGAGAUCAAAUAAAUACAAUCUACAAUAUGUAAUCUGCAAAAAGAUGCCAUACUUAAUUGUAGGCAAGACAAAGAUAAUUCAGACAUUUCACUAGUCAAUAAGACUACUCUGCAAAACCCACCGAGAAAUGGGGAUGGGAUUAACGCUCAAUGAACUAGAUUUAACUAGCUCCGCUCCAUUCAAAUCUAAAAGGGAGAGUAUUCCAUAGCCAUCAUCAGAGUGACGACUGACAGUAAUAAAUCUCCUCCUCUACGAUUGCACAAUCGAUCAAUGACAAAUUAUCUUCGCAACACAAGCAAUUACAGCAACUACAUCAUUCCUUAAUCACCAGAUACCAUGCUAAUCGGCUAAUAACCCAGAAAAGCCACCAUCCAAAGCAACCUAAACACAUCAAACUGGAACAGCACCAGACUAUUUGUUCGUCAAGAAGACUACUUCGCUAAACCAGCUCCGAUCUAUUCAAACCUAAAGCAGACUUCCAGAAGGACCUACACAACCUCUACAACGCUGACUAGCACAAAAAGUGCUCUAUUCAAACCUAGAGCAAACUAUUCCACAGCCAUCAUCAUCGCGGGACAAGAAAUACCUACAUAACCUCUGCCAACAGUAGUCAGCAGUGCAUUGUAGAGCUUUCCAACGUCACCUAAUUUACCCGAAUCGGAUGACCAGAUUGCUAGAUAUAUUGCUGCAGGGUAAUGCUUGAUUAUUCGGAUGUUCACUUUGUUAGAUUUCCCCAAUAGUGUUCCUAAAAGAAGUGAUCUGCAACUAAACAUUCAAAGUUAGCUUGAAGAUACAAAACUUGGUGAUCUGGUAUUGAAGGCAACGGAGUGUUAAAUGGUUCUGCUUGACACGUAUGAUGACCGAUUGAAGAGUAUAUCGUUGGACACUGCUUUCUCUCAUUUCAUUAUGAUUCUCCGUGCUCUUCAUCUAAAUAAUGAGAAGGCUGAAAUGUUAGUACAACAUAAUAGGACAGUUGUCGCUGAUUCACAUGACAUUUGGUUUUCUUUCACACAUGAUUAGUGGCUGAAGGUAAUGUGAUCCCUUAAAUGUCCUCGUCAGCUUUCAACUCUCCAAUUUGAGGAACUUAUGAUCUUUUCUCCCUUAUGUUUACCUUUUAACAAUUUACCAAUUCAGCUUUAAGUCAUUCAAUUUGCCAAUUGAGUCCUGAACCUUUUGACAAUUUAUCAAUGGAGUCCAUCUUGCCAAAAUUGCUAAUUUCAUGUUGGGAUCAAGUCAAUUUUUCGGUUUUGCAUCACAAAGUAACACUUAGCACCUUGCCAUGUGCAUGAAAGAUACAUUUGGGAGUGAUGUGCUUUUUGUUAGACGCAUAUUGCGCAAACCCCAAGAUCUCCAUAACUAGAACAAGCACACGCGCGAUUGAGUAGAAAGAAUUGACGCACCUGUUUUAGGAUCGAUUGUUCUUGAAGUGGAAGCGGAAACACAAUGUUCCAUGCGCAAGUCCUUCUCCUCUAUUGCCCUCCGUAUCACUGGCUCAAUGAGGCGGCCCCCUCACAUGUAGCGUUAGGUAAACGCCCCUUAGGUGAGGAUAUAUGUGAGAAUUAGGGUUAGAGGAGAGACUUGAGCACUAUUUAUAGAGUUUCCAACCAGUCCCCCUCAUUACGGGCCAGGCUCAACUCGGCCCACACUAGCCAGCCCAUAUUAGACUAAUUAAGAAACCUACUAUCUCACCUUAGACCAAACCCCGUAAAACGAUAAACGUUAAACGGUAAAUUACAAUAUCAAUUAAUGUAGUCCACAAUUAGAAAAACUCUUACAUUUUCCCACUUGGACUAUAUUAAUUGAAAUCGUACUGUAUGUGCGCACAUUGGUCCAGAGAUAAUUCUUAAUAGUCAAUCCUAUCCCAUAAAGUCUUAAACACCGAAUCAUGGCGGUAACUGCAUGUAUACACACAGAGCCUUCCAUGGUCACAAGUGCUCUCAACUUUAUUGAUAUGGAUUCAAUAUGGUAGUGUGGCAAAUGGAUAACAUCUCUCAUAGAGAGACCCCAUUUGUCAGUCACCAUUCUCUUAACUUUAGGUGUCAUAAAAACUUGUGCCACUAGAGAAUGCUUUAUGGUUCCAAUGAACCCACAUAUGUCUUGUCCUUACGGUUAACAUUUCUUUAUGUAUCACAAGACAUAUGCACAAGGCUAAUAACCGGAUGCCCGGAUGCCCCUAGCCUUCACUCAAGGUUUAAGUAAUACCUUGAGACUUUUAACAAUAUAUAUAUUCAACAUAAUAACAAUCCAUUCAAAAUAUUUUAUUGAAUGCAAAAGUUGACAUAUAUAUAUCAAAGUGUUACUAAAUUGUAACAAAACAGAUGUAGACUUUAUUCAAAGAAAAAUAAAAACACAGCUCCCACUAAAUAACAGCAUCCCAAGAUGCUCCUAGGCCCAUACUAAUGACAUGUCGAUCAAAAACACACGGGCGUAGGCCUUUAGUUAAUGGGUCUGCAACCAUAUCAUCUGUAUGAAUAUAAUUUACCGCAACGUCACCAUUCUGUACUAAUUCUUUUAUAGUCAAAAACUUGACCUCCAUGUGUUUAGACCCCUUUAAACUUCUGUUGUUAUUAAUAAACAACACUGCAGAGUUAUUAUCACAAUAUAACUGUAUGGGUCUAUCCACAAAACCAUAAACUGAUAACUCUCUAAUGAGGUUCCGGAGCCAAAUAGCUUGAGUAGCAGCUGAAAAGCAUGCUACAAACUCCACUUGCAUGGUUGAAGAAGAUAUGGAUUUCUGUUUCUCGCUCUUCCAUGAUACUGCACCUCCUGCCAACAUAAAUAUAUAUCCAGUCGUUGAUUUCUUAUCAUCUUGAUAACCAGCAAAAUCUGCAUCUGAAUACCCUACUAGUUGCAGGUCUGGAACAUAUUUAUAAAUCAGCAUAUAAUCUUUUGUUCUUUUUAAGUACCUUAAAACCUUCUUGGCAGCAACCCAGUGAUCGCGUCUUGGAUUAGACUGAUAUCUGCCUAGAAGCCCUGUUGCAAAAGCAAUAUCUGGCCUAUUGCAAACUUGAGCAUAUAUGAUGCUUCCAAGCACACUAGCAUAAGGCAAAUCCUUCAUUUGAGCUUUCUCAAAAUCUGAAUUAGGGCAUUGUGAAAGACUCAAUUUAUCACCCUUAACAACAGGAGCAAUUCCUGGUUUGCAAUCCUGCAUAUUGAAUCUUUCUAAAAUGCAAUCAAUAUAUGCCCUCUGAGAUAAACCCAAUGAACGGCUUGAGCGAUCCCUAUGGAUCUCAAUGCCAAGAACAAAAGACGCCUUACCAAGGUCUUUCAUGUCAAAAUUUUUCGAUAACAUCCGCUUUGUCUCAUGCAGUAAACCAAUGUCACUACUAGCAAGCAAGAUAUCAUCUACAUAAAGUAUGAGAAAAAUAUAUUUCCUCCCACUGACCUUGGUGUAUAUGCACUGAUCUACUUUGUUCUCAAUAAAUCCAAAUGAAGUCACAACACUAUGAAACUUGAAAUACCACUGUCUAGAAGCUUGCUUAAGGCCAUAAAUAGACUUUUUCAAUCUACAAACAAGCUGACCUGAGUCAUCUGCUACAAAACCUUCAGGCUGCACCAUAUAAACCUCCUCAUCAAGGUCUCCAUUUAGAAAAGCAGUCUUAACAUCCAUAUGGGGUAACUCCAUAUUGUAAUAAGCUACCAAUGCUAAGAUCACUCUAAAGGAAUCUUUAGAAGAAACUGGAGAAAAUGUUGCUUCAUAAUCUAUUCAUUCUCUUUGAGUGAAACCCUUAGCUACCAGUCUGGCUUUAAACUUUUCAAUCUUUCCUUUGGAAUCCCUUUUAGUCUUGAAUACCCAUUUGCAGCCAAUAGGUUUACAACCUUCAGGCAAUUCAACAAACUCCCAAACACGAUUGUGUUUCAUAGAUUGCAUCUCAUCUUUCAUCGCAUCUAACCACAAAUCUGAUUGAGGACAUGAGAUGGCUUCAGUAUAAGUCACGGGAUCAACAACACAGCCUAUGUCAUAAUCAUGCUCUCCCAGGUAGACUAGAUAGUCUGGUGGUAUAGCUGAACGUCUUUCUCUAGUUGAUCUUCUGAGUGGAGCUACUUCAACCUCAUUCUGAAUUUGAGGAGCUUGAGGAAUUUCAUCAGGAACUGUCUCAACAAUAGGAUCAUGAGCCACAUGAGGCUCCAUAAUUGUUUGCACAGGAUGAGACAUAGAUCCAGUAAUCCCCAUCGAUACAAGUCCUUUCCANNNNNNNNNNNNNNNNNNNNNNNNNNNNNNNNNNNNNNNNNNNNNNNNNNNNNNNNNNNNNNNNNNNNNNNNNNNNNNNNNNNNNNNNNNNNNNNNNNNNAUUCUUGUACCUCCAUUAGGGUUAUAAAAGCGAUACCCCUUUGAAUGGUCUGGGUAAGACACGAAGUAACAUCGAGUAGUUUUGGAAUCCAGUUUACUCAAUGUUGGAUUAUAUAACUUCACUUCUGUUGGACAUCCCCAAACUCUAAGAUGAUUCAAGCCUGGUUUACGCCCAGUCCACAACUCAAGAAGGGUCAAUGGAAUUGCUUUAGUAGGAACACGAUUUAGAAUAUAAAGAGCUGUUUUCAAAGCUUCUCCCCACAGAAAAUUAGGUAAAUUUGUCAUACUAAUCAUACUUCUCAUCAUGUCCAUAAGAGUACGAUUCCGCCUUUCAGCUACUCCAUUUUGUUCAGGACUUCCAGGCAUAGUAAAUUGACCUAUUAUCCCAGAAUCCUCUAAGUAUUUAGCAAAUGGCCCUUUAAGCUGUCCAGCAUCACCGUGCCUACCAAAAUACUCACCACCACGAUCAGAUCUGACAAUCUUAAUAACUUUUCCCAACUGUUUCUCCACUUCAGUCCGAAAAAUCUUGAAUUUAUCAAGAGACUCGGACUUUUCUUUAAUCAAGUAUAAGUAUCCAUAUCGGGAAUAGUCGUCAAUAAAUGUGAUGAAAUAAAAAUUUCUGCACAAAGUAGCCGUGUAUGGUCCACUAAUGUUAGUGUGAAUAACCUCCAACAAAUCUGAACUUCGUACAGUAGAUUUCUUCUUUAUCUUAGUCAUCUUACCUCUGCAACAGUCUACGCAAGUCUCUUGAUCAUCUUUAAGAGUAGGCAAGAUAUCAGCCUUUAUAAGCCUUUUUACUUUGUCUUUAGAGAUGUGACCAAGACGUUUAUGCCACAAUGCAUAAGACUGUUCCUUAGGUAGAGGUCUUUUGGAAACAACCUUUUCAGCGGAAUAAGCAACGUAUAUGUCGUUGGGAGAUAAUCUCAAUCGAUAUAAUCCAUCAGAUAAAUUGCAACACCCAAUCUUAUUUGAAUAAAAAAACAUGGAAUUAGUAUUACUCUUUAUUUCAAAAGAGUAUCCACACAUGUCCAAACAAGACACAGAAACUAAAUUCCGCCUAAAAGAAGGUAUGUAAAAAGUGUUUCUUAACACCAUCCGAAAACCAGAAUCUAAAAUCAAAAUAACAUCUCCCACGAACUCAACGUUAACUCCAACGUUGUUUCCAACAGUGAGCUUUGAUUCAUCCUGAGUUGGCGUCAUUCGGUUUAUGAACCCCUGUAUAGUAAAUGCAACAUGAUUAGUUGCACCACUAUCUAGCCACCAAGAAUUGGUCGGAACUUUAGAUAGAUUGGAUUCAUAAACUAAUGCCAAAGAAUCAUUACCUUUAGGCUCUCUCUUAUUUCUCUUAGACAACCAAGCCUUAAACUUGCUACAACGUUUCUUCACGUGUCCUCUCUCCCUACAAAAGUAGCAAAGAACACCAUCCUUCUUGGUGAUUGCCUUCUUAGGACCCAGAGUGUUAGAAGGACCUGCUCCUUCAGAAUUUCCUUUGUUGUUGGAGGGACCAGCAACUUCUGAAUUGCUUUUAUGGGUAUAAGUUUUCACUUCUUACCCUUGUCACUAGCAGAACUAGAAGCAUAAAGAGCAUAUGUCCUUAUCUUUCUUUAAUUNNNNNNNNNNNNNNNNNNNNNNNNNNNNNNNNNNNNNNNNNNNNNNNNNNNNNNNNNNNNNNNNNNNNNNNNNNNNNNNNNNNNNNNNNNNNNNNNNNNNAUCAGGUCAUUAACAGACCAGGUUUCAUCUUGGGAAUUAUAAUUGGUCUUAAUAAUCCCAAAAUCAGGAGGAAGAGUAUUUAGAGCUUGAUGGACAAUGCAAGCAGUAGGAAUUUCCACAUUGAGAAUCUGAAGCUUUGUUUGCAAAUCAACCAUCCUCAGAACAUAAUCUCUAACUCCACCAGAACCAUCAUACUUCAUAGUAAAAAGUGUUUGCAUAUGUGUCCCUAUCUCAGCAUUAGGCGACACACGAUUUCUAGCCAUCAAAGCUUCCAUCAUCUGUCUAGCAUUGCAGUUUGCAGGCAAACCACUUUUUAAGUGUUCCUGAAUGAAAUGCUUCAUGGACAGCAAGCAAAUUCUAUUGCUCUUUUCCCAUGCAGCAAAAUUUGCUUUUUGAGCCUCUGUACUCUCGGCAGUCAAAUCUGCCAGCCGAUCAGCAGUAAGAGCCAUAUGAACGUCGGCCAUCUCCAUAGCAAACAGAAAAUCCUCUCUCCAUCUCUUAAAAUUCGAACCAGCAAGAACCUCAAUGGUGACAGAGUUACCAUUUACAGAAAAGGUGACUGAAAGACAAGUAAUAUAUACAAUUAGCAUCAUGUGAGCAUUGUGUAACUUGACGCACAAGUACACAUCCAGAGAGUUACAUGCAAAAUCACAUAAUCACCUUUGGGCAGAAUACAUGACAAGCAAUAUAUACACUCCCCACAUGAUAAGGGUUAUGAGAAUAUAUUCCAAUCUUCGUGAAUUCAUCACCUUUGGGUAUAUGAACCAUUAGGAUCGGUCACUCCUCCACCACACUAUCAUGUAUCCCUCCAUAAACUAAUACAUAAUCACCUCAUUUGGGAGUAUAACUAUGCAUUAGACCAGGAGACAUCCCAAUCAAUAUAUGAGAUCGAAAUUUCUCAAACUCAACCAAGUGUGCCACUUUGGCGGUCACAACUCAAUUGAAUCCUUGAAACUCUCUCAUCCCAGGGAUAUAAUCUUUACAUCUCACAUACAUCAUAUACAUGUGAUUUAACUUUAGUGAUAGGGGCAUCAUAUCACUCAAAUCACAUGCCAUGCUAAUUAUAUUGCCUUAUUCAUUAAUAAAAUACAAUCAAGUUUAAUUUUUAUUAAUGAAUCACACUUUUAUAAUGUUUAUGUGAUAACAUAGCUGUAUCCCGGCACCUGUAUUUUCUAAAUCACAGAAAAAUACAAGAAAAAUACGCAAAAAAUACACUAAAAAGCACGUAUUUUGGGCUUUGCAUGUAUUUUCACAUCCAUAAAAUCAUUAAAAAUAUAAAAUAAAUACACCAUGACGUAGGAAAUAAGCAUACGAGUCCGUCGCCGCCGACCACGCGCGAAUUGGAGUCUCCACGCGCCCGCACGCGCCGCUUGAGUGAGCGGAGCGUAGAGCACACGCUCGGCGCGUGUUCGACGCGCAGGAGGUGCGUGGCCGUGCGUAGGGGUGCGUGCGGCCUCCUCCGGCGACGCGCCGCCCACGGUUUUCUUCGUCUCGUCGAUCCCAAUCCGAAUAUAUAAUUUAAUUUAAUUUUUAUUGAACGAAAAGUCUCGAAAAUCGCAAAUUAGGGCAAGAUCCGCACUAAUUAGGGUUAAUCCGUACAAAUUAGGGCAAAAUCAAUUGCGUUCGUGUUCUAGGGUUAUGGAGGCUCUGAUACCACAUGUUAGACGCAUAUUGCGCAAACCCCAAGAUCUCCAUAACUAGAACAAGCACACUCGCGAUUGAGUAGAAAGAAUUGACGCACCUGUUUUAGGAUCCAUUGUUCUUGAAGCGGAAGCGGAAACACAAUGUUCCACGCGCAAGUCCUUCUCCUCUAUUGCCCUCCGUAUCACUGGCUCAAUGAGGCGGCCCCCUCACGUGUAGCGUUAGGUAAACGCUCCUUAGGUGAUGAUAUAUGUGAGAAUUAGGGUUAGAGGAGAGAUUUGAGCACUAUUUAUAGAGUUUCCAACCAGUCCCCCUCAUUACGGGCCAGGCUCAACUCGGCCCACACUAGCCAGCCCAUAUUAGACUAAUUAAGAAACCUACUAUCUCACCUUAGACCAAACCCCGUAAAACGAUAAACGUUAAACGGUAAAUUACAAUAUCAAUUAAUGCAGUCCACAAUUAGAAAAACUCUUACACUUUUCGGAUAUCGCGUUCUUCAUGACAGGGGUUAGCAAAUUUUGCCAAAUGAAAUCUUUGCUUUUACAUGUUAAAAGAUGACGUACAACUACAGUUAUUUUGUAUUGAAGACAAACUUUCAGGUCUUCCCAUCAAUGACAGGUAUAUUGUUACCAGGAUAGUAUAUGCUUGUAAAACAGUUUCGUAUGGUUUUCUUAUGAAUCUCUUUCCUGCAUUUGAUGUUGACCUUGCAAUCUUUUGGCUGGUGAAUGUAAACAAUCUUCUUUGUUCUCGUCCUGUGUGGAUCCUUUGCUUUUGUUUCCCGCGCAGCAGAACCCUAGAUUUUUAACCUCUUUUCGAAGUCUUAAAUUUGGUGGUACUGAGAUGAUGGGUGUGAAUGAAUUUAUUCCUUUUUGUUCUUUUCCAUUUUGGGCGACUUAUGUCUCAUCUCAAUCAAUGGAUGAAAGAGGGAAGAGUCAAAGAUCCAAUGUUAUUCCCUUUGUCUUACUAUUGCUCUGGAAUACACUUAGAGAGCACCAAUAUACCUUUGAUUCAUGUGGUUUAUGACUAUUGAUAGCUGACAAAAUCAGAUUUUUGGGAUCAUUUUAACGAUCCAUUAUCUGUUGAGCCAGAAAACGACAAGUAUGUUCUGUGACAUCCAGAAUUUUCAGUAUUGUUUUCUAUUAAAUUAAUCGGGCAUUUCAUUGACGUGUCUAUAGGGUUGUUCUCAGAGCUGAUCACUCUCGAGAUAACUAGACUAGCUGGGUAUGCCAUUAAAGAAUAUUAAGGCAAUAGACUUGAGAAUUCGACCAGGAAGCGGCUUCUCGACCGUGUUCAUCUUUAGAGGUCAUUACUGCACAGUAAAGAUCGAAUUGAGAUCAGAGAUAGGUCGGUUCGACUGAGAUGUGUGGCCGAUCGUGGGUGACUCCACUAAAUUGGAAAAAUUCUCGUCAACCGGCACUAAUUUGAUUUUCUGUCGUUUUGGUACCCUGUGUUGGUAGUCGAGCCAUCGAGAUUUUUACGACAAUUGAGAGUCGCCAAUGUGUCGAGUGGGUUCAUUGUGGCUCGAAGAAAAUCGACCACGAGUCAAUUGCCCUAAAAAGUUCUGAAAACUACCCGGUAGUCUAGGUCACACUAAAAGCACGCCGGAGUGAAAUUAACCGUCGAUUUGAGCCAGAUUUCAGAAAUCGAAAGUUCAGUGAUGUCACAAGCUAUUUUAGGAACGUCAACUCAGUCUCAGAAGAUUUUUCGGACGUUCCGAGAUUUUUACGGAAAUUGGGUUCGGACGUCAUGGAAGUUUGGCCGAAGUUCAGAUUGGCUAAAUUAAUGGGAAAUUUGACUUCUGGGUUGAGCCUGUGUGUGUCGGAGAUUUAUAGAAAAUUUCUUGGGAUUUUUCUACGUCGAAAUUGGACCUCAAUUUGGGAAUUUAUUGGAGAAAUUGAAGUUCAAAUGGUGAAAUUCGUAUCAUCCCCUCACCCUAGCAAUAUUGGACUACUUGAGAGGUUAUGGAAGUCAUUUGGAUGGUCUAAUGAGGGCCAAGUGUUUUUACUUGGCUAAGAGUGAUUCAUGGAGAUAUUCUUGCAAAAUAUCAAGCUAAGGCCCACCUCUUCCUCAUCCUCUCCAUCUUGCUGCCAUGAAUUGCUUCUCUCCCCUUUCCAUUUUUCUCUGGCGUGCGACCCUUCCAACAGCAAUUGAAGAAGACCCGGCUGCUUCCUUCGAAAUUUUCCGAGCGUCCACCAAGCUGCCCGAGAAGCUCAGCAUCCGUCGAAUUCUCCACCGCUUCGUGUCUUCAGCCAGCUCACGCUUGGUCAAUAGCGAAGCCAGAAGAAGCCUCGUCGUUGACUGAAGAUCCUCACCGCACGAAGCCUUGAAGACCGAAACUCCACCGAGUGAAGCCUCGAUCCCACCGAGCUGGUCGGCCACUCACGCUAGCGAAGACCCUUGCAGCAGCUCCACCGAAACUCUUUUUCUUCCGCUUCGUUGAAGAUUGAUCAUCCACGAAGCUGCUCCAAGCAUCCACGCGGCUAGAAGUUCAAGCAGACAUCUCCACUACAAAUUGUCCCUUUGGUCAACAACAAGCCAUAGAAGCUCCUUGAUUGACCGAAUCAGCGACCUCACGUCCCAGCUGCAGCUGCUUCGUGCGUCCAGUGAAGUCUCCACGCGUCCAGGUCAACUGAAGCCGCUCCUUGCCGUUUGUUGACCCUGUCGGCCACUCACUCAUCUCCGGCACCGAACGAAGACUCCACCGGUUCUGCCGCUCCAGCUCGUCGAAGCUCCACCAACCGCAGCUCACGUGUCCGUUUAGCCGCAGUGGAUUCCAGCGCCCCUCGCCACUUCUUUCGUUUAGUUAGCGUGAAGACCGAAACCACGGAUCCAGCGGCCUCGAUUUUCUUUUGCUUGUGGACAGACCUCAGCGAGCCCAUUCCGCUUCUCUUGCCGGCCCAGCUCGCUCAAACUCAAUUGAAGCCCAUCGAAUUGGACUUAUUUCAGCCCAAAGAGAGCAGACCAUUUUCAGUUUAAUUUCAAGUCUAGCAAGUUGCAAGCCCAAUUUCCAGCAAAGAAAUUUGAAGCCCAAGUGAAGUCAGUCCAGAAAUUUCAGCUGGCCCAAUUCAACUUGAGUCCGGCCCAAAAGCAAGUACAAAUCUCAGUUGGGCUGAGAUUUGUUGGGCCAAGUCCAAGGCCCGGUCCAAGCCCGCCGGUGUUGUCGGAAGUCCGAUUUCGGCCGCCGUUGCGUCGUCGUUGCGGUGAUUCGAUCUCCGCUUUUGUCAAGUGAGUUUUACUCACUAAUGCUUUAAUUAAGUGCACUUAGGUGGUUAGAACAAUUAAUUUAGUGACUUAAUGAUGCAUGUUAGGUGGUUAGACCUAGCUAUUAGCAAGUAGAAAUGUUUGGUUAUUUAUUGAAUGCAUCUCGGGAUUUUUCCUGACCCGUUUCGGGCUCCAAUAAGGCAAUAUAGGCCUAAAUUGGAUUUUUUUAUGUUUAUUUAUUUAUUUUUCGAAAUUAAUUAUUUAAUUAAUUAUUUUUCUGGAAUUCAACCGGGAUGGCCGGUGACCGGAAUUUCGUGCCGAUUGUCGUGGUGCAGACCGUUUAUUUAUUUGAGCUCUACGUUGUGUGGAAUUGAAUUUAUUGUGGAAUUUUAGGAAUUGUCCUAAAUUGUUUGUUAUUGAGUAUUUGAUUGGUAAUGGCUAAGCAUAGAUAUAUAGCGCCAGUACGUUGAUGGGCUAUAUAGUAGAGAGAAUGGUGAGACCAAUCAGGUACGAUAUUAUUGGACAUACGUGGUUCGGUGAUUGGAAGUAUCACUGGCGAAAACGGCGCCUUAAAGAACGCACGUAAAUGACUUAUAGACAAACGUGGUUCGGUGGUUAUGGGAAUAUCACUGGUGAAAACGGCGCCUUAAAGAACGCACGAUGUUGUCUAUAGCCGAUGUCACCUUGGCGAAAACGGCGCCCUUGAAAGGACACGUGGUUCGGUGAUCAAGGUUAUCACUGGUGAAAACGGCGCCUUAAAGAACGCACGGUGUCGGUGAUCGGUAUGUCAUUGGCGAAAACGACGCCCGAGAAACACAUGUGAUUUGGUGAAUGAGUACACCACUGGGAAUUCGUGGUAUGAGUGGGAAUGACCUAGAAAGGGUCUGGCUGACAUGUAAUCGACUUAGUCGAUUGAUCAAUGCUUGAUCGGAUGUCGUGAAUUGUUUGAAUGCUUGUGUUUAACCUUGAAUUGCAGGUUGGAACUGAGGCCAAGGUAAGUCCUCUGACUCGUGUUGUGCUUAGGCAACCGUAUGGCGUAUUAGUUUAUUAAUCGAGUCUUAGUGGGUAGGACUCGCUGAGAUGUGGUCUCAUUGGUUAUUGAAUAACCAUUUCAGGACCCUGUGGAGAAUCUAAUGAAGAGGAACCUGAAGAGGAGAAAGAUGUUUGAGGAAGAAGAUGAUCCAGAGAGGGAUCUUAAAUAUAACCCAGAUGUGGAUUGAGAUCCCAUCCCUUUUGUGAACCCUGUCUUGGUAUAGAUAGGUGUGAGACUUUUAUGCUAUAAAUAGUAUUGUAAAUAUACUGUGAGUUGUGCUGUUAACGAAAGUGUGGUUGUGAAUUUCAAUAUGAAAAAUAUGGCCUACUUUCCUAUCCCAUUGUUUUAUUGUCUGGGGAUUUAUAACUGCAUCCGCAUGUGCUGAAUAAAUUGAAAGGGUCGGCGAUACAUAGUCCUAGGAUAUCGCAUUCUAAAAUCGACCAAGUAGAAGGAUGUGCGCGCGUCUGAGGAUCGGGGCGUGACAUGUUCCUCAGCAAAAGGCAAAAAUCUUACUAGUUUUACGUGUGACUCCUUUUAAUGGCAUUCUUAUAACACGGAGCCUUUAUUCUAUAAAUCUAAUAGAUGUGUUGAAUUGUAUCUGGACCAAAAAAGAAUGUGGGAUCGAAUGGAAAUCUCAAAAGAAAAAAAAAAUUCACAAUCAGCAUAAGCAAAGGAAGCAGGGGAGAAGAAAAUGGAUUUCAUAAAUUUAAAUAAAGAUGGAAAUUUGACAAACUUUAUAAGGUAUCUACUCUUGACUAGGUUGAUGUAUAUUUCAAGUAACAUAUAACUUUCACAUGUCAAUUUCAACUCUCCUCAAACACUUGGUAAUAGACUAGCGUCAAGAUUAUAGGUAUUGCAUUUUCAUGAGUUCACAUUCGUGGACAAUGAUUUGUGUUGGCUCACUCUAGUCAAUUUAAGGGAAAAAGAGUAUAAUUAUAGAAAAAUAACAUUACCACGUAUGCUAUCACAUCAAUAUUAGUUAUUUAGAGUUAACAAGCAAAUUGAAGAGUUUGAUUUAUAAUGUAUUUACAUAGCAUUACUGGACAUCUAGAUUUUAUUAAAAUACUUGAGAGAAACUGUGCAAACCCCAUAAAAAGCCCCAUCAUAAAAUGAAAAUUUCAAUAUAAUUAUUAUAUUGCAAUUGGGUUUUUCCAUUGCAUCAUUUAUAAAAUAAAUUUGUACAAUAUUUUCAUGAUAAAUAAUGGUCUCUUGUCUCCUAAUGCAACUAAGCAAGCAAGAUGAUGGAAGACUUUGACUUGCAUUCAAUCACUAGAAUCUUUUUUUCCCCUUUUUCGUUUGAGUAGGCCACAUUGGCUUUUACCUUAUCCCUUUCUUGGCAACUAAGCAAGCAAGAUGGUGGAAGACUUUGACUUACUUUUUCUCCCUCAUCCUUUUCCCCCCUUUCUUUUGAGUAGGUCUUGUCGGCUUUUCCCUAAUCACUUUCUUUGCAACUAAGCAAGCAAGAUGGUGGAAGAUUUGACUUGCUUUUUCUCGCUCGUCCUAUUUCCCCCCUUUCUUUUGAGUAGGUCUUGUUGGCUUUUGCCUCAUCACUUUCUUUGCAACUAAGCAACUAAGAUGGUGGAAGAAUUUGACUUGCUUUCCCUUACCGCAAAAUUUUCUAAAAGGUAAUUAACUCGAUUUCAUAGAAAAUUUGAUAUAGAAUCUUCCAAAAAAUUAUUUUUUUUCAUGAUAAAGAUUUCUUUUGCAGAAUGCAAAUACUGGCAUGAGCAUGCCAUGUAAGAAGAAAUAUCCCAUUGACCCAAUUUGACGUUGCCCUUAACUGCGAUAACAACAUAUUUGUUCUUGAGUUAAUCCAUAUAUGAUAUAGGUCACCAAAUAUGAGUGACAACGGGAAGGGAAAGCAAAAUGUUGUCAAUCUUCACUUUGAUUUGUGUGGUCAUGUGAUCCCAUCACAGAGGGAACUAACAAAAGGUGAGAGUUAGUUAGUUAAAGAAAUAAAUGUCCUCAUCGAAGAUGCACAAAUCCACGGUAGGAUUGUGUGUAUCCCAAGCACAUUUGGCUCAUCUAUUGAGGCAAGAGAAAAAGUAAUUUCCAAUAUCAACACCUUGUAAAAGUAGCCAAUUAAAGGAGAUGAUUGCAAGGCUCUUUUGACAUAGUAUCAUGUGAAACUAAUUUCCAUUGUGAACACCUUGACUUCAGCAUAAACGUAUCUAUUUAUUGGUUGAUGGGGUAGGUAAAGCAAAGGGCGAGGACAAAGCAAAAAGUAUCACCCAUCUUCAAUUUGAUUUGAGUGACCACACCAUCCAAUUACAAUCUAAUUGUUGCGUCGAUUAGCAAUACAGUUGCCAGUCAAUCAAUAAUUUGAGAGGCCACGUGGAGCCAUUGUGAAAAGUUGAGGAUAAAGCAAAAAAGUAUUGCCAAUCUUCCAAAAGUUAAUUUCCUCUGUGAUUUGCUUGGCCACGAGCUCUAAUAACAAAAGGAACUAACAAGUCAAGUCUACAGGGGGUCGUCUUUCCAAUUUCAAGGAGAAGAUUGUUUUGGCGGUCGUGGUCAAAAAGGUUAGAAUCAAAAGAAGUACAAUUGCCUCGUCUAAGAAACACCAUUUGCCACAAGAUUGCACGUCUCCUUUGGGGCAAGAGAAGAAGUAAAGCUUUGUAUAAAGUCCCAAGUGCUUGUGCUUGAAGAGGAGAAAUGCCAAUCACCAGAAAUCACUGAGAGGCUCGUUUUUGUUAUGAGAUAUCUAGGUUGAAGCAUGAAGGUGAACCUUGAAUUGCAUUGACUUUCAAGAUUCUGACACAACUUGAUUUGCUUCAAGGCAACUUCUUCUCAAAUACUGAAACCCAUCACAGUAAUUUCAUCUAUAAAUCGCUCCUCGAGGUAAGCCUAACCUUCAUUCUCUAGUCUAUUACAAUUGAUAGGACAAAAACACAUUUGAUUAUUACUCAUGGCAUAACACCUAACAUCCUUUAAGGCAUACAAAAUGUUACUUGUGAAAUUCCCUUGACUUUUUAAAAAUCAUCAUCACAUAUAUUGCUAAUUUUUCUUACUUCAAUCUUCUCAUUUGAACUAAUCAAUUAUUUUGACCAUAAAAAAAUUGGUUAUGUAUGGCUAGACCAGUUGAAUCCGGUGGAAUUGCAUGCCGGCCCUUAUGCUGAUGUUGUUUUCAAAACAUUGUUGAUUGACCGAACUCCCUUGGGACAAAAAGUCUGCUUGACGAAAAUUGCAAAAAUACCCUUCUAGACCCGAUUUUGGGUUCAUCGGCCCUAUACAUACCCCAAUUGUCCCAAAUUACUUAAACCCUGAAACAUCCAAAAUAAUCAGUUUUAGUAGAAAUAAUUCUUUUUUUUUCUUGAAAACAAUUAAAAAACUAGAUUUUUCCAAAUAUCAAUCGUGCAAGUCUAUUCCCUUCAAUAAUCGCACAAAACCUUUCAUAGGCUACGAAUUAGAAUUGUCAAGAACAAAAAUUUAUCUGAAUGGAUCAAACUAGCUAGAAAAUUGCUGGAUGUCCAUAAAACCGAUUUCCAUUAUAUUGGCAAUUUUCGUAAUUUCUGGAAAAAUGACAGAAAAUUCAAAUGCUUUCCAGAAAUUAUGAAAAAUUCACGAUUGUACUUUCUUUUCUUUUCUUUGUUUUGUGCUGGUUACAAUGGAAAACUUGAAAGUCAGCGAAGCUGCUGGUUUCAAUGCACUUGCAUGUAUUUAUUAUGUGGACAAUUUUUAGGUGGACUUUGUCUUUGCGGAUUAAAUUAGAGAAACUCAUCAUAAAGUAUGGUUUUUGUGUGAUUUUACUGCUUAUAGCAAUGACAUGACUUUUACGUAUAUAUAGCGUAGACAAUUAUUGACCCAUGAUGGAUUUGACAAUAUGAUUUAUGCAUAUUUGGGGUGGCAGGAGAAUGCAGCAUUUACAGGACUAAAAACGUCUUUGAUAAUAAUAUAAUGGAAGAUUAACAAGCCGGUUAGAGCCACAUUUAUCUGUAUAACAAAAUAGUUUUAAGUGGAUAUGAACAGAAGUGGCCAUUCCGUACUCUAUUCCAAAUUGUGUGGCUUGACUAGGCUUGCCAUCUGAAAACAAUUUAAUAGCUACGGUCAAUCAGCAUAUCAUCUACCAAUCGAUCAAUAAUAAUUUGAGACUAUCGUCUACUACUGAUUGGUCCUCUCUCUCUCUCUCUCUCUCUCUCUCUCUCUCUCUCAUCUCUCACUUUAGCUUUUGCAUUCGGCCUCUCUCUUGCAGAACAAUUCGAGAUUAUCAUCUACUGUUUAGUCCUCACUCGCUUUCUCUAUUCUUUUCCCUCUUGAAAGUUCUCACCCAGGCUUUUUUACAAUCUCCUCUCUCUCCGUUCUCAGCCUGUCUUCGCAUCUCAGCUCGCGGGAGGUAAUUGCUUUUUCAUCUCUUAUUAGCUUGUCGUUUAUAUUGAUUUGUCGCCUUGUUAUUAGAAUAAUUGACUGAACUAAAAGUGUUCCGGGCCCUUUUUGUCUAUUGGGGAUGUGGGGUGGCUGCUGAGUAGAGAGGAGGGUCUUUUAUUCUCUCUUUUGGAAUCGCUGUUGCCUAUUAAACUUCGAUGAAAAAGGAAAGCCUUUAUUUUCGACUUUAGAUGUGGCUAAUCCUAUGAUGCCCUUGCUGUCUAAUUGUUAGUUGCAUCGUAACUUAGCAUUGAUCUUUUGUUGAGUAGUUCUGCAAGCGCACUAGACUCUAUUGCAUGCAAAAUUGCCACAUUUCGCUUGAAUCCAGAGGCCAUGUUUUUUUAUCCGCUAUGAGGUUUCUCUGUGUUUGAAGGUCCUAGAUCAAUUUAAGGAAAAAUAAAUCAGAAAAAUAAAAGUAAGCUGGUUCAAGGUCAACUAAUUUGGUUCUCGGUUACAAAAACAGAGAAUUGAUAUUACAAAAUAACCUAAUUUUGAGUUUAGAAUCUACUCAUCUCAAAACUGAUCAUCCUAAGAGUAACUCUUCUCUUAAGAUAUUUCAUCUGACAAUUUUACCUUCCUAUAUAACACUCUAGAUGAGUAAUAUUAUGUUUUCCUCGAAUUGUUGGACCAUUAAUCCUAUAACAUAUGUUCCCUUUCACCUCUAACUCAUUUUUUCCCCUCUUUAGCAAGAAAAGAAAGAAAGAAAGAAAAACUCAUUUUCUCCCUUCAAAGCUUUAAAAAUUGAUCGAUUCUUUACUUGGAAAAAAGAAAAGUAAAUGAGUAAUAAAAAAGUAUGGGGAAAGUUUGUGCAUUUUAACCAUAUCGCUACUUUUCACCUGCUCUCAAGUAAUGAUAGUUUCAAUCAUCACAACAUAAAACAUACCAAAAUCCAUAGCAUGAUACUUCUUAAUUUUUUUACAUGAUAUCUAAUAGUGAGAAAAAAAAAUAGUUCGAUCUUAUGACACACGCAAGAAAACAAUUAAAUAAGUCGAGCCAUAUGCACAUGCUAGGAGAUUCACCCUGCUUUAUAUCACUCAUUUCUUACGCCUCUUUUGUUGCAAAGAAUAAAUUCGUUCUUGAGAUAUGUGAUUAAUCAAUUUAACCUGACGUAUCUCAAAUUUAGCCGAUAAUCUUAUUCUACUUCCAUUUUAUUGGAUAAAAAAUCUUUUUGGUGAUAUUCUCAAGGUGGGCCCUCCAACGAAAAUGGGGACAAGCACUCAACGCUAUUGUUUCAAAUCUUGGUUGUCUCUGAAUUUUCCUCAGCAACUUCCUUUUACUUUCUUUCUUCUCUUUUUCUCUUUCUUCCAUUGAAUCAGUACCUAAUUUCUAAUCGUUCAGACUAACAAGGAGAAAGAAAAGAGUGCAUAAAAAGAGAGUACUGAGGGAGCAUCCGCUCCACCUUUUGGUGUCACCUAACAAAUUAUAUCUCUAUUUUACAAUCAAGAUAUCAAUCAACUUUUAGAUUUGAAAAUUUGAAAUAAAAGGCUCAGCGAUAACACACUAGUUCAAAAUAAAUUCAUUUUAAAUGGAAUUGUAGCAUGUGGUGCUAGCAGGGAAUAGAUGAAAGAUAAAUAACCACGAGCACUUGUUUAUCUCUGUCUCACAUUUCCAACUUCAUUAAGAAUAUUGCAAUUUUAAACAAAAUUAAAAUAUAAAAUCCCAUUGACAAUUAGUAGCUCGGUCCUUUCUUGAUGUCUUUCACAAAUCUCUAAUUCCGUUCCAACUCAAUCACUAACUUUUAAAUGGUUUAUCAAAUAUCUGUUAAAAAAAAUUGGUUUAUCAAAUUAUGGUUUUCAAUAACCAAAUAAAAAACUGGACGGAUGAUUAUAUUUUUAAGCGAAUGCAAUAUGCUUGUGCACAUAUUAUAGUUCUUUAUGGCCCAAUUGAAAAAUUAACGUACAUAUUACUUAUGAGUGGAUCAAGCCAACAAGUUUUGACUUGAAUAGAAUGAGGUCCAAAAGAAGAUAAGGUGAGGACUAAAAGCAUCUACAACUGCUCCUAGUCAAUCAAUUACCAAUUAUUUAAAGUUUUCAUGUUCGUUUUUUCUUGCAUGGUAACAUAUUCAUGCUCAUAAUUGUUCAUCGAUCCUUUUAUCCAGCAGAAAAGCAUCUUUCAUUCCAACUUUCGCCCUCAAAUUGCCAUGCAUCUUUCAUUCCACUUUUUGCUUUUAAUUCGUGUUCAUGAAGUUUUCCAUGUGUCAUGAAUUCAUAAUUCAAAAGCCUUUUGGAUGUUACCUCUAAAUAUCGCUACUUCCUUCUAAAAGUAGGCCCAAAGACACCAUUCCCUUCUUUUCUAUGCUUUUUCCUAAAUUAUCUUCUUCUUCUUUUAAUAUUUCACAAACUUCUUUUUUCAGUGGAUUAUUGACUUUUCAAGAGCUGAAUGAUAUGCCAACAAAAUAGUAAUAAAAAAAUGACCCGGAAAAGAACUCAAGGACAAUGUACAAGUAUUUCAUUUGUCAUUAGUAACUUAAUACUAACGCAUUAUGCUUAUUUGGUGUCAUUUAACAAAUUAUAGCGCAGACAAUAUAUCAAUCUAUAAUUUAAAUUUAAGAGUUAAAAGCGAAUAGCUUGGCCCUUAUAUAGAAAUAUUGGCAUGUGGGGCUAGCAUGAAAUAAAUAAGAGAGAAAUGACAACAACCAUUUGUUCAUCUCUACCUCGCAUUUCCAACUUCAAUAAGAACAUGGCAAUUUUAAAUAAAAUUAAAAAUAUGAAAUCAUCGAAUUUGAACCAAAACAUUAAGGAAGUGAAGCAAGCGACCCGAAACGAAUAGGGAAACAACAUUCACACAAAAAGAGAAAAGAUCAUAGGAGGGGGAGGGAGGGAGGGAGGGAGGGAGAGAAAGAGAGAGGACCAAGCCAACAAUCAUUUGCAAAUGUAUCUUUCGUCUUUCAUCAAUCCUUUUAAGCAAAAGAUAAGCAUAUUUCUUUUCAACUUCCCCUCUUAGAUCACCAUGGAAGAGCAGAGUCAAAGAAAGAGAGCAGAGGAAGAGAGCACUCAGGGAGCAUCCUCUUCUUCAUCCAUCUCUUCAGAAGCCACAGAUUUAUGUAGUGGUCAAUAUAACGUGUUCUUGAGCUUUAAAGGCUCAUAUACUCGCAAGACAUUCACCGAUCACCUCUACCACAGUCUAAUCAAGGUAGGAACUGUACUGUUUUGCGUGUUUAGGGAUGAGAACAACAUCCCAAUUGGAGAGGAAUUUGGUUCAAAGAUUCUUGAUGCCAUCGUACGGUCUAAGAUUUCGAUCCCUGUCAUCUCCGAAAAUUAUGCUUCAAGCAAAUGGUGCCUCCGCGAGCUCAUUCAUAUCAUGGACUAUAAGAAGAGCGCGUCACACAUAAUGUUGCCUAUAUUUUACAAAGUUGCUCCAUCGGAUGUGCGGCAUCUAAAAGGAAAUUUCGGAAAUGCCUUCCAAUCGAGUCGGGAACGUUUUGAUGAGAAGGAUAUCCAGGAAGGGCAACGAGCACUUAAUGAAGUCAGUUACUUAAAUGGAUGAGAAUCUCAAAAAAUUGAGGAUGGGUACUUUACUAAACUUUUCAUAAGUUUUCUUCUUCUCGCAAAACCAAGGACAUGAAGAUGAAUUACUUUCAUUGCAAGCUCAAAAAAGAUCCCCAAAAUAAACAACCAAAAUGACUUGAAGACAACAAACACCAGUACGCCCCAAUAGUCCCUAAAAACCAAACCAACGACACCUAAAACCAAAGCAUCCCAUAGUGCCCAAGAAUUUACAUUUUCCUCCAGUAUAGAGCCAAAAAAAGAAAGAAAUGACAAUACAUCCAGCCAAUAGUAUCAAUCACUAAACAAUAGGCCUCCAAAUGACUCCAAUGCUCGGUCUUCAAAGCUUGAUCACCACCAGAUAAAAUCAACCUCCUAUAGCCAACAAGUGUUGGCUCAGUUGAUAAGGAUAGAAUACUUUGCAUAGACUAUGUCUAGGUUCAUAACUUCUCAUUGUUUUUGUUGUUUGACAGGCAUGAGGGAAAAUUAAUAGAACAUGUGGUUGAAACAGUUAUAAGCAAGUUACGGAAAGAUUUUCAGCUGGAUAUGCCUGAGCAACUAGUUGGACUUGAUGAUCGUAUGAAGGAAAUUAUGAAUUGGAUCGACAAUCCUUCCAUGAAUGCUCGAAUGAUUGGAAUUUAUGGCAUGGGCGGGAUAGGCAAGACAACUCUUGCCAAGUGCAUCUACAAUCAACUCUCAAAUAAAUUUGUGCAUGUUAGCUUCCUUCCAGAUGUUCGAGAAACUACCAGGCGCCACGGUAUUACAUAUCUACAGAGUCAACUAAUAUCAGAUAUACUACAAAGCAAAAGUGAAGUGUCUAGAAUUGAUGAUGGAAUUAGUAUAAUCAAAUCUAGAUUCAAAUGGAAAAAGGUUCUCAUUCUUCUAGAUGAUAUAGAUUACAAGAGUCAACUAGAUGCGUUGGCUAGGGAGCGUCAUUGGUUUAUGGUAGGAAGUGUGAUCAUUGUUACAACUAGAAACAAAGCCAUUCUUGAUCAAUCUAAAUUUGAGGUAGACUACAAGUAUGAAUUGAAUGAAUUGGAUAAGGUGCAAAGUUUGCUUUUGUUCAAUAGACAUGCAUUUCGUAUGGACCAUUCUUUGAGGGAGUUUGAGGGUAUAUCUCGUGAUAUCAUAUCCAACAUGGGUGGGCUUCCCUUGGCAAUUCAAGUUGUAGGUUCAUACUUGUAUAAAAAAAUGAAUAGACAGGUAUGGGAAGACGUGCAGGAGCAAUUAAAAAAUGAACCACAUAGAGAUGUCCAAACGAUAUUGCAAAUCAGUUAUGAUGCAUUAGGAGAUGGAGAAGAGCAGAUUUUUCUCGAUAUUGUUUGUUUCUUUAUUGGCAAAGAGAGAAGAUUCGCCCAUGUACAUGUGGGAGGACUGUGGGCUUUAUCCAAGUCAAGGUAUUGAAGAGUUAGAGUUGAGGUGCUUAAUUAAAAUUAGAGAUGAUGGUUGGUUUGAGAUGCAUGACCAAUUGAGAGAUCUUGGAAGGAGCAUUUUUUGCCAAGGACAACCGCUUGAGAAACGUAGCGGACCAUGGGACUACAACUACAAGAGACUCUCAAAAGUACUACGUUUUGGAUUGGUAAAAUAUGGCACUGCUUUCUUUAUUACUCCCUCUUAUUUUAAUAUAUUUAAUCUAAUCUAUUCUACAAUUUCAUCUAGGAUUGACAUGUGCUCUUACUUUCUUGGAGUAAACAUCCACUUAUGUCCAUCUUAGAUUUAUUAUGACAGCUAAAUGAUUAUAAGUGUCUAAAGGAUGAAAAAGUUAUACCAUUUCAUUCAAUUUCAUUGAUAUAAAUUACAUUUGUAAAAAUUUGAUUGACAUUCAAUUUAAGAUCCUUUAACUACAAUUUACACUAUAAAUCUAGUUCACUAAAAGCAUGUAAUUGUCAUAUCUAGUUGAAAAUAUUGAUAAUCUAAAGGACUACAAUAAUGAAUGAAGAUGAAAUAUAAACAUCAUAGAUAAGAUAAAUGAAGAUAUCUUGAAAAAAAAAAAAAAGAUAGCAUGUGCCAAAAAUAAUAACUGAUAAGUAAUUCAAAAUGAUAAGAUUGGAAAAAAUUUCACACUUAUCACAUGUUCUUGCUUACUAGUGUGGCCAAAUCUAUUGGUGGUACUCUUGUGAUUUAGGAAUCCAAUGUUUGAUAUUUUUUUCUCCAUUUUGAUUUUGAAGAUACCCGUCCCUCUACUCUGCUAGUUAUAUCUAUCUCUUAUUUCCUUUUAAUAGAUAAGAUAGCGAAAAUUCCCUUAAAAGUUUUUUUUAGGAAAAUCUUACUUUUUUUAAGGUUUUGUCACAUUGACCUUGCUCAUUUCAUGGAUUAGGUUAGGUGUACGAUAAAUAGUGGAUUUUCUUAUAACAAACAUUUGUAUCCGCUCUAAGUUACUUAUAGCACAUACAACUAUUUGUAACAAAAAAAUCCAUGAAAACUGGCUAAUUGGAGGAAAUGCCAUACUUAUUAUUAUAUCCAUACCUUUGAGUAUAAUGAUGCUCAGCAUGAAGCCAAUAUUUUAGUUAAAUUAACAAUGUUCGUGUCAUUUUAUUAUUAUAUAUUAUCCAUUUAGGUUGCCUCAUGAUAUGAUUUAUACACUAUUGUCCAAUAUCACCAUGUCACUUGUUAAACAGACUUAACAAAAAAAAAGUUUCAGUUUUCAAAAAAAAAUGAUUAAACACUUCACAACAAUAGAUAAUGAUGUUAAAGAUAUGUAAAUAUCUUCUAGAGAUAUUUAGGAUAUUUUCUCUGAGUUUCUAUAUGUAUUUUGAUCAUAUCUGAUUUGACUUUCUUUGAUUUCCUUAGAUAGUCCUGUAAUAGAGUUUAUAAAUAGGCUCUCAAUGUAAUCUCUUCUAUAUAUAGAAAUAUAUUGAAAAUUCCCCAUUUUUUCUCUUCGACAUUAUUAUAUUUAACUAAUGAAAUGAAAAGCAGGUGUUUCCAUAGCUACUUACAGGUGGCCCACUGACAGUCCUUAACAAAUUCUUUCCAAAAUUAUACGAAAGUCAUUAAACUUUACAAAUAAACAUUUGUAUGUGGUAAAAUGGUUUCAUGUAUUUCGUAUUAAAAAAAGUCAAAGUGCACAUGUUACAAAAUUUGAAAAAAAGAAGAAGAAAAAAAUAAAACAUUGAGUUGCAUUUGCUUUAGUUGUUUUAGAGCAAUAACCAUUUUUUCUUUAUUUUCACGUCAUUUGUUUAAUUUUCGAAAGGAAAUUAAAUGUAACUUCACGUGUCCGUAUUUGUACACUGGGAAGGAUAGGGAGGUUACAAAUCGUGCAAAAUCUGAGAUUUAAGAAAAGAAAAAUCUAAAAAGUUAAAAGAAAAAAAAAACUUGCAGAGAUGCAAGAAAAAUCUAAAAAGUUAAAAGAAAAAAAAAAAAAACUUGCAGAGAUGCCCCUUAUGGUUCCGCAAAAUUUUGCGGAGACGCCUCUCCUGGUUCUGCGACAUUUUACGGGCAGAUUCAAGCAGGAACGCCAAUGACGAUCUCCUUUAUGAGGUGAGAUGGCUUCAGUGGAUGGUCGAGCAAAGUGAUUUGUCUCUUUGGAUGAUUAAUUUGCAUCUACCGAAAUUAUCGAUACUGGAUUUAUCAUAUAGUAACAUCACAGAGAAUUGGCGAGGAUGGAGUUCAUUCACUGUAAGAUUGAAAAAAGAAGAUAUCCUUUUUGCGAUUUUAGGGUUUUGUACUUGUUUAGCCGAUCAACUCAUUCUUUGACAGCUUAUUCUUCUUCUGUAUUAGGCAUCAAAGCGACUGAAAGUUCUCAACCUUGAAUGUUGUCCUAAUUUAAGAUGUACUCCUUAUCUCUCGGCAUUCACCCAGUUGAAGAUUCUCAUCUUGAGCCAUUGUGGCGGACUGGAGCAUCUCCACCCUUCUAUCGGCAAACUCAUGAGCCUUGUUUCCUUGGAUUUGAGUUUCUGUGGAUGUCUCAAGGAGCUACCAGAGGAGGUGGGUGAAUUAAAAGAUUUAGAAGAACUUAAAUUAGAUUCUUCUGGUAUUACAAAGAUUCCUAUGUCUAUCGGUUUUUUGAGAAAGCUGGAGAAAUUGAGUGCCUUCUAUUGUGGGUCACUGAGAGAAAUCCCUAGCUCAAUUGGGUAUUUACAGAAUUUGCAACAGCUUCACUUGAGUCAUUCUGCGAUCGAAAAGCUUCCCAAUGCUAUUGGAAAGUUGAAAAAUCUGCGAACUCUAAAUCUCUCACGGUGUGAUAAUCUGAAAGGGGCAAUUCCAAGUGAAAUCAGUAACUUGCCUUUCCUCAAGUGUCACGUCCCGAUCCUCGGGCACGCACACAUCCUUCUUACUUGGUCGAUUUUAUAAUGCGAUAUCCCAGGACUAUAUAUCGCCGACCCUUUCAUUUAUUAAGCACAUGUGGAAGCAGUUAAAAUCCUCAGACAAUAAAAUAAUGGGAUAGAAAAACAGGGCAAUAUUUUUCAUAUUGAAACUUAUAACCAAACUUUUAUACAAACCACAAACUAGAGCACUUCACAACUUUUUACUUUAAACUCUAUUCACAUCAAAAUGAAAAUCUCAAAAGAAGAUAAACUCUCAGCCAUCCAGGCCGUACUCAAGGCCCUUCUCGGGAUUAUCAUCUUCUCCCAAAAAUCUUUCUCCUUAAGAUUCGCCUCCGAGUCCUCCUUCUCGAAUUCCUCCUUCUCAGCUCUUCAGCGGGGUCCUGAAAUGGUUUUCCCCAAACUGGGAUGAGACUACGUCUCAGCGAGUUCUACCCCACUAAGCCCGAUUAGGUAAACCAUUAUACUAAAGGCUGCCUAAACACGCACAGGGCAGAGGACUUACCUUGGCCUCUGAUCCCAGCUGCAAGUCAGUACAAUUCACAAUAAACAGCCAUUUNNNNNNNNNNNNNNNNNNNNNNNNNNNNNNNNNNNNNNNNNNNNNNNNNNNNNNNNNNNNNNNNNNNNNNNNNNNNNNNNNNNNNNNNNNNNNNNNNNNNNNNNNNNNNNNNNNNNNNNNNNNNNNNNNNNGGACCCACGUGCAUUCUCUAAGGCGACCUCUCGCCAAGGUGGUACAUCAAGCCACCGAGCCACGUGUCCUUUUUACGAUGCCCGGGCCCACGUGCAUUCUCUAAGGUACUCGCUUACCAAAGUGACGCAUCAGAUCACCGAGCCACGUGCCCUUUUAGAUGCCAUUCCAAAUACUAGACCCACGUGCAUUCUCUAAGGUACUCGCUUACCAAAGUGACGCAUCAGAUCACCGAGCCACGUGUCAUUUUAGAUGCCUGGGCCCAUGUGCAUUCUCUAAGGUACUCGCUUACCAAAGUGACGCAUCAGAUCACCGAGCCACGUGCCCUUUUAGAUGCCAAACUCUGUCACCGAGCCACGUGCAUUCUCCAGGACGACAUACCGAGUCUCCGAGCCACGUGCAUUCUCUCAGGCGACCUCUUCGCCAAGGUGACAUAUUCAACCACUGAACUCACGUGCAUUUUCCAGGUGACAUUCCAAUUCACCGAGCCCACGUGUCCUCUUUCAAGUGGUUACCAAUCUUCUUUCAAUACCGACAACCAAUGCCCAACGAUUUCUCAAUCAAAUAAUUAAAUCAACUCAACAAAGAAUUAUAAAUGCUGAAUAACAUACUUGGCCAAUCACCAAUCAAUAAUUCAAUCUCAAUCGAUUCCAAUCAAUUUAGGAUAAAUCCCUAAAAUAUCACAAUUUAUUCAAUUCCAUACAACGUAGAGCUCAAAUAAAUAAACGGACUACGCCACGACAAUCAGCACGAGAUUUUGGUCGUCGGCCAUCAAAAUCUUAAUUUCCGAAAAAUAAUUAAUUAAAUAAUUAAUUUCGAAAAUUAAAUAAUUAAUAUUAAAAAUUCAAUUUAGCUCAAAAUAAAGCCUGAUUAAAUAAACGGACUUCACCACGGUCAUCAGCAUAAUAUUCCGGUCCCGGGCUAUCUCAGUUGAAUUUUCGGAAAAUAAAUAAUUAUUUAAUUUAAUUCCGAAAAUUAAUAUUUAAAUACUAAAAAAAUCCACUUAGGCCCGAAAAGCCUAAUUGGAGCCCUCUAAGGGUCAGGAAAAAUCCCGAGGCACUUCCAAUAAUUAGUAGACCACGUCUACUUGCUAAUUGCACAAUCAAUUUAUCUAAAUCGCAUCACAAUUGACUAAUAAUUGCUAAUUUAUUCUAAUCUAACAACCUAAACAUAAUUAAUUAAAUCUAAACCAACCUUAAGCAUAAUUAGCUAACUAAUCAAGGAUUAGUGAGAUUACUCACCAAAUCGCGCGCAAAUCGGAUCAAUCCGACGGCGGCGACGCGAGGAACGAAACUUCCCAAAGCGAUUCACGGAUCCGGGGCCUGGAAACGGCCCAAAACGAGCCUUGAACAGUGCUGGAAACCCAUUUUUCCAGCAACUGUUCUUGGCUGGACGAAGCUCGUUCGGUGGCUAGGGCGGCGAGGGGAGGCCGGCGGAGGACGAGGGGGACGCGGGGGAGGUCCGGCGGGGCUGGGCGGUGGCCGGAGGUGGCCGGACGGGGGUUGGUCAGGGCGAAACCGAGUUGAACAGAGGCUGGUUCGCUCGGGGAGGUCGCCUGGUGCGAGGGAACGGAGCUGGCGGUGCACGGCGGCGAGCGGCAGGCGCGCGGGCGGUUCGGCUCCAGUGCGGCGGCGAUGGGCGACGGGCUGCUGUCUCGGCUUCUUCCACCUCUAGUUCUGCUUGCCCGAAGAAGAAAGAUGAAAAAGGGGGUUCGGUCACGAAGGGGAGAAGAGAGAAGAGAGAGGAGAGAGAGAGAAGGGAUAAGGGGGUUUGACUGGUCAAAAAGAAAAAAAGGAGAGAGUAGGCGUGGGGAAGGGGUGUCCGCACGAAGGGGAGGGGAGAGGAGAGAGAAGAGAGAGAGAGGAAAGAGAGAAGAGGGAGAGAGAGAGAAAAAGAAUUAAAAUAAUAACAUUAUUCUUAUUUUUCUUUUUCUCUUUCCGAUUUUCUUUUCUAUUUUCUUUUGGUCUUCUAUUUUUCCUCCGAUAAUUUCUUUCUUGAAAUUUCGGACUUGGCAAUAAAUUGAUGGACGAUGAGACGGUCCUAAAAAUGAAUUGUGACACGCCCAAAUAUUCGAUUCCCAAAACCGAAUUAAAUUUCAUGAUUAAAAUCGACCAGACGCGAUUCUAGUCCAAUCCAACAAAUUAGGUAGCUUUUAGGGAUUUUACCACGGUUAUAUCCCUUAACGGCUUCACCCAAUUGGUUAGCUAACUCGUGAGUGAUCAGCUCAGAGAAAAAGGACCAUAGGCACGUCGACGAAAUGCACAUUUCAUUUUAUCGAAAUAUGGUCGAAUUUCAGGAAGUCACAUCAAGAUUCUCAUUAUUGAUUUCACACCGAUAUCUGACUUGCCGGAAAGCAUCCAGAAUCUUUCUUCUCUCCAACACCUUGACCUAUCGGGCUGUGAUGAGCUCCGGUCGCUGCCAGAGCUUCCUUCGGGCUUAACAUAUCUGUCAAAGCCCCCAAUUGUAAGAACUCCAUCUUCAGGUAUGCCAUCUACUUGAACACAUCCCAAGCUUUCCUCAAGACCCUUGAAACUCUGUGUUGAGGAGUGUGAUGAGCUGAUAUUGCUUAGGCUCAACAGAUUCAUGUACUUGGAAGAGCUUUCAAUAGAAAGGUGUAGUUCCAUCGAAAGAUUGGACAUUUGUCGAUUGAUUCGUCUGAGCAUUGCGAUAGCCUAGUUGAAAUUCAAGGCCAUGAUAAUUUGGCGUUCUGGGAGGUCAUGUUCAUAUAUGAUUUGAUAAGCUCAAUUUUCAUGUAUGCGGCACUGGAUUUGUGAAGUUGAAAUUGACCUCCUUGCAAAUUAUCCUAUAUUACUGAUUUUGCUAAUUGGAUCUUGCAAAUUAACCGGUGGCAAAUACAUCUUAUUGUCCUAUAGUUUAGGCACUUCACCUUUUCAGCAUAAUUUUUUAACUUCAAUUAUGUUCCUAGACACACACAGGGAAAGUGUUGCUAAAUUGCUUACUUCUUUUAGACCUGUUGGUUUCUUUUUCAUCGGCCAACUAAUGAAGUAUUUGUUCAUUGUGGUCCAACUCCAAUUGGUGUCAAUGUUUAUGCAAUUUUACCUUAUCUAUCAUGGGGUAAAUUCUGAUGCUACGAUCUUGGAUAUCUUCAUUUAUUGAUAAUUAGUCAGUGCUAUCUUCCUUGUGCAGAUUCAGAUUAAAGUUGCAUUUGAUGAAACUUGAUGAAACUUGAAGAAACUCCCAAAACACCACGGGUUGGAGAUAUAGGUAAGAAUGAGCUAUGUCGGUAUGGAAAGGCAUUCCGAAGUCAUUUGCGAUUGGCGUUUAUCAUUUGCUCCAUGUUGUUAAGAAGGAUUCUUGAUAAAGGCGAUCUCUACUCAUGUGGUGUAGUAGUCCGUUGCAAGCUUUGAAAUUGUGCUAUUCUUUAGCAAAGGCUGCAUCACAAAUCUCUUGGAGGAAGACCGCAUGUGCAGGUGGUUUUAUAUGUGAAGUCAAGCAUAAAAUAAGAUUUGUUAACAGGAUUACCAUUUAGAUUUCCACCUCAAGCUACAGUUUUGUGACCGGGAAAGACCUUUUUGUGGAAAAAGCAAAUAAUCUGUCAAUUGCACCCAGUUUCAAUGAAAAGGUUUCCAAGAAGACUGUAGUUUCUCAUUUGGAAAAAUUUUGAACACAAAAUAAAGGCCAUCAUUAGUGUAAAAUCAUCUCUUGUAUGGUUACGUUUGAAAAUUCAUAUGCAGGCUUUUUGCAAUCACUUUGGUUUUAUAACCUAAAACUUGAUUUAUUUAAGCAUGAAUUAAAAAGCAGAAGAGACACAGCCAUGUGCAUUUUCAUACCUAAAACCAAGUAGAGUGCUCUCUCUCUCUCUCUCUCUCUCUCUCUCUCUCUCUCUCAGAUCAAGCAAGCACUGGGGUCUAGAGUGAAGUAUUUGGUUGUUUUAUGCAAUUCUCGAUCAAAUAAGCAUGAAUUAAAAAGCAGAAGAGACACAGCCAUGUACAUUUUCAUACCUAAAACCAAGUAGAGUGCUCUCUCUCUCUCUCUCUCUCUCUCUCUCUCUCUCUCUCUCUCUCUCUCUCUCUCACAGAUCAAGCAAGCGCUGGGGUCUAGAGUGAAGUAUUUGAUUGUUUUAUGCAAUUCUCGAUCAAAGGUUUGUCUGAGUCUCUAGUGUGUAUGGAGUUUAUGUGGGGUCUAUUUCUUGAAGGAGAAUCUGUGCAGAAAAAAUAGUUAUUCUAUUCUUCUUCCGAGUUCUUCUCGCAAUAAACGCUAGUAGCAUUGAUUAUUUGACGUCGUCUUGAUUUUGAGGUUCUUCUUUGAAUGUGGUGUUAAAUGACAAAGAAUGAAUCGGUAGUUCAAGUGAAAAUUGUUGUUUAAGUUGUUUGGACAAGGACGAAGGCAAUUGGUAGAAGCUAUAAGAUUUAUUGAAUGAAUGUGUUUAUUGCAGAAAAGAGGAGAAGAAAGCAAAGAAGAUCAUAUCAAAGCCAAGAUGGGAGAAGGUGCAUCUCAGCGUUCGGCUGGAUCACCAAGUUGAAAUUGGAGAGAGUGGCAAUCUUAGGAUCCACAAGAAAUUUGAUCGUGGAAGAAGAAUGUGGCAAUGGACUAGGACAAGAGCAGAUGGAUAUGUGAGUUAGAACUGAAAGGAGGUGAAUCUAUCGAAUUAGAAGUACUAAUAUAAGAUUUUGCUGAUAUUACUGAUAUUCCCACACCUGUCGGUUCUUUGAGGAAACUCGAGAAACCGAGUGCCAGCUAUUGUGAGUCACUUAGAGACAUCGCUAGCUCAACUUGGGACUUACGAAAUUUGCAACAUAUGGACAUUAGUGGUUCUGGCAUUGAAAAGCAUCCUAGUGCUAUAGGAAGGUUUAAAAAUCUGUGCACUAUAAGUCUCCUAUCAUGCUGUAAUCUGAAAGAGCAAUUCCAAGUGAAAUUGGUGACUUGUCUUCGCUUGAGAUUCUCUAUGUUACUUGAGGAAGUUUUGAUGCUUGUGAGGAUCCAAAAAACUUUAUCUGGUCUUGACAGCACAUACUUGAAUGAUUUUGAUGUUGUAUUUUGAGUUGAGUCUGCUUUUUGUAUGCUCACGAGGUUCAACCUCUCUGUUAAUCAAAUACAUAGAUACUGAUAUUUUUUUUUAUGUCACUCUGAUGCAUAUGUCUUUGAUGUUGUUGCAUUCUAAUGUUAUCACUUCUGAACUCAAAAAGGCUUUGCAGAGGGAGGUAUGCACUACUAGUCAUGCCAUAAAAUUAAAAAAAUAACCUGUGUGCUUAUACUAUAUGAGCUGUGGGAUUGCACCUGAAAAUCAAUAUGCACGUAUUCAUGAGGACGAUCUCCUUCAUUUCUAUCAGUUUAUCAAUGUGAUACUAUCCUUUGAAUGUUGUCAUAUAGGUUUCUGAUUUUAGUAAUUUGCUAAGCUCAAUUCUCAUGCAACGUCAACUUUGUAAAGUAGAAAUUCACCUUCUAGCCAAAUAUCUUGUAUUGCUGAUUUUGCUAACGGGGCUAACGGGAUAUUGCAAAAUAACCAAGACAUAAAUUCAUCUUUCUGUUCUGUAGUUUAAGCACUUUGCCUUCCAGCAUAUUUUUGUUGACAUCAAUUGUGUUCUUAAACACAAACAAGAGUAGUGUUGCUAGUUGCUACUUCUCCCAAACCUGUUGUUUUCUUUUUCAUGGGCCAGCUCAUGAAGUCUCUGUUCAUUGCGGUCCAAUUGCAAUUGGUGCAAUGAUGCUUGUGCAUUUGUACCUUAUCUCUCAUAAUGUAAAUUGUGAUGCUCCGAUCUCAAUUAUCUCCAUUUAUUGAUAAUUAGUAAAUCAUAUCCUUCUUGUGUCGAUUCAAGCUGCAUUUCAUAAAAUUCAGAGAACAUUCCCAAACAUCACUGGACGAAGAUGUGGACCGGAAUGAGAUAGGUCAUGAGACGUUAAGGAAAGGCAUUCCAAAGUUCUUUGCAAAAGGUGCUUAUAACGUGCUCCAUGCUGAUCAUCUUGAUAGGGUUUUUGAUAUAAAGGGACCUCUUCUAAUGUGGUGCAGUAGUCCUUUGCAAGCUUUGAUAUCAUGCUAUUAUUUAGCAAAGGUUGAAUUUCAAAAUGCUUGCAGGAAUGCUGCAUGUGCAGGUGGUUCUAGAUAUGAAGUUAAGCAUAAAAUCAUGUUUGUCAACAAGAUUACUGUUUAGAUGUCCACUUCAAGCUACAAUUUUGUGAAUGCGAGAGACUUCUUUCAUGGAAAAAGCGAAUGUCAUGGAAUCAGUAAAUAAUCUGUCAACUGCAAGCUAGAUUUUCAGUAAAAAGCUUCCCGAAAGAUAGUAGUUUUUCAUUCAGAAGAAUUUUGAGCACAAAAAAAAAGUGUUCGUUAGUGUACAAUCAGCUCUAGUUUUUCAUUUAGAAGAAUUUUGAGCACAAAAUAAAAGUGUCCGUUAGUGUACAAUCAGCUCUUGGAUCUCAAACUUGAUUCCUUUUGAGCAUGAGUCUAUAAAGCAGAGUGGACACAGCCAUUCAUUUUCAUACUUGAAACCAAAUUUUCUUUGGCGUUGGCUACAGUUUAAGACUGAUUAAAAAAAAUGUUAAGAAAAAUCUUUGGAAGGGUGAAAGAAGCCCCUCCCAAAAUUUAUACUUAUUUGGUUUGGACCAAACCAUUGAAUGGUCGUCUACUUGGUUAGUACUUGGACUCUACUUCCAAAUUGUAGUAGUUGGUCAUGCAUUCAAGUUUCAAUCGAACCAAUUUUUUUGGGGCUAGUACUCUCAGAUGUUCCUCUUCAUCGUACUACAUUACAUUGGUGGAACUUUAGUAGUUAAAAGAUACUCACAAGAUAAUCAUAUAUUCCGAUUCAGUCAUUGUCUACUAGAACUUUAACUCAAUACUUUCCGGAGCUUGAGACAAGGCCAAGUAACUUGUUAAGCCAAGUUUGAAUCUUUAAGCACUAAAUCAUACAUAAUGCGGGCCGCACGAACGAGUCAAAACAUUAGUUAAAUAUAUUAAACACAAAAUAAUCUAAUUUUGAGCAUAUUAAUUAUAUAUAACACGAGAAAAGUCGCAAGUAAAGUCAAUCUAUUGAUUAUAUAAUUUAUAACAUAGCUACUCAAUAACACAAGAAUGAUAGUAUGCCAUUUCUUUUUAUAGCAUACAAUCUAGACCUCUACAGUAUGCCAUUUCUUGACGGGCUACUAAUCCAGCAUGAUAGUACAAUGUCUUUAUACAUCACUUCUUAUUCAAGUAUUUUGCGACAUCAACGCAUUCACUCUUUGCAAGGCAAUAUACUAUGCCACAAAAAUUAGCAAAAUAAUUCUUUAGCAGCUCUCCAAGCUGCUUCAGUGGUUCCUCGGUCUUAGCUAUGACCUCAUAUUUUAGACUUAGUGUGACAUCCAGAAUUUUCAGUAUUGUUUUCUAUUAAAUUAAUUGGGCAUUUCAUUGACGGGUCUAUAGGGUUGUUCUCAGAGCUGAUCACUCUCGAGAUAACUAGACUAGCUGGGUAAGCCAUUAAAGAAUAUUAAGGCAAUAGACUUGAGAAUUCGACCAGGAAGCGGCUUCUCGACCGUGUUCAUUUUUAGAGGUCAUUACUGCACAGUAAAGAUCGAAUUGAGAUCAGAGAUAGGUCGGUUCGACUGAGAUGUGUGGCCGAUCGUGGGUGACUCCACUAAAUUGGAAAAUUCUCGUCGACCGGCACUAAUUUGAUUUUCUGUCGUUUUGGUACCCUGUGUUGGUAGUCGAGCCCUCGAGAUUUUCACGACAAUUGAGAGUCGCCAAUGUGUCGAGUGGGUUCAUUGUGGCUCGAAGAAAAUCGACCACGAGUCAAUUGCCCUAAAAAGUUCUGAAAACUACCCGGUAGUCUAGGUCACACUAAAAGCACGCCGGAGUGAAAUUAACCGUCGAUUUGAGUCAGAUUUCAGAAAUCGAAAGUUCAGUGAUGUCACAAGCUAUUUUUGGAGCAUCGACUCAGUCUUAGAAGAUUUUCGGAGAUUCAGGAAUUUUUACAGAAAACCGUUUCGGACGUCGCGGAAGUUUGGCCGAAGUUCAGAUUGGCUAAAAUAAUGGGAAAUUUGACUUUCGGGUUGAGCUUGUGUGUGUCGGAGAUUUAUAGAAGCCAAAUGAAGAUGGAUUGAAAUUAUUCAAGUAUCCAAUUGAGAGGAGAUGAUCCCAAAUUCGUAACCCCCCAUAAGCCUAGCUAAUUUGAACCAAUUGGAAGGUCAUGGAGACUGUCUUGGUGGCUCAUUGGAGGCCAUGAGUUAUACUUGGCCUAGGAUAAAUCUUAGAGAGCAAGAUUGGAAAAUAUCAAGCCUUGGUGGAGCCCUCCACUCUCUCUUAUCCUCAAGACCAUGCGUGACCAGCAAAAAGGGAGGUAGAACCAGCAAAGCUUCCUCCGCGUGUCUUCCUCAACUCCACUUCUCUGCCCCGUAAACGACUGCAACCCAGCGUCCACCGAAGCCAUCUACCGAGCUUUCUUCAUGUCAGCUGCGAGAUCUUCAAUUUAAAUUGCUCCUCGCCACUUGUCCAUGUCCAGUGGAUCUUCAGUCAAUAGCAGCCGAGUUUCUCCCAUUCGGUUGACCCUACAACGCCAGCGAAGAUCCCUGCAGCAGCUUCACCGAGUCCAACAUCUUCAGUCUUCCCCUGUGGCGUGCCCUCAGCUCGACGCCAGCCCGCCAGUCAACUCCAACGCCCUCAGAAGACCACCGAUUCAACCAAGUCCUCGCCCACGCAGAUCCAGCAACCGAAGCUGCUCCCCAUCUCUGCCAUGUUUCGGUCGAUUUCACUGGUCAAAGUCCAGCUGAAAACCAUUGAAGAUUGAUCGAGGAAAUCCCCCACCGAGCGAAGCCCUGCCACGAAGCAAAUCCAAUUUCCUCUCCAUCUUCAGCGCCCGAAGUUCCUCACGUGGCCAGCUCCACCUUCGUUUAUUCACAAAUCAAUUCACCGAAGGCAGCAUCGAUCGGUCAAUUGACCGCAUACUCCCACGACCAGCUGCACGCGUGCCCUCAGCCCAAACCGAAGCUUCAGCCCAGCAAGUUGAUUGUUUUCACAAGUCAGCCCAGUCUUUGAAGUCCUGCGGCCCAAGAAGCCCAGCAAGUGCUAUUUCAGUCAAGCUUGGCCCAUUUCAGUAACAAAUCUCAGUUGGGCUGAGAUUUGUUGGGCCAAGGUCAAGGCCCGGGCCCAAGCCCGCCGGUGUUGUCGAAAGUCCGAUUUCGGCCGCCGUCGCGUCGCCGUUGCGGUGAUUCGGUCUCCGCUUUUGUCAAGUGAGUUUUACUCACUAAAGCUUUCUUAGUUUGCUAAAUAUGCUUAGGGGUUGGUUAGAUUUAAUUAAAUGCAAUUAGGUGGUUAGAUUAGUUUAGAUCAAUUAAAUUAGAGACUUAAUGAUGCAUGUUAGGUGGUUAGAAAUAGACAUUAGCAAGUAGACAUGCCCUGUUAUUUAUGGAGCGAAUCUCGGUAAUUUUCCGGGCUUGUCUCGGAAUCCAAUUCGGCAUUAUAAGCCUAAAUUGGAUUUUUAUAAUUAUUUAUUUAAUUUUCGAAAUUAAUUAUUUAAUUAUUUAUUUUUCCGGAAAUUCAACCGGGAUGGCCGGUGACCGGAAUUUCGUGCUGAUUGUCGUGGUGCAGUCCGUUUAUUUAUUUGAGCUUUAUUUGGUGCUAAAGUAAUUUAUGAGUGAAUUUAAGAUUUAUUCCUAAAUUGAAUCUGGAGAGGGUGGGGUGGGACCGUAAAGCCACUAGUUCUUGAGAGGGUCGGGUGGGACCGUAAAGCCACUAGUUCUUGAGAGGUUCCGAUUGAUACGAAAUCGACUAGGUCGAUUCGAUCGAUGCUUCGAUCGGUGAUGUGAUUGUUUGAAUGCCUAUUGAACUGUACUAAUAUGCAGAUGGAAUCUGAGGCCAAGGUAAGUCCUCCAACUCGUGCCGUGUUUAGGCAGCCUAUAGUGUAUUGGCUUUCUAAUCGAGUCUUAGGGGGUAGGACUCGCUGAGACGUGGUCUCAUUGGUUAUUGAAUAACCAUUUCAGGACCCUGAGGAGAAGCUAAGGAAGGGGAACCUGAAGGGGAGAAAGUAUUUUGAAGUAGAAGAUGAUCCAGAGAGGGAUCUUGAAUAUAACCCGGAUGUGGAUUGAGAUCCCAUCCCUUUUGUGAACCCUGUCUUGGUAUAGAUAGGUGUGAGACUUUUAUGCUGUAAAUAGUAUUGUAAAUAUACUAUGAGUUGUGCUGUUAAUGAAAGUGUGGUUGUGAAUUUCAAUAUGAAAAAUAUGGCCUGCUUUCCUAUCCCAUUGUUUUAUUGUCUGGGGAUUUAUAACUGCUUCCGCAUGUGCUUAAUAAAAAAAAAGGGUCGGCGAUACAUAGUUCUGGGAUAUCGCAUUAUAAAAUCGACCAAGUAGAAGGAUGUGCGUGCGUCCGAGGAUCGGGGCGUGACACUUAGUCUGUCAAAGCUUGUCUCAAGAACAAGAGCAUGGGGAAUCCCAAAAGAUUUUAGGAUAUCUUACAAUGGAUGGAUAAUUCAAUCAGAAUGAACAGAUUAUUUCAACAUAAUAAGGAGAUUAAUAUAUAAGUUUAGUACCUUGCGAAUUGAGUGAGUGGCAGUUUCAGCUAAGGCCAUCACUAGGUCAUAUGCAAAGUUAGGCUUGAGACAUACCGGUCCAUAAUCUGGAUGAGAAUCGUGUCCCCAUAGACUACAUUAAUGACAACCACAAAGUGACAAUCAAUGAGCUUUCAACGUUAAUCAGUCACAAGUACAAGAAAAGCUCAAAUCAGCAGUCUGUUCCUUUCAAGAGAUCAAACUGACAAAGCAAAUCUAGUUAAGACCUUGUAAGAAACACAAUCAAUGAUCACAUGGUUGAACCUUUGCUUUCGCAAAUUGUUAACAUAAAGUAUAAGCGUUAAUGAAAUAAAUAGGGAUACGAGAACCAGCUUAAGAGACUGAGUAUCCUCCCGAAUAUAGAGAGGUGAUUGGAUCCUUAUCCAAGCUUAUGCCGGAUCCAAUUACUCUAGGAAGUAAUUUCCAUUGGAGCUUAUUUAAGUUGUGUCCUCUUUACUCAAUAUAAUGAAUGAUGUGCCACUGAGUGUUCCAAAAUGACAAAACCUAAAUCUUUUCAUCAAACAAGGAACACUGCAUUCUGUUAUAUUAGAACUUCACAUGGUUCUAGGCUUCGGAAGGUCUAGUGUAACACUAACAAUUUUAUUUAGGCUAGAAACCCAGAAAAUGCAGAAAAGUUUGGAAAAAUAGUUCAAGUCAGCAUAUAUAAAAGUCAACUUGCUUAUAUUUAUCAGGAACAAGAACAACAGUUUUGCAGUGGCAACAUCACAAAUAAUUAUUCCUUUUGAAGUAGCUCUAGCAUGACCUUUCUUCAUGUACAAGGCAUGCUAAAUAUUACGCAUACCUCACGCAAUGUGCCUCAUCAAUAACAAAACCAGCUAGUUGUGCCUGCAAUGCAUGAUGGUCGAAUAUAAUACAUUUACAAAGGAACCUUUUAGAAAAAAAGUAAUGAUGCAUCAGAAACAAUCCCUUUCUAUGCAAGCAUUUCAAUAUCUCAAGAAAUGAUGGGUUUCCCACAAUCCUUUCAAUAGUUACAUACAAUAGCUUGCAUGAUGGUUUAACUUUUCUGAAAAGGCAGGCAAAGCAGAAGUGGAGAUAUAUAAUUUAACAAUCACAAUACUCAGCAUAAAUCACAAGCCUUCGUUUAUGCAAAACAUUCCUAUCAAAGACGCCUGAUUGCUAAUCCACACUUUGACAAUCUGCUGUACUCAAAGUAUUUGAGAAAUAUAGGUAUUUGUACAUCAUCCAAAACUUAUGUCAACUUCUCUAUUGACCAAAGAGUUCUAAUAUGUCAUUUUGGAUCUUGAAGAGUGUGGAAGAAAUUGGCAAAAGUUAAGAUUGUCUAUUGGACAUUUGAUUAGAUGAGAAGCUGCAUAAGCAAUUUAUUAAAUGCUUUUGGACAUGUACAUUGUGUACAUCCUUUGUUGUGUGCAGAAUCACAAGCAAAUUGAAACCGACCAAGCAGAGAAUAAAUUAUAUGAGAACACAACUGUGACACAGUGAUUUAAGUGGUUUGGCAAGUAUUGGCUAUGUCCAUGGUUGAACCAUACCAUGGACUCUAAAGAUUGUCUGGCCAGAAGUUGAGUGGAAAAAUAGUUGGUACCUUAUCUCUUCUUGCCCUCCCUGAUUCUUGGUAAUAACUUUCGAUUGACUUGGACAUUGUGUUGCGGUUGACAAAAUGCUGACCGCAUGCCAUAAAAUAUAAUUACUAAACCAAUAAAAAAAGUAGAAAUAUGACAAAAACAUUAUAACUAAAGGUCAAGUUAGAUUAGAGUCAUUUGCCACUUUUACUGUAAAGAAAAGAACUUUAUCCUAGUUGAACUUAAUUUCAGCACACCAAAGUUCCAUGCUUGGAAGAAAGAAUUCGGCUAGAAAAAUAGCCAAGAAUGACAAUUUAGCAGGCCACUGGACCAUGGAACUAGCAAAGUUUACUUUAAAGCACACUAAGAAACCAAUUAGUGAUACUUAAACAUUUGAAGAAAAGUGGAUUAAUCGAGUAUUUGCCAGCAUGUCAGUUCGGUUCUAAAACUAAAAAUAGACAAAGGUGCAAAGUCUAUUUCAGCUUACAACAUUCGGUUUGUCUAUUCCCAUGCCAAAAACAAUGGUAGCACAUACAACCUGGAUCUCUCAAGUGUGCCAUUUCUUUUGAACAGCUACUCUUUGACGGGCUGCUAAUCCAGCAUGAUAGUACACCAUCCUUAUACCGCACUUAUCAUUCAAGUAUUUUGCAACAUCACAUUUACUAUUUGAGAGGCAAUAUACCAUGCCAAAAAAAUUAGCAAAAUGAUUCUUUAACAACUCUCCAAGCUGCUUAGGUAUGACCUCAUACAUUAGAUUUGGUCUGUCAAAUCUGUCUCAAGAACAAGAGCAAGGGGGAUCCAGAGAGCUUUCAGGAUUUCAAUCGGUCCCAAAUGAUUAUUUCAAUAAAAUCUGGAGUUUAAUGUGCAAGUUUCGUUCCUCACAAACUUGCUGAGUGGCAGUUAAGGCCAUCAUUGGGACGUAUGGAAAUUUUUGCUUGAGACAUCCCAGUCCUCUAUAAUUUGGACAAAAAUCAUGUCCCUGUGGACUGCAAUAAUGACAACAAAGAAAGUAAUGAUCAAUAAGCCUUACCCGUUUACAAUCAUUCAAAUAUACAAGAAAAGCUUAAACCAGCAGUAUGUUCCUUUCAUGAGAUUGCGCUGGCGGCACAAAUCCAGUAAGGACCUCAUAAGAAACACAACCAACGAUCCAAUGGGCAAAGUUUUGCCUUAUAUCUCAAGUUGUUAAUAUCAAGCCAAACAUGGACACUUCCAAUCACUUCCGAAAGUAAUUUCCAUUGGAGCUCAUUUUAGUUGUGUGCAUUUUGCUUUGUUUGAUUAACGAUGUGCUGCUGACUUUUUCCCAAAAGAAGGAACUAGGUCAUUUCCAUAAUUAGUUAUUUCAAUAUUGCAUUAUGUUAUACUAGAUCGUCACAGAAGGUCGGGGUUUCAAAAGGUUCAGUGUAACACCAACAAUGUACUUAGGCUAGAAACAUAUAAAAUGCAAAAACGUUCAAAAAAGAGAGUUUGAGUGAGCAUAUAUAAAAGUUAACUUGCUUUUCUUUAUCUAGGACAAGGAGAGUUGUUUUGUAGUGGCAACAUCAUAAACACAUAUUCCUUUUGAAGUAACUCUAGCAUGAACUUUGCUUCAUGCCAAAGAGCAUACCUCAUACAAUGUGCCUCAUCAACAACAAAACCAGCUAGUUGUGCCUGCAAUGCACAACAAUCGAGUAUCAAAAAGUUAAAAAGAAACUUUCAAAAAAGUUAUAGUUUAUCAAAAAUAGUACCUUUCUACGCAAGCAUUUCAAUAUCUCGAGAAAUGAUGGGUUUCCCACAAUCCUUUCAGGAGUUACAUACAAUAGCUUGCAAGAUGGAUUUUCCUGAAAAGGCAAGCGAAAAAGUGGAGAUUAAUGACUUGAUAAUCACAACACUCAGCAAAAUAAAUAAAUAAAUAAAUAAAUAAUUAGAAGUCCGAUAGAAACCCUAUAGCAACAAUUAUAGCCCAACAUUUUAUGGAAAAAUGAUGAUUGUAUGGUAUGAUGUACUUCUCUAGGAACACUAAGAUCCUAAAAUUUAUUUUUAAGGCAAACAUCUUAGGCAUGAAUCUUCUCAUUAACUACAUGAAAAAUGUGCAUUCAUUGCAACAUAUGGAGCAUAGCAUUUAUGGCAGGAUAAAGAUCGUAUGGUAAGAUAUACUUCUCUAGGAACACAGAGAGAGAGAGAGAGAGAGAGAGAGAGAGAGAGAGAGAGAGAUCGUAUGGCAAAAUAAUGAUUGUAUGGUAUGAUAUACUUCUCUAGGAACACUAAGAUCCUAAUAUUUAUUUUUAAGGCAAACAUCUUGGGCAUUAAUCUUUUCAUUAACUACAUAAAAGAUGUGCAUUCAUUGCAACAUAUGGAGCAUAGCCAUUUUAUGGCGGGAUAAAGAUCGUAUGGUAAGAUAUACUUCUCAUAAGGAACACAUAGAGAGAGAGAGAGAGAGAGAGAGAGAGAGAGAGAGAGAGAGAUGGAGCAUAGCCAUUUUAUGGCGGGAUAAAGAUCGUAUGGUAAGAUAUACUUCUCAUAAGGAACACAUAGAGAGAGAGAGAGAGAGAGAGAGAGAGAGAGAGAGAGAGAGAGAGAGAGAGAGAGAGAGAGAGAGAGAGAGAGAGAGAGAGAGAGAGAGAGAGGGGAGGGAGAGACAGAGAGAGAGAGAGAGAGAGAGAGAGGGGAGGGAGAGAGAGCUAAACCUUACCUAAGAUCUUGGAGGACAGCCGAUGCUUGGGCAGCAGUUUGCUGAGACUUCAAGAAAGUAGAUAGUAUUCCACACUUGAGGGCUAGAGUAAUUAUUUGAUCCUGGAUGAUUGAUAGAAGGGGACAUAUAAUGACUGACACUUGGUUUAAGAGUUGCUGGCAGCUGAAACGAAGGGUAAAAACAUCAGAAGAACACUUGAAGAAAAGGUGGGAUGAGGGAAUUAUCCUUUCAUUCACCUUCAGCUGAUCAGAAAGCACUGGUUGUUACUAUUUGUAUUAUAUUUACUUCAACUAGAAACAUAUAUCAACUAUUUCAAGACUGAAUAGAAAACACUUUAGGAUAACUCAACUUAAUAAAUUCAGAAUAAUAACUUCCUUUGAGAUUCAGUAGACCAAAUAUUCGCAUGCUACCAAGAUCCAUUAUAUGAUCACCCUAGUAGAGAUGAUGACAUAGCACAUACCUGCAGGAGAUAUAGACAUCUACAAUCUGUAUUUGGUGCAAGUAAUUUGAAAACUUACUCCUCUUUGACUUAAUAACCCUUUUGAAUUGGACCUAAACUAUGACUGACAACAACACUUACAUGCAAAAACAAGAUAAAUUUUCCAAUAAGUAAUUAGAAGGUCCUAGAAGCAUAGCACAAACCUCGAAUUCUAGAAAUCACAGAAUAGAUAGAACUGUGCGAAGGCAGAACAAGAAUGUCCUGCAUAAUAUUCUUUUCCUACUUAGUCAGAUCCUGUACAUUGGAACCCAUGGUUCUGUAGUUGAAUCACUUCUUAUAGCUUAAUUUGCAUUUGGAAAACAUUUGUAUCCUUAAGUUUGAGCACAAACUUUGUAACAGUGCCAACAAAGCAAAUUCUAAGAUCAUUUUAAAGCUUAAAUUUCAAUAUACAAGUCUGUCCAUCUAGUAUUUAAACAAUGGAACCAUUAAGCAAAGUGCACAGGGCUUGUGCUCUAAACAUUGUCUCCACUUUCUUCUACUUACAAUCAUCACGUUGUGACAAUUUUAACAUUCACUAAACUGGCAACAUAAACUUUUACCACCUCCAAUGGGCAUGAGAAUGAAGCAAUCUUGCUUGGCUAUAGAAGCUUUACAUGCCUGAUGCCGCAUUGGUCAAAAUGCCUUGUUUCUGAGACAAUGUUUGCCGAUUUUAUUUGAAACUAACGAUAUUGAACAUUGAGUGACAGUGCUCUUACAGUCCUUCAACAGAAUUAAGCUUCUUUAGCACCGUAAUAGUUUCUGACAUGGAUUGUCAUGGAAAAUGAAAAAUGUGCACAAAGAUCACGAGCCUUCAUUUAUGCAACACAUUCCUAUCAAAGACGAUGGAUCGCUAAGUUCCACACUUUGAUGAUCUGCUAUAUUCUCAAAGUAUUUUGAGAAAAUUGUUACUCAUACAUCAUCCAAAACUAAAGUCAACUUCUAUAUCGACCGAAGAGGUCCAAUAUGUCAUUUUGGAUCUUGAAGAUUGUGGAAGUAAGUGGCAAAAGUUAUAACUGUCUAUUGGACAUUUCAUUGGAUGAGAGGCCCCAUAAGCAAUUUACUAAAUGCUUUUGUACAUGUACAUCAUGUAGGUCCUUUGCUGUGUGCAAAAUCACAAGCAAAAUGCAAAUGAUCAAGCAAAGAAUAAAUUAUACGAGAACAUAAUAGUGACACAGUGAUUUAAGUGGUUUGGCAUGUCAUGGCUAUGUCCAUGGUUGAAGCAUACUAUGGAUUCUAAAGAUCGUCUGGCCAGAAGUCGAGUGGAAGAAUCGCUCAAAGUACUGCUUUAGUCAAGAACAUAGCAUGUAGAUUUCCUGCCCAUUUUACUGCCAAAUAUCUUGCCUUCGUCAUCACUAUCAGUAGAGGAAUCCUCACCUCAAGAAAAGUUUGGUUUUUCUUAGGUUGUGGAGAAUCUUCUAUAACAUGGACAUCGUGUAUAACUUUGCAUUCAUCGUCAUAACGGAUAUCUUGGCCAAACAUAUUGGUCAAAAUUCCACAAGCUUCUGAUUCUGCAGCUUGCAAAUCAUCCCAAUCCUAAGAAUCUUGCAUGGUUUCGGCAAGUUCUGCUAGGAAGUUAUCGUCACAGUGCUCCACAGUGAUAAACUCUCGACCUUAGUCCAUCUUAAGAAAACCAAAAGAAGAAAGAGAUGGCUUUGCAAGUUCCAUGUCAAGCGAGAGAUCAAAUAAAUACAAUCUUCAGUACGUAAUUUGCACUUAGUUCAGUGAGACGAUAUUAGUAAUAUUGCAAGACACCAUAAGCAAUUCGCAGUGAGUUUAGAAAUAAGCCAUAUAGUUCACUAGUCAACAGGACUACUCCACCAAACCCACAAAGAAACAAGGAUGGGAUUAACACUCAAUGAACUAAAUUUAACCAGCUCCGGUCCAUUCCAAUCCAAAGUAGACUAUUCCAUAGCCAUCAUCAAAAUCAUGACUAGCUGCGAUAAAUGUCCUUAUUAGCAAUGCACAAUCAACCAAUUCACAAAUUAUCCACUCAACACAAGCAAUCAUGUCAUUCUCUAAUGACUAGAUAUUGUGCAAUUUGGUCAAUAAACAAGGAAAAACCAUCACCUAAAGUAACCUAAAACAUCAAACUAGAACGGUGCCAGACUUUUUGCCCAUCAGUAAAACUACUUCACGGAACCCGCUCCAGUCCAUUCAAACCUAGAGGAGACUAUUCCACAGCCAUCAUCGUCGUGGUGGACGAGAAAUACCUACACAACCUCUGCAAACACUAAUCAGCAAAAAAAAAAAAAAGGCGGGUGAUAAAGUAACGAUUCGAGUUACCGUAGAGGGAAACAAGACAGUUCAAGCACUUGCUGGCAGACUCCUCAUUGAAGCCGAACUUGAGAGCCAAUCUCAGCAACCCCGAGCUUUCCAUUGAGUCUCAACCUGUUCGACGCGAUUUGAUCGAUCGAUGAUGCAACAGUAGGAAUGGAAAAUCGAUCCGUAGUCUCUCUCUCUCUCUCUCUCUCUCUCUCUCACUCUGCCUUUUUUACCUGCUGGAGUGAAGAGGCUGGAGCCAUUUUUUCUUUUUCAUUCUUUCAAAAAUUCCGUUUUUGCACCUGAAUUUUGUUGGAAGCUCUAUUUUUGCCCCCUCAUAAGUUUUCUUGGUUUCAUUUGACACCCUUGGGUUGGGUCUGAGUAAAUAUUAGAAGAAGAGCAAGUAUUUCACGUGAGAGUUACAAGUAUACCGUCACGUGAUACAUCAAGCCAAGCGUUAUUUAACAAAGUGGCUAUAGGUUACAAUUAGCAGUGAGAUUGUCCAAUUAGUCCUGAAACUAUAUAUACGUAUAUCAAUUUGGUUAUAAACUUAUCAAUUCUACCAAAUAAAUCCAAAAUAUUUGCUAAAAAAAAUAUAAUAUAAUCAUUAUGGCAAAUUUUUGCUAAACAUUGCUGACAUUGUAGUGUGCCGCAUAAGACGACAAACAAUAAUUGGACUCCUGCGUCAACAAUUUCUAGCGAAAAUUGACCAGAAUGACUACAUUGAAAUUUCGCGCCAAAGUUUAGGAUUAAAUCGACAAAAUUAAAAAAAUUUAGAAUCGAAUUUGUAUAUGUACAAUAAAUUUACAACCGAUUAGGUAAUUUCCUUUAAAACUGGCAAAGCAGCUUUACUUUUUUGUGUUUUUUUUUUUUAAUUUCAAGUUAUAUAAAGUCCGAUUUGUGACAUUUAUAACAUGAAACCCAAGAAGAUCUUCUCUCCUUUCUUUGUCACGUUUUUUUUUCUAUUCUUUUAGGGCUUUUUCAUUUAUUUUUCUUUUUUGCCAAUGACGUUCUUUAUUUUCUUUAUAUGUUGAAUUUCUAAAUCCAUGGACCUUACCCCUAAUCUCAAAUUACAUAAACACCCCCCUCACGUUGAUGUUAUACUUAACUAUUGCGUAAAAAACUGACGUCUUUCUCUUUUCUAUUUUUUUUUCCUCUGCAAAGAGAAGAUUUUGCGUGUCAAACUUAAGAAGUUUUUUUAUUUUUUUCUAUUCAACUUAAUUAUAAAGUUUGGAUGGUUAUGUUAUUGACGGUCUAUGUUGAACGUUCUUAUUUUGCUUUUUUGGGGAAUGCGGGUUUUCUUAAGACUCAGCAUCAUGAGCCGGAUCAUCAUAGCAAUUGAAACUCAUUUUUACGAAGACAAGCAUGGACCUAGAAAGCCUAAUUAUCCAAUGGGGUCGGCCCAGUUGAUAUUGGCGAAAACACGUGUUGAGUUAUAAUACUAGGGGCGGUUGGGGGAUCGCUCACUUAAUCGCAGCUCCAGUGGAGGCAAAUUUGUUGUUUGUGAUGGGCGGGGGUGGUGUGGUGACAGGGAUCUAACCUCUCCUUUCAAAAAUUGAUCUUUGGAUAAGGGCGGGCGGCAGCAACCGCGCCCGCUAAUGGAGCGACCGUGAUUGAAUUGAAUGGGAUGGGAUGGGGAGGGGCUUGGCAGUGGGCACAAACCUCCAGCGAGUCUACUGCUUUUUGAGGGUUGAGGUUGGGCGAUGAUGAUGAUUUACGCGACAGAUUUGGAAGAGCGACCCGUUUCUUUCUUCUCCUGUUGCUGCUGAGUUCCUUCGUCUUGCACGUGACCCAUAUGGUAAAAACACAAAGAUAAGAAAAGCAGCCCAACAAGCGCGAUGGCGACAGAUGAUACAAGCAUCCCCAUUGACUUCACCAUCAGAAUGACAUCGAGAAUCAGAACAUACCAAAGAAUGCUGGGAGAGACAGAGAGACAGAAGAGCUUUAAAAAUGGUCGCGAUUCGAGGAUGAACAACGUGAAGGUUCAGACCUUAGAGCAUGAAAAAGAGCAAGUUAAGAGGGACGUAUUUUCCAAACGUGGGAAUUCCUAUGAGGGGCUUGCCCACAUAUGCGAAAAGAGACAACACUAAACUUGGUCACAAAGAAAGAGUAUUUUGACAAAUUGGAGAAUCGUGCCCGCUUGAAUUAAAGCGGUUUCCACAAAAUGUUUCAAUUAAAGUUGUUUACGUCCCAACCAUGCAACAUCGAAUGGUCGACACUAACUAAAUCACCACAUGAGCAAUUUUGAGCGAAAAUGGAGUAAUGAAUUGAUAAUUUUCCCUCAGAAUUAAGCUAAAAAAAUUAUCAAGUUGCCAUAAUUUUCUAACGUGUAUUUAGAUAGCCUCUCUAUGAAAAUCAUACGAUCAAGAGGGUGGAGCGGACACCUAACCCACUACUAUUAUAUAGAAAAAAGGAUGGACGCCAGUUUCCUUAUUUGCCCUUACAUUCAAUCACAAGAAUAUAAGUCAAAUGUUACUAGGUUUCUCUUUAGGGCGCGUUUGGUAAUGAAUUUGUUCCCGGGAGCCGAUUCUGACUAGGGAUGAUUAUUUUUUAUUCUGUUCCCGGGAACUGAUUUUGAGUAAAAAAACGUGUUUGGUAACUGUCCAAAUUUUUUAAUUCUGGCAUAGAAUUGCGUUUGAUACCGUGCUAAUUGAUUAUGUUCCAAAUUAAUUUCUUUUGAUUUUUAAAUAAUUUUUUACUUUUUUUCUUUUCUUUUUUCCUUUUUUUUUCUUUUAUUUUUUUCCCUUUUUUCCUAUUCUUCUUCUUCUUCAUGUGGCCGGUCACCGGACUGGCCCUCGUCGGCCGAGCCUCGCUGGCAGCUAGGCAAGGCUCACCUAGCCUUGCCAGUGGCCAAGCCGGCCUCGCCCAACCUGGCCACCGGCGGGGUUGGGCGAGGCUCGCCCAGCUGCCGGCGAGGCUGGGCUUGCCUCUAGCGAGCUCGUUGGACCUCGCCUUGUCCUGGUGAGCCUCCAGCAAGCUUGCCGGACUGGCGAUUGGCGGCGGAGGGCAGCGGCGGGCGACGAAAACAGUGGCGGGCGGUGGCGAACGGCAAUCGCGAGAUGACGGAAGGGAAGAAUGAGAGUUUUAUUGUUUUGAUUCUUUUUUUGAUUCUCGGACGAAGAAUCAUAUUUUUUUUUUCUCAAUUCUCUUCCCAAUCUGUUUUCGGGAACAAAUUUGUUCCCGAGAAUUAAAAUUUUACCAAACAUGAUUCUCGUCCCAAACUGAUUCUGGGAACAAAAAAUCAGAAUCAGGCACUGUUUGGCACGUUGCCAAACAGGCCCUUAGUAACCAACGGUGGGGUUAUGCUUUUCCCCUUAAAAAAGUUUAGUGUGAAUUAUUUUAUUAUUCUAAAAAUGCAAUGUGUUUCGUAUUAAUAAAAAAAUUUAUAUUGUAUAUAUCGAAGCUCAUAUAUCUUCGGAUUAUAAUAUAUAUGUAUAUCGAGAGGCGUAAACUAAAAGCUUAUGCUAAGGCUUCAUCAGUUCCAUGGCAAGUAAUUCCUCGAAUGGAUGCUCAUAUUAAGGAAUCUCGUCCUCCUUUUCAAUUGCCUAAAUUGUAAGAGAUUUAAAUCUUUUGAAAAGGAAUACUUCUCAUUGGCAGCGGCAACUACGAUAAACGACUGGCGACUAGGGACCAAUGGGGGCAGCAACUUGCGGCCAAUGAUAGUGGCGGCAAAGUAUAGUGGUUACUGGUUUUAGGAUCUGGAAUUGGAAUGUCCAUAUAAGCUAUUGCCGAAUCAUUCCCCGCAUGCUUUUCAAGGAAAAUCUUAUUCCUUGUGGAACCCAAUUUCACAUUUCGAUUUCACUCCAAACAUGAAAAUUACGGGACCCGAAAAUCUUGUUUAGAAGCUUUUCUGGGUAGCUGGCUCUCCAGCCUUUUCCAAUGGAAAGAACGCACUUCUGGUUCGCGACCGACCCAACGAACGGUAGGACGACAGAGCUAAUUAAGUCACGACAAAGUCCAAAGACCCCCUGAUUGCGGGGGAAGGUGAGGAAGGUCCCACGUUUGAACAUUCAAAUAUCAUUUAUCUGUUGCUGUGCAUCAGCAAAAGAAGAUAUUGGCAAAGUAAUACGGUUGGUUAGUUACAUUUUUACCUUUAAUAUAUUUCAAUGGAACGAUUUACAAAAUUUUGGAAAAAUAACAUUUCCAACACUACUUUACCGUUGGCAAAAACUAAAGAACUACUCUUUUUUUUUUUUUUUCAAACAGAACCUAUUAUAUUUAUGGACCAAACUGAUUACAAGCAGCAGCUAUCGCAUCAGCGUAAAUAAGAUCUAAAAGAGGGGGAGGGGGAAAACCAGCCCAGUUACUUCGCUUGGAAUUGACCCUAUGGGCCUUCGCAGCCCAAUUAGCAGCAACAUUUGCCUCACGACUACAGAAUGCUAGGGAAAUAUUGGGAAAAAACAAAAGCAGGAAGGCAGCUUUGAAGAAGAGGCUUCGUUCUUGCCAUGGCGGCGAGCGUUGACCCUUCAGUGUCUCAAUGAGGGUUUGGCAAUCAGAUUCAAGAGUCAGCGCAGCAUGAGAGAGGUCUUGAUCAAUCAAAUGAUGGAGAGCAAGCAAGCAAGCGUGGAUCUCCGCCUGCAGAGCCGAGAAGGCAGCAAAGCUAUCUGAGAAGCCACCAGUAAGUUGUCCUUGCGAAUCACGACACACACAAGCCAUAGUCCCUUCCCUGCUCCCCAGUUGAUAAGAUCCAUCGAUAUUGACCUUUAAAACCCCCGGAUCUGGGGGUCUCCAUAUAGUUUCGUGAUGUUGAAAAAAAGCAGCUUUGCAGGUGGAAGAACGAGCAACAGUAGAAUCCACACGAGAUUGAAGCACUGCUUCUUCAGCUACACGAUGCGGAUCAGGAUGUUUUCGUCCAAAAAUAAAUGCAUUUCGAGCCUUCCAUAUGUGCCAAGGGACUGUGGCGAUCACUGGAAGACUAGGUAAGGGUUUCUGAUCACCGGCAUGCUCUAUGAUCCAGGCUGUGAUAUUCCUUAUAUGCUGAGUUUGAAUGGGGAGGUUGAUCUGAAGAUUACUCCAAACACGCCAAACCCAGGGACAGAAUAAGAACAAGUGUUCCAAGGUUUCCGGGGUGUCUUGAUCACAAAUAAGGCAUUUUGGAUUGUCAAUGAUAUGCCUAUGAUGCAGAUUAACUCUUGGUGCUAAACUAUUUUGACAUAAUAACCACCAGAAGUGGCCUACCUUAAGAACGGUGUGCAUUUUCCACAAUUUGUGCCAUAAUAAAGAUGGAUGUUGAUGUGAAGAUGAAGGCGCGCUAUUGAGUUUAAGCUCUGCUGAAUGGUUGAUAUUGUGAUAUGUUGAUUUAACUGGGUAAUCCCCAUUAAAAAUAACAGUCCAAAUAAGUUUAUUCAUGGAAAAUCUGGGUCGUAUCGGAAUAGNNNNNNNNNNNNNNNNNNNNNNNNNNNNNNNNNNNNNNNNNNNNNNNNNNNNNNNNNNNNNNNNNNNNNNNNNNNNNNNNNNNNNNNNNNNNNNNNNNNNNNNNNNNNNNNNNNNNNNNNNNNNNNNNNNNNNNNNNNNNNNNNNNNNNNNNNNNNNNNNNNNNNNNNNNNNNNNNNNNNNNNNNNNNNNGCAAACAUAGGGAAGAAUGGCAUCACGUCACUCAAAAGGCUCUGCAGCCCCAUGACGGGCGAGAGCCUUUUUCUGCCUCAUCAAACCGUGAGGUUGGAAAAUAUAAUCCUUUAAAAACUUUACCCCACAAGGAGGAUGGCUAAAGAAGUAGUCGCCACGCUUGCUUACCCAGCAUGGCUAAAUUAAAAUUGAGGAGAUCCCGAAACUCUAAACCACCAGCUACCUUUCUCUGUUUUAGUACCUCCCAAUUUCGCCAAUGUAUGCAUGUUCGUUGUCUAUCAUUCUGCCACCAAAAUUUCGCAAUUCUUUGUUCAAUAGAGGUACAUAGAGAAAUGGGUAAUCGAAAUAUGGACAUGGCAUACUGUGGUAUGGAUUGUACUACAGCCUUCAACAUAAUCUCUUUCCCCGCCUUUGAGAAAAGGUUUUCCUUCCAACCUUCCAAUCUGGUAUUCACUCGAGCUAGUAUCCAAGAGAACAUAUCCCUUUUCGACCUACCCCAAUCAGAUGGUAUACCAAGAUAUUUCCCACAACUUUGCAAUAUAGGAACUCUAAUAGCAUUAGCCAUAUUUUCCUGUAGAGAAGUAGGGCAAGAUUUACUAAAAAAUAUACCAGAUUUGUUGCGGUUCACCUCUUGGCCCGUGGCAAAGCAAUACUAAUUCAGCACAUUUGAUAAAUUUUGACAUUCCCGAACUGAUCCUUCUACAAAGAAAAUUGCAUCGUCUGCGAAAAGAAGGUGUGAAAGAGUUGGGCACCAUCUGUUGAGUUUAAUACCUUUGAGUGUCUCCAUAUCGAGUGCAUUAUGAAUAAGAGAUGAUAAUAGAUUGGAUAAAAGGAUAAAAAGGUAUGGGGAGAGAGGAUCUCCUUGGCGAAGGCCCCUGGUAGGAUGAAAGGGCCUAAGCUGAUCGCCAUUCAUGUUGAUACAUAAAGAUGUAGUGGUGAUACAUUGCAUGACCAGAGUACUCCAUAAUGGAUGAAAGCCUAACUUAAGUAGAUAAGCAUGUAAAAAGUCCCAUUCCACUCUAUCGUAGGCCUUCCGCAUAUCCAACUUGACAACAGCAUGAAAUUUGCGCAUCCUCCUUUUAGAUCUAAGUUGAUGUAAAACCUCCUGUACUAGCAAGAUAUUAUCUUGUAUCUGGCGCCCACCCACAAAAGCAGAUUGUUCCUCAGAAAUUAGAGAUGGUAGCAGAGGUUUCAGUCUAUUUGCAAGCACUUUAGAGAUAACCUUAUAGGCAUAAUUGCAUAAACUAAUAGGGCGAAAUUGAUCAAGACUCUCAGGUUGAGGGAGUUUUGGGAUCAGAGUAAUAACUGUUUUAUUUAAGGCUAAAGGGAAACAGCCUGAGAGAAAGAAAUGCUGAACCUCUUUGAAGAAAUCAUCCUUUAUAAUAUCCCAAUGAGUCCUAUAAAAAAGACCAGUCAGCCCAUCAGGACCAGGAGCUUUGGUUGAAACGUAGCUAGUCUCAAUUCUUCCAAGGUCAACAAUGACAUUAGAGCAUUAUUCAUGGCUGGCGUCACCACUGUAGGACACUGAUCUAAAAUAGGUUCAAAGUUGCGAGCUCCGACUGUGGUAUAUAAUGAUGAGAAGAAAGAAGUUGUCAUCUCCUAAAGCCGACUAGGAUCCCUGACCCAAUCCCCCGUUUCAUCCCUGAGCAUCGUAAUCUUAUUCCUUUGUCGCCUCUGGACUACUUUAUUAAGGCCAAAAUGUCUUGAUUGUGAUGGACAUUUCAUAAGCAAAAGUUCUCUUUUAUGAGAUCGGCCCUACAUUCAACAUGGACUGUUGGAUAAAAAGGGAAAAAACACGAUCCAUCAAUCUAUUUGGCAAAAUCGAUUUUCUGUCAUCACUUCCGAAUAUUAAAGGAAAGUUGCAGGCGCAAACUUGAUCAAAUUAUAAUUUGAUUGAAAAUAGUGACGAUGAGUAAGGAAAAUUACUAAAGCAUAGGUCUCAAAACUUUGCCAAGUGCAAAGUAGAGGAGAGUUACGAUCAAUCUACAUAUUUUAGUAAAAAUACACAAAAAGAAAUUUACUUUUAACCGAAUAAAUAUUAUCUUUGUGGAAUUUCACCAAACAUAGGUUUCAAAGAAUUUAUGACCUCCAAAGAAAAAGUACACCCUCCAAACUCAAAAGAAAACAUAUGAAAGGAUUUUUUACAGGAAAAAUUACUAUUAGUGAGGACAAUUACGUCAUCAAAGGAAAGUUGUGAUUUAUCCAGUAAUUUACUAACCAUAGAAAAAACAAUUUACCCAAAACUUGGCAGAUUAUUAUAUUUUGAGGAAUAUUACAAAUCAUUUGACCUCCAUAACUUAUGAUGGCAACCUCAAAAGUAACAGAUUUCUCAAGAAACGAUGCCCUAAAACACAAGACGCUUCCAAUUACUCUAGGAAGUAAUUUCCAUUGGAGCUUAUUUAAGUGUUUGCUCGUUACUCAAUACAAUGAACAAUGUGCGACUAAGUGUUCCCAAACGACGGAACCUAAAUCUUUUCAUCAUACAAGGAGCAAUGCAUUAUGUUCUAUUAGAACUUCGCAAGGUUCUGAGCUUCAGAAGGUCUAGUGUAAUAUUGACAAUUUAAUUAGGCUAGAAACACAGAAAAUGCAGAAUAGUUUGGAAAGUUAACUUGCUUAUAUUUAUCAGGAAAAAGGACAACAGUUUUGCAAUGUCAACAUCACAAAUAAUUAUUCCUUUGAGGUAACUCUAGCAUGAUCUUUCUUCAUACAAAAGGCAUGUCAAAGAUUACGCACACCUCACACAAUGUGCCCCAUCAACAACAAAACCAGUUAGUUGUGCCGGCAAUGCAUGAUAGUCGAAUAUAAGAAAUAUACGCCGAACCGUCUAGAAAAAGUUAUGGUGCAUCAGACACAAUACCUUUCUAUGUAAGCAUUUCAAUAUCUCUAGAAAUGAUGGGUUUCCCACAUUCCUUUUGGGAGUUACAUACAAUAGCUUGCACGAUGGUUUAUCUUUUCUGAAAAGGUAAGCAAAGAAAAAGUGGAGAUUAAUAAUUUGACAAUCACAACACUAAGCAUAAAAAAUCUAGAAGUCCAAUAGAGCUAAACCUUGCCUUAGUUCUUGGAGAAUAGCUGCCGCUUGGGCAGUAGUUUGCUGAGAGUUCAAGAAAGUAGAUGGUAUUCCAUACUUGAGGAUUAGAGUAAUUAUUGGAUCUAGAAUGAGAGAUAGCAAGGGAGAUAUAAUGAUUGUGACACCUAUUUAAAGAGUUGCUGGUAGAUGAAACCAAGGAUAAAAACAUCAAAAGAGCGCAUGAAGAAAGGAAGGGACAAGGGAACUAUUAUUUCUUUCACCUUCAGCUGAUUAGGAAUGACCAGUUGUCACUACUUGUCUUACAAUUAAUUACUUUCAGCUAGAAACAUGUCACGCCCCGAUCCUCGAGACGCGCCCAUCCUUCUAAUGGUCGAUUUUAAAGUGCGAUAUCCCAGGACUAAGUAUCACCAACCCUUUCGUUUAUUAAGCACAUGCGGAAGCAGUUAUAAAUCCCCAGACAAUAAAAUAAUGGGAUAGAAAAGCAAGCCAUAUUUUUAAUAUUGAAAUUCACAACCACACUUUUAUUAACAACACAACUCAUAGCAUAUUUACAAUACUAUUCCCAACAUACUUGUCUCACACCGAUCUACACUAAGACAGGGUUUACAAAAGGGAUGGGAUAUCAAUCCACAUCCGGGUUAUACUCAAGAUCCCUCUCUAGAUCAUCUUCUUCUUCAAAAGUCUUUCUCCCCUUUAGGUUCCUCCUCCUCAGCUUCUCCUCAGGGUCCUGAAAUGGUUAUUCAAUAACCACUGAAACCACGUCUUAGCGAGUUCUACCCCCUAAGACUCGAUUAGUAAACCAAUACACUACUCGGUUGCCUAAGCACAACACGAGUCAGAUGACUUACCUUGGCCUCAGAUUCCAUCUGCACAUUAGUACAGUUCAAUAGGUACUCAAACAAUCACAUCACCAAUCGAAGUAUCGAUCAAAUCAACUUAGUCGAUUUCAUGCCAGUCGGACCAUUUCUAGGUCAUUCAUCCCACACCAAGCAAUUCCUUAGAUUUAGUGGCUUUACGGUCCCAUCCGACCCUUUCCAAAUCUAGUGGCUUUAUGGUCCCACCCGACCCUUUCAAGAUCUAGUGGCUUUACGGUCCCAUCCGACCCUUUCCAAAUCUAGUGGCUUUAUGGUCCCACCCGACCCUUUCAAGAUCUAGUGGCUUUACGGUCCCACCCGACCCUUUCAAGAUCUAAUCUAGGAAUGAAUCUUAAAAUCACUCAUAAAUUACUUUAGCACUGAAUAAAGCUCAAAUAAAUAAAUGGACUACACCACGACGAUCAGCACAAAAUUCCAGUCAUCGGCCAUCCCGGUUGAAUUUUCGGAAAAAUAAAUAAUUAAAUAAUUUAUUUCGAAAAUUAAAUAAAUAAUUAUUUAAAAAAAUCCAAUUUAGGCCCAUAAUGUCUGAUUGGAAGCCGAGACGAGCCUGGAAAAUUACCGAGACUUGUUCAAUAAUUAACAUUGCAUGCCUACUUGCUAAUGUCUAUUUCUAACCACCUAACAUGUAUCAUUAAGUCUCUAAUUUAAUUUAUCUAAAUUAAUAUAACCACCUAAUUGCAUUUAAUUAAAUCUAACCAACCUUAAGUAUAAUUAGGAAACUAAGAAAGCAUUAGUGAGUAAAAAUUACUUGGUAAAAGCAGAGAUCGGGACACCGCGAUGAUGACGCUACGACGGCCGAAAUCGAGCUUUCGACAACACCGGCGGGCUUGGCCCAACAAAUCUCACCCAACUGAGAUUUGUUCUUGCUUUUGGGCCAGACCCAAGUUGGAUUGGGCUUGCUACGAAGAUGGGCUUCAAGCUAUGGGUUGGGCUUGAAGACUACGGGAGAUGGGCCUCAAUAAAAUUCUGCUGAUGGGCUGCUGCUGGUGAAAUUCGACUGGGCUGGCUUGCGACCCAAAUGGGCUGAACAAACUGCAACUGGAAGCUGGCUGAUCUGUGGGCUGCUUGAUCGAGCGUGGACUGACGCUAGCAGGAGGAAGGAGCAAUGUCGGCGGUUGCUUCGGCUUCGCUGGGAUCUUCAAAUUGCUGAAGUCCACGGACGUGAGGCUUCUCGGUUGGGAUUGGGAUUUGGUGGAGUGGGUUGUUGACCGAAGGGGACGUGUGGAUGAGCAAAGAUGGAGCAGGGAAGCAGCUGGCGUGGAUGCAUGGGACAGAGAGAGAUGAGGCAGCGUUCAUGGCCACCAAACUCGGUGGAGUCGUGGGCUUCAAGCGGUCAACCAAGAGCUUCAAUUGAAGCUGUUGUUGACCGAACCAGGCGUACACACGGCCAAGUGGUAGCAAGCUCGGCAGAAUCAGUUUCGGUGAAAACAGAGACAAACGAAAGUGGGCUUUGCUGGCAGGGAGAAUUCGGUGGAUUGUGGCUUCGCAUGGAGUAGCUUCGGUAAGUCUUCAACGCUUCUGGAGAAGACACGAAGCAGUGGAGCUGCAUGCGGUCAACAAUCUUUGCUGAGAUUGACCAAAACCUCAGUGGAUUGGUCUUCGGUGCAGCUGGCGGACGAAGGAAAAUUUUUGAAGGAAGCAGCUUGGUCUUCUGCAGUUGCUGUUGGCGAUGUCGCACGAAGUGGGGAGGGAGAGAGAUAGCUGUCCGGUUGAGGGUGAGAGGAAAAGGAAUGGAUAUAGAUGAGUGAUGGGGCCCUUUAGACUUGAUCUUUCCACACAAAUAUCAUUUGUUUUUAUCCCUCCAUAUGGCUGGCACCCACCAACAAAUUUUCAGCCCAAUUUACCCCUUCUAGAGAGUUGAGUUGGUCCAAAAGUCACCACUUGUGGGGCAUGCAAAUUUCUUAGCGCAAGGCUCCAAUUGCUUAUCAAAUCUCCCUCAAUCGGCUUUCAUAAAAUCAAUCAACGCUUCAAUGCCUCAAUUGCUAUUUUUCCUCAUCCAAUAACCCAUCUUGCAUCUCGAUUUUGCGAUCGAAACCAUCUUCAGCAUUGUCGGCACAAAAAUGACCCAACGACAACUUUUUCCCAGAAAGUGUCGGGUGUCAGAAAAAUCUUCUGAGACUGAGUCGAUACUCCUAGAAUUUAUUAUGACAUGGCCAAAACUUCAAUUUCUGAAAUCGGACUCGAAUUGGCAGUUAAUUUUCAUUCGACGCGUUUUUAGCGUGACCUAGACUGUCGGGUAGUUUUUCAUAACUUUUUAAGGCAAAUAACACAUGGUUGAUUUUCUUCGAACCACUAUGAACCCAUUCGACUUAAUGGCGACUCUCGAUUGUCGUGAAAAUCUCGAGGUUUCAAAUACGGACAUAGGGUACCAAAAUGACAGUUAAAUCAGAUUUGUGUCGAUCGACGAGAAUUUUCCAAUUUAGUGGAGUCACCCACGAUCGGCCACAUAUCUCAGUCGACCAAACCUAUCUAUGGUCUUAAAUCGAUUUUUAACUGUGCUGCAAUGGCCUCUAAAGAUGAGCACGGUCGAGAAGCUGAUUCCUGAUCGAAUUCUCAAGUUUAUUACCCUAAAAUUUCUUAAUUACUUACCUAGACAAUCUAGUUAUCUCAAGAGUGAUCGGCUCUGAAAAUAGCCCAAUAAACACGUCAACGAAAUGCCCGAUUAUUUUAGUAGAAAACAGGUUGAGAAAUUCAAGAUGUCACGAAACAUAUAUCAACUACUUUAAGACUGAACAUAAAACACUUCUAAAAAAUCCAGUAUAAUAUCUUCCUCCUUCAUUCAUUACAUCAAAUAUUUUUCUUGCUACCAUUAUAUAUUGUAUAUUGAAGGAAAUUAAUUCCAAACCAAUUAUGGGAAAAAAAGAAGUCAUAGAUCAUUACCCUAUGUGAGAUAAUGGCAUAGCCAACAACUACAAGGAAAUAUAGAAGUCUAGAACCCAUAUUUGGUGGAAGUACUUUGAAAAAUUAUUCCUCUUCGACUCAGUAACCCAUUUGAAUUGGACCUGAAUUAUGACUAACAAUAGCACUUACAUGCAUAAACAAUUUUCCGGUAAGUGAUUAGAAGGUCCUAGAAGCAUAGUACAAACUUUAAAUUCUAGAAAUUAUAACAGAUAGAGAUGUGCGAAGGCGGAAUGAGAAUGUACCGUAUUUCCUUCUUGUCUAAUUUUGUCCAAUGCCAUAAAUUGGAAUCCAUGGUUAUGUACUAGAAUCACUUCCUAUUGCUUAAUUUUCAUUUGAAAAACAUUUACUACCUUUUAUGUUCACAACCUUCUCAACGGUGCUUAAAAAAACAUAUUAGAAGAUCGUCAAAGCUUAAAUUUUGACAUACAGGUCAACCCUUUUACAUUUAGUUGGUGGAACCAUUGAGCAAAGUGCACAGGGCUUGUGAUCUUAACAUUGUCUCCACUCUCUCCUACAUACAAUCAUUACAUAGUUGAGACAACGUUAACAUCCACUAACCUGGUAACAUAAGCUUUUACCACCUCCAGUGGGCAUGAGAACAAAGCAAUCUUGCUUAGCUACAGAAUCUUUACAAGCCCGAUGCUGCAUUGGUCGAAAUGCCUCGUUUCCGAAUAUGACAACAUUUGCCAAUUCUACGUCAUCAAAGGCUCGCAAUUCCUCAUAACUCAAAGUCCCUUGUUGGAUGUUGAAAUCUGAAAGCAAUGUGUUUUAUUUGAAAUUGACUAUUGAACCAUGAGUGACAGUGAUUUUAUAGUCCUUCAACAAAGAUAAGCCUCUUCAGCACCGUAAUAGUUUUUGACAUGGAUUGUCAUAGAAAAUGAAAAAUGUGCACAAAGAAAUCACAAGCCUUUAUUUAUGCAAAACAUUCCAAUCAAUGACGCUGGAUUGUUAAGUUCCACACUUUGAUGAUCUACUAUACUCUCAAGGUAUUUGAGAAGUAUAGGUAUUUUGUAAAUCAUCCAAAACUAAAAUUAACUUCUUUAUUGACCAAAUAGUUCUCAUAUGUCAUUUUGGAUCUUGAAGAUUGUGCAAUAAUUGGCAAAAUUUAGGAGUGUAUUGGAUAUUUAAUUGGACGAGAGGCCUCAUUCAUAAGAAUUUUUUUUUUGGUCGAAUCCUCAUAAGAAAUUUACUGAAUGCUUUUGUACAUGUACAUUGUGUAGGUCCUUUGCUGUGUGCAGAAUCAAAGCAAAUUGGAAACAAUCAAGCAGGGAACAAGUUAUAAGAGAAAAGGACAGUGACACAAUGAUUUAAGUGGUUUAGCAGUAUUGUCUAUGUGCAUGGGAGAAGCAUACCAUGGAUUCUAAAGCCCCUCUGGCCAAAAUUUGAGUGGAUGAAUUGGUUAGAUUACUACUUUAGUCAGGACUAUAGCAUGUGGAUUUCCUACCCGUUUUACUACCCAACACAUCUUCUUCGCUUUACUGUCAGUAGAGGAAUCCACCCCAUGGAAAUUUGAUUUUUCACAGUUUGUGGAGAAUCUUCUAUAAUAUUGACAUUGUGCAUAACAUUGCAUUCACCAUCGGAUAUCUUGGCCAAACGUAUCAGUCAAAACGCCACAAGCUUCUGAUUCUGCAGCUUGCACAUCAUCCCAAUCCUCAAUGUCUAGCAUAGUUUGGGCAAGUUUUGCUAGAAAAUGAUCACCACAGUGCUUCAUAGUGAUAAACUCUCGACCUCCGUCAACUUAAGGAAACCAGAAGAAGAAAGAGGUGAUUUUGCAAGUUCCAUGGCAAACAAGAGAUCAAAUAAACAAAAUCUACAAUACGUAAUUUGCAAUUAGUUCAGUGAGAUGCCAUAUUCGUAGUGAGUUCAGAAAUAAGUUAGAGAUUUCGCUAGUCAAUAAGACUACUCUGCAAAACCCACAGAUAAAUGAGGAUGGGAUUAACGCUCAAUGAACUAGAUUUAACCAUCUCCUCCAGUCCAUUCAAAUCUAAAGGGUAGACCAUUCCAUAGCCAUCGUCGAAAUGACGACUAACCGCAAUAAAUCUCCUUAUCCAGGAAUGCACAAUCAAUCGAUUCACGAAUUAUCCACACAACACAAGCAAUUACAUCAUUCCCUAAUCACCAUAUACCAACGAUUUAGCUAAUAACCAAGAAAAACCACCAUUCGGAGCAACCUCAACACAUCAAACUGGAACCACGCCACACAUUUCACUCAUCAACAAGAUUACUUCACCAAACCUGCUUCGAUCUAUUCAAACCUAGAGCAGACUAUUCCACGACAAUCCUCAUCAUAUUGGACAAUGAAAUACCUAUAUGGGUGACAAAGUAACGAUUGGAGUUACCAUAGAGUAGAUGUGUCAAAAUGGGUCAUUGACCCAUUUAUGGACCCAUUUAUGGUUAAAUGGGUCGUUAAUGGGUCAAGCUUUAGUUCCUAAAGCACCCAUAAUGGGUUUUAAUGGGUCAAGACUGAGAUAUAUUGAUCUUAAAUGGGUCAAAGAGCUACCCAUUUAAGACCCAUUAAAAAUAAACUCAUUUAUUUUCACUCAAAACCUCACCAUCUCUCUCUUCUCUCUUUAACUUUACAACUUUUUUUAUAUAAAAACCGAAAUUAUAAUUAUUUUUUCUUUUAAUUUUCUUUCCUUUUUUUUCUUUUUUCUUUGUUUUUUCUUUCUUCUUCCUCCGAUCGUCAACACGGCGAUGGCCGGUGAUCGGCCAAGCGAGCCUCGAGCUCGCCGACGUCGGGCGAGCUCUAGCUCGCCGGAUCUAGCAAGGCGGAGGCCUCACCGAUGCCUAGUGAGGCUCGAGCCUCGCCGAUUUGGCGAGACUUGAACUCGUUGGUGUCGGGCAAGGCUCGAGCCUCGUCGGCAUCAGGCGAGGCUCAAGCCUCGAGCUCGCCUAACGCCAGCGAGGCGGAGGCCUCGCCAAUGUUCGACGAGGCUUGAGCCUCGCUAGAUUCGGCUAGGGGCGAGCCUUGAGCUCGCUCGGUGCUGGCGAGGCUCGAGCCCCCGCCAGAUCUGGUGAGGGGCGAGCUCGAGCUCGCCCGACACUGGCGAGCCUCGAGCUCGCCGGAUCUAGCGAGGCUCAAGCCUCCCCGAUCUGGUGAGCCGCGAGCUUGAGGCUCGCCUAUGGCCAGUCGUCGGCCGUCGUCGUGGCCAACGGCCGGCCAAAGAAGAAGAACAACAAAAAAGAAAAAAGAAAAUUAAAUUUAAAUUUAAAAAUUUAAAAAUUUAAAAAUUAAUGUUUUAAAAUAAAAAUAAUUAAAAUUUGAUGUUUUAAAAUAAUUAUUUUAAAAAUUAUAAAAAUUGUCCAUUAAAUUUGUGCUGUAUAAAACUAUUUUAGCGAUACCAUUUUAUAUAUACAUAUAUAUAAGAAAUAAUUUUUUUUGAAAAAUUAUAAAAAAUUGAAAAAUUAUUGAUUGGAUUUGUAUUACUUGGAAGUUUUUUAGUAAUAUAAUCUUAAAAAAAAACAUAAGAAUAAGUUUUCCUAAAUUUUGUUAAAUAUGAAGAUAUUUUAUUAAUAUGGGUCGAGUCGGGUAUAGGUCGAAAAAUUUAUAUUAGACAUAAAUGGGUCAUAAAUGAGUUAAUGGGUCAAUUUAAGUCAACCCAUUAAUGACCUGAUCCAAACCCGACCCGACCUACCCGUUUGACACCUCUACCGUAGAGAGCGAAAUGAGACGGUCCAAGCACUUGCUGGUGGACUGCUCGUCGAAGCAGAACUCGAGAGCCAAGCUCAGCAACCAAGCUUUCUCCACCUCCUCCAAGCCUCGAUCCUCCAUCGAGUCUCAACCAGUUCGACGCCAUUCGAUUAAUCGAUCGAUCGAUGAUGCACCAGCCGAAAUCAAAUCGAAUUGAUUGCUAGUCUGUCUGGAGAGCGCACGCUCGAAGUACUCUUUCGAAAAGCAUUGCCAACGAUGGUGAGGAUUGAUGUUGUUUUCCGCUUUCUAUUUUUAUGCGCUGGAGAAGGGGAGAGAUUGGAACCAUAUUUUUUCAAUUUUUUUUUUAAAUUCUGUUUCGCACCUGAAAUUUGUUUAAACUCUAUUUUUGCCCCCACCAUAAGUUUUCCUGGUUUCAUUUGACACCCUUGGGUCUAUAAAUUUUUUUUUUUUUUUCUGGAUAAAAGAAGUCGUGCACUUUUCUCUAAGCGUGUAGUGUCGAUCUUUCCGAGUCAAUGCAUAAGUCCAAUUCAUUUUGGGGCGUCCUUCCAAUAGCGCUUGUCGCACCAAUUCUUCUAAGGAUGUGCGCUUAUAAUCUUCUCAAGACGAGGAAAAAGAGCGGAAGCAAUACCACAUGCAAAAAAAUAAGCGUCAACGGGUCAUCGACAUCUAUGUUUGUCUCUCCAACACUAACAAAAGGGGGGAAGUGAUCCCUUUAACGUAUUCUUGAGCUUUCGAGACGACAAAAAUAUCAUAGAUGAAGGAACUGUGCCAAUAUUUGCACUUACGGAUGAUGAUAGCCUCCCUACUAGUGAAGGGUUGGGUUUAUGGCAUCUCGAUGCAAUCACAUGGACUAAUGUUUUCCACGAAAUAAACGGAACCUAAAGUUCCAUCCAUGUUACCUAGCCAAAAGAUGUUUCGGCCAAAUAAGAUAUAUUAGUCGUCCUUGGCCUAGAUCGAUAUAAAAUGAAAAUGCAACAAAACUUCAACAUGGUCGGCCAACAAAAAAAAGUAAAUUCUAUUGAUGAUCCUUUUGAUUCCAUCAUAACUCUUUCCGUAAUUAUCAUUGAAAGGUUAAUGGUUGUCGAUCAAUAAAACAUUUCCAACAUCAUAACUCUUCCUGUAAUUAUCGUUGAAAGGUUAAUGGUUGUCGAUUAAUAAAACAUUUCCAACAUGCAAAUCUUUUAAUAAUGUAUGGUAAAUCGCAUUGUAAUGAAUUUUAACUGUUUCUACAAAAAUUUUGUAAAUUCUUCUACGUUUCGGAGAUAAUGGAGGAAUCUAGAUAUUUUUGUUUUGGUCGAAGUAAACAUCUUUCAUUAUUUCAAGUAGCUCCAUGAUUACAAACUAAGUGGGCCUCUAAACAAAUCAGGCCUGACAAUAUUUUUGGGGAUAAGAAACCUAGUUGGUGGGAAGGGAUUUUCGCCAAUGGGCUUAGAGAUCCAAUCAGCUACCUGGCUCGCUUCUCUCCUACAGUAGGCUAAUCACAUGCUCUUGUAUUGGGCCAGCAGGUUUUUGCCUUUAGAGAUAAGAGACUGGAUGCUCCACGUUGGUUGUUCUUGAUCUGAAAGUGCAAUUAUCGUUGACCAACUCUUCAACUCUAGAGAGUACUUGAGUUCAAACGUAAGACAAAAGAAGCGUAGGGCUUCCAUGCACGCUAGGGCUUCCACUUGCUCCGCCGAGUUCGCCCAUACUUCCUUCGUAAAUCCAGCCACGAUGUCCCUAGACUCAUCUCUAUAAACGACGCCGAUGAUUCCUAUUCUCUCUUCCUUCGCACACGAGCCAUCCACAUUGCUCUUUAGAGUGCCUUUCUCGGGUGGAAUCCAUUUUGCAGCCAAAGGCUAAAGUACGCGCAUCCUUAUGAUACAAUUAAUUGCAAAUAAUAGGAAAAAAAGCUAGGACUUUCAUAAAUGGCUAUCUAUAUAAAGCAAUUGGUAGAUGCAGAACACAAAUACAAAAAAGAUCAAUUAAAACACUCAAUUCCAGUGGAAUACAUGAAUCAUUAAGUGCCUAGUUUUGAGGCACCUACAAGGCAUCUGGACAAAACAGUGAUUGACUUCCGAGGAACAAUGCCUAACAUGGACCUGAGAGCACCCACAGCAUUGGAUUGUAUGAAUCAUGGUGAAUGACAUGAUUGUUCGAGUGCAAUCAUUAUUAGAGCACCACUAAGUGUAGUUUUUUUUCAAAUUUAUUUGAAGAUAUACUUGUGUUCGGUUUGGUUUAACUGAAUGAAUGUUUUUCCUUAUUAAUUUCCCUCAAAUAAUUUCUCAUUAUUUUCAUUAUUUGAGAAAAAAAUUACAAUUAUUUUGAAUUUAAUUCUGCUUAAUUAAUUUUUAAAAAUGUCUAGGCCCAUGCCCACCAUGCUUAGGUUGUGUCAGCCCAAGCUUGUCGUGGUGCUCCGUCCUAGUCACACUUCGCCAAGUGAGAAGCCUCGAAAACUACAUUGGUUGUAGUUAAGCUUGGAAAUCACAUCGGUUGUGAUUAAGCCCAAAAUAAAACCAGCCUACGAUCAUCGUACACAUCUCAAGACGCAUAUCAACCGUAAGCACUAAUCCAAUUUCCAUAGUUCAUAGUCCAACAUGCCGAGAUAUGCUAGAAAUAUUUCACCCAUGUAUAUAUUUUCUAUGCAUGUCCAAAAUAACAAUCUUAAUUGAGUCCAUUCAAUGCUUGAUCCAAUUUUAUUAAAUAAGAUGCCAUGAAAUGGUUUAAUUUUUCCCUUGAUUCUCAAAGUGCAUGGGUUGAGGAAAUAUGUGGUUGACUAUGAAAAAUGCUAUGUUAUGCACUUCAUAACUAGUUUGAAAUGUACUCACACGUUCAAUGAAAUUUAUAACAUACAAGAAGUUGGACAAGAAUCAUUUAACAAAUUUAGGGAAACAUUGAAUUGGCUCAUCGAAUAUCCAAACAUUUAAUUAUUGUCUCGUUUGCCCUUUUGUCAUAAGUGCGAGAAGUUUCCAUGAUCUUUCUGAGUGUUGGCUGCAUUCAUAAAGAUACACAUGAAACGCCAGGAAACAUUGAAUUGGCUUAGCGAGAUUACAACUAAUAACAAUAAUAAUGUAAUGAUUGUAUUGCGUGAGUGCAUCCGUAAACAAAAGUAGUCUUCCUACCUAAUUCUCUUUUUUAAAUUGAAAUAAUAUUAUAGUUGUUGUGCUUUUACCAUGCAUUAAUUAGUUUAAUAAUAGUCUAUUUCGCUAUCAUUACCCACAGCAAAUUUUUAAGGGCAAUUAUUGAUUUUUAAUCUUAGGAAGAAUGCCACUAUCUAAGAUUCCAUCCAUGUUACCUAAUUGGAAGAUGUAACAAAGACCAAGACUUGUUCUGGCCAAAAAUAAAAAAUAAAAAACAAAGACCAAGAGUCACCCAUAAUGAAAGACCAAGACAAAUAAUUAGUCACUAGUGGGGCAAACUCUAAUUAAUUGUAAUAAUAGUAUAUUUCUCUAUCAUUACCGACAACCAAUUUUUAAAGGCAAUCAUUGAUUCUUGAUCUUAGGAAGAACGUCACCAUGUAAGAUUCCAUCCAUGUUACCUAGCUGGAAGAUGUAACAAAGACCAAGACUCAUUCAAACCUAAAAUAAAAAUAAAAAACAAAGACCAUGACUCGCCCAUAAUAAAAGACCAAGACAAAUAAUUAGUCACUAGUGGGGCAGAUCAAAUUAAUUCACUAUUAGUAUAUUUCUCUAUCAUUACCGACAACCAAUUUUUAGAGGCAAUUAUUGAUUCUUAAUCUUAGGAAGAAUGUCACUAUCUAAUAUUCCAUCCAUCUUACACGGCUGGAAGAUGUAACAAAGACCAAGACUCUUUCUAGCCAAAAAUAAAAAUAAAAACAAGGACCAAGACUCACACAUAAUAAAAGACCAUGACAAAUAAUUAGUCAAAAGGGGGUAGACUCAUUAAUUUAUCUUUUUUGGCCGAGACAGACUUAUUAAUUAUCCUCGACCUAGAUUGAUAUAAGAUAAAAGGGCGACAAAAUUUAAUUAUGAUCGGCAAGCGAAAAACAUAAGUCCCAUUUAUGGUCCUUUAGAAUUCAUUAAAAGAAUAGUCUAUCUAACUUAAAUAACUCUUCCCUCGAUUAUCUUCAAAUCUUGUUCUAUUUUUUGACGUAUCUUCUAAUAAUGGACCAAAACUUCUUGAACAAAUUUUUUAAACCACGUGCCUUCUAUUCAAAUCUCCUUAUUUAUUUAUUUAUUUAUUUAUUUAUUGUUUUUUAGUGAUUGAGGAUGAAGAUUAUUUCUUUGUUUCCACAUUCACCAACCAAAUCCAAUUAACAAGCAAUAUUGCAAAAGACAAACACCAUGUUUUCUUAUUUCAAUGGAAAAAUUAUCAAAAAAUUCUUAAACCUAUUGUACAUGUGCUAAUUCAAUCUUAAACCUUUUAAUUUUGACAAUUGAUUCAUAAACCUUUUAACGAUUUGCCAAUGUAGUCAUUCCUGUCAAUUUUGUCCGAUAACUAAUGACAUACACCAACUAUCCUAUGUGGCACAGUGGGCAUUGAUGUGGACAAUUUUCGCUUUUUUUUUUUCUAUAUUUCAAUCAUAUGUAAAAAGAAUGACUAUGAUUCAAUGUGAAGACUAUGAGUAAAUUGGAUAAAUUUCAAGUGUAGAGAUUGCAAUGGGAAUUUAGUCAGGUAGAUCUACAAGAUGAAUCUCAAGUUUCUUGGUAGAAGUGUUAGAAAAGUCAUAGACCUAUUAUGUUGAUGUCAAUUUAAUCAUAAAUCUUUUAAUUGUGCUAAUUUAAUUUAGUAUUAAACAUUUGGACCUAGUGCUAAUUUAGUCAUUCUAACUAUUUUUUGGAUGGAUAUCCUACACGAUACGGCCGGUGCUGACGUGGAUAAUUUUGAAUGAUAUUUUAAUAAUUUUCGAAUUCCUUCUUUCUUUACUUUCUUUACUUUCUCUCUUAUAUUUUCCUCCUCUUUUUGGUGGUUGGCAAGCAUCAAUGAGGCUGCCCUCACCCAGGCAACACUUGGCCUCACUAGAUCUUGCAAGGGCAGCCUCACCAGCACUUGCCCUCACCCUAGCAAGGCUGACAAGGUUCACCCUCGCUCAUGUGAGACCCAGCCAUUGGAAAGAGGAGGAGAAAAAGAGAUAAAAAAAGAAGGAAAAAAAUUCAAAAUUAUCAAAAAUAAUCCACGUCGCCUAUAAUGCAAUGUAGGCUUGCUGACGUUUAGCAAUAUUCGGCUAAAAGUAGCUUGAAUGACUAAACUAACACUAGGCCAUAAGGUUUAGAAUUAAAUUGGCACCAUUAAAAAGUUUUGGAGUAAAUUGUACCAAUACAAUAGAUUGGCUUUUCUAAUACUUUUCCCUGAGUUUCUUCUAUAUGUUGCUUUGCAUUAGCAAAAGAAAAUAUUGGCAAAGUAACACUAUUUCUUAAUUUACAUUUUUACAUGUAUAUAUUAAUUUAAAUAUUGCAAUGAAAUUAUUUUAAAAAUUUAGAAAAAAUAUUGUUUCCAACAUUACUUUACUGUCUAUCAGUUUUUCAAAUAUUUGAAAGUAAUGGCUUUGAUAGGAGUUAUGGAAAGCAAUUCUUUUUGUAACGGUUUUUUACCGUCACCAAUUUGUAAUGGUUUUUGUGUAACAUUAAUCUAUAAUGUUCUUGUAACGGCUUUAUAAUGGUCAUCAUUUUAUUAAUUCUCAAUUAAUUUAUAAUGAUUUCUUAAUGGCCCUCUCUUUUGUUUGAAUAUAAGAUUAAAUUCCAAAUCACAAUCCUUUUUUUUUUUUUUUGGGUCAGUAAAUCACAAUCCUUUAAGAUACGCCGAAUUAACAGAAUUCACAUAUCUUUCCUUUUUUGUCAGGUUAUACACAUAACCUUGUUCAUGUUCCUGCUAUUAUUCAGUGCGGAAUAAAAAAAACUGUUUAUUAUAUCUUGAGAAGAUAGCUAUUAUGCCCUAUUGCAUCGAAUUUUUUACUCCAAAAGACAGAAUUAUCCUUAAGUAUAGUGUUUGCAAGUCUCAAACAUUUGGACAAAGGGCAAAGCCGGAGAAAGGGAAACAACGGGAUGCCCUAUUUCAUUUAACAUUAUUUCCUUGCGGGUGCUUGUUGCCGAUUGUUCUCUCUAUGCUUGUAUUCAAUCAAAAAGAAGAACAAAAGCGCCGCAUAAGAGAGCAUCGAGGGAGCAUCUGUCUCUUCUUCGGUGUCAUCUUGUUGGAGAAAUCUUUCCAGAAUAUUUUGAAGCUGACAAAACAUUUCUAUCAGUCUAAGUCUGGAUAUCGAUAGUUAAAGUCUCAAGACUUUAUAGUCUCAAGACUUUGUUAUCUCAAGACUCAAGACUCAAGACUCAAGACUCAAAAUUAUUCUCACUGACAGUCUUUCUAAUCCAGUGUUGAAGGAAAUUCAAAGCCAAGGUUUAUGGUUGAGGAUUUGAUCCUAUCCUCUGGAAUAGAUUCUUUGGUUGGAUAAUCAUUUCGGAUUCUUUAAUUCUUAUCUAAGAUCGAUUGAAGAUCCGAUGGUCGACGAAAUAAUCUUGGAUUAUUCUAUUCUUGGAAACCGAGAUCCUGAUUGUAUGGGCGAACAGGAUUGAUGGGCUAUCAUCAGAUUCCUUAAAUAGCUCGGAUGAUCUUCUUGAUUGAUUCCGUCCAAUGGGUAGAUUGGAGGAAUUCCUUUGGUAAGUACCAACGGCUAUGAUGGCAUGAAAGAGUAUAAAAGGAAGACGUUCUAGUUGUUUCAAGUGUGUGAUCGAUAGAAAAAUUCCAGAGUCUGAAGAUCCUUGAUUGUUAGUUGAGACUGAGCGAAAUUGUAUACAGAGAGUGUUUAUACUUGGUGACGCCUUGAGUGAGUGUGGUAGAUCAUCUACACCUAGAAAUCAAGGAAGAUCAACACUGUAACAACUCUUUGAUCAUAGUGGAAUCCAGCCAAUCGGCUGUCAGUGCAGAAGAGUGGACGUAGGCUUGAAUCAAGCCGAACCACUAUAAACCGAGUGUUCAAUUCUCUCUUUCCCUUACUCAGUCUUGCGAUUGAAUUUUUAACUGUUGCAAAUUCUCUAAUUGUUUAAAUAUCGUGCAAGCUUCGAGAAAUUUUUUGUAUACCUAUUCACCCCCCCUCUAGGUACUCGUACUAGCUACUUCAAUUGGUAUCAGAGCUCGUGUUCUUACUUUGUUUGAAGUGUUUUACUUCAAAGUAAAAGAUCCAUGGCUAGUAUGCUAGCACCGGGGCUGAUGGAGGGGCAAAGCAAUACCAGACCUCCCUACUUCGAUGGAAAGGAUUACAACAUCUGGAAGAACAAGAUGAAAGCUUUCCUACGAUCAAAGGAUCCUCUGGAAUGGGACGUAGUGGAAAAAGGAAUCACUCCUGCUGCUGCAUCAAUCACUGAAAGAGGGAAAGAAACUGUUGAAACCAGCGGAAUGUCUCAAGAAGAAAUAAACAAGAGACAAGCACUCGAUGCUAAAGCAAUUUAUUCGUUAUAUUGUGCUUUGUCACCAACUGAAUAUAACUGAAUAUCUUCUUGUGUUACAGCAAAAGAAGUCUGGGACAGGUUACAUAUCACUUAUGAAGGGACAGAUCGAGUGAAGGAGACCAGAAUUAACAUUCUUCUUGGUCAAUAUGAAUCCUUCAAAAUGAAACCAGGAGAAUCUAUAACUGACAUGUUUAGUCGUUUUACAGUUAUUGUCAAUGGUCUUGAGAACCAAGGACAAAAAAUUUCUGAUCCCAUGAAGGUGAACAAGCUUCUACGUGGACUCUCCAAGGAUUGGAAUCAUAUAAAGACUUCAAUAAGAGAGACGCAAAGAAUCAUGCCAUUAUCUGUAGACGAACUGAUUGGAACUCUUCAGUCUUACGAAGUGGAACGAAUUAAUGAAGACGAAUAUCCAAGAGGUAAGAAAUCUAUUGCACUAAAAUCAAAUGAUGAUUCUGAUGGUGCAGAUUCUGAAGAUGAUAUGGAUGAUAAGGAGCUCGCCCUCAUGAUAAGAAGAUUCAGAAAACUGAAUAGAAAAGGCAGAAGGUUCAUCCCAAAGAAACAAAGUUUUCAGAGACAGCAGACCAAGUCUGUUGAUGAUGAGGAACCAAACAAAGAUGUAGUUUGCUUCGAAUGUAAAAAGAAGGGACACAUCAGACCCAACUGUCCUCUUCUGAAAAAGAAAAGAGGAAAAGCUGAGAAAUCUCGAAAAGCUCUUAAAGCCGAAACCUGGAGCGAUACAGAGUGUGAAGAGAGUGAUGAGGAAUAUGCCAACCUGUGUCUAAUGGCGCAAUCAGACUCAGACUCUGGAUCAGACUCAGACAGUGAAUUUGAGGUAAGUGAUUAUAAAAUCCCUGUCAAAGUCUCUAAAUAUAUUGAUGAGUUAUGUUUUAGUCUUAAGACUUCUCUUAAAAAGAUUUCCGAACUUAAAAAGGAAAACUCAGUUUUAAAACAAAAGGAAAACAUUUUAGAAGAAAAGGUAAAAAAUUUAGACUUGAAUGUUUCUACUCUUAAAGAGAGUGAAGACAAUCUUUCAAAAGAAAAUGCUUUCUUAAAAACUGAUUUAUCAAAUAUUUCAAAGAAAUUUUCAAUAGGGUCCGAAAAACUUGAAAAAGUCCUUUCAAUCCAAAGACCUUACUUCAAUAAGUCAGGUCUAGGUAUGACAGCUGAAACAAUCCCUUUGAUUGAUUUUCCGAAAGUAAAAGAAAGAAUUAAGAAAAGACCAUCGAGAGAGGCUUAUAAAAAUCAUUUCAAAAGAGUUUUUGUAAAGCCUAUAGGUCGAAAUGCUUUAAGGUGUUCUAAGUGUAACAGUCAGGAUCAUUUUGAAAAAGAGUGUCCUAUGGUUUGGAAGCCUGUUAAGAGAGUAUGGCCUAAUAAUGCUCAUCCUACUAACACCAAAGGACCCAAGAAAAUUUGGGUACCAAAGAAAGCUUGAGACUCUUUUUUGAAUGCAGGUCUCUGUCAAAAAGAAGGUAAAGUGGUAUCUUGACAGCGGAUGCUCAAGACACAUGACAGGAGACUCAAAAUGUUUCAUAAAGCUUAUUAAAGUAAAUGGUGGAAAAGUUUCAUUCGGAGGAAAUAGCAAAGGAAGUAUUGUGGGAUUCGGAACUGCGAAAAUUGGAAAUCUCACAAUAAGCAAUGUCUCUCUAGUGGAAGGACUCAACUACAAUCUACUCAGCAUUAGCCAAUUGUGUGAUACUGGUUACAAGAUCUUCUUUCAAGAAGGCAUAUGUUCUGGAAUUAGCAAAGAUUCGACUCAGUCUUUCAUGGGUCGAAGGCAUGGAAACAUCUACCUCCUUGAUGUAAAGCCAAAUGAAGAACAAUGCUUAAUCUCAAUUCAAGAUGAAGCAAUUCUAUGGCACAGAAAACUUGGCCAUAUCAACAAGAAGCAAUUAGCCAAAAUCUCUUCAAAGCAGCUUGUUCGAGGUCUACCUAAACUGCCAUAUCAAAAGUCUGACUUAUGCACUCCAUGCAUUCUGGGAAAACAGGUAAGAAAUUCAUUUAAGCAAAUAAAUCAUGUAUCUACUAAUCAUGUACUACAGUUGCUUCACAUGGAUCUCUUCGGACCAACAAGAACCCAGAGCAUUAGAGGUUAUUCCAAAUGGACGUCAAAAGUGCUUUCCUAAAUGGAUUUAUCCAUGAGGAAGUUUAUGUGGAACAACCGCCUGGAUUUGAAGACCCAAAGAAGCCAGACUCAGUCUUCAGACUGAAAAAGGCUCUGUAUGGUCUAAAGCAAGCACCUCGAGCUUGGUACGACAGACUAAGUAAGUUUUUAUUACAAAAUGGUUUUGUCAAAGGUAAAGUAGAUACUACUUUGUCUAUCAAAAAGGAAAACAAAAACUUUUUACUUGUUCAAAUAUAUGUUGAUGACAUUAUAUUUGGAUCCUCUAAUGAAAGUCUUUGCAAGAAAUUUUCUAAGUCUAUGCAGGAUGAAUUUGAAAUGAGUAUGAUGGGAGAGUUAACAUUCUUUCUUGGACUCCAAGUGAAACAAAUGAAGGAAGGAACUUUCAUCCAUCAAGAAAAAUAUGCGAAUGAUCUUGUCAAAAGGUUUGGAUUGGAAAAGUGCAAAAAGAUCGAUAUACCAAUGUCAUGUUCUCAGAAGAUAGACAAGGAUGAAGAAGGGAAGAAAGUAGAUCAAAAGCUGUACAGGAGCAUGAUCGGUUCACUUCUUUAUCUUACUGCUUCUAGACCUGAUAUUUUGUUUAGUGUUUGUAUCUGUGCUAGGUUUCAAUCAGAUCCUAGAGAAUCACAUCUCAUUGCCGUGAAACGAAUUAUCAAAUACGUUGCUUCAUCUUCAAGCAUCGGUCUUUGGUAUCCAAAGAGGGGAGACUUUAAUCUUCUAGGAUACUCAGAUGCAGAUCUGGCCGGUUGCAGAGUCGAUAGAAAGAGCACUUCUGGAACUUGUCAACUACUUGGAAACAGAACGGUGUCUUGGUUUUCGAGGAAGCAAAACACUGUAGCUUUUUCAACGACAGAAGCAGAGUAUGUAGCUCUUGGAAGCUGCUGUUCGCAAAUUCUAUGGAUAAAACAACAGCUACAAGACUUUGGCAUUGAAGACUCAUGCACAGAAAUUAGAUGUGACAACACCAGCGCUAUCAAUCUCACCAAAAAUCCAAUCCUUCAUUCAAGAGCAAAGCAUAUUGAGAUUCGACAUCACUUUAUUAGAGAUCAUAUUCAAAAUGGAGAAAUCUCGAUUCAAUUUGUUGAUUCAAAAAGUCAACUAGCGGACAUAUUCACAAAGCCUUUGGAGAAGAAUCAGUUCGACUUUAUCCGCUCGAGACUCAACAUUUUGAAGCUUGAAGAAGUUAAAGUCUAAAGACUCACCAACUCUAAGACUCUGAUCUCUUAGACUCUAAAUCCUGAGACUCAAUCAUCCAUGGCUAUAGACUGUAAGUUGUAAAAGGUACUAAUUGUCAUUUAGUUAUAUUAACUCGAAAAGGUACGAUCUUUUGUUUAAUAAUUUUGGCAGUUAUUGAUUUUGAAAAGUAGUGAUCGUUCACUUUCCUUGCACCGAUUGAACUUUCUUUUUCAAAACUGAGUUAUAUAUAUACAGUUUUUUUUUCCUUUCCCCAAUCUUCAAAACCCUAAAAGGCACUCUCCUCUCGAUACUGUUUCUACUCUUUGUUCAUCGUCGAGAAAGUGGUCAUUUUCCUUGGGAAAGCAAGUGAAGGAAUCCUCCAAUAGACAAAGAAGGAUGUCGACUUCGAGGAAAUCAUCAAGAAUCGCAAACAGGGGACCACAAAGAAUGAAGAAGGGACCGACUCAUUUCGAUCUCACUGAGGAAGAAGACUUACCAAGUCAGCGACAGAGUCCGAUUCGCUCUCCUCCACGUCAUUCAGCAUCUCCUGCCCCACAAAGUGCAAGUCACAAUCUGGAAGAAGAGAUAAUCGAGGAUGCCGACCCAGUAAGAGUUCAAAAGCCCUCCUUUUUGUAUACUCUUUAUCGUGCAUUGAAAAGCACAGGUACUCCAUUGAACUAUAUAGAUGACUUCCUUAAGGACAAAAAUUAUGGGAAUGAGUAUCUUUUUCUGAAGAAAAUGGAGGAAUGGGGAAUUGCCCCGAAAGGAAAAGCAGAGGAAGCACUUGCGAACAUUCCAAGAGAUCCUCGUAUGCCAGGACAAAAUCUGAUUGACGGGAACGAUGAUGACAAAAUGUUCCUUGAAUUUAAACCUAAAAUGGGUGUGGCAGUAAAGGUGAAAGGAAAUCGGAUGGAUUUGUUUAAAUCCAAGGAUCAGGAAAAAGUGUAUUUCAGUCUGUUGAAAAGAGGGGUAAUCAACCCUAGAAGUGUCGAUUUUGACUUCCUGGAUUCCAUCAACUUGAACCUAAGAGAGAAGUUGAAUUUGCUUCAACUUGAGACUUUCUGCUCUGACUCUACAGACGGGUAUGAUCAUCUGACCGCUUAUUUCUAUUCAAAUCUUAGCUUUUUGGAUGCGAAUAGAAUUUCAUUCAGUGUUCGAGACAGUCUAUGUGGUAGAUGUGAAUAUGUUGACGGACAUAGUUGGAGUUGAACGGGGACGCUAUCUCCCAAUCAAAGUCUCACAUGCUCGAACUACUCUGGAUCUUGUCAAAGAUAGGGAUGUAGAUAAGAAAAUUAUCUAUUCCAGGAUGAAUGCCAUCAACAUUGUGCUUCACAAGAUUGUGAUCAAUUGUCUCAGACCUAAGUCUACUUCAAAGACUUCUGUGUCUCUUUCUGAAGCAAAAUUGAUGUAUGCGAUCAACUCAGGACGGAAGUUCUCUCUCCCGCACACUAUUCUCUUCCAUAUGUACAGAGCAGUGUCAAAAGACAAAGGACAAUUGCCUUAUCCUGGUCUGGUGACCAAGAUCUUCAGACAUCUGAAUAUUGAACUGCCACAUUCUUUUUGUGUUCGAACGUGUGAUAAGAUGGUGGUAGGGUUGAAAAUGUUAAUGAAGAUGCGUCUGCAAGAACUCUCUAAGGCAAUGGAGAAAUUCAAAGUGAAAUCUCCAGUCCAGUCUGCUUCAAAAAGGAAAGGAAAGAAGGCCAUUGGUACUUCAUCGAAAAAGAGGAAAAGAACUCUUAUCCUGGAGGAUGAGGAUGAGGAUGAAGAUGAUGAAGAUCCCACUAUUCCAGCACUGACAAGAACAAGACGUUCUGUGUCUUAUCCGACAGAACUUCAGCAGAGCAGAGAAGAAGAAGAACAGAGAGAGAAGGAGAAAGAAGUUGAGGAAGAAAGAGAAGAAGAAAAAGAACAGUCUGCUGAUAAAUCUGGAGAGAAGGGAAAUCAAGAGCAUGAUCAUCACUCUUCCCCUUUCGAUGUCCUAGAGACAGGGGGAGUUAGUGAGCAAGAGAGGUCUCCACCUCAUGCUGAAGAUCCAAGACAAUCUCCAGAAGACCCAGAAGAAGUUCAGGUCUCUCAAUUGCCUGAAGAAGGUGAUACGUCGAUUCCAAAUUUGCCAGACCGAACAGAAGCGCCAUCGUCUGCAUACACACCUUCUGAGAAAGUCAAUGCCAGUACACAGACGGAUGAUUCUGCAGAUCUUCGUAGUAUCAUGAAUAUUCUUCUGGAAAUGCGUAACCAGAUAUAUAUUCUGGACUGUGAAAUCCAAGCUUUGAAGCAUGCUGGACAAGCAUCUUCAGUCUCUCUGGAAGAUAAAUUCAAAGACCUCGCUCUGCAACUUCAAGCCAAUGCCAAGAGAGAAGAGGUAGCUCAUCUGCGAGAAGAUCUGAAGAAGCUCGAAGGAGUAGUCCAGUCCAUUGGGGAUUUCCAGAUCGUGCGCAUUCCCAAGCAGACAUGACUCCUUUCUCACCCUCUUUUUAAUGAUGACAAAAAGGGGGAGAACCAAUUUGAACAAACAUUAUUUUAAAACUUUAUUUGACUUUUGUGUUUAUGUUUAUUUUUGAGUAUGACUUGAGAACUUGAACUUGAGUGUUAGACUGAAUUGGCUGUGGAUUUUGAUGCUUGACUGGUUGCAUUUAUAUCAAGUAUUGUUACAUGGUAUUACUCAUGAAAGACUAACCAAUUUGCUGUGGAUGCAGAGUCUGGUUGUUUAUUAAUCUUUAUGAGUUAGCCAUAUUGCUUGAGAAAUGUUUUUGCAGGUCAAAGUUGUUCAAAUCUUCAAGAAAGUUUUGUCACCAUCAAAAAUGGGGAGAUUGUUGGAGAAAUCUUUCCAGGAUAUUUUGAAGCUGACAAAACAUUUCUAUCAGUCUAAGUCUGGAUAUCGAUAGUUAAAGUCUCAAGACUUUAUAGUCUCAAGACUUUGUUAUCUCAAGACUCAAGACUCAAGACUCAAGACUCAAAAUUAUUCUCACUGACAGUCUUUCUAAUCCAGUGUUGAAGGAAAUUCAAAGCCGAGGUUUAUGGUUGAGGAUUUGAUCCUAUCCUCUGGAAUAGAUUCUUUGGUUGGAUAAUCAUUUCGGAUUCUUUAAUUCUUAUCUAAGAUCGAUUGAAGAUCCGAUGGUCGACGAAAUAAUCUUGGAUUAUUCUAUUCUUGGAAACCGAGAUCCUGAUUGUAUGGGCGAACAGGAUUGAUGGGCUAUCAUCAGAUUCCUUAAAUAGCUCGGAUGAUCUUCUUGAUUGAUUCCGUCCAACGGGUAGAUUGGAGGAAUUCCUUUGGUAAGUACCAACGGCUAUGAUGGCAUGAAGGAGUAUAAAAGGAAGACGUUCUAGUUGUUUCAAGUGUGUGAUCGAUAGAAAAAUUCCAGAGUCUGAAGAUCCUUGAUUGUUAGUUGAGACUGAGCGAAAUUGUAUACAAAGAGUGUUUAUACUUGGUGACGCCUUGAGUGAGUGUGGUAGAUCAUCUACACCUAGAAAUCAAGGAAGAUCAACACUGUAACAACUCUUUGAUCAUAGUGGAAUCCAGCCAAUCGGCUGUCAGUGCAGAAGAGUGGACGUAGGCUUGAAUCAAGCCGAACCACUAUAAACCGAGUGUUCAAUUCUCUCUUUCCCUUACUCAGUCUUGCGAUUGAAUUUUUAACUGUUGCAAAUUCUCUAAUUGUUUAAAUAUCGUGCAAGCUUCGAGAAAUUUUUUGUAUACCUAUUCACCCCCCCUCUAGGUACUCGUACUAGCUACUUCACAUCUAACAACUUACAGCUCCAUAUAUCGAUCAAUUAUUUAAAAUUUCUAAGGUUUAAAAGAAUAAUUCAGUGAUAUCGUAUCAUUUUAAGAGGUAUUGGAUUCAGAUGAAAUUGUUAGUACAUGGAGUUAACAUGGAAUGAAUACAACAAAAGUCAACGUCCAUUUGCAGAUUCCAUAUGGGUAGUUUUGGGAUUUUAUCUUCCAUUUCGCUGCUUUCGUUCUUGUGCUAAUUUACAAGUAUAAUGCUUACUCCGCCCAGAAGCUUUCUUAUUCUGCCUAGAUUUAGUAUUUUUUUUUUUUAAGUGGGGUUCCUUGCCUUAAAGAAAUUUUGACUAAUUUAUUUUGCAUCAAAUUUGACUAAUAGCAGAAACAUGCUUGAAACAAUCACAUUCCGCUUUUCUGAUAUGAUAAUUCAAGCUCUUGUUUUACACCAUGGUGGAUUUGUUCCAUUGAUACAUGUCUUGUACCUUGGAAUGAGAGAAUGAACUUGCAAAUCACAUGAAAAACGAAGAAUUUAUUGAGAUUGAGACUCGAAGAUUUAGAAUAAUGGUCAAGCAAUUGAGUCAUUCUAACACCUAAUGUCAAUUGAAUUCGUGAACAAGAAGGGUGAUACCUUUUUCAAUGAAAUAGCAAUGGCCAUAAAGGCAAAAUUCCUCAAACAUUACAAGAAUGUCUCGCUCUUUUUUUUUUUUUUUUUUUGGUAGCCACUGCCUUGGCUUCAAGGUUCAAGUUGGAGGGGCUCACAAUGCUUCCUAUUCCAUAUUACAAAUCUUUGGGACUGAGUCAGGAGCUCCAACUGGAGCACAUAUUGGCGAUAACGACGAGUAGACUCUCAAAUAUGCAUGUGGCAUAUGUUGGUCGAUAUAAUACAAUCCAUCUACAAAGAAAGAAUGCAGCCUCAUUAAGUAGUGCCCACAAACCUCUAUGGUCUUUGCUUCGAAGAACACCCCACGGUCUGCUAGGUAUUCAUCUUCAUUGUCUACUGGUGAAUUGGAGAUGUAAUUGGGAAUAGACUACACCAAGCACAUUAAUAGAGUUGGUGAAAAUAACCUCGAGAACGUGAAAUGGUGGAACUUGUGACUUACUCAUUCCACUGACAUAUACGGCACCUUCGAAGUCUAUGUUCAUUACUAGCCAACUUUUGGAAGUCAAAUAGAUCCAACUUGUUUGCGUAAAAUUUAGAAAUAAUUAGCGUAGGGUGAAAUUAGUUUUUACAAGAAUCAACUCCAUAGGAAUGUACCCAACAUGGACACAAGAACAACAAUGACACUGUAUAGUCCAAAUCAUGGUGAGGAUAUGAAUUAGUAUCGGAUGAAAGAGGGAAGAGUCAAAGAUCCAAUGGUGUUCCAUUUAUCCUACUAUUGCUCUGGAAGACAUUUGGGUUUCAUUUGUUUCGCGGAAAACAAUUUCCAAGAAAAGUUUUUUGGAUAUUUCAAGGUUCGUUUAAUAGAAAAUGAACUAGUUGAGAAAAAUAUUUUGCAUUAAUAGCAAAAAGUUUUCUAAAAUAGGAGAAAACAUUUUCCUCACUUACUCUAUGUUAUCUCACACCCUUGCUAGCCUCUUCAUCUUUCUUUUUUUCUUUUUAAAAAAAUUUGAAAAUUUUAAAUCAUUUUUCAUUUUUUUCCUUUCUUUUAUUUUCCUUCUUUUCGGGCCCAUCCUAUGGUUGGUGAUUGACCAAAGAAGGAGGAAAAGAAAAAAAAAAAAAGAGGUAAAAAUAGAAAAGAAAAAGUAAAAGAAAAAAAAAGCCGAAAGAAAAUUUAAAAAUAAAAUAAUCAAAAUUUCGAUUUUUUAAAAAAUAAAAACAUAAAAAAAUUAUUAAAUUGAGUGCACAAAAAGAAAUUGAAUCGAAUUUUCUACAUUGAAUGGCGAAAAAUAUUUUCUAGUUCAUUCUCGUGUUUCAAGCAAACACCGGAUAAUAUUGUUAUUUUCUUAAAAAAUGACUUUCUAGAAAAUAUUUUCCAGAAUCACAACAUUUUAUGCGAAACGAAUGAAGCCAUGGAGAGUGCCUAGAUACCUUUGAUUCCUGGGGUUUAUGACUAAUAACUAAUAAGAGCCAGCAAAAAUCGUAUUUUUCAUAUCAUCAUAACUGUCCAUUAUCUAUUAAGCCAAAAAACGACAAGUAUGUUCCUAGCAAAAGGCAUAACUCUCACUAGUUUUACAUGUUACUCCUUUUAAUAGCAUUCUCAUGAUAUGGAGCAAUUACUCUGUAAAUCUGAUAACCAAAAAAAUGUUGGAUGUAAUGUAAAUCUCAUAAAAAAAGAAAAGAAAAGAAAUUCACGAUCAACAUAAGCAAAGCAAGCAGGAGAGAAGAAAAUUAAUUUUAUGAAUCUAAAUAAAGAUGAUAAUUUCACCAACUUAAUGAAGUAACUACUUUUGGCUGUGCUGAUUUAUAUUUUCAAGUAACAUAUAGCUUUCAGAUAUAAAUUUCAGCUGUCCUCAGACACUUGAUGAUAAACUAACAUUAGGAUCACACCUAUCGCAUAUUCAUUCAUUCACAUCUAUGGACUGUGACUUAUAUUGCCUCACUCUUGUCAAUUUAAAGGAAAAAGAGUAUAAUUAUAGAAGAAUAACAUUACCAUGUAUGCCAUUAGAACAAUAUGAGUUACUUAGAGUCAAUAGGCAAAUUGAAGAGUUUGAUGUAUAACAUAUUUACGAAGCAUUGUUGAACAUCUAGAUUUUAUUAAAAUACUUAAGAGAAACCGUGCAGACCCCAUAAGAAACCCAAUCGUAAAAUGCAAAAUUUUGGUACAGUUAUUAUCUUAUAAUUUUCCACCACAUCAUUUAUUUAUUAAGUUUAUAUAAUAUUUUCAAGAUAAAUAAUGGCCUCUCGUCUCCUUAUGCAACCAAGCAAGUGAGAUGGUAGAAGACUUUGACUUGCUUGUAAUUACUAGAAUCUUCCCCCUAGGUUUUGCCGGCUUUUUAUCUUAUCCCUUUCUUUGCAGCUAAGCAAGCAAGAUAGUGGAAGACUUUAACUUGCUUUUUCUUCCCCUUCCUUCCCCCCCCCCCUUUCUUUUGAGUAGGUCUUGUUGACUUUUGCCUUAUCACUUUCUUUGCGAUUAAGCAAGCAAGAUGGCGGAAGACUUAGACUUGUUUUCCCUCACUAGAGAAUUUUUUAAAAGGUAAUUAACUCGGUUCAUAGAAAAAUUGAUAUAGAAUCUCCGAAAAAGUCUUUUUCUUGAUAAAGAUUUCUUUUGCAAAAUGCAAAUACUAACAUGAGCAUGCUAUGUAUGGAGAAAUAUCCUAUUGACCCAAUUUGGCAUCGUGCUUGAUUACUGCAACAACAUAUUUGUUCUUGAGAUAUCAAUCCUCGAUGAUGGUCAGAAUGACUCACGUAUAGCUCGAUGCAUGCCAGAAUGACUCAAAUGUGACGCUAGAUCUAGUCAAGUGUCGUUACAACAAGAUGCCUCUAUUUUUUAGUAGAGCCAUGACAAAGGGUUGGGGGGGGGGGGGGGGAGAGAGAGAGAGAGAGAGAGAGAUUGCGGGGGAGGGGAUAGAGAUAGGGGAUAAGUUGUGGAAGGCAUCAUUGGUGUUGGUUAGGGGAGUGAUUAUGGGAUGGUGACAUUAAUUGGUAGUGGUAGUGAAGGGGGGGUUGGUGGAGAGAAAGAGAGAGAAACGAUGCGGUAGAAUAAAUGGUAUUUCAUGUGACAAUUGUACGGAGGAGGUUUGGCUGAAUUGCCCCAAAUUGAUGUUGUCAUCUGGACGUGAAGCGCAUUGAUAUCAAGAGAAAGAUCAUGUUUAGAAAACUAAAAAAGAUAGGAUCCAUAUAAGUUCCUCUUGAGUUCCACUAGAUCUAGAAGUUUGUAACGAGUAUGGAACGAACGACGUACCACUCAAUUGUUGGUCAAAGCAAUAGGCAAGUGAAGAAAAAGCUCAUGUAGUUGUCACACCACAUACAAUGGGCUCCAUAUGCCGGGGGUUCCACACUCGAGCAUGAGGCCAACUAAGGAGUCCCGUGAAAGCAAAUGGAAAAAUCAAUUUUAUUUUUUCUCCGUUGAUUAACAUGAAUUGCAUAUAGACAUGAUUCAGACUCAUUAAAAUAUAUAUUAAAUUAAAUACUUUGAAUUCAUAAAAGCAUAUUUUUUAAAUUUUAGCUAAUUCGUAUAUGAUCCAAGUCACUGAAUAUGGUUAAGAUGUAAAUUUUUUACCAUUUCAAUGCCUCUAGCAGUGAGAGGCUUUCAUUUCAAUGGGAAGGGAAAGCAAAGUGUUGUCCAUCUGCACUUUGAUUUAUGCGGUCAUGCGAUCCCAUUACAUAGAGAACUAACAAAAGCUGAGAGUUAAUCGGUUAAAGUAGUAAAUUUUUUCAACAAGGAUGCGUAAAUCCAUGGUGGGAUUGUGUGUAUCCCAAGCACAUCUGGCUCAUCUUUUAAGGUAAGAGGGGAAGUAAUUUCCAAUGUGAACACUUUGCAGAAGUUGCCAAUUAAAGUAGAUGAUUGUGGGGCUCUUUCGAAAUAGUAUCGUAUGAAAACUAAUUUCCAUUGUGAACACCUUGACUUCAACAUAAAAGUAUGUACUCUUUCAAUUAAUGGGGCUAGAAAAGCAAAAGCCGAGGAUAAAGCAAAAUCUUCAAUUUGAUUUAAGUGGCCAUGAGGUCCAAUUACAAUCUAAUGGCUACGUCAAUCAGCAAUAGGGGUGCCAAUCAAUCAAUAAUUUGAGUGGCAAAGUGGAGCCAUUGUCAAAAGGUGAGGAUAAAGCAAAAAGUAUUGCCCAUCUUCAAAAAGUUAAUUUUCACUAUGAUUUGCUUGGCCAACGGAUCCAAUAACAAAAAGAACUAACAAGGAAAGUCUACAAAGGGGUCGUCUUGGCAAUUUCGAGGGAGGAAUUGUUUUGGGCUCUUGGUCAAAAAGGUUAGAAUCAAAAGAAGUCUCGGCAAUUUCAAGGAAGGAAUUGUUUUGGGGUCUUGGCCAAAAAGGUUAAAAUCAAAAGAAGACAUGGGAUGGUCCUCGGUAAGACCUUAAACUGCAGCAGUCCGGGGGGGACAACCUCGAUAACAAGGCCCCGCGCGGGCAUGUAAUCCCGUGCCUCCCCUCCUUGGGGUCCCCGAAGGCCAUACGAGGGGUAUUCCCUUUCCUGGGGAAGAAAAUUAUCCGGUUGGGGGCAAAAGCCUGGCCCCUGGAAAAUACNNNNNNNNNNNNNNNNNNNNNNNNNNNNNNNNNNNNNNNNNNNNNNNNNNNNNNNNNNNNNNNNNNNNNNNNNNNNNNNNNNNNNNNNNNNNNNNNNNNNNNNNNNNNNNNNNNNNNNNNNNNNNNNNNNNNNNNNNNNNNNNNNNNNNNNNNNNNNNNNNNNNNNNNNNNNNNNNNNNNNNNNNNNNNNNNNNNNNNNNNNNNNNNNNNNNNNNNNNNNNNNNNNNNNNNNNNNNNNNNNNNNNNNNNNNNNNNNNNNNNNNNNNNNNNNNNNNNNNNNNNNNNNNNNNNNNNNNNNNNNNNNNNNNNNNNNNNNNNNNNNNNNNNNNNNNNNNNNNNNNNNNNNNNNNNNNNNNNNNNNNNNNNNNNNNNNNNNNNNNNNNNNNNNNNNNNNNNNNNNNNNNNNNNNNNNNNNNNNNNNNNNNNNNNNNNNNNNNNNNNNNNNNNNNNNNNNNNNNNNNNNNNNNNNNNNNNNNNNNNNNNNNNNNNNNNNNNNNNNNNNNNNNNNNNNNNNNNNNNNNNNNNNNNNNNNNNNNNNNNNNNNNNNNNNNNNNNNNNNNNNNNNNNNNNNNNNNNNNNNNNNNNNNNNNNNNNNNNNNNNNNNNNNNNNNNNNNNNNNNNNNNNNNNNNNNNNNNNNNNNNNNNNNNNNNNNNNNNNNNNNNNNNNNNNNNNNNNNNNNNNNNNNNNNNNNNNNNNNNNNNNNNNNNNNNNNNNNNNNNNNNNNNNNNNNNNNNNNNNNNNNNNNNNNNNNNNNNNNNNNNNNNNNNNNNNNNNNNNNNNNNNNNNNNNNNNNNNNNNNNNAUAGAUUGAAUUAGAGAAACUUCAAUUUAGUGUGGUUUCCAUAUGAUUUUUUUUUGGUGACCCGAGAACCACUGUACAGCCGGCAAUCGGCGAUGUAAACCUGGGGCGACUAAGCCACCACCACAGACCCAAUCACAGUUGAGUUGCGUGAUUUGCGGUACACGGGAUUUGAACCCCUCCAUCCUGCACAUAUGUCAUAGGGGCGCUUAUCCAGUGUAGCCACCACGGGCAGUGGUUGGUUUCCAUAUGAUUUAAUGAGGGAAAAUUAUCAAAAAAGUUCUAAAUUUAUUGCACUUUUACCAAUUCAAUUAUAAAUUUUUUAAUUCAAUUUGUUUAAUCUUUAACUUAUUAAUAAUUUCCCAAUAUAAUCUAUUUGUAUAAUUUUGAUAUAAAAUUGUUGAUUUGAACUAUGAGCGUCUUUACUUGACAUGGCUGGUGAGGACUGGCAGCCUGACCAUAGCGGGCUCUCGGCUCCUGCUUGCCGUGUAUGAGGGCAGCGUGCCUCGGCCUUCACCUGCCAAUCAGCUUUUUGAUUCGCCGUUCUUCCACAGUGGGCCACCCAUAUUCUUUUGAAAUUUCGCCAACUUUGGGUUGGGCGUCCAAGACACGUGCCUCCACCUAAACAUGGCACGUGAUCAUGUUCCCGCCGCAGAAAGUGAACACAGAACCGCGUCGUCGGACUCCCCAGGUACAAGUUCUAUCUACUUCCAUAUCUGAAGCAUAUCGAAGCCUCUACGACCAGAGCGAGAGCUUCGGCUUAUAUCGGCGGAGGAAGCAGCGAUCUUCUUUCUCGUGAAUCCACCGAGCAGUACACCCGAGGCCAUCGCGAAGAGCAUCUGCAGUCACUCCUUCCGAACCACCGGCCUCAAAGGACUGGUUUUUCAGCAGGCACCAAUCAGCAGGUAAAAUCAACUCGAAUCGUCUCGAGUUUCGAACUUUUCAGUGUUCCGCUUGCUAUAAUUUCUGAUAAUGGACUCCGCUGAGGUGAGUAGGGUUCUUGGAUUUGGGGGGUCUUUGGUGGAACACGAGGGUCGUUUCUGGAUUUUAUCGAAAUACGGUAAGUUCCCCCUAUGUAGUUGGUGAUUUCGUAGCCACUACUCGUCCUUUCUCGCGACGUUCUGACCUGAGAUGAUCUGCAAAUUUACCUUCGUCUCUUUCCAAACCAAGCCGGUCUAGGUCGAGGCGUGAAGGUGAUCCUCGGAAUUGCGCAGCCUUUCGGGACUCGGACCCAACUCGAUCUGCUUCAAGGCGACUUCUUCUCAAACACUGAAACCCGUCACAACUAUUUCAUCUCUGAAUCGCUGCUAGAGGUAAGCACAACCUUCAUUCUCUGGUCCAUACCAAUUGAUAGCACAAAGAAUAAAAUACAUGUGAUUAUUACUCAUCCCAUGACGCCUAACAUCCUUUUAAGGCAUACAGAAUAAUACAUGUGAAAUUCCUUCGACUUUUGUAAAAUCAUUAUCAAAUACAUAUUACUAAUUUUUGUUACUACAAUCUUGUCAUUUAAACUAAUCGGUUGAAUUUGGUGGAAUCACACGUUGGCCCUUAUCCCGGUAUUGUUUUCAAAACAUCAACGGUUCACUGAACUCCAUUGGGAUGAAGGCCCCAUUCCAUGAAAAUUAUGAAAAUACCCUUCUAGACCUGAUUUUGGGUCCAUUGGCCCUAUAGGUACCCCACUUGUCAAAAAUUACUUAAAGCUUGAAACAUCCAAAAUACUUAGUUUUUGUAGAAAUAAUUGUCUUUUUUCUCUUGAAAACAGUUUAAAACUAACUAUAUAUAUAUAUAUAUAUAUAUUUCCAAAUAUAGAUCGUGCUGGUCUAUUCUCUUCAAUAAUUGCAGAAAACCUUUCAAAGCCUACGGAUCAAAAUUGUCAACGACAAAAAUUUAUUUGAACAGAUCAGAUCAACUAGAGAAUUUUUGAAUGUCCAUAAAACUAUUAUCCAUUAUAUUGGUAAUGAUCAUAAUUUUUGGAAAAUGACAGAAUAUUCAAAUAUUUUUUGGAAGUUAUGAAAAAUACACAAUUGUACUUAUUAUUAUUAUUAUUAUUUUUGGUGGUGCUGGUCACAAUGGAAAACUUGAAAGUGAGCAAUGCUGCUGUUUUCAAUGCACUCACACAUAUUUAAUAUGUGGAUUAUGUGGGUUAAAAUAGAGAAACUUGUCAUAAAGUGUGGUUUUCAUGAGAUUUAACUGCUUACAGCAAAGCAGUGAUAUAGCAUAUAAAGUUACCAACCUACGAUAGAUUUGACAAUAUGAUUUAUGCAUGUGUAGGGUGGGAGAGAAUGUAGCGUUUACAGGAGGAAGAACGUCUAUGAUAAUAUCAUACUGAUAUAUUAGCAGGAGCCACAUUUAUUUGUUUAACAAUAUGGUUUAUAAGUAGAUAUGAACAGAAUUGGUCAUUCUGUACUCUCGUCCAAAUUGUGCUCUCUCACAUUCAGCCUCUCUCUUGCAGAACAAUUCGGAACUAUUGUCCUCUCUUGCUUGCUUUGAUCUUUUCCCUCUUGAAAGUUUUCACCCGGGCUUGUUUAAGGUCUCCUCUCUCCAAUCUCGCACCUCUCUUUGCAUCUCAGCUCACGGAAGGUAAUUGCUUUUUCAUGUCUUAUUAGCGUGUCGAUUCUAUUGAUCCGUUGCUUUGUUAUUGGAAUAAUCGGCUGAACUAAGUGCAUUUUGGGCCCCUUUUUGUCAAUUGGGGAUGUGGGGUGGCCACUAAAUAGCAAAGGAGGGUCUUUUAUUCUCUCUCUAGAGUCGUCGUUACCUGUUAACGAGGAAUGUACCCAGCUCAGACUUGACUUUGGUGAAAAAAGAAAACCUUUGUUUUCGACUAUAGACGUAGCUAAUCCUAAGAAUGUCUGAUUGUUAGUUGCAUCGUAAUUCAGUAUUGAUCUUUUGUUGAACUAGAACGAGUAGGUCUGCAAGCGCGCUAGACUCUAUUGCGUGCAAAAUUGCCACAUUUCGCUUGAACCCAUAGGCCAUUUCUUUUUUUAUGAAUUGUGAGGUUUUUCUGUGUUUGAAGGUCCUAGAUCAAUUUAUAGAAAAAAAAAAUCAGAAAAAUAGAAGUAGGCUAGUUCUUGGGUCAACUAGUUUUGUUCUCGGUUACAAAAAUGGAGAACUAAUUAUUACAGAAUCAGUUCCCGAUUCUUAGUUUAGAACUUACUCAUCCUGAAACCAAUCAUCCUAAGAGUUAGUGUUCUCUUAAGGAGAUAAUGUUCGACAAUUUUACCUCCCUAUAGAACAUUCCAAAGGAGUGAUUCUGUUUUCCUCAAAUUGUUGGACCAUUAAUCGUAGAAAGCACUUGCAAUAGUAGGAAAAAAAAAAUCUAGUUGAUCUUCUGACACACAUGAAAACGAUCAAAUAAAUCGAGCCAUACAUGCAAAUUAGGAGAUUCACCUAGCUUUAUAUCACUUAUUUCUUACACCUCUUUGUGGUGAUAUUCUCAUUAUGGGCCCUCCGACAAAAAUGGGGACAAGCACUCAACGCCAUUCUCAAGGUGGUCGUCUCUGAAUUUUCCUCAGCAACUUCUUUUUACUUCCCUCCUCUUCUUCUCCUUCUUCCAUUGAAUCAAUACCUAAUUUCUAAUCGUUCAGACUGUGAGAAAGAAAAGAGUGCAUGAAAAGAGAGCACCGAGGGAGCAUCUACUCCUCCGUUUUUUUCCAUCUAACAAAUUAUAGCUCUAUUUUACAGACAAAAUAUCAAUCGACCUAGUAGAUUUGAAAAUUUGAAAUGAAAGGCUUAGUGAUAACAUACCACUUAAAAAUAAUUUCAUUUUGCAUGGAAUUGGAGCAUGUGGUGCCGGCUUGGAAUGGAUAAAAGAUAAAUAACCACAAGCACUUUUUUUUUUAAUCUCUACCUCACGUUUCCAACUUCAUUAAGAAUGACAACUUUAAACAAAAUUAAAAUGUAAAAUCUCAUCCACAGCUCGGUCCUUUCUUGAUGCCUUCCACACAUUUCUAAUUCCGUUUCAACUCAAUUAUUAUCUUUUUAAAUGAUUUAUCAAAUUCUGAUUUUCAAUAACCAAAUUAAAACCGGACUUAUGCUUAUAUUUAUAAUUGAAUGUAAUAUGCUUGUGCACAAAUUCUAGUUCUUUAUAGCCCAAUUGAAAAAUUAACGUUCACGUUACCGGUGAGUGGAUCAAGCCAACAAGUUUGACUUGAAUAGUGUGAGGUCCAAAAGAAGAUAAGGCGAGGUCUAAAAACAUCCAACUGCUCCUAGUCAAUCAAUUACCAAUUAAUUAAAGAUUUCAUGUUGGUUUUUUCUUGCAUGGUAAUAGAUUCACGUUCAUACUCGUUCGUAGAGAUUAGUUCAUCGAUCCUUUCAUGCAACAUAAAAGCAUCUUUUGUUCCAACUUUCACCCUUAGAUUGCCAUGCAUCUUGCGUUCCCUUUUUUACUUUUAAUUCAGCAAAUGGAUAAUUCAAAAGCCUUUUGGAAGUUACCUCUAAAUAUCGCUGCUUCCUUCUAAAAGUAAGCCCGGACACUUCAUUCCCUUCUUUUCUAUUUUUUUUCCUAAAUUAUCUUUUAUCUUUUAUUUUUUUGAAUAUUUCACAUACUUCUUUUUUUAUUAGUUUACUGACUUUUCAAGAGCUGAAUGAUAUGCCAACAAAAUUGUAAUAAAACAAUUGACCUAAACAAGAACUCAAGGAUUGUGUACAAGUAUUUGAUAUAUCAUUUGUAACUUAAUACUUAUGAGUUUUGCUCAUUUCAUGUGAUUUAACAAAUUAUAGCUCUAUUUUGCAGACAAUAUAUCAAUCAAUAAUUUAAAUUUGAAACUUUGAAGUGAAUAGCUCAAUAAAUCAUAUCAUAGAUUCAUCUUAUAUAAAGCUAUUGGCAUUUGGGGGCCAGCAUGAAAUAUAUAAGAGAGAAAGGACACUGACCAUUUGUGGUUCAUAUAAGCAAGAGGGAGAGUACCUUGUUCCGAGCUGUUGGAAGAGAGAAGAACGUAUCAGCCUAUCUGGGAAGCUUGAGUUUUUAUGGAGAACAAAGGUUGAGAGACUUGUUCACUUGUAGCAAUUUUUUGUUGUUUGGAAAAAAAAAAAUCAAGUAAAAGUUUCGCCGUGCGGUCCUUAAAACCUGCAAAAGCUCAGACUUUGGACAUUCUUUCCCCCACUGUUUUUGUGAGCGAUAAUAUUACUAAAGAUUCAUUUGAUGAUUCAUGUCGUAUCAUAUUAAUUGUGUCAUAUUUAGUUAGGAUAUAACAUGCAUAUGGCAAAACCUGAACAAGACAUGUUUAGCAAACGUGUUGAAUGGCCUCAAUAUGAACAUAACACUUUUAAGAAAGCAAGUCAAACGCCAUUACACGACAAAUGCGAUUAUUAAAAGUCACCAUAUAGAAAUGUCAACACGACACCAGGCAAUAUGCUAGCCUAUAUACAUGCAAGAAUAUGCAACACAUUGCAUUAAAUCUAAAGCAAAGAGCAAAAUUGCUUCCCAUGAUAUUCUAAUUACAAGCGAGACGCAGCCUUUUGUAUUAAUAUUAAUCCUAUUUAAAGCCAUAAAAUUUUAUCACAUAGAAAGCCCCAAAUUUCGAACAUACUAAAGCCAUGAAUUUCAAAAUCUAAAAAUUAAGAACAAAAAGAAAGCAGACCAUGAAAGAAGAGAGAAAAAGUUAAAAUUCGUCGUUAUAUAUUGGAUACGUGUUGGGUGGAAAUGUUGGGUGGAAAUGAUAUAAAUGGAACUUAAUUUCAUUGAUGGACUUAGUUAUCCUUCAUUCUAAUCAUCCUUAAAAAGGAAGAAAGGCCAAUUUUGGAAGAAAGUGCAAUUUUUGCAUUUCUUCUCAUUUCUAUGCACUUUUAGAAAGAAAUAAAUUGUGGGCCCAAAAGAAAGUAUUUCCCUUUCAUUUAUAAUCUUUUUCAUUGACUUCCUUCAUAAUUUAAACAGUUGAGAAAUUGAAAAUUUUUCCUCGAUUAAUAUUUAAGCUUUUUCGUUAAUUUUACAUAUAAUCAACGCCUAAAACUUGAAAUCUACCAUAUUAAAAAACGUGAUUGAUGGAAAUUUCCAAUUAGGAAAGUGCACGAAUCUAGAGGAAGAGGUUUAAUGGGCAACACCUACAUGACACCACAUUAGUUUGGCCAAUGAAAAUGGGAUUAGACAGAAAGGGUUGUGAAAAUGAGGUGGUGGAGAUAGUUAGGGUGGUUCAUAUAUUAGGCUAAAAAUAAUAAGAGUAAAAAUUAUGAUAACGAUUAGGCACCUUGUGAGCUUAUAUUUAGAGGAAGAUAUUUCCAUGGACUUUCCUAACAAUUUCAAUAUGUUAGGUGUGAAUUGAAAGAAUCCGUCUUUAAAUAUCAGACGUGUGAAGUUAUGUAGUUGUUAGUCGAUUAAUUACACUUCAAUAUGUUUAAAUAUGUGUUUUAAUAUCUACAAGUGUAUCAAAUAUGUGUUUCUGAACAAAUAAAUGAUGCGGGCUUUUCAGGGGCCUCUUUAGGACCACCUAAUCUUCCGCAAUGAAACGAGGUUAGCUUACUUAACUGAAGGCAGCGUCUUCAUAACCUAUCUCUUUCUCAAGAACAAGAACCUUCUUCAGCAUUGCCUGGGGAGAAAUUAACGUACACAUUAUUCGGAGUGGACCAAGCCAGCAAGCAUUUGCAGAAAAGCAUCCUAAAAGUGUCUUUCAUUGUUCAUCAAUCCUUUCGAGUAGCAGGAAAAGCAUCUUUCUUUUCAACUUUUCCCCUUAGAUCGUCAUGGACAGAGGGCAGAGUCAGGGAAAGAGCCAUAGAGCCAAGGAAGAGAGCACUGAGGAAGCAUCCACUUCUUCAUUCAUCUCUCUGAAAGCAACAGGUGUAGGUAGCGGUCAAUAUGACGUGUUUUUGAGCUUUAGAGGCUUGGAUACCCGCAAGGCAUUCACCGAUCACCUCUACCACAGUUUGAGCAAGGCCGGCACUAUACCGAUUUGCAUGUUCAAGGACGAUAACAGCAUACCGGUUGGUGAGGAAUUUGGUACAAAGAUUCUUGAUGCCAUCGCACGAUCUAAGAUUUCGAUCCCCAUCAUAUCCGAAAAUUAUGCUUCGAGUAAAUGGUGCCUCCGUGAGCUCAUUCAUAUCAUGGAUCGGAAGAAGAGCAUGUCACAUAUAGUUUUGCCCAUUUUUUACAAAGUUACCCCGUCGGAUGUGCGACAUCUAAAAGGAAAUUUUGGAAAUGCCUUCCAUUUGAAUCGGGCGCAUUUUGAGGAGAAGGAUAUCCAGGAAGGGCAACGAGCACUUAAGGAAGUUAGUAACUUAAAUGGAUGGGAAUCUGAGAAAUUUGUUGACAUGUACUUCACUAAACUUUUCUUUUUUCAAUUAGUAAGUUCUCUUCUUCAUGUAGAAUCGAUGAAAUGCAGAUAAAUUACUUUCAUUGCAAGCUCGGAAAAGAUCCCCAAAAUGUCCCAAUAAACAACCAUAAUGCCUCGAAGACAACAAACACCGGUACUCCCCAAGAUAUCACUGAAAACUAAACCAACGACAACUAAAAUCGAAACAUCCCAUAGUGCCCUAGAGUUUUACAUUUUCCUCCGGUACGAAGCGAAAACAAAGAAAUGAUAAUACCCCUAGCUAAUAGCGUCAAUCACUAAAGAAUAGACCGACAAAGUACUCCAAUGCUCAGUCUUCCAAACUUGAUCCCCACCAAGAUAAAAUGGACCUCCUAUAGCUCAGUUGAUAAGAAUCGAAUAUUUUGCAUAGACUAUGUCUUCAUUCAUAACCUCUCAUUGUUCUUGUUGUUUGACAGGCAUGAGGGAAAAUUAAUAGAAUGCGUGGUCGAAACUGUUAUAAACAAGUUACAGAAAGAUUUUCAGCUGGAUGUGCCUGAGCAACUAGUUGGACUUGAUGGUCGUAUGAAGAAAAUUAUGAAUUGGAUCGACAAUCCUUCCAUCAAUGCUCGAAUGAUUGGAAUUUAUGGCAUGGGCGGGAUAGGCAAGACAACUCUUGCCAAGUGCAUCUACAAUCAACUCUCGAAUAAAUUUGAGCAUGUCAGCUUCCUUUUAGAUAUUCGAGAAACUACCAGGCACCACGGUAUUACGUGUCUACAGAGUCAACUUAUAUCGGAUAUACUUAAUGAAAAAAGGGAAGUUUCUAGAAUUGAUGAAGGAAUUAAUAUAAUCAAAUCUAGAUUCGGACAAGAAAAGGUUCUCAUUCUUUUGGAUGAUAUAGAUGAUAAGAGUCAACUAGACGCGUUGGCUAGGAAAUGUAAUUGGUUUAUGGCAGGAAGUUUGAUCAUUGUUACCACUAGAAACAAAGCUAUUCUUGAUCAAUCUGAAUUUGAGGUAGAAUACAAGUAUGAAUUGAAUGAAUUGGACAAGGAGCAAGCUUUGCUUUUGUUUAAUAGACAUGCAUUUCAUAUGGAUCAUUCUCCGGGGGACUUUGACAGCAUAUCUCGUGAUAUCAUAUCCACCAUGGGUGGGCUUCCCUUGGCACUUCAAGUUGUAGGUUCAUACUUGUAUAGAAAAACAAAUCUAAAAGUAUGGGAAGAUGUGUGGAAGCAAUUAAAAGACCAACCGCAUAGAGAUGUCCAAAAGAUGUUGCAAAUAAGUUAUGAUGCAUUAGAAGAUAGACAUAAGCAAAUUUUUCUCGAUAUUGCUUGUUCCCUUAUUGGUCAAAGGAGCGAAUUUGCCAUGUAUAUGUGGGAGGACUGUGGGUUUUAUCCAAGUCUAGGAAUUGAAGAGUUGAAGUUGAGGUGCUUUAUUAAAAUUGGAGAUGGUGGUCGGUUUGAGAUGCAUGACCAAUUGAGAGAUCUUUGAAGGACAACUGCUUGAGCAACGUAGCGGACCAUGGGACCACGACUAUAAGGGAGUCCCAAGAGUACUAAGAAGCUUUGAAUUGGUAACAUAUGGCACUCCUUUCUUUUUCUCUCCCUCUUAUUUUAAUAUGUUUAAUCUAAUCUAUUCUAAUAUUUCAUCUAGGAUUGACGUAUGCUCUUACUUUCUAGGAGUAAACAUCCAUUUAUGUACAUCUUAGAUUUAAUGUGAUAGUUAAAUGGAUUAUAAGUAUCUAUAGGAUGAAAAAGUUAUACCAUUUGAUUCGAUUUCAUUGAUAUAAAUUACAUCUGUAAAGAUUUGAUUGACAAUCAAUUUAAGAUCCUUUAACUACAAAUUAUAAGUAUAAAUCUCAUUUACUAAAAGCAUGUAAUUGUCAUAUCUAGCUGAAAAUAUUGAUAAUAUAAAGGACUACAAUAAUGAAUGAAGAUGAAAAAUAAACAUCAUAGAUCAGAUAAAUGAGGUUUCUUGAAAAAAAAAAAUAGCAUGUGCCAAUUAUAAUAACUAGGGUUAAUACCUUGAAAAACCCCAAACUGGUACACUUGUGACAAAUUUACCCCAAACUAUUUUUUUGACCAUAAAAAACCCCAAACUGGUAAACUUGUGACAAAUUUACCCCGACUGAUUAUAAAAAACCCUAAACUGGUACAUUUAUGACAAAUUUACCCUAAACUAAUUUAUUUGACUGCAAAAAACCCUAAACUGGUAAAUUUGUGACAAAUAUACCCUACGCUAAAUUAGAUUAAUACUACAAAAAAAUCAUAAAAAUUGUAAACUGUGACAAACGGAACGUAAAAUCCUAAAUUAGUAUACUGGUUAACUGUCACGUGUCAUUUAACUUAAUAAUUUGAGAAUAAAAUUUAACAAAAACUAACAUAGGGUAAAUUUGUCACAAGUGUACCGGUUUGGGAUAAAUUUGUCAAAAGUAUACCAGUUUGGGGUUUUUGGUGGUCAAAAAAAUAGUUUGGGGUAAAUUUGUCACAAGUGUACCAGUUGGGGUUUUUUUAGGGUAUUAUCCCUAAUAACUAAUAAUUAAUUCAAAACGACAAGAUUGGAAACAAUUUCACAUUUAUCACAUGUUCUUGCUUAUUAGUAUGGCCAAAUGUAUUGGUGGUACUCCUGUGAUUUAGGAAUCCAAUGUUUGAUAUUUUCUUCUCCAUUUUGAUUUUGAAGAUACCCGUCCCUUUAAUCUACUAGUUAUGUCUAUCUCUUUUAAUUCUUAUUUUCUUUUAAUAGAUAAGAUAGCAAAAAUGCCCUUAAAAGUACUUUUAGGAAAAUCUUACUGUUUUUUAAGGUUUUAUCACGUUGACCUUGGUCAUUUCAUGAAUUAGGUUAGGUGUAUGAUAAAGAGUGGAUUUUCUUAUGACAAACGCUUGUAUCCGUCUAUGUAGCACAGACAUGGACACGCAACACGAGACACGACACAACACAACACGCCGACACGCCGACACGUCAUUUAUUAAAAAUAGAGAAUUUCGACACAUUCCGACAUAUUAUAUAUUAAAUAUAUUUUUAUAUAUAAAUACAUAAAUAAAUAAUAAUAAUAGCCUAGAAUUAAUUUACACAAAAAAAUAUUAAAUAAUAUCAUUCAUUAUUUUAAUUUGUUACAAUAAUACACAAAACUUAGAGGAAAAAAAUAUUGUUUAAAGAAAAAUACUGAAAUGAUAUUUUUAAAUUUAUUUAUUUAUCAUAUAUAGCAUUUUUUAUUACUUCUUUCAUAGUAAAAGACUUUAAAAAAAAUAAAAAAAUUCUAAAAAAACAAAACUGAAAAAAAAUAUUGACCCCGUGCGUGUAUAUUUAUAACAAUUUUAUUACUUCUUUUGUGUAUAUUUAUAUUUUGACCCUUCAAGUAUUAGAAAUUUUUAAAAUUGACCCCGUGCGUGUCGGAAUCGCGUGUCGGAAUUCUAGACUUGCGUGUCGAAAUUCUGGACUCGCAUGUCGGAGUAUGUCGGAAAGAGUUGACCAUGUGUCGGAUUUUUCGACAUUGGUUGACCGCAUGUCGGACCGUGUCGGGACGUGUUGGAGCAUGUCGGACACGUGUCGGAGUGUCGGACACGACACGAAGGCUUGUCACACCCCGAUCCUCGGACGCGCGCACAUCCUUCUACUUGGUCGAUUUUAGAAUGCGAUAUCCCAGGACUAUGUAUCGCCGACCCUUUCUAUUUGUUAAGCACAUGCGGAAGCAGUUAUAAAUCCCCAGACAAUAAAACAAUGGGAUAGGAAAGUAGGCCAUAUUUUUCAUAUUGAAAUUCAUAACCACACUUUCAUUAACAGCACAACUCAUAGUAUAUUUACAAUACUAUUUAUAGCAUAAAAGUCUCACACCUAUCUAUACCAAGACAGGGUUCACAAAAGGGAUGGGAUCUCAAUCCACAUCCGGGUUAUAUUCAAGAUCCCUCUCUGGAUCUUCUUCCUCUUCAAAAGUCUUUCUCCCCUUCAGGUUCCUCUUCCUUAGCUUCUCCUCAGGGUCCUGAAAUGGUUAUUCAAUAACCAAUGAGACCACGUCUCAGCGAGUCCUACCCCCUAAGACUCGAUUAAUAAACUAAUACGCCAUACGGUUGCCUAAGCACAACACGAGUCAGAGGACUUACCUUAGCCUCAGUUCCAACCUGCAAUUCAAGGUUAAACAUAGAUAUUCAAACAAUUCACGACAUACGAUCAAGCACUGAUCAAUCGACUAAGUCGAUCACAUGUCAACCAGACCCUUUCUAGGUCAUUCCCACUCAUACCACGAUUUCUCAGUGGUGGACUCAUUCACCAAAUCACAUGUGUUUCUCGGGCGUCGUUUUCGCCAAUGACAUACCGAUCACCGACACCGUGCGUUCUUUAAGGCGCCGUUUUCACCAGUGAUAACCUCGAUCACCGAACCACGUGUCCUUUCUAGGGCGCCGUUUUCGCCAAGGUGACAUCGGCUAUAGACAACAUCGUGAGUUCUUUAAGGCGUCGUUUUCACCAGUGAUAUUCCCAUAACCACCGAACCACGUUUGUCUAUAAGUCAUUUACGUGCGUUCUUUAAGGCGUCGUUUUCGCCAGUGAUACUCCCAAUCACCGAACCACGUAUGUCCAAUAAUAUCGUACCUGAUUGGUCUCAGCCAAUAACAUUCUCAGUUAGCUCUCACCGCUCUCCCUACUAUAUAGCCCAUCAACGUACUGGCGUUAUAUAUCCAUACUCAGCCAUCCAUCAAUCAAAUAUUCAAUAACAAACAAUUUAGGACAAUUCCUAAAAUUCCACAAUAAAUUCAAUUCCACACAACGUAGAGCUCAAAUAAAUAAACGGACUGCACCACGACAAUCAGCAUGAAAUUCCGGUCACCGGCCAUCCCGGUUGAAUUUCCGGAAAAAUAAUUAAUUAAAUAAUUAAUUUCGAAAAAUAAAUAAAUAAAUAUUAAAAAUCCAAUUUAGGCCCAUAUUGCCUUAUUGGAGCCCGAAACGGGUCGGGAAAAAUCCCGAGAUGCAUUCAAUAAAUAACCAAACAUUUCUACUUGCUAAUAACUAGGUCUAACCACCUAACAUGCAUCAUUAAGUCGCUAAAUUAAUUGUUCUAACCUAAUCUAACCACCUAAGUCCAUGUAAUUAAAUCUAACCAACCCUAAGACAUAAUUAGCAAACUAAUAAAGCAUUAGUGAGUAAAACUCACUUGACAAAAGCGGACAUUGAAUCACCGCGACGGCAACGCGACGGCGGCCGAAAUUGAACUUUCGACAACACCGGCGGACUUGGACGGGGCCUUAAGCUUAGGCCCAACAAAUCUCAGCCCAAUUGAGAUUUGUUCUUGCACUGGAAUGGGCUGGACCUGCUGAAUUUCUGGACUGAACUAACUUGGUCUUCAAAUUGGUGGGCUGGACUUCAAUUGGUUGCUGGAAACUGGGCCUCAAAAAGGCUGGGCUUCAAUUCUAAUUGAUGAUGGGCUGAGCUGGAUGGGCCUGCUGCAGUUGAAAACUCACGGCUGGGUUUCUGCACUUGCUAAAAUUGGGCCGUGAAAUUGCUGCAAAGAGAAUGGGCUGAGAACGCUGGAUUGGGGGUUGCUUCGGUGGAGCUAUUGGUGGUCAACAACCGAAGCUAGCUGGGAAAUUUUGACUCGGUGAAGGCGUGGCUUCUUCAAGCGGCGUUGCUGUCGUUGAACUCUUGGCAGCUGCAGCAAGGAAGUCGAGCUGCAGACGUGAACAACGAAGGGGAUGGAGCGGCAAAAGGUGGGCCGAGCUUGGAGAUGGGUUGAUCCGAAGCUGCUUCACUGGCGUUGAAGAUUUCGAUGGAGAAGCGUGGAGAAUUCGGUGGACUCGGCUUCGGUGGUCCGUUGUUGACCGAAGCAGAAGGAGAAGUUGGCAGGUGGCAGCGGCGGUGAGGAGAGACCACGAUUCUGGUCUUCACUUGGAGAAGGCUUUGACCGAACGGCUUGAAGAUUCGGCAGCUUGGAGGAAAAAAUCAUGGGGGCUUCACGGCGUUGGGUUGACCUAGCUUGGAGGAAUCAAUUCGGUGGGGAAGCUGGCGUGGCUGCAGGUCUUCGAAGGAGGAGCUUCGGUUGACUGGAUUUUACUCGAUGAAAGACUCAAGCUGGGACACGCGACUGAAGACACGGAUGGAUGCAGCUUCGCUGGGUCUUCAAUUCGGUUGAAGAAGGCACACGGGCGAAGGGAGAUAGCGGCCACAGAGACUGUACGCGGGGAGGCUUUGCUGGACUUCUUCCGAAAGAAUUAAAGCAGAAGUUGAAAUCUAAGGAACAAAUUGAAGAGGAGCCGUGCGUGAGGAAGAAGAUAAGAGAGAGGGUGGGCCAUCCUUGCCAAUUUUCCACAAGAAAUAUCUUCAACAAUCAAUCUAGGCCAAGCAUUAAACCUUGGCCUUCAUUAGGCCACACCAACAACUCUCACAACUUCUCAAUUGGUCAAUUUUGGGCUAGGGGGAGGGGAUGAUACGAAUUUCACCAUUUGAACUUCAAUUUCUCCAAUAAAUUCCCAAAUUGAGGUCCAAUUUCGACGUAGAAAAAUCCCAAGAAUUUUCUAUAAAUCUCCGACACACACGGGCUCAACCCGAAAGUCAAAUUUCCCAUUAAUUUAGCCAAUCUGAACUUCUGCCAAAUUUCCGCGACGUCCGAACCCAAUUUCCGUAAAAUUUCCCGAAUCUCCGAAAAUCUUCUGGGACUGAGUCGAUGCUCCAAAAAUUUAUUGUGACAUGGCCAAAACUUCAAUUUCUGAAAUCGGACUCGAAUUGGCGGUUAAUUUUCAUUCGGCGCGUUUUUAGCGUGACCUAGACUAUCGGGUAGUUUUCAGAACUUUUUAAGGCAAAUGACCCGUGGUCGAUUUUCUUCGAGCCACUAUGAACCCACUCGACUCAAUGGCGACUCUUGAUUGUCGUGAAAAUCUCGAGGAUUCAAUUACGGACACAGGGUACCAAAACAAUAAGAAAAUCAGUCUAGUGUCGGUCGACGAGAAUUUUCUAAUUCAGUGGUGUCACCCACGAUUAGUCACAUAUCUCUAUCGAUCCAGUCUAUCUCUGAUUUCAAAUCGAUUUUUUAACUAUGCCGUAGUGACCUCUAAAGAUGGACACGGUCAAGAAGCCGAUUCCUGAUCGAGUCCUCAAGUCUAUUGCCGUAAAAUUCCUUAAUAAUUUCCCCAGAUAGUCUAGUUAUCUCGAGAGUGAUCGGCUCUGAGAAUAACCCUAUAGAUGCGUCAAUGAAAUGCCCGAUUUAUUCAGUAGAAGACAGGGUUGAAAAUUUGGGAUGUCACAAGGCUUCUGGAGAGUGUCCGUGCUACAUAGGUAUCCGUUGUUACUUAUAGCACAUACAAUUGUUUGUCAUAAACAAAUCCAUCAAAACUUGACUAAUUAGAGGAGAUGCCAUACUUAUUAUUAUAUCCAUACCUUUGAGUAUAAUGAUGCUCAGCAUGUAGCCAAUCUUUUAGUUAAAUUAUCAUUGCUCAUGUCAUUUUAUUAUCAUAUAUUGCCCAUUUGGGCUGCCUCAUGAUAUGAUUUAUACACUAUUGUCUAAUGUCACCACAUAACUUUUUAAACAUACCUAACAAAAAAAAAAAUCGUUCCAAUUUUCAAAGAAAUGAUUAAACACUUCACAACAAUAGUUAAUGAUGUUAAAGAUAUGUAGAUAUCUCCUAGAGAUGUUUAGGAAAUUUUCUCUAAUUUUCUAUAUCUAUUUUGAUUAUGCAUAUUUGAUUUGAUUUUUUAUUUCCUGAAAUAGUCUUGUAAUGAAGUUUAUAAAUAGGCUCUCCAUGUAAUCUUUUCUAUAUAUAGAAAUAUAUUGAAAAUUUCCCUUUUUUCUCUUUGGCAUUAUUACCUCUAACUAAUGAAAUGAAAAUCAGGUGUUUCCAUAGCUACUUACAGGUGGUCCACCGGUGCUCUUUAACAAAUUCUUUUGAGAAAUUAUACGAAAGUCAUGAAAUUUUAUGAGUAAAUAUUUGUAUGUCGUAAAAUGGUUUCAUGUAUGUCGUAUUAAAUAGAAGUCAAAGUGCAUGUGCUACACAAUUUGAAAAAAGAAGGAAAAGAUAAAACAUUGAGUUGCAUUUGCCUUAGUUGUUUUAGAGCAAUAACCAUUUUUUCUUUAUUUUCAUCUUGUUUAAUUUUUGAAAGUUCGUCAAAAAAGAAAUUAAAUGUGAGUUCACAUGUCCGUGUUUUAUUUGUACACGGGAAGGAUAGAAAGGUUACAAAUCGUGAUUUAAGAAAAGCAAAAACUAAAAAGUUCAAAAACUCGCAGAGAGGCCCCUCCUGGUUCCCUUGCCGGUCCCCCUCUAGGCCCCCCUCUUGGUUCCGCAAAAUUUUGCAGAGAUGCCUAUCCUAUUUUCGCGACAUUUUGCGGGCAGAUUCAAGCGGAAACUCCAACUACGAACUCCUUUCUGAAAUGAGCGGAAACUCCAAUGGCGAACUCCUUUCUGAAGUGAGCGGAAACUCCUACGACGAACUCCUUUCUGAAGUAAGCGGAAACUCCUACGACGAACUCCUUUCUGAAGCAAGAUGGCUCCAAUGGAAGGUCAAGGGAAGCGAUUUGUCUUUUUCGACGACCAAUUUGCAUCUACCGAAAUUAUCAGUGCUGGAUUUCUCAUACAGCCACAUCACAAAGGAUUGGCGAGGAUGGAAGUCAUUAAUGGUAAGAUUAGGCAAAGAAGACAUCCUCUUUGCGAUUUUAGGGUUCUAUUCUUGUUUAGCCAAUCAAGUCAUUCUUUGACAACUUAUUCUCCUUUUGUAUUAGGCGUCAAAACGGCUAAAAGUUCUCAACCUUGGAUGGUGUCUUAAAUUAAGACGUACUCCUAAUCUCUCGGCUUUCACACAGUUGAAGAUUCUCAUCUUGCUCAAUUGUGGCGGACUGGAGCAUCUCCACCCUUCUAUUGGCGAACUCACGAGCCUUGUUUCCUUGGAUUUGAGUGGCUGUGAAAGUCUCAAGGAGCUACCAGAGGAGGUGGGCAACUUAAAAGAUUUGGAAGAACUUUUAUUAGAUAGAUCUGGUAUUAGAGAUAUUCCUCUGUCUAUUGGUUCUCUGAGGAAGCUGGAGAAACUAAGUACCUGCAUUUGUGUGUCAUUGAGAGAAAUCCCUAGCUCAAUUGGGGAUUUACAGAAUUUGCAACAUCUAAACUUGAGUUAUUCUGGGAUCAAAAAGCUUCCCAGUGCUAUUGGAAGGUUGAAAAAUCUGCGGACUCUAAGUCUUGAAUCAUGCUUCCUCAGUCUGAAUGGGGCAAUUCCAAGUGAAAUUGGUGACUUGCCUUCGCUCGAGUAUCUCAAUCUCACUUGGACACCAAUAUCUGACCUACCAGAAAGCAUUCGAAAUCUUUCUUCUCUCCAACACCUUGACCUAAGGGGCUGUUACAACCUCUGGUCACUGCCAGAGCUUCCUUCAGGCUUAAAAUAUUUGUCGAAGCCCUCGAUUGCAAGAACUCCAUCUUCAGGUAUGCCAUCUACUUGAACGCAUCUCAAGCUUUCCUCAAGACCCUUGAAACUCUCUUGUGUUAAGGAGUGUGAUGAGCUGAUAUUGCUUAGGCUUGACGGUUUCUCUUUGAAUGUGGUGUUAAAUGACGAAAUGAAUCGAUGUUUCAAGUGAAAAUUGUUGUUUAAGUUGUUUAGACAAGGAAGGAGGCUAUUGGUAAAAGCUAUAACAUAAUGUGUUUAUUGCAGAGAAGAGAAGAAGAAAGUGGAGAAGAUUAGAUCAAAGCUGGGACAGGAGAACGUGCAUCUCAGCGUUCGUCUGGAUCGCCAAGUUGAAAUUGGGGAGAGUGUGGCAAUCUUAGGAUUUGCAGGAGAUUUGGGAUCGUGGAAGAAGAAUGGGGCAAUGGACUGGACCAAGAGCAGAUGAGCAUGUGAUAAGAACUGAAAGGAGGAGGAUCUAUCAAAUUAGAAGAACUUAUAUUAGAUUUUUCUGAUAUUACUGAGAUUCCUACAUCUAUCGGUUCUUUGACGAGGCUGGAGAAACCGAGUGUCAGCUCUUGUGGGUCACUCAGAGACAUCCCCAGCUCAACUUGAGAUUUACAAAAUUUGCUACUUUUGGAUGUUAGUGGUUUUGGGAUUGAAAAGCUUCCUAGUGCCAUAGGAAGGUUGAAAAAUCCAUGCACUAUAAGUCUCCUAUCAUGCUGUAAUCUGAAAGAGCAAUUCCAAGUGAAAUCAGUGACUUGUCUUCACUUGAGAUUCUCUAUGUUACUUGAGGGAUUUUUGAUGUUUGUGAGGAUCCAAAAUAGUUUAUCUAGUCUCGACAGCACAUACCUGAAUGAUUUUGAUGUUGUAUUUGAGUUGAGUCUGCUUUUGUAUGCUCAUGCGGUUCAAACUCUCUGUCAAUCAAAUACGUAGCUGCUGAUUUUUUUUUUUUUUGUAUGUCACCCUGAUGCAGAGGUGUCUGAUGCCAUUGCAUUCUAAUGUUAUCACUCCUGAACUCAAUAAGCCUUUGCAGAGGGAGGUAUGCACUACCGGUCAUACCAUAACAAUGAAAAUAUAACCCAUGUGCUUAUACUAUAUGAGCUGUGGAAUCACACCUGAAAAUCAGUAUGCAAGUAUGCAUGAGGACAAUCUCCAUUUUUAUCAGUUUAUCAACGUGACACUAUCCUUUGAAUGUUGUCACAUAGGUUUCUAACUAUUUUAAUUUGAUAAGCUUAGUUCUCAUGUGAUGUUGACUUUGUAAAGUUGAAUUAACCCCUAGCAAACUAUCCUGUAUUUCUGAUUUUGCUAAUGGGAUAUUGCAAAAUAACCAAGUAAUAAAUUCAUCUUUCUAUUAUGUAUUUUAAGCACUUCACCUUUCAGCAUAUUUUUACUGACAUCAAUUAUGUUCCUAAACACAAACAAGGAAAGUGUUGCUAAUUGCUAUAUCUGCCAAACCUAUUGUUUUCUUUUUCAUCGGCUAGCUCAUGAAGUAUCUGUUCAUUGCAGUCCAACUGCAAUUGGUGCAUAUGAUGUUUGUGCAUUUGUACCUUAUAUUUCAUGAUGUAAAUUGUAAUGCUUCGAUUUAGUUAUCUCCAUUUAUUGAUAAUUAGUGAAUCCCGUCCUUCUUGUGUAGAUUCAAGCUGCAUUUCAUAAAAUUCAGAGAACAUUCCCAAACAUCACAGGACGGAGAUAUGGACUAGACUAAGAUAUGUCAUGAGAUGUUAUGGAAAGAAGUUCCAGAGUUCUUCGCUAAAGGUUUUUAUAAUGUGCUCCAUGCUGAUAAUCUUGAUAGGAUUCUUGAUAUAAAGGGACAUCUUCUAUGUGGUGCAGUAGUCCUUUGCAAACUUUGACAUCAUGCAUAAAGUUAAGCAUAAACUGUCUUAUAGGUGGUUCUAAAUGUGAAGUUAAGCAUAAAGUUAUGUUUGUCAACAAGAUUACUAUUUAGAUGUCCACUUCAAGCUACAAUUUUGUGAAUGUGAGACUUCUUUCAUGGAAAAAGCAAAUAUCAUGGAAUCAGCAAAUAAUUUGUCAACAGCAGGCAAGAUUUUCAGUAAAAAGGUUCCUAGAAGACAGUAAUUUCUCAUUCUGAAGAAUUUUGAGCACAAAAUAAAAAUGUUCAUUAGUGUACAAUCAGCUCUUGGAUCUCGAGAAAUUCAUGCAUUGGCAUUUUGCAAUCACUUUAAUAGUAUAAUCUCAAACUUGAUUCCUUUAAGCAUGAGUCUAUAAAGCAGAGUAGACAAAGCCAUACAUUUUCAUACUUGAAACCAAAUUUUCUUUAGCAUUGGCUACAGUUGAAGACUAAUAAAAAAAAUGCCAAGAAAAAUCUAUGGAAGGGCGAAAGUAGUAUAUGCAUGUGGUUUGGACCAAACCGUUGAACGGUCGUCUACUUGGUUAGUACUUGGACUCUACUAUGCCAAAUUACUGUCGUUGGUCAUGCAUUCAAGUUUCAAUCGAACCAAUUUCUUUGGGGCCAGUACUCUCAGUUGUUCCUCUUCAUCCUACCACAUUACAAUGGUGAAACUUUAGUAGUUAAAAGCUACUCGCAAGAUAAUCAUAUAUUCCGAUUUGGUCAUUGUCUACCAGAACUUUAAUUCAUUACUUUCCAAAGCUCAAGACAAGGCCAAGUAACUUGUUAAGCCAAGUUUGAAUCUUUAAACACUAAAUCAUACAUAAUGCCGGCCGCACUAAUGAAUAAAAACAUUAGUUAAAUAUAUUAAACACGAAAUAAUCUAAUUUUGAGCAUAUUGAUUAUAUAUAACACGAGAAAGGUUGCAAGUAAAGUCAAUGUAUUGAUUAUAUAAUUUAGAACAUAGCUACUCAAGAACACGAGAAUGAUAGUAUGCCAUUUCUUUUUAUAACAUACAAUCUGCACCUCUUUAGUAUGCCAUUUCUUUUGAAUAGCUACUCUUUGACGGGCUAUUAAUCGAGCAUACUAGCACAUUGUCUUUAUACAACACUUCUUAUUCAAGUGUUUUGCAAAAUCAAUGCAUUCAUUGAAAGUGUCAUGACCUAACCUUGCAUGCCAUGAAAAGGAAAGGUCAGGUUUAGAGAUACUUGACUAUGAGAGUUCCCUCAUGGUUCAUAUUCCAAAAGACGUUACCCUUGUGAGUCCCCUCAUUUAUGAUCAUGAGCUCUCCUAAGCUCGUACCUCGUGUGACAGUGCAAGGUAUCGUGAUUUGUACACACACGAGUGACACACCUUGAAAGAGGAUGUUUGGUGUGGAUAUCGAAUUUAGAUGCAUCUUUACCAUAGUAGCCCUCCCAAUAGUACUUGCUUCCCAUGAAUGACAUCGUUUCAUACAUUAGGAACUUUCGACGUGCGGACUCCUGGAGUGCCUUAACUUUGUCCUAAGGGACACUUAAGUGCCAUAACUUACGAAAGAUACAUUAAGUGCCAAAAUCGGAAUAAAAUGGAUCACUUGAGUGCCAAUUCGGCCAAAAUCCGUCCAAAACGUCAACGUGGCAUUUCUCCGGCGAACCGAGCCCAUAAUGACGCCGUUUUGGGCUGACAUCGUAAAAAUAAAAAAUAAUAAUUUUAAAAUUAAAUUUAGUUGAAAUAUUAAAGGCUUACGAACUCUGCCGGAAUGACUCGCCCNNNNNNNNNNNNNNNNNNNNNNNNNNNNNNNNNNNNNNNNNNNNNNNNNNNNNNNNNNNNNNNNNNNNNNNNNNNNNNNNNNNNNNNNNNNNNNNNNNNNUCCCCCUUUCCUUUUCUUUUUUUUUUGAAAUUUUUUUUAAAUUUAAAUUAUUAAAUUUUUAAUAUUUCAAUUAAAUUUAAUUUUAAAAUUAUUAUUUUAAAUAUUUUAACUAAAUUUAAUUUUAAAUUUAAUUUAAUUAUUUUUUUUUUUUACCACGUCAGCCCAAAACGACGCCGUUUUGGCCAGUCAGCGUGCAAAACGACGCCGUUUUGGGCGCGCUUCGCCGGAAAAAUGCCACGUCGGCAUUUUGGCCGGACUCUGGCGGGAGUGGCACUCAAGUGAUCUAUUUUUCUUCGAAUGUGGCACUUAAGUGUCCCUUUGGCCAAAGUUAUGUCACUUAAAGCGUUCUUUUGCCAUGAACUUUCCAUAGUGGAUAUGCUAAACUAUGGUGAGUCCCAUCGAGACUCAUACCUCUCAUGACAUGUUUAUUUUAGGGAUAAGUGCAUUGGAAGUCCUAAAAUUUGUCAUGAAAACGCAAUUAAAUUCUAAAACUUUCAAAAAAUGCAAUUAAAUCUUAAAAUUUGUCACAAAAUGCAAUUAAAUCCUAAAACUUUCAAAGAGUGCAAUCAAGUCCUAAAACUUAUCAAAAUGAUUUAAUCUAAGUCGUCCAUUGAUUAUACUUUUUGAAAGUUUUAGGACUCUGUUGCACUUUCGAGACAAGUUUUAGGACUUCAUUAAACCUUUUAAAAGUUUUAGGAUUUGAUUGAACUUUCGUGAUAAAUUUUAGGACUUAAUUGUACUUUUUGAAAGUUUUAGGACUCAAUUACAUUUUCAUGAUAAGUUUUAGGACUUCUAAUAUACUUAUCCCUUUAUUUUAUUAUCAAGUUGUUCAGAACAAUUUAAUAAGAUGUAAGUUGCCACUAGCUUCAUUUUUGGGGGUCGGCUAGAAAACCUAAUCGAGGAUUGUGAGUUAUCUCUUGAUUUCUACGCAACUAGAGAUUCUAGAUUUGGGGACUUGGGUUAUGCUAAUAUUUUUAUUAGUGUCAUUUUGGUACCGAAUAGUUUGUCGUGUCUCCAAAAGUGUCCAUGCUUUUCACCAUGCUUUUCAUUUGACUUUUUAAGGCUGAUUACACUAACUAAGUGAUCAUACGUGGAUGGUUGGUUUCAUGCAAUUCUAUUUCUAUAAAAGAGAAAAUGAGGCAUACAAUUGAAAUUUAAAGACAGAGCGGUAAGUAAACAAUCAAGUAAGUAGUUUAGGGAAAGCAGUGAAUCUAAUAUGCAAUCCUAAAAAACAAAGAAAACAAAAUGAAAGAAAAAAAUCUGCAACUUGUUGGGUGUUUAUAUAUCACAAGACAACCCAAAACAAAAUAUUAAGGACAAAUGGUACAAAAAUACGGUCGGAGUGUGUGAAAGCUAGUAUAAGCACCUAGAGGGGGGUGAAUAGGUGCGAAAACAAAUUUUGCAGAAUAAAGUAUAAAAUUUUACUUUUAAAUCAACUCUGUUUAGCAAUAGACUAUGAAAAGGAAAUUAGACUCUAAUAAUCCGAUAGAGUUACGAUCAAAGUAAAAGAGCUUAGGGAAGAGAAUAAGAACACAAGGUUUAUAGUGGUUCGGCUUAAUCCAAGCCUACGUCCACUCUUCCGCACUGACAGCCCACCGACUGGAUUUCACUAAGAGUCAAAAGAGUUGUUACAGUAUAGCUCUUCCUUGAUUCCACAGUGUAGAGACUACUACACUUUCUCAAUGUCUCACAGAAGUAUAAACUCUAUUUUGAGUACAAGUUCACACUCAACAAUUGAAUUGACAAAGAACAAGGAGUUUUAAACUUUGGAAUUUCUUUAUCGCGCACUCACUUGAAUAACUAGAACGUCUUCCUUAUAUACUCCUCCAUGCCAUCAUAACUGUUGGCACUUACCAAAGGAGCUCUUCCAAUCUAUCUGUUGCACAAAAUCAAUUAGGAAGAUUUCGAGUUAUUUAAGGAAUAUGACGAUAGCCCACCAAUCAUGCUCGCCCAUACAGUCAGGAUCUAGGUUUCCAUAAGUAGAACCUUCCAAGUAUGCUUCGCCAAUCAAUGGAUCCAAAAUUCCUGAAUCAAUCUCAAGAUGAAUAAAGGAUUCCAAGAUGUUAUAUUCAGCCGAGAGAUCUUCUUUAGUCGAUAGAAUCAAAUCCUUAAAUAAAUACUUAAUUCUGGAUAAGUCUUCUUCGACGGUCUAAAAACUGUCAAUGAGGAUAGACUUUGAAUCUUGAGUUUGGCGGUCCAGCGGUCUUCAGACUUAGACGAAAGAGUCUGCAAGUCUUCAGACUAGAUUGAUGGAAACGUUUUGUCAGCUUCAAAACACGUAGAGAAGUUUUCUCCAACAAUCUCCCUCUUUUUGAUGGUGACAAAACAUCACUAGUAAAUAAAGGUGAAGAAAUACCUUUUGGUCCAACAGCUCCCCUUGUUUUGUUGCCUUCAGGUUGAGUAGAUAAGUUUUCUUCUUGUUCAACUUUAGCUUCAGAGUGAUGAAUGUCAGCAGUUCCUGCCAUCUUAGAAUCACUUGAUAGGGAGACAGCCAAGGUUGGCUCGAAAGAGUCUCCUUGACCUUGAUUUUGUUCUCCUUCUUUCUCUUCUUCUUCUUCUUCUUCUUCUUCUUCUUCUUCUUCUUCUUCUUCCUCUUCUCUUCUUUCUUCCUCUGUCCUCCUCUGUUCAACCUCUCCCUUCUCUAUCUCUUCUCUCUCUUUUUCUCCUUCUGUUGGCUCUACUUCUUCAAAACUAACAAAACUCUUCAAAUUACGUAAGGCUGGAAGAGUCAUCUCAUCCUCAUCCUCUUCAUCCUACAAGAUGAGAAUUCUUUUUCUCUUCACAAGAGCAGCCAUGGGCUCCUUGCAUUUCCUUUUUACUGCAGCAAAGUCUUCUUUUGCUUUUAGAGGAGACUUCUCUUCCAUGCGUUCCAAUACCUUACUUAGCUCUUGCAAGUGCAUCUUUUUGACCAUUUCGAAUCCAAUCACCAUUAGAGAAAUUGUUGACAAACUUAAUGGAGCAGGGAUGUGAAUUUUAAAAUGUCUAAAAAGACGCGAGAUAAGAGCAGAAUAAGGGAGUUGUCCCUUAUCUUUCACAACUGUUCUAUACAUGUGGAAAAUAAUAGUGUGAGGCAGAGAAAAUUUGUAUCCAAAAUUGAUGGCAUGCAUCAGUUUCGCUUCAGACCGAGACACAUCAGUCUUGGAUGUCGACUUUGGCCUAAUGCAGUUGAUCACAAGUUUAUGUAACAAGAUGUUGGUGGCAUUCAUCCUAGAAUAGGAUAUCUUGCCUUUAGCAUCCUUGUCAUUCACCAAUGACUGAGUAGCAUGAGCAAAAGGUACACCAAAUGGUCGGAAACAUCCUCUUUCCACUCCAAUUAGAUCAGCCAAAGUAUCCAUAUCCACCAAAAACGCCUUGUCUCUCACAGUAAAAGAAAAGCUAUUUGCAUCCAUAAACGAUAAAUUCGAAUAAAAGUAUGCAGUGAGUUCAAUAUAAGUAGUAGUGGAUUCAAAACAAAAGUGCUCCAACUACAGGGCAGCAAACUUCUUUCGCAGAUUUAUUUUCACUAAAUCAAGGAAAUCAAAAUCAACAUUCCUUGGGUGCAUAACCCCUCUCUUCAACAAAUUCGAAUAAACCCUUUUGUGAUUCUUUGAUCUGAAUAGAUUAGAACCAUCAUUAAUAUUUUCAGCCACUCCCAUUCUAGGCUAAAAAUGGGAAAACAUUCUUUCAUCAUCAUCUAGUCCUAGAGGUUGAUUAGCAGUCCCCAUUUGUGGGUCACUAGGAAAAUUAGUAAAGGCUUUUUUAGCCAAACCUUUUCGGUAAUACCCAUCUUUUCCAUGUCACGUAAAGAUAGAGUCUCGUUCUUAUACCCCCUCUCUUUCAAGUAUUCAUCAAUCAAUGUCAUAGGAGUUCCUCCUCUUUUUAGAUUAGAAUAAAGCUUGAAAGCGACUUUAGGAGUUAAUGUUCUUACAGGUUCCGCUUCUUCCAAAACUUCUUCUUCUAUAUGAGUCGGUGGAGGAGUUUGACGCUGCUGAGAAGGUUGUUGUUGAUUUUGUUGCUGUAGAGGAGUAGAAACUUCUUCUUCGAUCAAGUCGAAGUGGCUAGGACCCUCGGGCAUAUGUUGUGGUCCCCUGCUUGCAAUCCUUGAUGACUUUUUUGAAGACAUUGUCUCUUCUAAGGGAGGAAUUCACAAACUUGCUUGAAAAAGGUGAAAACUUUUGAAUAGAUCGAGAGUGAAAGUGAGAGCAAAUAAGAAUUUUGUAUUCUAGGGUUGUAGUGUAAAAACAAAGAAGACGAGUAAAACAAAGAAGAUGAGUCUCGACAGUAUAUAAAGCAAGUGAAGCGAGGUAAACGAAACGUCAUAAAAGGAAAAUAAAAAUACCUUUUCAAAAACGACGAACUUCCAUUUUUGAAAAUAACUGCCUUUUUGAAAAAAGAGAAACUUAGAAAGAUAAUUUCAAUUAGCAAUUAAUAAAUAACCGUACAUUUUCAAGUUUAAAAUAUUGAAAAAUGAGCAACUUACAGUCGUAACUCUUGAUCUUCUGAGUAUGAAUAUCUUCAGACUUUACCUUUGAGUCUUGAGCACGUCCAGACUUUACUGGAUAAGAGAUGUAAUGUUCAGUCUAAUGCGAAUAGACUCAGAUAGGCUUUUCUCCAGAGGUUUUGUAAAAAUGUCCGCCAGUUGAUUCUUUGAGUCAAUGAAUUGAAUCAUAACUUCUCCAUUUUGAACAUGAUCUCCAAUAAAAUGAUGUCGAAUCUCUAUAUGCUUUGCUCUUGAAUGAAGAAUUGGAUUCCUAGUGAGGUUAAUUGUGCUGGUGUUGUUACAUUUGAUCUUGGUGCACGAAUCUUUAAUUCUAAAGUCUCUCAGUUGUUGUUUUACCCAUAAGAUUUAAGAGCAGCAACUUCCAAGAGCCAUAUAUUCUGCUUCCGCUAUUGAAAGAGCUACAGUGCUUUGCUUCCUUGAUGACCAAGAUACUAACCUGUUUCCUAGCACUUGGCAUGUACCAAAUCUUCCUUGAUAACCAAGAUACUAACCUGUUUCCUAGCACUUGGCAUGUACCAGAUGUGCUCUUUCUAUCAACUUGGCAACCUGCUAAGUCUACGUCUGAAUACCCAAGGAGGGUAAAGUCUCAUUCUUAAGGAAACCACAAACCCAAAUUUGAAGUAGUUGCAAUGUAUUUGAUGAUGCGUUUUGCGGUGCUUAGAUGAGACUCUUUUGGAUCAGAUUGAAAUCUAGCAAAAAUACAAACACUAAACAAAAUGUCAGGUCUAGAAGCAAUAAGAUAAAGAAGUGAACCAAUAAUACUCAUGUAAAGUUUCUAAUCAACUUUCUUUCCUCCUUCAUCUUCAUCCAAUUUCGAAGAACUAGACAUUGGUAUCUCAAUCUUUUUACAAUUCUUCAAUCCGAAUUUUUAAUAAGUUCUUUUGCAUAUUUCUCUUGGUGAAUGAAGAUUCAUUCUUUCAAUUGUUUUACUUGUAAUUCGAGAAAGAAGGAUAAUUCACCCAUCAAGCUUAUCUCAAAUUCAUCUUACAUAGACUUAGAAAACUUCUUGCACAGGUUUUCGUUAGAUGAUCCAAAUAUAAUAUCAUUAACAUAAAUUUGAAAAAGUAGAAAGUUUUUACCUUCCCUUUUAAUAAACAAAGUAGUAUCCACUUUUCCUUUGACAAAACCAUUUUGCAUUAAAAACUUACUUAACCUGUCGUACCAAGCUCGAGGUGCCUGUUUUAAACCAUAGAGAACCUUUUUCAGUCUAAAUACUGAGUCUGGUCUCUUUGGAUCUUCAAAUCCAGGAGAUUGUUCCACAUAAACUUCUUCUUGGAUGAAUCCAUUCGGGAAUGCACUCUUGACAUCCAUUUGGAUUAACCUAAAAUUUUUAUAACAUGCAAAAGCAAGUAAUAAUCAUUUGGCCACGAGUCUUGCUUUGUUCUUGAUCACUUUUCCUUUUUCGUCCAACUUGUUCCUGAAAACCCAUUUAGCUCCAAUAAUGGAUUUACCUUUUGGUUUAGGAGUUAAUUCCCAAACAUCAUUAAUGUUGAACUGUCUAAGUUCUUCUUGCAUUGCUUCAAUCCAGCUUUCGUCAGUUAAAGCUUCUUCUAUGCUUUUGGGUUCUAUUUUAGAAAUAAGUGCCACAGCGCUAAACUCUUCUUGCCUUUUUGAUCUUGUAUGAAUUCCUUCAUUGAUAUCACCAAUGAUGAGUUCUUUGGGAUAACUAGAUUUGUGCUUCUAGUUAUUUGAUGGUCUGGCAGGAAGCUGUUCUUCUACUUUAAUUGAUUCUUCAACUUCCUUUUGAUGAUUUUCAAAGGUCUGAGCUACUUCAGGGGAGGUAGACUUUGUGGAGUUUGGAGCAGAUUCAAAUUCUUCAGGAUGAGUUUGAAUCAGUUGAUUUUGCAAAAAGUCUUGGAAUUUGACAUUCGUAGAUUCUUCCACAGACCGAGUCUUUUUGUUCAAUACUCUGUAAGCUUUGCUGGUGGUUGAAUAUCAAGGAAGAUUCAUUCGUCUGAUUUCUCUUCAAACUUACUAGUUCGAUCAUUUGUAUUUUUCAAAACAAAAUAUUUGCAACAAAAUACAUGAAAGUAUGAAACAAUUGGCUUAUUUCCUUUGAAUAACUCAUAAGGAGUUUUCUCCAGAACAAGCCUUAAAAAGACUCUGUUAAUAACAUAACAUGCUGUAGAAACUGCUUUAGCUCAAAAAUGAGAGGAAAUACUACUUUCUAUUAGAAGAGUCAUUGCCAUCACCUGCAAAGAUCUAUUCUUUCUUUCCACAACUCCAUUUUGUUCUGGAGUGUAUGGAGAAGAAAAAACAUGUUGAAAACCUAACUCAUCAAAAAAUUUUGCAAAUUCUUGAUUUUUAAACUCACCUCCAUGGUCUGUUCGUAUACUUGAAAUAGCACAUCCUUUCUUGUUCUGAACUUUCUUAGCAAACUUUGAAAAGUAAGAAAAGCUUCAGACUUACUUGCUAGAAAGUAAACCCAGGUGAAUCCUGAGUAGUCAUCAACGAUCACUAGACAGUAUCUCUUUCCGCCUAUACUUCUAGUUCUUGUUGGUCUAAAGAUAUCCAUAUGCAGAAGCUGCAAAACGCAAUUAGUAUAAACCUGAUUCAAUGGUUUAAAAGAACUUCUAACAUGUUUUCCCAAUACACAUGGUGUGCAUAAAUUAGAUUUUUGAAACUUCAGGUUGGGAAUCCCUCGAACAAGAUUCUUAGAAGAGAUCUUGGCAAUCUACUUUACAUUGACAUUGCCAAGCUUUCGAUGCCAAAGAUUUGCUUCAUUUUGUAUUGAAAUUAGACAUUAAGACUUCUUUGGUUUUAUAUCCAGAAGAUAGAUGUUCCCAUGUCUUCGUCCAGUAAAAGAUUGUGAAAGAUCUUUAUUAGUUCCCGAACAUAUUCCUUCUUGAAAAUUGAUCUUGAAUCUAGUGUCGCACAAUUGGCUAAUACUCAACAAGUUGUAAUUGAGUCAUUCAACUAAGGAAACGUUGUUGAUUAUGAGACUUCUAAUUUUUACUAUUCCACAUCCAACAAUUUUUCCUUUGCUGUUUCCACCAAAAGAGACUUUUCCACCAUUAACUUGUGUAAGCUUUAUAAAACAACUUGAAUCUCUAGUCAUAUGCCUUGAACAGCCACUAUCCAAAUAUCAUUUGACAUUUUUCUUGAUAGUGACCUGCAAUUAAAAAAGAAACUCAAGCUUUUUUUGGUACCCACAUUUUCUUGGAUCCAGAUGAGUUAGUGCGAUAAGCAGUCUUUGCCCAUUCCUUCUUAACAGGUCUCCAAGCCAUAGGACAUUCUUUCUCAAAGUGUUCUGAGCUGUUGCACUUAGAACAUUUGAGAGCACUUCGGCCAACAGGUUUUACAAAGACUUUUUGAAAAUGAUUUAUGUAAAAAGUUUUUGUAAGCCUUUGUUUAAUUCUUUCUUUUACUUUUGGAAAAUCAAUUAGAGGAAUAGUUUCAGAAGUCAUUCCCAAACCUGAUUUGUUAAAGUAGGGUCUUUGUACUGAAAGAAUCUUUUCCAAUUUCUCAGAUCCUAUAGAAAAUCUCUUUGAAAUAUUUGAAAUGUCAUUAUUCAAAAAUGUAUUUUCUUUUGAAAGAGAGUCUACAGUUUCUUUUAAUGUAACAAAGCUUUUAUCUAAAUUUUCAAACUUUUCUUCCAUAAAAUUUCUUGUUGUUUCAGUGCAGAAUUCUCCCUUUUUAACUCGGAAAUUCUCUUGAGAGAGGUUUUGAGACUAAGACACAGUUCAUCAAUAUAUUUAGAGACUUUAGUAGGGAUUUUAAAAUGACUUACCUCGAUUUCACUAUCUGAGUCUGAGUCUGUAUCUAUAUCGGAGUCUAAAUCUGAUUUUGAUUUUGCCAUUAGACAUAAUUGGCAUAAUCUCCGUCACUUUCUUCACAUUCAGUAUCACUCCAUAUCUCUGCCUUGAGAGCCUUCCUGUAUUUCUCAGAUUUUCCUUUCUUUUUCUUCAACAUGGGACAGUUGGGUCUGAUGUGUCCAUUUUUCUUGCAUUCAAAAUAGAUCAUAUCUUUAUUGGAUUCAUCAUCUUCAGUUGAUUUGUUUUGAGACUUCUAAGUGCUUUGUUUCUUCCAAUUGAAUCUUUUUCCUUUUUUGUUCAGUUUCCUGAACCUUUUUAUCAUAAGGGCUAGCUCUUCAUCAUCCAUGUCAUCUUCAGAGGCUAUAACAUCAUAAUCAUCGUUGGAUCUCAAAGAAAUUGAUUUCUUACCUUUGGAAUCUUUUUCUUCAUUGAUUUGCUCCACUUCAUAGGACUGAAGUGUGCCAACCAACUCGUCUACAGAAAGUGGCAUGAUCCUUUGUGUUUCCCUUAUCGAGGUCUUUACGUGAUUCUAGUCUUUGGAGAGUCCACGCAGCAACUUGUUAACCUUCAUGGGUCUUGAGAUUGGUCGUCCCUAAUACUCUAGACCAUUUACGAUUUCUGUAAAACGACUAAACAUGUCAGUAAUAGAUUCUCUUGGCUUCAUCUUGAAGGCUUCAUACUGUCCGAGUAGAAUAUUGAUCCUUGUCUCUUUUACUAAUGUGCAACCUGUGAUAUAGCUAGUACGAGUACCUAGAGAGGGGUGAAUAGAUAUAUAAAAGAUUUUUCUUGAUGAUUGCACAAUACUUAGACAGUUGAAGGAUUUGCGACAAAUAAUAAUUAGCGUAAGACUAAGUAAAGAAAAGAGAGAAUUGAACACGCGGUUUAUAGUGGUUCGGCUUGAUUCAAGCCUACUUCCACUCUUCUGCACUGAUAGCCAAUUGGCUGGAUUUCACUAUGAACAAAGAGAUGUUACAACGUUGAUCUUCCUUGAUUUCUAGGUGUAGAUACUCUACCACACUCGCUCAAGAUAUCACCAAGUAUAAACACUCUCUGUGUAUACAAUUUCGCUCAAACUGUAUCGACUAAUAAUCAAGGUGCUUCAGAUUCUGGAAUUUCUCUAUCGAUCACACUCUAUAAACAACGAGAACGUCUUCCUUUUUAUACUCCUUUAUGCCACCAUACCGUUAGCACUUACCAAAGGAUUUCCUUCAAUCUACCCGUUGGACGAAAUCAAUUAAGAAGAUUAUUCGAGCUAUUAAAGGAACCUGACGAUAGCCCAUGAAUCAUGUUCGCCCAUACAAUUAGGAUCUUGGUUUCCAAGAAUAGAACAUUCCAAGAAUAUUUCGUCGACCACCGGAUCUUCAAUUGAUCUAGAUACAAAUAAAAGAAUCCGAUAUAUAUUUAUCCAACCAAGAGAUCUUCUCCAGAGGAUAGGAUUAAAUCCUUAACCAUAAACUUCGGCUCUGGAUUUCCUUCGUCACUGGAUCAGAAAGGCUGUCAAUGAGAAUAGUCUUGAGUCUUGAGUGCUGAGUCUGGAGAUCAGAAAGUCUUCAGACUUUAAACCGACGGUCUGCAAAUAUCCAGACUAGACUGAUAGAAACGUUUUGUCAGCUUCAAAAUAUUCUGGAAAGAUUUCUCCAACAAUCUCCCCCUUUUUGAUGGUGACAAAACUUUCCUGUAGAUUUGAACAACUUUGACCUGCAAAAACAUUUCUCAAGCAAUAUGGCUUUCUCAAAAAGAUUAAUAAAACAACCAGACUCUGCAUCCACAGAAAAUUGGUUAGUCUUUCAUGAGUAAUACCAUAUAACAACACUUGAUAUAAAUGCAAACAGUCAAGCAUCAAAAUCCACAGCCAAUUCAAUCAAAUUUAAGUUCACACCCAAGUUCACUCAAGUCAUACUCAAAAACAAACAUAACCACAAAAACAAAUUUAAAGUCGAAGUUUAAAGUUGGUUGGUUCAAAUUGCUUCUCCCCCUUUUUGUCAUCAUUAAAAAGGUGAGAAAGGAGUCAGGUCUGCUUGGGAAUGCGCACGAUCUGGAAAUCUCCCAUGGACUGGACUAUGCCUUCUAGCCUCUUCAAGUCUUCCCUUAGCUGAGCUACCUCCUCUCCUUUGGCAUUGGCUUGAAGUUGUAGAGCGAGGUCUUUCAUUUUGUCCUCCAGGGUAACUGAAGAUGCUUGUCCAGCAUUCUUUAUGGUUUGAAUCUCACAGUCCAGAGCAUAGAUUUGGGCCCGCAUUUCCAAAAGAACGUCUAGAAUACGACGAAAAUCUGCAGAAUUGUCCGUCUGUGUACUUGCAUUUGCUUUCUCAGAUGGAGUGAAUGCAGACGAUGGAGCUUCUGUAUAAUCUUGCAGAUUUGGUGUUGACGUAUCGUGUCCUUCUUCAGGCAAUUGAGAAGCCUGAAACUCUUCUGGGUCUGCUGGAGAGUGUCUUAGACCUUCACUAUUGGCAGCAUGAGGUGAGGACCUUUCUUGCUCGUCAACUCCCCCUGUCUCUAGGACAUCAUAAGGGGAAGAGUGAUGACCAUGCUCUUCUGUAUCUUGAUUCCCCUUCUCUCCAAAUUCAGCUGCAGACUUUUCUUUCUCUUCUUCUCUUUCUUCUUCAGCUUCUUUCUCCUUCUCUCGCUGCUCUUCUUCUUCUCUGUUCUUGGCUUGCUCCUCUUCUUCUCUCUGUUUCUUCUGAUGUUCUGUCGAUUGAGGUACAGAACGUCUGGUCCUUAUCAAGGCAGUGAUUGUGAGAUCUUCCUCCUCAUCUUCAUCCUCCAAGAUGAGAGUUUUCUUCUUUUUGGAUGGGGCACCAAUGGCCUCCUUCCCUUUUCUCUUUGAAUCAAACGGAACUGGAGUCUUAACUUGGAAUUUUUCCAUUGCCUUGGAAAGUUCUUUCAGACGCAUCUUCGUCAACAUCUUCAAACCUACCACCAUCUUAUCGCACGGUUGAACACAAAGUGAAUGUGGCGGUUCAAUAUUCAUGUGUCUGAAGAUCUUGGUCACCAAACCUGGAUAAGGCAAUUGUCCCUUGUCCUUCGACAUUGCUCUGUACAUGUGAAAGAGAAUAGUGUGAGGGAGAGAGAACUUCUUUCCUGAGUUGAUUGCGUACAUCAGUUUUGCUUCGGAAUUAGACACAUCAGUCUUUGAUGUAGACUUGGGUCUAAUACAAUUGAUCACAAUUUUGUGCAGCACAAUAUUGAUGGCACGCAUCCUUGAAUAGAUGAUUCUUCCCUCAAUAUCUCUAUCUUUGACAAGUUCCAUUGAGGCACCAGCAACUAAGACUUUGACUGGUUGAUAACGUCCUCGUUCAACUCCGAUUAUGUCCGCCAACAUGUCUACGUCUACCACAUAGUCCUGGUCUCGAACACUGAAUGAUAUUCUAUUCGCAUCUAAAAAGCUGAGAUUCGAAUAGAAGUAUGCUGUCAAUUGCGCAUAACCAUCUGUGGUAUCGGUACAAAAUUGCUCAAGUUGAAGCAGAUUGAACUUCUCCCUUAAGUUCACAUUAACGGCAUCCAAGAAAUCGAAAUCAACACUCCUAGGGUUUAUCACCCCUCGUUUCAGUAGUCUGAAGAACAGAUUCUCGUGUUCCUUCGAUUUAAACAACUCCAUCCUUUUUCCCUUCACCUUCGCAGCAACACCCAUUCUAGGUUGAAAAUCACUGAACAUUUUAUCAUCAUCGUUCCCGUCAGUCGAAUUUGGUCCCGACAUACAAGGGUCACUUGGAAUGUUCGCAAGUGCUUCUUCAGCCUUUCCCUUGGGAGCAAUUCCCAAAUCCUCCAUUUUUCUCAGAAAGAUAUACUCAUUCCCAUAAUGCUUAUCUUUGAGAAAAUCAUCCACGUAUUUCAACGGAGUCCCAGUACUUUUCAACGCACAGUAGAGUUUAUAACUAUAAGAGGGUUUUUGGACUCUUACAGGGUCUGCGUCCUCGAUUAUCUCUUCUUCCGGUUGUUGACCCGCACCUUGUGGGGUAGAUGGCGUUGAGUGACGUGGUGGAGAGUGAAUCGGGCUCUAUUGCUGACUCGAUAAUUCUUCCUCUUCGGUGAGAUCGAAAUGGGUAGGUCCCUCCUUCAUUCUCUGUGGUCCCCUGUUCGCGAUUCUUGAAGACUUCCUCGAAGAAGACAUUCUUCCUUGUCGCUGAAAGAUUCCUUUACUUGCUUUCCCAAGAAAAGAUGACAACUAUCUCAAAGAUGAACACGAAGUAGAAACCGGAUUGGGAGGAGAAUGCUUUUUUUAGGGUUUUGAAGAUUGAAAAAUGAAAACUGUAUGGCUGCGCAUGGUAAAAUUUCUGUUUUUCAAUUUCUCUAUUUCUCUGUUCCCUGGAACAGGUUUGGAACAGAAAUCCGUUUGGUAACGCAAAUUGAUUUCUCUAUUUCUAUUUCAAAUUUCUAUUUCAGAAAUUGUUUUGGAGGAGAAAUCAGAAGCUAAAAAUUUUAGCUUCUCUAUUUCUGAAGUAGAAAUAGAAAUUAUUUCUUCUGGGCAUCCUUUCGUUCACGGGUUUUUCUUCUAUCUGGGCAUUCUUUCUCUUUCUCCUCUCAACGCUUCCCACCAAAAACCCUAGUUGUCCAUCCUCGUCGUCGACUCCGUCGCCGUCCUCUUGCCGUCCUCAAAGCUCAACCAAAAACCCUAGCGCCGGCGACUCCGAAUUCAUCCUCGUCGUCGAUGCCGUCGCAGGUUUUUGCUCCAGUCGUGCCGUCGACUCCGAAGCUGUCCAUCCUCGCCAUCGACUCCGUCGCCGUCGUCUUGCCGUCCUCAAAGCUUCAACCAAAAACCCUAGCGCCAUCGACUUCGAAUCCAUCCUCGCCGUCGACGGCGACGGAGUUUCUAUUUUGUCUAUGUCCAAAGCUUCGAAUUACAAUGCCAGUGAUAAAUUUUUAAUUGGUGUCCAUUGAAACAGUAAGUUGAAAAGCUAUAUGUUCCGUGCAUAUAUGGCUAGGCGAUUGAUGUGUCAUCGAAUUGAGAUUUGAUCCUGGGUUUCUCUGGUUUUCAUGGUUUCAGAGAUCGGAGCUACUGCUGGAGGGGAUUGUGUGUGCGACCAGUGUUUUGCCAUUCAGAAGCUCGCUUCUUCAACAAAAAGACUUUUCUUGGAUUCUUUCACUGCUUGACCUUCUCUGGAACUUCCCCCCGCGAUUCCUCACGAGGUUCGAUCAAUCCUUCCCUUCUCGCCUCUCUUUUCAUGUUUCGGCUUUCGUCUGCAUCCUCUAUUUUCCCCUGAUUAAGUUUAUGCUUACACUAGAACUUUGUUUGAUGGCAUUUGAUGCAUGAUGUGGAACGGUCGUGUGUGAGUCGAGGGUUGACUGGAUAUGCAGAUUGUGGAUCUGUUUUGGAGUCAAGGACUGUCGUGCUUGGUCUUGGAAAUGGUGUUUUGGAAGCAAUGGUUGGUGUUUAGCUUUGUGAUUGCUUUAGCAAUCUGUGAGAGAACCUAUCUUCUUGCUUGCUUGUUGUGAUUGUGGAUGAAUUGGCAUCUGUUGUUGAGAGAUAUCUGUGCUGCAGAGAGUGUGGCUCAAGGGUUCGGGUUCUUUUUAGGCGUUGUACCUUCAUAACUCCGUCGGGUGACUUUGAUGGGGUUACGGAAUGAGAGCUGUUUACUGCUUUUCAUCGGAUAUCUGUCAUGCUUUGUCUACAAAUCUUGUCAUGUGAUCUGCUCAUCGAGAUCUUAUAUUGCUUUCCAUGCAUAAGGAUGUUUGUGCAUUCUUUCAUGUCACUGGAAAAACUUUCAGCUCUUAUUUUUUGCACUUUUUCAACUAAAAGACUGAACUAUACUCAACCUUUUCCUUGCGUUUCCUGAUUCUUUUCUCAGUCUUACAGUGGUAUUCAAGCUCUCCUCUAGUAUGUUAUGUAAGACUAACAUUCUGCUGGAAGUAACCCCUGUGCUUUAGAUAUGCUUUAGUAAUGCUAGAACGAUCAAUCUGUCAUUAAGGCAAUUUCCUUACAAAAAGAGGUUGCGCUUAUCUGCGAGUUCAUUUGAGUUUAACCUUUCCUUUGUAGAAGCUGUCAUGCCUUUCUACUGCUGGUUUAGAUGUAUGUGCAGUCUAGAUAAUUGGGACUGGCCAAGGAAGGGCACAGCAUUUUUUGAAAUUCCAUGCCUGAUUCUUUGGUUUCUUGGCCAAGAUGCCUUCUAUUUCAUGGUCAAAAUUUAGCUAAGAUGGUGACUUGAUUAUCAGCAGUCAGGAGACUGAAUGGAACCAAAGAGCCUGGUUUUGGUGUUGCCUUCGCAUAAUUGUUGGUGAAGCCAUUCUAUAUCAAGGGGGCAUAUUGCUAGAUGAUGUCUUCAGUAGCUGUAGGUCCUUGGUGGAAAUUAUCACAUGUUUUGACAUGUAUGGUAACUUGCGGCUUUGAGGCAAGAACUGGAGCAUUAUGUUUUCAUACGCCAGUUUUUUCAAGGGGACAAUCACCUCGUGGCACACUUCAACACACUGUAUCGACAGCUUUAGAUGGGGACUUUGGCAGUAGCUGAAAAUCAAGCUGCGCAUGACUCUGAACUCCUGGGCUAGUCAAUUGUAUCAAUGCAUGUUUUUGACUUAGUCCACUUAUUUAUAGCAAACAAUUGUAUGCGGGAUUCACCUCCAGCUUUCAUAAUUUACAAUAUUCAAAGCCCGGUUUGUUAUCUUCUUCUUUUGCACUUCCAUUUGAUGCAGCCAUUUGCAGAGCGCCCCCUUCGAAUUAAAAGGCUUGGGAGAGUUCUUUGCUCGGAUUGUGGAAUGUUUGGGUAAGAUUGAUGGUUGUGUAAGGUGCUGAUUUGAAUGCCUUUACUUCUAAGUUGUACAAUAUGGAAAAGACUAUGGAGAACAGGGCAUGUCCCCUGCCCAGCCAAAACAACAUUGCUUAUCAUUUAAAGUCCCCACCAGAAACUCACAGAGGACGACAAACGGUUGAAAAGGACCAGCCUUGUCCUGCAUAUAGUUAAUCUCACAUUCCACGAGAUGAGAAUGAACCUCGUGUCAUCAAAGAAUCAGUUUUCAUGCCAGACUGAGGGUCCUCCACUCCCCAUAAGGUUCAUAUGAAAUAUGGUAAAGGUGCCUGGACUUUGUUUGUAGGUGAUUCAACAAACUAUCCCUUUUAGUUAGAACAUCCAAUUGUGAUCUUACAACCUAUACAACGGCUUCUGUUAGCAAUCCCGAUUGAACGUCGGAUUGAUGUCAUGUCAAUGCACAUUCACCGUCGUAAGCAUGUACCGAUCUUACGGAUCUUAUCAAUCAUAAAGGAAAAUGAAGAUAACCAGUCUCUUUUCCAACUAGUCAUUGACCAUUGCACUGUCAAAUACAAACAUGGCCAGAAAAUGUAAACGGGAAUACCAACAAGAAAAAAAUAAAAUAAAAUAAAGAAAGAAAAAGGAAUGGGGGGAAGGCGUAAAGCAAAACUUGGAUCUUCGAGAGCCUGGACUAGUGAGAAAUGGCGCUCUUAUCUUUUAUAGUUUGCAUAUUAGCAUUUGAAAAUACCAAAUCUUUUAUAGUUUGCAUAUUAGCAUUUUUUAUACUAAUUACUAGCUUUUAUUUACAUAAAUUGCUAAUGUUUUGAAGUUCCUAACUACUCUAUCGAAUUACCAAUCUAAAUUAAAGUGAUUUACCAACUUUUAUCAAAUUAAAUUACCAUCACAAGCACCAAGAAGAGUGAGGUAAAAGAUGGGGACAACAUGAUUCAUAGAAAUAGAAAUUUUUUUCUGUUAUCAAACGGAUUUCUAUUUCAGAAAUAGAAAUUUUGAGUCGUUAUCAAACGGGUUUCUUUGCUCAGAAACUUGUCCAGGGAAUAGAAAUUGAGAAAUUGAUUUCUAGCCAGAAAUCAAUUUCUGUUUCAGAAAUUUUACCAUGCGCACCCUAUAUAUAUAACUCAGUUUUGAAAAGGGGAAGUUCAAUCGGUACAAGGAAAGUGUACGAACACUUCUUUUUAAAAUCAAUAACUGCCAAAAUUAAUCUUUUUGAAAAGACAGGAUUUCGUUUUUCACGGAGACUACAAAAUAACUGAAAAAAAAAAAUCAUACCUUUUCGAUAGCAACUUACAGUCUAUAGCCAUCAAUGUCUGAGUCUGAGGAUUUAGAGUCUGAUGGAUUAGAGUCUGAUGGAUUAGAGUCUGAUGAUCAUCAAUUUUCUAAGUCUGAGGGUUGGAGAGUCUCUAGACUUUAACUUCUUCGAGCUUCAAAAUGUUGAGUCUGGAACGGAUAAAAUCGAAUUGAUUUUUCUCCAAAGGCUUUGUGAAUAUAUCCGCUAGUUGACUUUUUGAAUCAACAAAUUGAAUCGAGAUUUCUUCAUUUUGAAUAUGAUCUCUAAUGAAGUGAUGUCGAAUCUCUAUAUGAUUUGCUCUUGAAUGAAGAAUUGGAUUUUUGGUGAGAUUGAUUGCGCUGGUGUUGUCACAUUUGAUUUCUGUGCAUGAGUCUUCAAUCCCAAAGUCUUGUAAUUGUUGUUUUAUCCAUAGAAUUUGCGAACAACAGCUUCCAAGAGCUACAUACUCUGCUUCUGUUGUUGAGAGAGCCACAGUGCUUUGUUUCCUUGAAAACCAAGACACUGUCCUGCUUCCAAGCAACUGGCAAGUUCCUGAAGUACUCUUUCUAUCGACUCUGCAGCCGGCCAGAUCUGCGUCUGAAUAUCCCAGAAGAUUAAAGUCUCCCUUCUUAGGAUACCAAAGACCGAUGCUUGAAGAUGAAGCAACGUAUUUAAUGAUACGUUUUGCAGCACUGAGAUGGGAUUCUCUAGGAUCUGAUUGAAACCUAGCACAGAUGCAAACACUCAACAAAAUGUCAGGUCUAGAAGCAGUAAGAUAAAGAAGUGAACCAAUGAUGCUCUUGUACAGCUUUUGAUCAACUUUCUUCCAUUCUUCAUCUUUGUCUAUCUUCAAAGAACUUGACAUUGGUAUAUCAGUCUUUUUGCAAUUUUCCAAUCCAAACCUUUUGACGAGAUCAUUAGCAUAUUUUUCUUGGUAAAUGAAAGUUCCUUCCUUCAAUUGCUUUACUUGAAGACCAAGAAAGAAUGUUAAUUCUCCCAUCAUACUCAUUUCAAACUCAUCCUGCAUAGACUUAGAAAAUUUCUUGCAUAGACUUUCAUUAGAGGAUCCAAAAAUAAUAUCAUCCACAUAUAUUUGAACGAGUAAAAAGCUUUUGUUUUCCUUUUUGAUAAAUAAAGUAGUAUCUACUUUACCUUUGACAAAGCCAUUCUGUAAUAAGAACUUACAUAGUCUGUCGUACCAAGCUUGAGGUGCUUGCUUUAAACCAUACAAGGCCUUUUUCAGUCUGAAGACUGAGUCUGGCUUCUUUGGGUCUUCAAACCCAUGUGGUUGUUCCACAUAUACUUCCUCUUGGAUAAAUCCAUUUAGGAAAGCACUUUUGACGUCCAUUUGGAAUAACCUGAAAUUUUUAUAACAAGCAAACGCAAGUAAUAGUCGGAUAGCUUCUAACCUUGCUACAGGAGCGUAAGUCUCAUCAUAGUCUAUUCCUUCUUCUUGCGUGUAUCCUUUGGCCACGAGUCUUGCUUUGUUUCGUACGACUUUUCCUUUUUCAUUCAUCUUAUUUCUAAACACCCAUUUGGCUCCAAUAACAGUUUUACCUUUCGGUUUAGAUGUCAAUUCCCAGACAUCAUUAAUGUUGAACUGUCUUAGCUCCUCUUGCAUAGCUUCGAUCCAGCUUUCAUCAGAUAAAGCUUCUUCUAUGCUUUUUGGUUCAAUUUCAGAAAUGAGAGCCACAGCACUAGACUCUUCACGUCUUUUAGAUCUGGUGCGAAUUCCUUCAUUAAUUUCGCCGAUGAUGAGAUCUUUAGGAUGACUGGACUUGUGCUUCCAGUUACUGGUUGAUUUGUCUGGAUGAUGAUCUCUUUAUUUAUUUGAAUCUUCAUGAACAUCUUGAUGCUGGUCUUCCAGAGUCUGAGAUACUUCUUGAGUUGUAAGCUUUGGAAGGUCUGGAGCAGGUUCAGACUCUUCAUACUGAGUCUGACUGGACUCAUCUAGCAGAGAGUCUUUAAAUUUGACAUUCAUUGACUCCUCCACAGACUGGCUCUUCUUGUUAUAGACUCUGUAGGCUUUGCUUGAUGUAGAAUAUCCAAGGAAGAUGCCUUCAUCUGAUCUUUCUUCAAACUUACCAACUCGAUCUUUUGCAUUUUUCAAUAUAAAGCAUUUGCAACCGAACACAUGAAAGUAUGAAACAAUGGGCUUCUUACCUUUGAAUAAUUCAUAAGGGGUUUUCUCUAGAAUAGGUCUUAGAAAGACUCUAUUGAUGAUAUAGCAUGCUGUUGAAACAGCUUCAGCCCAAAAACAUGAAGAAAUUUUACUUUCAAUUAAAAGAGUUCUAGCCAUUUCUUGAAGAGAUCUAUUCUUUCUUUCCACAACUCCAUUUUGCUGAGGAGUGUAUGGAGAGGAGAACACAUGCUUAAAUCCAUAUUCAUCACACAAUUUUGUAAAAUCUUGAUUUUCAAAUUCACCUCCAUGAUCUGUUCUUAUACUUGAGAUAACACAUCCUUUUUUCAUUUUGAACCUUUUUAGCAAAUUUUUCAAAAUACGAGAAGAUUUCUGACUUGCUUGCAAGGAAAAAUACCCAAGUAAAACGAGAGUAAUCAUCCACAAUUACUAGGCAGUAUUUCUUACCUCCAAUACUCUGGGUUCUGGUUGGUCCGAAGAGAUCCAUAUGCAGCAACUGUAGUACAUGAUUAGUAGAGACAUGAUUUAUUGGCUUAAAUGAAUUUCUUACCUGCUUUCCCAGAAUACAUGGUGUGCAUGGAUCGGACUUUUGGUAUGGUAAUUUGGGUAGACCUCGAACAAGCUGCUUUGAAGAGAUUUUAGCUAAUUGCUUCAUGUUGACAUGACCAAGCUUUCUGUGCCAUAAGCUUGCUUCAUCUUGAAUUGAGAUUAGGCAUUGUGAUUCAUUUAGAUUCAUGUCUAAGAGGUAGAUGUUUCCAUGUCUUCGACCCAUGAAAGACUAAGUAGAGUCUUUACUGAUUCCAGAGCAUAUUCCUUAUUGAAAGGAGAUCUUGAAACCAGUAUCACACAAUUGGCUAAUGCUGAGAAGGUUAUAGUUGAGUCCUUCCACUAGAGAAACAUUGCUUAUUGUGAGAUUUCCAAUUUUCACUGUUCCAAAUCCCACAAUGUUUCCUUUGCCGUUUCCUCCAAAAGAAACUUUUCCACCAUUCACUUGAAUAAGCUUUAUGAAGCAAUUUGAGUCUCCUGUCAUGUGUCUUGAACAUCCACUGUCAAGAUACCAUUUUACCUUUUUCUUGAUGGAGACCUGCAUUUAAAAGAGAGUCUCAAGCUUUCUUUGGUACCCAAAUUUUCUUGGGUCCUUUGGUGUUAGCAGAAUAAACAUUAUGAGGCCAUACUUUCUUAACAGGCUUCCAAACCAUAGGACAUUCUUUUUCAAAGUGAUCUUGACUGUUACACUUUGAACACCUUAGAGCAUUUCGACCUACAGACUUUGCAAAAACUUUCUUGAAAUGAUUUUUGUAAGCCUCUCUUGACGGUCUUUUCUUAAUCCUUUCUUUUACUUUAGGAAAAUCAAUCAAGGGAAUUGUUUCUGCUGUCAUACCUAGACCAGACUUAUUGAAGUAAGGUCUUUGAACUGAAAGAACUUUUUCAAGUUUUUCAGACCCUAUCGAAAAUUUCUUUGAAAUAUUUGAUAAGUCAGUUUUUAAAAAAGCAUUUUCUUUCAAAAGAUUAUCUUCUUUUUCUUUAAGAGUAGAAACAUUCAAGUCUAAACUUUUAACUUUUUCUUCUAAAAUGAUUUUCUUUUGUUUUAGAUCUGAGUUUUCCUUUUUAAGUUCGGAAAUUCUUUUGAGAGAAGUCUUAAGACUAAAACAUAGUUCAUCAAUGUAUUUAGAGACUUUGAUAGGAAUUUUAAAAUCACUUACCUCAAAUUCGCUGUCUGAGUCUGAUUCAGAAUCUGAGUCUGAGUCUGAAUGUGCCAUCAAACAUAUGUUGGCAUAUUCAUUAUCACUUUCUUCACACUCUGUAUCACUCCAGGUUUCGGCUUUGAGAGCUUUUCGAAACUUUUCAGCUUUUCCUCUUUUCUUCUUCAGAAGAGGACAGUUAGGUCUGAUGUGUCCCUUUUUCUUACAUUCGAAGCAGACUACAUCUUUGUUUGGUUCCUCAUCAUCAACAGACUUGGUCUGCUGUCUCUGGAAACUUUGUUUCUUUGAGUUGAACCUUCUACCUUUUCUAUUCAGUUUUCUGAAUCUUCUUAUCAUGAGAGCAAGCUCCUCGUCGUCCAUAUUAUCUUCAGAAUAUGUAUCAUCAGAAUCAUCAUUUGAUUUUAAUGCAAUAGAUUUCUUACCUCUUGGAUCUUCGUCUUCAUUAAUUCGUUCCACUUCAUAAGACUGAAGAGUUCCAAUCAGCUCGUCGACAGACAGUGGCAUAAUUCUUUGCGUCUCUCUUAUUGAAGUCUUUAUAUGAUUCCAAUCCUUGGAGAGUCCACGUAGUAGCUUGUUCACCUUCAUGGCAUCAGAAAUUUUUUAUCCUUGAUUCUCAAGACCAUUGACAAUAUCUGUAAAACGACUAAACAUGUCAGUUAUAGAUUCUCCUGGUUUCAUUUUGAAGGCUUCAUAUUGACUGAGGAGAAUGUUAAUUCUGGUCUCCUUCACUCGAUCUGUUCCUUCAUAGGUGAUAUGUAAUAUGUCCCAUACUUCUUUUGCUGUAACACAAGAAGAUAUUCUGUUAUAUUCAGUUGGUGACAAAGCACAAUAUAAAGAGUAAUUGCUUUUGCAUCGAGUGCUUGUCUCUUGUUUAUCUCUUCCUGAGUCAUUCCGCUGGUCUCAACAAUUUCUUUUCCUCUUUCAGAGACUGAUGCAGCAGUAGGAGUGAUUCCUCUUUCCACAACGUCCCAUUCCAGAGGAUCCUUUGAUCGUAGGAAAGCUUUCAUCUUGUUCUUCCAGAUGUUGUAAUCCUUUCCAUCAAAGUAGGGUGGUCUGGUAUUGCUUUGCCCUUCCACAAGCCCUGGUGCCAGCAUACUAGCCAUGGAUCUUUUACUCUGAAGUAAGACACUUCAAAUAAAGUAAGAACACGAGCUCUGAUACCAUUUGUAAUAUCCCGGGCCCCACUGUGUGAUAUUGUCCGCUUUGGACACUGAGUCCUCACGGCUUUAAAACGCGUCACACAGGUUAAGAGGGACCCAAGCCAUUAUAAAUUGGCCCAAGACUCUCUCCCUAGGCGAUGUGGGAUAGGGAACCCUUCCUUGCGCACGUCCGGGGACCGAGGCGCGGACGCACCGCCAUCCCUCCUCCCCGCGCACCGCCGCUCGGGCCGUCACACUCUCCCCCCUUGGGAGCACAGCGCCCUCGCUGUGGCCCCACACGCUGUCGGGAGUCAGCUCUGAUACCAAUUGAUAUAGCUAAUACGAGUACCUAAAGGGGGGUGAAUAGGUAUAUAAAAGAUUUUUCUUGAUGAUUGCACAAUACUUAGACAGUUGAAGGAUUUGCGACAAAUAAUAAUUAACGUAAGACUAAGUAAAGAAAAGAGAGAAUUGAACACGCGGUUUAUAGUGGUUCGGCUUGAUUCAAGCCUACGUCCACUCUUCUGCACUGACAGCCAAUUGGCUGGAUUUCACUAUGAACAAAGAGAUGUUACAACGUUGAUCUUCCUUGAUUUCUAGGUGUAGAUGCUCUACCACACUCGCUCAAGGUAUCACCAAGUAUAAACACUCUCUGUGUAUACAAUUUCGCUCAAACUGUAUCGACUAAUAAUCAAGGUGCUUCAGAUUCUGGAAUUUCUCUAUCAAUCACACUCUAUAAACAAUGAGAACGUCUUCCUUUUUAUACUCCUUUAUGCCAUCAUACCGUUGGCACUUACCAAAGGAUUUCCUCCAAUCUACCCGUUGGAUACAAUCAAGAUCUUGGUUUCCAAGAAUAGAACAUUCCAAGAAUAUUUCGUCGACCACCGGAUCUUCAAUUGAUCUAGAUACAAAUAAAAGAAUCCGAUAUAUAUUUAUCCAACCAAGAGAUCUUCUCCAGAGGAUAGGAUUAAAUCCUUAACCAUAAACUUUGGCUCUGGAUUUCUUUCGUCACUGGAUCAGAAAGGCUGUCAAUGAGAAUAGUCUUGAGUCUUGAGUGCUGAGUCUGGAGAUUAGAAAGUCUUCAGACUUUAAACCGACAGUCGGCAAAUAUCCAGACUAGACUGAUAGAAACGUUUUGUCAGCUUCAAAAUAUUCUGGAAAGAUUUCUCCAACAACCUGUCCCAAACUUCUUUGGUUGUUUUACAAGAAGAUAUUCUAUUAUACUCUAUAGGAGACAAUACACAAUAUAAAGAGUAAAUUACUUUUGCAUCAAUGGCUUGUCUCUUAGUUAUUUCUUCUUGAGUCAUCUCGCUAGCCACUACAACUUCUUUUCCCCUCUCUAAGACUGAUGUAGCUUUAGGAAUGAUUCAUUUUUCUACCACAUCCCAUUUCAGAGGGUCUUUUGAUCUUAGGAAUGUCUUCAUCUUGUUUUUACAUAUGUUGUAUUCAUUUUCAUCAAAAUAAGGUGGUCUAGUGUUGCUUUGGCCUUCAACCAAACCUGGAGCCAACAUACUAGCCAUGGAUCUUUAACUCAGAAGUAAAAACACUUCAAACAAAUGAGCACACGGGCUCUGAUACCAAUUGAUAGGGCUAGUACGAGCACUUAGAAAGGGGUGAAUAGGUGAUAAAAGAAAUUUUUGUGAAUUUUUAACAAAAUUAAUUUUUAAGCGUAACAAGUUGAAGGUGUAAAGAACUAAAAGCAGAAGUAUGAAGUUGCAAUUUUAAAGUAAGGAGAUAAGGGAAAGAGAAUUGAGAUACAAAGUUUAUAGUGGUUCAGACCAAGCCUAUGUCCACUCUCUCGCAUUGACAGCCCACCGGCUGGAUUCCACUAUGAAUCAAAAGAGAUUUUAUAGUCUCACGUCCUUGAUUUCACAGUGUAAAGACUCUACUACACUUCCUCAAGGUCUCACAAGUAUUUAAUCUCUCUUUUGAAUACAAGAAAAGCUCAAUAGUUGAGAUAGUGAAGAACUAGGAGCUUCAGACUUUGGAAUUUUUCUUUCACGCAUACACUCAAAUAACUUGAGCAUCCUCCUUAUAUACUCUUUCAUGCCUUCAUAACCGUUGGCACCUUCCAAAGGAGUUUUUCCAAUCAACCUGUUGGACAGAAUCAAUUAGGAAGAUCUCGAGUUAUUUAAGGAAUGUGAUGAUAGCCCACCAAUCCUGCUCGCCCAUAUAAUCAAGAUCUAGGUUUCCAUAAGUAGAACCUUCCAAGUAUACUUCGCCAAUCAACGCAUCUAACAUACUCGAAUUAAUUUUGAUACGAAUAAUAGAUCUUAAGGUGCAAUCUCUAGCCAUGAGAUCUUCUUCAACCGCAAGAACCAAAUCCCUAAAGAUAUACCCGCAUCUGGAUAAGUCUUCUUCAACGAAUAAUACUUUCCCUCGUCGGUCUAGAAUCUGUUAAUGAGGGCGGACUUUAAAUCUUGAGUCUGGAGGUCUUCAAAUUUUGACGAUAGAGGCUGCAAGUCUUUAGAUUAAACUGAUGGAAACGUUUUGUCAACUUCAAAACAGAUAAGGAAGUUUUCUCCAACAAUGAUGAGGUGGGUUUAGCAAAAGCAAAAUAGGGGUUCAUCAAAGGAAGUUGAAUUUUAGAGAUCUUAAUUUCAUCCUAAGAGAGAUUUCAUAGAGAUAGUCUAUCUUAGAAGCAUUGGAAACACGAAAAUCUAAAGGGGUUGAAAAAGAUGGAGAUGCAGCGAGAGAAAUAGGUGUGGAAAGACCGCUGUUGACACCUGAAAUUUUUUGUCGACAUUUUAAACAAAUAUUUUGCAAAAAUAUAAAAAAAAUGAAAAAAAAUGAUGAAAUGAGAAGAUAAAAAAAAUUAGAAAUAAGGAAAACGAAAAAAAGAAAAAAAGAGAGAAAAACAUAAAUAAAUAAAAAGAGAGAAAAGAAACAAAAAAGAAACAAAGAAAACAAAAAAAUAUAAAAGGGCUCACUUAUUUUUUUUUGGUGGGGGGAUUGGACGGAUCCAUUUUUCACUCUCUGGACAACCGUUUCUCUCUCUCUCCCACGCUCGCUCGAAAAUUCUUUGGGCUCUCGCUGCUAAACGGCUGAAUAGACUCUCUCGAUCGGGAUCUCUCCAGAAAUCUGUUCGGUUCAAAGGAUUUCGAUUGAUUAGAACCGACUGACGAGGAUCGACAGAGACGGUGGUGGCGACGGUGACGACAACGGCGACGGUGAUGACAACGACAGCGAUGGAUCACUCUUGGAAAUCAGACAUCGCUCAUUCAAUCGUCUCAAACAAUCGCCGGCCAAGGAGCGCAAGGUCUGAUGCUUGAUCCAAAGCUGACCAUCAAGGAUUGGUGACAUGAGUGACGACGCCCAUGGUUCCGUUCGCCGGAUCUAACUUGAUCCGAAACCGCCCGUUGAGGAUCGGUGGGUGAGGAUCGGCGACAAUCGCAACUACAACGACGCUUGACCGGUUUUUUUACUCUGGAUCGAGCUCACUCGAUCGGUGAGCUUUCUUUCUAUCCCUCUCGAUCAGUUAGGUUUCAAUUUCUGUUCUCUCUCUCAAUCCGUUUGAGUCUUGGAUUCUGACCUUCCCCUCUCUUGUUCGUUUUCUCUAGUAAUCACUCUCUCGGUUGGAUCUUACUCCCUCGUUACGAAUCACGCCCUUUCGGAGCUCGAGAUACAGUGGCUCAAGUCUGCGCCGAGUUGGAAGCCUUGGCUCAGCUCUCUGUCUCUGGCUCGAUCAGGUGAGGAAGAACAAGUUUAUCAAGAUUUUCCUGAUAAAUGUCGUUUGUUCAAGUGCUGUCAUUGUUGUCUUCGUUGUUGAUUGAUGGAUUUAGAGUAUCCGUUUAAGCUCUGUUUCGGAUUUGGUAUUGAGUUGAGUAGAUAUUUGAUUGAGCCGUGUUCUGUGCUGUGUAAUCAAGACAAAUGAUUGAUGUAUCGUACAGGGAUGGAAAUUGGUGUUGGAAUCGUUGCUUGUAUGCUUAGAUUUCUCUAUUAUAUCUCAUUUUCCCCUGUCCGUAUCACUCUGAUGUGUCAUCACUGUGUAUGUGGUGUGGCCAACGAUCAAGUGAGAGCUUGCCUCUUCAAAUGGAAGUUUACUGACAGUGGUUGACAAGGCUACAAUCAUUGACUAUGGACUCUCUGCAUUUAGUUGUUUUCAUUACUUGUGUUUCUUCUUUUCUGUCCGCCAUUUCACAUCUUUGUUAUUGAGCUGUUUCAAGGCCCUAUGUACAUGAAGGUGAGACUGUACAGCAUCCUAGGUUUAGAAUUCUUACAAACAAUUUUUUCAUGUUGAGUUGGAGAAGUAAGAAAAUGAGUUUUACUCUUAGUUUGUCUAUGAGUAGUAUUAAAGAGGGCAUGAGCCAUCAGUGAAGUUGUUUACUACUUAAGAGUGAUGGUAGUAUUCUUAACUGUUAUGCUACUAUGAUUUGUUGUUAUCAUGUUCGCUUUUAGUUGGUCAAAGGCAGGUCACGUGCAUUUGAUGUUUUCUGUUCAUUGCAAAUGCAAAUUUGAUUUUCCAUGACACACGCCAUAUAUGAAUAUCAGUAUGCUAUAAUUGCUCCUUAUGAUUGAAGCAUGUGGAAAAAAUAUUAUGUCAAGGAUAAGUCAAAUUUUACUGAAAAUCGAUCCAUGUAUGCUGACCAUGUUUUGAUAUCCCAUGAUUGGGUGUGCAUUUGAUUCCAACUUGAGGCUAGUUUGGUUAUGGAUUGAUGCCAUUUUGAUCAAGUAGACUCAUUCAUGCUUGUGAGAAAAUAUGGCUUCAAUUUCAUGGCAAUUUGUCAUCAAACAAUCACAAUUUGUAGUCUCGUAUGCUCUGUUACCAUUCCGAUUGCAUGCUGGAAGUUAUGGAUUAAAUAUAGAUUAGAUAAAUUCUGUCUUAGCUUGGUUCUGUUUUGCUGUGUUGCUGCUCUGUUCUUGUGUAGAUUGUUUUAGCCGAUUGAUAUAUCUUUGCUCUUGGAGUUUUUAGAAAAAAAAUAUGCAUGCUGAAUUUGAGAAUGUUGUCUUCUUAAAGCUGCUUGUGAUAUGCUGUUUUUUUUUUCUGUGGCUGACUGCUUUUAGUAUUGAAAUGGAAUAGUCGAUGUGUCGCGAUUUCGUAUGCCUGAUGUCACUUUCUGUUUUGGCUGAAAUGAGGUGCUAGAUGAGUAUAUAUUUUUUUUUACCUCGAGCCCUUCUAGACAUAAAAAGUACACUUCUAGAGCUUCGAUUUGAUAUGCCGUAUGCCCUGAAUGGAUGUUAUUUGGUUGCUCAAAAACACCUACAAAGUCUGUUGAUUCUGCAGUAGUUUUAGAUUGAUUUGCUGUUCUGACUUACUGCAAUUUUCUGUUUUAAUUGGAAUGAGCUGGUAGAUGAUGUUAUUAGAACUUAAUAUCUUCUGGAGAUUUAUAAUAGACUUCUCAAGCGUUCCAUAGACAUAUAAUAUGCUUGAUUUGGCAAUCGUUUGCCCUGUCAUAUGUUUGUUGCAAAAUAGAAGUCAAUGUCUUCAUGAAUUUUGCUCCUCAUAUCUGAAAGUCUACUGUUCCAGAAUGAUUUUUGUGUGUUCAUCGAUUUUUAUAAAAUUGUGUGUUCUCAAUCUGACAAUAAGGUCAUAUGGCUUGAAUGCUUGUCAUGUUAUACAUUUCACAUGUGAUUGUUAGAUGAAUGAUUUAGGUAUGACAUACAAUAAUGUUGAACCUUGGGGUAUUACCUAGAAUUCAACCUAUAGACUUUGUGACUUUGGUUACUCUUGAACACAAAAGAUGUCUUGUUUUUUUUAUUGUUUUUGAUAUGUGAUGAUUGUUUCUUUCAUUUGUAUGCAUCUAGUCAUCCAGAUGUCUUAGAUUAGGUUUAGAAUAGGAUCCUGAACAUGGAUAAAGCGUGAAGAUGGUGGAAGUCGAUGUCCAUUCUGACCAUUGUCAUGUACUAUUUGUUUUCCCGACAUAUGUCUCAGGUUCCAUACAUUGUAUAAAACCCGACAAGUUGCAGGUUUCCUUUCUUUCCCAAUUGUUUUCUUUUUUUUAUAUUUUUAGAAUUACAUGAUUAGGUUUAACUGAUUUUCUUGAUUGUUUACUUCAUGUCUUGCAAUUUCAUUUUCAUUGUUUGUUUUCCUUUCAUUUCUUAGGAAUAGAAUAGAAUGAAAGUAAUCCACCACUCAUGAUCAUUUAGUAUAGAAUUGACGAUCCUGAAAAUAUAAAAAGAAAUGCAUAGACAUGUUAGGAAAAACACAACAUACUGUUUAGGUACCGAAAGGGCGUUAAUAGCAAUAUUAGCGUAACCCAAGUCCCCGAACCUAGAUAUCUGGUUACAUAGGAAUCGAGGGAACACUCCCGACCCUUGAUUGGGUUUCUAGCCAACCCCUAAAAUGAGGCUAGUGGCGACUCCUGUCUAUUUUUUAGGUUGUUAUAAACAACUAGACUGCAUAAAUAAACCCGUUGUCACGCGGGGUACGAGCUUGGGAGAGCUCGCGAUCUCGUGAGGGAACUCUCAUGAUCAAGUACCCCUAAACCCGACCUUUCCCACCUUGGACAUUUCGAGGGCGGCGAGAUCGGGUCGCGACAACUGCUAACUGUUGAGUCAGCCGUGACCGUUGAGUCAUAAUCAAUUGGGACACAUGGAUGAUUGAAAUUGACACUCUGGAUUAUGGGACAAAAUUGUGUGGCAUGGUAUGGGACGUGUCAUAACGAUUUGGCCCUAUAAUCGGGACUCCUAUGAUUGAUUGAAAUAUGAGUGAGAUGUUUCAAUUGAUGUGUGCAUCUGUUAUAUGCAUUAGUUAUAUGAAUUGUACUGACGUGCAGGAAGGAACUAAGGCGAGGUGAGUCUUGUAUAAUGUGUGAUUAGACUGCCUCUAGGAGUAUGUCCUUCCUAACUGGGGUUUAGAGCGUGAACUCACUGAGACAUUGUUUCACCCCGUCUUGGGUUUAACUUUUCAGGUCCAUAGAUGGAGGUGAGGCCAGUUCGUUUUGGACAGCCACAGGGGUAUACAGAGUAGAGUACUAAUGUCCUUGUCCUCAAGAGUCCCUAGCUCCAUGAGCUCAUCGUGACCAAUAUCUUGGUUGAAAGGGCCUACCACAGUUAGUACCUCAUCGAUUCAGGACAUGGUUUCGCUAUGGGCCUAAUGGGGUCCAAGAAGGUCCCCUGCAGGGUUUCAACGUCCUCACCAUUACGGUCAACGCCGCUGCAGGCGAGGGAGUAGCUAACCCCCCUAAUGGUGUUGUAGUAGACCCGAAUCCCAAGUAGAUAGGGUCCGGGGUAGGGUUAGCUUGGCAGCUCUUUUGUUUUUGUGGGCCUCUGUGUAUAAACUUAGUUUGUUUAUAUAAGUGUGUUUGGUUUGAAAUCGUUGUCUUGCUUUUCUAUCACAUAUUUGUGUUGUCUGGGGAUUGUUUAUUAUACACUUCCGCAUGUGCAUAAAUAGUUGGGUCAGCGACGCGUCCUGGGACGUUGCAAUUUUAUCAACCACUGAGGGAUGUGCGCGCACUCAAGGGUCGGGGUGUGACAUCCCCUCCCAGAGUGGUGUCAGAGCUAGUCAGUAUUUGAAGUGAUAAGGUAUGAUGAGUUAUGGGAUAGUUAGUAGAAAAUGCCUUUUUAUUGUGCUAAUGUAUGUAUUUGAUAACUGAUAGGUAGCUUGUUUGUGUGGUCACUCAUUUUCUAAUUUUGUGUGGAAUUGGAAAGUAGGUUUUUGUAAAGAAUCUGCAUCAUGAGUGACCAAGAGCAGAGAACUCCUAGGAAUAGGGUAGUAGCCCCUGUGACUCGGGGUAUGACGCAGACAAGAGUCGGUACGUAAGGUGGCCAAGGUAGAGCGCAGGCUCAAGCUAGCGCAAGUGGGAUAGUGCCGCCGUCGGUUGGUGCUAGUGUAACAGCACCUGGCAAUCUUAGAAUUGAGGGGAUCGUUUAGGUGCUAGAGACGCUAGGCAACAUAGUAGGGCAGCAGGCUUAGAAUCAAGCUGCCGCCGCCACCGCUACAGCCACCACUACUACAGCUGCCACUACUGCUGCUAACAUUGCUGCUGCCAUAGCUAUUGUUGCACUUGCUGAGGCUCCACCUUGGAACGUAGUUGCUGAGAGAGCGAUGCACAAGCUUGUGGAACAGUUCCUGAAGUUGAACCCGCCGAGGUUCACCGGCGCAGGAGAUCCUGAGGCUGCAACUCUCUGGAUCCAAGACUUGGAGAAAACAUUUGUACUGCUGAUGUGCAUAGAGGAUGAGAAGGUUGUCCUUGCAGUGUAUCAAUUGCAGGGCAAUGCAAGUACUUGGUGGAGAGCCACCAGAGGGAGGGUGACCCUAGAAGGCGAGGUUCCGAUAUGGAACGCCUUUCUCGAAGCCUUUAAUGGCAAGUACUUCUCUGAUAGUGCAAGGGAGCAGAAGAUGGAGGAAUUCCAGCGUUUUCAUCAAGGUCUGAUGAUAGAGGACUAGUAUGAGGCCAAAUUUGUAGAGCUAUCACAAUACGCCCCUAGGCUGAUAAAGGAUCUAGCUAACAGAGUUAAGAGGUUCAGGAAUGGCCUCCGAUCGGAGUUGAAGAAUCCAUUGGUACCAUUCAACCUGAAGGAUUAUGAUGAUUUGUAUGAGCGAGCCCAGUUGAUAGAGAGGAAUCUGAGUGAGCAAGCUACUGCAUCUAGGUCGAGGUUCAGUUCGAAUAGAGAUGGUGAUAGUUUGGGAAGAAACCUAUGACCGGACGAAGGUACCCUAUCCCGCCUAACAGGAAGGAUGGGGUAAGCAAGUUAGCACCAAACUUUAGUGGAGUCUGUCGUUUUUGUGGGAGACGACAUAGAUCAGCCCUGUGUCGUUCUGCGAUGGAUGCUUGCUAUGGGUGUGGCCAGUAGGGCCACCAGGUCAGAGAUUGUCCUUGUAGACCGAUGGGACCGCAACAGUUGCCGCCGCCGCCACCAAUAAGACAGAACAGGGGAUACGAGUUGCAAAAUAUGCCUCAGGGUGGAUUGAACCGACCUCCAGCACAAGGAAGAAUGUACGCCAUCACUAGACGACAGGCAGAGGACUCGCCUGACGUGGUCACAGGUACGGUCUCGUUAAAUGGCCAUGUUACUUAUGCUUUAUUUGACCUUGGCGCUACUCAUUCAUUUAUAGUUGAGCAGUUCGUUAAGUUGGUAGGGUUGAGUCCUGAAUUGUCGAAGUCAGUGGUUAGUAUAUCUACAUCGUUAAAGGAUAAGGUGUUGUCUACGGUAGGCUGUCUUGAUUGUAAGUUAGUUAUUGGUGAGCGAGAUGGAAAGAUAGAUUUGAUAGUCCUAACUAUCUAUGAUUUUGAUGUGAUAAUUGGCAUGGAUUGGCUCACCAAGUAAAGAACUAAGAUGGACUGCUAACAUAAAGCGAUUUAGUUUAACCCGUUAGUGGGUGAAAGUUUCGAGUUUAUUGGAAGUCGAGGAGGACCCUCGAUUACCUUAAUCUCGUUGCUUGAGGCAACCCGUUUGUUAGACGGGGGUUAUCAAGGUUACUUGGCGAUUGUCGUGGAUACAACAGUUGAGGAGCUGAAGAUCGAGGACAUCGCUAUGAUACAGGAGUUUCCAGGCGUGUUUCCAAAGGAGUUACCUGGUAUGCCACCAGAGAGAGAGAGAUCGAGUUCGUGAUUGAGUUGGCCCCUGGAAUAGAGCCAAUCCCUAAGGCUCCUUACUGUAUGGCGUUGUCAAAGUUGAAAGAAUUGAAGGUGCAAAUGCAGGAGUUGUUAGAUAAGAGAUUCACACAUCCCAGUGCAUCACCCUGGGGAGCACCAAUUCUGUUCGUGAAGAAAAAAGAUGGUCCGUUGCAUCUUUGCAUCAAUUAUCGACAACUUAAUCAGAUGACGAUCAAGAACAAGUACUCACUGCUAAGGAUCGACAACUUGUUUGACCAAUUGUAGGGAGUGUCGAUAUUUUCUAAGAUCUACCUAAGGACGAGGUAUCAUGAAUUGAGGACUAGAAAGGAGGACAUACUGAAGACAGCGUUUCGUAUGCAAUACAGCCAUUAUGAGUUCACUGUAAUGCCGUUUGGUUUGACAAAUGCCUUAGCUGCUUUUAUGGAUCUGAUGAAUCGAGUCUUUAAGGAGUAUCUAGAUCAGUUUGUGAUCGUUUUCAUCGAUGAUAUCCUGUUGUACUCAAGAAGUCUAGAGAAGCACGAAAGGCGGUUGAGGACAGUGCUUCAGACUCUACAAGAUAAUGGAUUGUACGCUAAGUUCAGUAAGUGCGAGUUUUGGUUGACUCGUGUGGCUUUCCUAGGUCACGUGAUUUCAGGUGAAGAAAUCUCCAUGGACUCGACUAAGAUCUAAGCAAUUAUCAACUGGCCAAGACCGAUGACUGUGAUAGAGAUCAGAAGUUUCUUAGGUUUGGCAGGUUAUUACAGAAGGUUCGUGGAAGGAUUCUUAGCAUUAGCCUCACCUUUGACUCGACUGCUGAAGAAAUAAGAGAAGUUUGUGUGGACAGAUAAAUGCAAGCGUAGUUUCCAAGAGCUAAAGCAGAAGCUGACUACUGCAUCGGUGUUGACAAUUCCAUCUGGUCUUGGAGGAUACGAGAUCUAUAGUGAUGCGUCGUUUAGGGGACUAGGUUGCGUGUUAAUGCAGCAUGGUAGAGUUGUUGCAUACGUGUCCCGUCAGUUGAGACCUUAUGAGCUGAAUUACCUUAUGCAUGACUUAGAACUCAAAGCAAUUAUCUUAGCUCUGAAGAUUUAGAUACACUAUUUGUGCGAAGAAAGGUUCCAGAUCUUUAUAGAUCAUCAUAAGUAUUUAUUCUCUCAAAAUGAGUUGAAUAUGAGAUAGCGUCGUUGGAUGGAACUUCUUAAAGAUUAUGAUUGCAACAUCCUGUAUCAUCCUGGAAAAGCUAACAAGGUUGCAAAUGCGUUAAGUCGAAAGUCUUAUUGCGCGGAUGGUGAUCAAGGAGCGAAUCUUACUCGAAAGAGCUUGAGAUUUGGUUUUCAAAUUUGAGGUAGGCCACCUUUCAAAUCUUAUGGCCACCCUCAGAAUUGAGUAUGAAGUGUAGAUAUGGAUCAAGAUGCUUCAGUUGAUAGACCCAGAGAUCCAAAAGAUUUUGCAAGAGGAUGCAGACAAGAGAAAGGCUGAUUUCCAGAUUUUUGAAGACAGAACACUGAGGUUUCGUGGACAAUUGUGUGUACUUGAGGAUGCAAAACUUGAGGAGGAGAUUUUGUUAAAAGCUCAUUGUAGCAGUUAUAGCAUUCAACCAGAUAGUAUGAAUAUGUAUUAGAAUCUGUGUCAACACUUUUGGUGGACUGGUAUGAAGGCGGAUAUUGCCAAGCAUGUCGCAAAGUGUCUGACGUGUCAGCAAGUGAAGGAACAACACUGUAAGCCAGGAGGGCUUUUGCAACCUCUCAAGAUUCCCGAGUGGAAGUGGGAACACAUCAUAAUGCACUUUGUGAUGAGCUUACCAAGGAGUUAGAGAGGUAAUGAUUCUAUAUGGGUUGUGGUCGAUAGAUUUACGAAGUCUACUCACUUCAUAGCCAUAUGAAAAGGACUAUGCAUUGGACAUAUAUGCAGAACUGUACAAGCGUCAGAUAGUUCUCUGCAUGGAGUGCUAGUGACAAUUACAUUUGAUCAAGACCCGAAGUUCACGAAAACCUUCUGGAAAAGUUUACAGACUGCCUUGGGAACAAAGCUGCAAUAUAGUACGGCUUAUUAUCUACAAACGGAUGGCCAGUUUGAGGGGACAAUUCAAAUUCUCAAGGACAUAUUGAGAGCUUGUGUACUAGACUUCAAAGGAAGCUGGGAGGAAUAGCUCCAUCUUGUCGAGUUCACCUACAACAACUAUCAGCAGAGUAUUCAGAUGGAACCGUUUGAAACGCGGUAUGGCAAAGCUUGCAAAACUCUAGUUUGUUGGGAUGAAGUCGGAGAACGGAAGAUUACAGGCCCAAAGUUGGUUCAACAAUCAAUGGAUGUAGUUGCAGUUAUUAGGGAUAGAUUAAAGACCGCUCAGAGUUGUCAGAAAAGCUAUGCUGAUAAGCGUCGGAGACCAUUGGAAUUCUAAGUUGGUAAACAUGUCUUUCUGAAGGUGUCAUCGAUGAGGGAUACUUCGUGCUUUGGCAAGAAAAGGAAGCUAAGUCCGAGGUACGUUGGUCCCUUCAAGAUUUUGUAAAAAAUAGGGACUUUAGCGUAUCGUCUUGCGUUGCCGUCGAGACUAGCGCAAGUGCAUGACGUCUUCCAUGUGUUGAUGUUGUGAAAGUAUGAACCUAACCUGACCCAUGUGCUAAAUUAUGAAGAAUUAGACGUGAACGACAGAGUGUUGUACGUGGAGAGACCAGUCCAGAUUAUGGACCGGAAGGAGCAGGUUUGGUGCACCAAGAUGAUCCCGUUAAUCAAAGUGGUCUGGCAACACCACGGGAUAGAAAGAGCAACUUGGGAAAGUGAAGUGAAGACUUGAUGAGACGACAAUACCCCCAUCUUUUUGUUUAAGAUUUAUAAUGGUUAAAUUUCGAGGACGAAAUUUUUAUAAGAGGGGAAGAGUUGUGACAUCAUGAUUUUCAACCCUGUUUUAGAUGAAAUGAAAUGGGCUUUUCAUCGACACACCUAUGGUCUUUUUCUCUGAGUUGGCCACUCACAAGACAACAAGUAUAUCAGGUGAAACCAUUAAGGAAUCUAAACACAAUAAACUUUAGAAUUCGAUCAGAAAUUGACUGCUCAACUGUGCUAGUCUGCAAGGGUCAAUACGGCAUCGUCAAAAUCGAUCGGAGACCGGAGAUAGGUUGUUUUGAUAUAGGCAUAUGAUUAAAGUGUGGGUGAUUCCAUCUAAUUGCAAAAUUCUCGUCGAAUGCAUUAAACCGAUUUUUUUGUCAUUUCUAUAUCCUAUGCCCGUAUUUGAAACCUCUAGAUUUUCCCGACAACCGAGGGUUGCCAAUGAGUCAAAAAUGCACAACGUGGCUCGAAAAUAAUCGACCAUGGGUCAAAUGCACUAAAAAUUCCUAAAAGCUACCCGGUAAAUUAGGUUAUGCUAAAAUCACGUCCGGUUGAAAUUAACCAUGAAAUUAAACUCAAUUUCAGAAAUUGAAAAUUCUAUCUGUCACGAUUUAUUUUAGGAACGUUAACUCAUCUUUCAAAGAAUUUUCGGCAAGUCCAGAUUUUUGGCGAAAAAUCAAAAUUAGCAAAAUUUGGACCGGGAAAUUAAGAUGGCUUUUUUUGUGUGGAUUUUUUGCGUUAAAGUUGGACCAUUUGGUGAAGGAAAUUGUGGAAUGGAUGUGGAUGCCUUAGCUAGAACUUUUGGGUACCUAUUAGAUGGAAUUGUAGUGAAAUUGGAUUGAAUCUAAAGGGGAGAUGUCACAAAUUUGUAGCCAAGGGUGGGGUGCAACAUUUCAGCACCCUUCGAGACUUCUUGGAGAAGAUUUCGAGGGAUAAGGGCUGUUGGGUUGUGGCUAAGGCUCGUGGGGGCCAAGGGAUGAUGGUUUUGUGAUAUUUUUGAAGACUUUUGGGGCAUUUGCUUCCCCCUCCAACAGCAGAUCAUCUCCUUCUUCUUCCCUGCCUCACCAUUCCUCCAUUGUUGUUGAAUCAAGUGCAGAAAGCCAGCUAAGAACCAGCAACAGCCGUCAACCACCCCUCCUUAUCUUCCGAGGACCGUCGAGCAUCGCUCCAGCCUGCCGAAGCCGCGCACCUGUUCCCUUGCGCUCGCGCCAGCCAAUCGUGCGUCCACCAUCCCGAGCCGUCAACUAGGCCACCUGGAAGCCACGUCGCCAUCAUUCCAGCCACCAACCGUCAUCGUCAAGUCCCCUUCCGCCACUUGUUCAAGCUGCCGUGUCAUUUCCUCGCCGUUCCAGCCAAGUUGAGCUGCUCGUCCGGCUCUUCCAACCCAAGUUUAGAAUUGAAAUCCCAGCUAGGUGCUAAGACUUCGUGGGUUGUUUUGGGCCCCUUUCGAACCUCUCUUGGCGUCGCUCUAGGCUUGAGUCUUGCCUGCCUUGGCGUUGCCGUCAUUGUGAACUCACCGGCUCGCUAAUCCGAUGAGUUUACUCGCUAAACUGCUAGAGGUCAUGAUGCUUAAGUGGUGAUUAGAUUANNNNNNNNNNNNNNNNNNNNNNNNNNNNNNNNNNNNNNNNNNNNNNNNNNNNNNNNNNNNNNNNNNNNNNNNNNNNNNNNNNNNNNNNNNNNNNNNNNNNUAGAUUAGCAUUUUUAGGCUUAAUUAGGCAUUUAUUGAUUUAAUUUGCAUUUAUUUUAAUUACUUUUGCAAUUAAUUUAAUUAUUUAAUAUUUUCCGAAAAUUAUAUUGGGAUAGUCAGUAGCUGGAAUUUCGUGUUGAUUGUCGUGGUACAAUUAGUUUACGCAAUUAAAUGAUAAUUUGUGCAAUUGAGUGGUGAUUGUGAUUUUUGAUUAAUUAUUUCAAAAUUGUGAAAUUUUGGUAUUUAAUUAGAAAAUACCGGGUGUUGGGUUUUGACACCAAAAAUCUUUUUAAGUACUAUAUCAAACAAUGUGAUUUUUAAAAGUAAUGAUAUCAAUUUUUAAAGUUCGAUCUGAUUGUGUACCCACAACAAUUAUUUUACUGAAUGUUUUUAAUAUGAAGAAAAUAGACCAAGUUCAUUAUUUUAAUUGAGACAUUUGAGUGCAAUGCACGGUGUCCUUGGUCGGGAUUAAAUAAUCGUGUGAUGGCUAUGAGAAUCCUUCAUGAGCUUUUGAGUUAGACGAUGCUCCUUUGGGAAUAACCCAAGUCAAUGGAUGCCGAUUGCAGUGGAGGCUGGACCGAUGCUCCCUUGUGGAAUGCCAUCUAGAUGUAGACAUUACCGUGCUCGAUGGUGUGAGAUAACACCCGGCUAUGCCAGAAGACCGCUGAUUAUUGAGUUGGUCGUGGCCGUUGGGUUGUAAUUAAUUGGGAUGCAUGAAUGAUUGAAAUUGACGCACCGGAUUAUGGGACAAAAUUGUGUGGCACAGUAUGAGACAUGUUAUAACGAUUUAGCCCGACAAUCGGGACUCCUAUGAUUUAAUGAAAUAUAAGCGAGACAUUCCAAUUGAUGUGUGCAUCUGUUAUAUGCAUUAGUUAUAUGAACUGUAGUGACGUGUAGGAAGGAAUUGAGGCAAGGUGAGUCUUGUAUGAUGUGUGAUUAGACUACUUCUAGGCGUAUUUCCUUUCUAAUCAAGGUUUAGAGCGUGAACUUGCUGAAAUAUUGUCUCACCCCAUUGUGGGUUUAACUUUUCAAGUCCGUAGAUGGAGGUGAGGCCGGUUUGUUUUGGACAAUUGCGAGGGUAUACAGAGCAGAGUACUGAUGUCCCUGUCCCCGGGAGUCCCUAGCUCCAUGAGCUCAUCGUGACCACUAUCUUGGUCGAUGAGGGCCUACCACAAUUAGUACCUCAUCGAUUUAGGGUGUGGUUUUACCAUGGGCCUAAUCGGGUUUGGGAAGGUCCCUUGCAGGGUUUUGACGUCCCCGCCAUUGCGGUCAAUGUCGUUGCAGGCGAGGGAGUAGCUGACCCCCCUGACGGUGUCGUAGUAGACCCGGAUCCCAAAUAGAUAGGGUCCGGGGCAAAGUUAGCUUGGCUGCUCUUUUGUCUUUUUGGGCCUCUAUGUAUAAACUUAGUUUGUUUAUAUUAGCGUGUUUGGUUUGAAAUUGUUAUCCUACUUUUCUAUUACAUAUUUGUGUUGUCUAGGGAUUGUUUAUUAUAUGCUUCCAAAUGUGCAUAAUCGAUUGGGUUGGUGACGCGUCCUAGAACGUCGCAAUUUUAUCGACCACCGAGGGACGUACGUGCACUCGAGGUUCGAGGUGUAACAUGUGCUCAAUAAAUUUCAAUCACAAUUGGCCAAAUUGAUGCGUGAUUUUCACAUAUCAAAUGAGAUUCAAAUAUGACAUGCCAUACAUGAAUGUGAAGCUUGUCACACGUACUUCAAAUGUCGAGGAGACACCAAGGCAUGAUUUUCUUUUAAGGAGCCCAAAAAAAUGGGUUUAUAUAGGCUCGUGAUAAACCCCUAAUUCAACAUAACCAUCAUAGAACAUGAUCAAAAAAAAUUUUUAUAUGAUAUAAUGAUGUGCAAAAAUCUUAAGAAAAAUUCUAUAUGUAAAAUUCAACAUGAAAACAUGUUUCAUGAGACAUCUAAGCUUAAUUUGGCUCACACAAGCCUAUACAAAAAUGACAAAAAAAGAGAGUCAUGCAAUGAAGCAUGCAAAUCACAGAAGCACCAACAGGCUUUUGCGCAUGUGAUUAACAUGGUAAACGAUACUCAAUUCGUGCGAAUCAUACCUUGUUAGAAUAUUCAAAAUGUGUAUUACAAGUCUCAUGAAUGAUGCAACAUCAAAUGGACUCAUCUAAAGCCUUAAUUCCAAACAAACCUAAAUCGGACUUGGUGCAAGACAAACUAAUCCUAUGACAAAUUUCGGCGAUUUUACCUAACCAAAUCAAUUUCAAAAAAGCUAGAAAAAUAUAUGAUGUAUCAAGUCCAAUUUAGGUUAAUUUGUGAAAUCUAUCGAUUCUAUAGUAAUUUUCAGGUUAAUUUGUGAUUUUGAUUUGCUGCGAUUUUCUGUUUUAUUAUUUUUACAGUGAUUUUUUCGCAUGAAUUUUGGAAACAAAUUGACGUCCUCUUGAGGCAUGCAAUCUAUCAAAUCGAAGUUUGAGAAGUCUAGUUUCUGUCUAUAAGGACUUGAGGCCAUAAGAUAUCAUCUACUACCUCAAUUUAGCCAGAACAAAAAGUCACACCACAAAGAUACAAAAUUGCAGAUUAAGGCAAAUCAAGCUCAAUCAAUUUCAAAUUCAUUAUCAAUGAUCAUCAAAUCAUUGUAAAUCAUCCAAUGAAAUUCUAAAUCUCAUAUCUAAGCAUAAAUCGUAAACCUAGGGUUGAAUCAUAAACCCGAUUGGCUAAUCCAAUCUCACUUCAUUGGAUUUGAGAUUAGGAGCAUUACCUUUGUGAUUUUUGUUGAACUUUAAGUGUGAUCGAACCUCGAACUUCAAAGACAUGACCGGGCCUUUGUGGACUCGCUAAGGGCUUAGAUUUGCGGUUAGACCGCCGGUUUAGCAAUCUAGACAGAACCAGUCCAAGUCAGACUACCUUGAACCACCGGUGAAGAUUGGGCGAUUUGGAAGCCUUCAGUUGCUGCUUGGUUGGACUCUAGCUACCGAUGGCUCUUGGACAACCUAAAGAAACCCAUCACAAGUGGAUCACGUCCAAGCAAGCCCAGUUGAUCACCGAAACAAGCCACUCUUGCAGCGUUAAAGACCACCAGCCUUCGCGCCAGUGAUUGCUUCGAUCAAGAGAUCGAUUUGGAUGAGGCAGACGAACGGCUACCAAGGAUCCGAGCAAUCAGGAUAGGAGAGGAGGAAGAUCAAAGGAAGAUGUCAUGGCUGGGAUGUCGCCCACAGGGGCUCCAGCGAGCGGCAGUGAUUGCGGCAACCGACAAGUGUGUGUGAGAGAGACAGACAGACAGACAGAGAGGGAGAGAGAGAGAGAGAUAGAGAUAGAGACAGAGAAAUAGAGAGAUCGAGAGAGAGAGAGACAGAGACAGAGACAGAGACAGAGCUGGAGAGAGAAUUUUCUGCAAAUUUAACUUUGAAAAAUCAUAAAUGAUUCCCCUUUGAUUUUGGAGGGAAAAUCCUUUUAUACGUUUGACUAAUCGCCAAAUCUUGAUCGUCAGUUUGAUCUAAUUAUCAAAAUUUUGAUUUAAUGACCAAACUAAGCUCAUCAAGGGCUAAUCCGACUUAGAAUGUGUCUUAUGACUGAUCGAAUGGCUUUGAUUUGCAAAAAUCAGGGGUUAAAAUGGAAAUCGCAACUAGGGUCUAGUUAGGGGCGAAAUCAUAAAUUUACAAAAUUCAUGGAUCAUUUUGCAAAAUUUUCAAAAUGUAAGAACAUAAAGGCGAAAUACACAUGACAAGGAUCCAAGAGGCGGUCGCCGGCGAUCCAGAAUUGGCUGGCAAGGGGCCGAUAGGCCUGCCUCACUGGCUACCAAUUAGACUAGUCCAACCAGUUUACCCAGUUCGACCGGUUUUGGUUGGGUUGUCCUCGAGGAUUUAAAAAAAAAAAUACAAAGAGGAAACUUACCAAAUUUGAGAAGAAAUGAUCCAAUUCUAAUCAAAUUAGGCCAAUUAAACCAAAUGAAUGUAAUCUAUUGGUUUUUUAUUGACUUAAUUGAUUGAUUAUUGUGGAAAAUAGUGAACCUAGACCAUGGGUACACUUAAUUGAACAUUUAUAGGCCAAAACGGGAAAUUUUGCAAUUCCUUGAUCGAAAUUGCAAAUUAAUUGAAAUUGAAUUCAAUUAAUAUUGUGAAAUACCUAGUUCACUAAUUUCCCAUGCUGAGAAUAGUUUAUUGCAUCCAAAUUGACCUUAAAUUGACAUCAUGAGACUCAAGCCAAAAAUGAAUCGAGGUCUAAUAUCAAAAUUGGACUUCAAUUCAUGAAAUUAAACCUUAAUCUCGAAUAGAUCAACUUUAUUUCCUCGAUUGAAGGUCAAUAACUUGAUUUUCUCAUAUUCAAGAGAAUGAAAUUCUUCAAAUUGGGAAGUUCUCGAGUGAAUUUCUCAAAACGGACCUCAGAUUUGGACUUAUCUUAAAAAAAUAAGUGAAAUACAAGUGCUUGUUUGCAAAUCAUAAAGGAUUGAUUCAGACCAUUCGCCUUUUGACAUGAUGAUUCUCACAAUUGAGUGAACAAGUGAAUGAGAAAUAGUCCUUCGAUCAAAUGUCAUAAAAAGAACUAGACCUAAUUAUGACUAAAACAAAAGUAAAUUUAUUUUUGGUUGAUUUUGAACUUAAAAGUCGAAAAAAUCGGAAAACAAGGUUCUCAAUCAAUUUUCAAAAAAAAAAAAAUUGACACUAAAGUUAAAUUGACAAGUGUCUUGUGAUAAAUUUAUUUAUAUAUUUUAUUUUUCCUAAAAUGUUGAUUUUUUUAGUGAAAUCUUUGAAAAUUUUGAAAAUUAACUUGGCUAAAGUGAAAUUUAAAUCAUUUGACAUCUUUUUUUUAGAAAAAGUCAACUUUUGACUUGGGGUUGACCUUUGAUCAAAUGGUUGACUAAAAAGUCAAUCGUUUGACUUUUCAAUUUUUUUUGGAAAUGAAUAGAAAAUUACUUAAAAACGACAAAACAAAAGAAUGAAAUGAAAAGUCCCUUUUUUUUGUCAAGAAAUGGGAUCCAUCAUGAUCAAAAAUCCUAAUCUCGAUUUUUCUAUUUUUUUGACAUGUCGACUGAAAGUCAGGUAUCAAAGUUGCCCCUCUUUGAGUGGGAGUUUAGAGAGGUUCCAUUUGAAGACUAAUUGAUAUAUGCAAUUUUUAGUCGACUUCUCUUGGGGAAAAGAAAAUGAUAGGAAAUGAAAUUUGAUCAGGGAUAUACCUGGGCAUUUACCGUUGUUCAUUGUAAACAUGUGCGCUCAUGCUUGAGAUCUUUCUCUUCAUAUCUCUCAUUGGAUGGAACGAAGGAAAUGUAAUAAAUAUGGAAAAGGAAAGGUUUAAAGACAAGCCUGAGGAUAAGGUUCAAGAAUAAACUAGAACCUAAAAAUGAGGUUUAAAAAUGACCUAGAACCAAAAGAGACAAUGUUUAAGGUUUACCAGGAACCUAAGGGGACAAGGUUUAAGAUUUAUCAAGAACCUACAAUAUGAGAUUUAAGGUUGAUCAAGGACCUAAAUGACAAGGUUUAAGGUUUACCAAGAACCUAAGGGAUGGGGUUUAAGGUUUACCAAGAAUCUAAGGGACAAGGUUUAAGAUUGACCAAGAACCUUAUGAACAAAGGGGUAUGGUUUAGGAUGACCAAAACACAAAGACAAAGGAUAUGGUUUAGGAUGACCAAAAACAUAUCCAUUGGGGAAAUAUAUAUUUUGAAAAAGGAAUUCCAAGAUUUCUCAAAAGCUAAUAUGUGCAAUCAUUCAAACACGCCUUGGUAAAUGAUACAAAAUUGUCAAAUUCCUUAGGAAAGAAUUUUAACAAAAUGACGUUUGAUCAACCAUCUAAGGGUUAGAUCAAAUGUGCCAAAGUGGAAAUAACUUAAUCAAAAAGGUCUUUUGCAUUUGCUCUCAAUAAAGAUUUUUAUGUGGAAAAGCUAUUUAUUCUCAUUAAAAAGGUCUCACAUAACCUAUGGUGAAGGUUUUCAUAUACGUUUACAGUGAAUAUGAAUUCAUUGAUCAAAAGGUUUUUUGAAAGGACCGUAAUGUAGGCUUAGUCAUGGGUUUACACAAAGGAUAGUCACUUUGAGACCAAGAAAAGAACAAUCAUUCUAUAUAUUCAUCAGGUUUAUAAGUCAAGAACUUUGUAGAUAAAAUAAGAUAGAAUUGCUUUUACUCCUUCUAGCAAUAGCUCUUAUGUGAAAUUCCUACUUCAACUCAAACCAUCCCAAUCGAAAGAGACUUUAGAUAAAAGUUGUAAUGUUGGUUACGAUGAGGCUUAGAAGGCUUGAAAUUUUUAAGAUAUCAAGGGUAUUAAAGUGAAUGAAUAUGUUGGCAUCAUUACCAUCACACAACUUUCAUAAAGACAUGAUUUUUGAAAUUUGACCUAUAUCGAGAGUCCCUUUUGACUAUUUUGUUUUAAGACAUGAGAGCUUUGCUCUCUUUUCUAAUGGCAUAGCUUGCAAUACAUGCUUUGCAAAGCAUUUCUUUUGUUUCUUGUGUUAAUGGUCUUUUGCAUGACCAUUGAUCUUGUUUUUCUCGAUGAAUUUUUCAUAGGCAUUGGCCUUACUUUUACCAAGCACUAUUUCACCUGUCUCAUGGGCCUUUCUUACAAACUCACAGACCCAAUAGGAGGUCCUAUACUCAGACUCAUCAUUGUCGGAGUAAGCUCUUUCAUCCUCCAACGGGGAUGUAACAAGACCAACCUCAUCUUCUUCGUUGCCCCAUCUACUCGGGACAAUGUCUUUCAUAUUUACGAAAAAGCUCGGUGGAGGUGUGAACUUUAUCAUGAAGUUAUACUUGCUACUUGGUUGGCCAAGAGUAUCAACAAUUUUUUCUUUUUCGCAAGCUUUCUUAAUGAACUCACGAUCCAUGUGGGAAUUUUUAUACACAUCCUCACUCUCAGUAUCCGAGUCCUCUUCUUGGUAUAUUGGGGCUUUCCCUUUUAGGGCUCGACGAUCAUCAUCUCGAGAAUUAUUCUCGUUCAAGUCUUCAACUUUUCUUAUGACCCUUGAAAUCAUAUUCUUAUCGGACAAAUCAAACUCGACUAAAGUUAUUGGCUCUGAGUUGCUCCAUCAUCUUCGUAUUGGAUUACAUCGGACUCGGCCAACUUGGCAAGCUAUCUUCUCAUCGUGGGAGAUAUCAUCGCCUUUUAUUUGAUGAUUAGCAAAGGCCAUGAUUUGACUCAGCUUGGGAGUAUCAACAAGGAAAGGAUCCUUGUAUUCAUCCCCAAAGAUCACAUAAUGGCCUCAGCAUGCUUCGGGAGUGAAUAUUACGAGUCCUUGAAGGUUAGCAAAUUUUUAUCCAGUAGAUUCUGAAUCUUUGAUUGAAGAACGUAAUAGUUGUCAACAUUGUGACCAUUUUCUUACAUGUGAUAUUCACAAGUCUUAUUGAGGUCAAAGCCAAGGAACUUCGAUGGAUUGUCCCUCAGGACUUCUCUUGCUACCAGUCAGUUUUCAAUCAACAUGGGGAGUAACUGAGACAUCGAUCUUGGUAGAGGUGUGAAUUGUCUUUGCGGGGUCUUCCCCUGGUGAUCAAAACUUCGGGAAGAGCUCCUAGCUUCCAUGGCGGGCUUAUGAGAGGGAAGAGCUUAUGGCUUUUGAACAGAUGUAUUUUGAAUAUAAGCGAUCUCUACAAUGGGCUCCUUAUCCUUCUUUGGAGCAAACCUACAAACUAUCAUUUCAAACAGUCUUCCAUCUCGCAUGAUUUCCUCUAUACGUUCCCCCAAUUCAACCAUUGCAGGGAAGUUAAUUCAAAUAUUAUUGUACAUAUUCUCAAAGAAAUCUCGAGGCAACUCUCGAAGGAACAACUACAUAGUUUCCUUUUCAGAUAAAGGAGGCUUAACUUGAGACACGGCGACUCUCCAUCUCUAGGUGUACGCUCUAAAUAUUUGUCCUCCUUUUUAUCAACUCGGACCAAAUCCUCAGGAGUUGGAGCGAUUUCAGUAUUAUACUUGUAUUGUUGUAGAAAUUCAUCUACCAAAUCCUCCUAGCUAUAUAUCUUCUCUAAAUCCAGCUCAAUAAACCAGGUUAAGGUGGGACCUAUCAAGCUAUCUUGAAAAGAAUUAAUCAAUAGUGGAGAGUUGUCAGACUAAUGGGUUAUCUUGCCCAAAUAGUACUUGAGAUGGGUCUUUGGACACCCAGUUCCAUCAUACUUCCUUAUGACCGUAGGUCUUUAUAGAAUUCUGGGACUUUCACCUUAGCAAAGGGUGACAACUUGUUGAACCCUUGUAGUUGAUAGCCUUGCAGCUUGCACAGGCGUUCCUUGAUCUUCGCAAGGCGUCUUGCACUUUCUUCGUCAAGGUGAGAAUAGGAGUUUCCUUGGGUGGAGCCUCCAAGUCUAUAACGGUUGGGGUAAUAGUAGGAACUUCUUCAACAUAUCAUUUCUCUAUGGGAUCAACCACUAGCGUGUCAACAAGCGUGAUGGAAACAGUCGUCACAGCAGCGGGAGCUACAGGGUAAGAUUUUUGACUUGGUUGGAAAGAUCGAUCAGUAGCACCAUCAUUUGUGCCAUUUGGUUCUCCAUAGUGAUGAUACGAAUUCGUUCACCAUCCUCGCUUGAUGAUGGGUGCGUAUAAUAAAAUACUUCUUAGCCGUGUUUUAUUACCUAUGCGAAAGAAGGAACUCAAAUCAGCAUGUGAUUAAAGAAAUUAGGAAAGUAUGAACCUUGUUAAUUUUAUAUUUUCUUGAGAUGAAAUAGUGAUAAGAAGCAUAUAUGACCCCAGUAUUAUAUAACGUCAUCUUAUCAAAAUUUCUUCAAAAGAAAUUAUAUAAUUGAAAAGGAUGACAAUGAAUAUUUAAUCCAAAUACCCAUUUUCUAAAAGUCACAUCAAAAGGCAAUUCUAUGAACUUUCAUUGAUUACAUCAAACAAUUACAAGGUAAACAAAACCUUAGAUAUCAAAACUUACAAAGCAAUUAAACUUGCAAGUAAUACAAAUGUGAAUAUAGAAAAAUUUCGAUUACAACGAAACGAGGAAAAUACAAAGAAUCUUCCUCUACAAGGACAGGGAAAUACAUGAAAGGAUUUCUAGUAAAAAUCCUAAGAACUCAAUAAGACCGUAUGGAGAUGCCUGUUAUCAUGGGUCAAGCGUUCCACAUUGGUCAAGGCUUCGUCUUCAUGCUCCAUUACAUGAACUUGCUGAAAUUAUUGAGGUUUGGGAAUAUCAGGCAAUUCGACCUUGAACUCAAGUUCUACUUAACAAUAGAUAAGUUGAUCGUCGCAUGGUGUGUCCUCAUUUCCCCCUCUAAGUCAAAUUUGUCAACAGCAACUACAUGAUGUGACAUGUGGGGAUACCAUGUCUCGACAGUAGCUCGAAUUAUGGCUUCAAUGUGGCUAUUUGGUCCUCCACAAUGACCUCAUUGUGAUAAUCAAUAUGGUACAACCUCAACUUAAGAAUUGGUGGGAUUAUUUGAAGCGCGCAAUAUUGACGGAGCACCCUCAAAGGAUAAUACGACAUUAGACCAGUCAAUCCCAUAAGAGGGAGUGAGUCAUGUACUUCGCUAAUAAGGCGCACCUCGAGAUUCCCUAGCCAUCGGACUUGCCAUUGGAUUAGGCUCAUAUUGAGUCUUUUAAGGAAAUGCAACCAUAUAGAGAAGGACCACAACAGCCACACUGGAAAGAAAUUAUUCUUUCCAUGGAACAUGAGAAUGGGAUGGUAGUUUUUCGUGAUAUAGAUUAUCAUCAUGCGAGGAGCAAACUCUUUAAUGUAAGCAAUAAGCCAAAUUUGGACAUGACCUAUUGGGGCUAUAAGAGUUCCUCGUCUAUUUACUUUGAAUCAAUUGAGGGAUACAAAAGUCUUAGUGAGGCUCAUGCAUGCAAAGUGACUAAAGGCACACGCUUGACUAACAACAUGGGUAACUAAGGGCGCGUAUGGCAAAAUUUUGGAACAAAAAUCAAUUUCUAGCCAGAAAUUGAUUUUUCAAUUUCUAUUCCAAGGAUGAGUUUAUGAGUAAAGAAACGUGUUUGAUAACGAUUCAAAAGUUCUAUUUCUGAAACAAAAAUUCGUUUGAUAACAGAACAAAGUUUCUAUUUCUAGGAGUGGCAACGGCCGGCAUCUAGUGGCCGAAGUCCAAUGUUCGGCGACCGAAGUUCAGCGUCUGGUGACUAGCGGUGGGCGACCGAAGUCCGAAGUCUGGUGCCAAGUCCGGUGAUCGACGAGGGGUGGCUAAAGUCCGGGGUCCGGUAAUCGGCAACCAACAUCCAACGUACGGAGUUCGACAUCUGACGUUCGACAUUCGGAGUCCAGCGAUAGGAGGCCAGCGGUGGGUGGCAGGCGACCGACAUCUGGCAGCUGGUGGCGAGCGGCAAAUGGUCGCCGACGAACAUCCGGUUGUUGGUGAUGAGCCUCCGACAUCCAAUGAUUGGCGAUGAGCAGCUAACGACCAGUGGGCAUCCGGAAUCUGGUGACCGGUGGUUGGUGAUGGGCGGCCGGAGUGUGGUGGCUGGCAGCCGACAUCCAAUGUGUGGCAUCCUAGAAUUUCAUGUCAAUCCUUAGAUGUGCUUCGAUCCAUGAUUUGUAAUAAGAUUAAGGCCAAGCUUUUAGUGGAUAAUUAUUUGAUAGAAAAUAAAAUUCUAUUCUUGGCUAUGUGUUUUAUAGGUUGGAAUUUAUAAUUUAUGUUGCAAGUUUUAUGGUUAUAUAAAUUUGAAUUAGGUAUAUAUUUGAGUGGGGGUUUAGAGUGGAGUAUUAAAAGAGGAAGUGGGCCAAAAUUUUUAGGCCAAGACCAGCCCUCAAGACCCCACCAUUCGGCCAUUUAGGCCUGGCCUGCAAAGCCCAAAGGAAAGGAGCUGCCAUUCGAUUAGCCCAAGGAGCCCAAUGGGCUGUCAACCAAGGGGAGAGGCUAGCCCAAUUAGCCCAUCAACCUGCAUGGCAAAAUAAACAAGUGGCAAGAGAAGCUUGCCAAGUGUCUUUCCCCUAGAGCCAAGUGGCAUUAGCCAUGCAAACCAAAUGAUUGCAAAUGAUGAAGGGGAGAGAAAGAGAGGGAGAGUGGGCGGAUUGAGAGAGAGGGUUACCGAGAGAGAGACAGUGAAAUCAAGAGAGGGAGAGUGAGUGUGCGAGGAAGAAGGAGGAGGUUCGUCGCCGUUGUUGAGCCGCCGAGUCCCGCCGUCGAGCCGCCAUUUGCUUGCUGUGUUUUGCUUGGAUUAGAGGCAAGUAGAGUCCAUUGAUCUAUCCCUUGCUUGCUGUGUUUUGUGUGUUAUGAACGGUGAAUUUCGGAUGUGGAUGAAGUGUGAAAUUUCGAAGUUAUAGGAGUUGUGUUCUAGCCUAGUAUUCUGUUUCUGGAAAAACAAUUUGACCUUCGAUGAUUUCGUGAGUUGCAUGCAAUGUUCUAGUUGGAAUCUUGAUGUGGACAUCGAGCCAUAUCGAGGAGGAGGUGCUAGGGACCCAUUAUCUAUUCCUAUUGGUUCGAUUACUCGAGCACGGGCCAAACAAUUCAGGCAAGCUGUUGGCGUCAUGGUUCAUGAUCUUUGGCGUGAAGAUGACCUUGAAUCAAAUCUUGAAGAAUCUUGGAAAUCUUGGUGCAAUUUAAUUUUCUUGUCACCAAAUAAUUGACCAAGUCAAUUUUUAUAUAUUCUUGUUUAAGAAUAUUCUAAAAUAGGAAUAUUUUAGAAUAUAACGCAUUAGAUUUUUAGGGUUGGUUUUUAGGGUUUGUGUGACAGUCUAUAUAAAGGAUUUGCCAAAUUUCUUUGGGGACAGAUAUAUUUUAUUUUUGAGGAAAAGAAUUGAGAGAUUCUUUUUUUAUUGUUCUUUUGAGGACUUGACCUAAUCAAGAUUCUCUUGUGGCGGUCAAUUUGACUUAUCGAGCUAGAUAGCGAAUUCUUUCACUCGUGGCGUUUAUAACGUUGGUUGGUUGACACGUGUUCGUCAACAGGUCACGUUCAUACCGAGGUUGCCAAUCACAGGUUUGAUUGGAGGUCGAGGUUUGCAAUUCGCACCAUCUGGGCCUUCGUAGAACGAUCCUUCCACAACGAUUCACAUCAAAUCUGACUUCGACUUCUUGAUGAAAGUUAUAGAGGACUUCUUGAAGAUUAACAUACUAAAAAUUGAGAUGAAACGGACAAUUAUUGUUGGUGAAAUGAUUUUCCUUUUAAGAAACUAGAUCUGGAAACUGUUAUGUCAACCUUUGGUGAUUUCGUGAGUUGCAUGCAAUUUUCUAGUUGGAAUAUGACUUCGACUUCUUGAUGAAAGUUGUAAAGGACCUCUUGGAGAAUAACGUAUAAAAAUUUGAAAGGAAACGGACAAGUAUAGGUCAAUGAAACUAUUUUUCUUUGAUGAAGCAAGAUUUGGAAACUGUUAUGUUGAUCUGUUGUGAUUCCAUGAAUUUUGUGAAAUUAUCCAGUCCGAAUUUGAUCUUGUGUUCAUGAUUAGAGUUGUAGAAGACAUCGUGAAGAGCAACAUACUAAAAUUUGAGGAUAAACGGACAAGUAAUGAUCGAGGAAAACAAUUUUCUUUGAAAAAGAUGAAUCUGGACAGUAAACCGAGAGAUAGGAAGAGUUAUAAAAAUUAUAGCUUUUAAUCCAGAAGGAAUUAAAUUUCUAUUUCUGUAUGAGAAUUUUACCUUUAGAUCUCAGCUAUAACAUAUCAAAAUCUCAGAAUUUUCAGAGUUCAUUUAGGGGCUUAAUCGAAAUUAUUUCCGAAUUUGUGUAAAAGUGGUGCUGGAAUUUCUUUUGUUGUGAUGUAUGGAUCUAUGUAUUGAUGUGGAACUUUUUUGACAUGGUGUUCUUCAUGAAAUAUCUUCAUCUGGAUCUUUUUUACAUCAUGUUAAAUUCUCAAAAUUUAUUGAGAUUUUUUACUAAUUUUCCAAUAGUUUUCACUAAAGAAGUGCAUUCUGUUUUAUUCGAAAAUUGGUUCUAGUUUCAAAAACCAAUGAACUUCUUUAUGAAAUGUGAUAUCGUGGAUCUUAUGCGUACUGCAUAUAUGGUGAUGUUUGGCAUAUCAUGUGACAUCAAAAGAUGGUUUAGAUCUUUGAUAUUGUUGCAUCUAAUGCCAUGAUGAAAAUGAGACAUAAAUGAGAUUAUAUAUUGUGAUAAUAAAGAGACCGUCGGAGGUGUGAGCUGACGAUGCCCCGGGAGUGUUGAGAUGCCCGGAGUGUGUGUGCCGAAAUCCCUGGAGGUGUGUGCCUAGGGGAUUCCUCAUGAUGCUAGUUGGGAUACGAGAUGCCCAAAUGUUCGAAUGAGUCAAUGCCCUUUGGAUGCCUGGUUGUAUUAUGAUACAUGCCCGAAAGGUAAGGGGUUGUAUUAUGAUAUAUGCCCAGAGGUUCCUCGUGACGUCAAGUUGGGUGCGAGCGAUAAAUUGUGAGAUGCAAACAUUGGUCCCUGGAUGAAAAAUGAUGAGAUCCUUAUGAAAGAUAAGAAUUGAAAUUGAAUCAUGUGCAUGGGUGUAUGCAUAUGGCAUGAUGCAUGAUUUGCUUAUGAAAAUAAAAUUGAUGCUAUUUGAUAUUGAAAAUGCGAUCAUGAAGGCGUGAAUGGAUCUCAUGGUAAUGUAUGCUUGAUAGCAUGGAUGAUACGAAUCAUGGUGAUAUAUGCACGAUGGCAUGGUGAGAUAUGCAUGACUGCAUGGUGGUAUAUGCACGAUGGCAUGGCAAGAUAUGCAUGACUACAUGGUAAUAUAUGCACGACUGCAUGGUGAUGUAUGCUUGAUAGCAUGAAUGAUAUGUGCUUUACUCGUGAUAUCUUGAUUGUCUUGCUUGUUACAUUGUGUAGUUUGGUGGAUCUUUACUGCUGAGUGGUUGUACUCACCCAUUUUGGGGACUAACAUUUCAGACUAGAUAAGAUACCUCUGCUGCCACUGCCACCGGUAGAUGGAUCAAGUGGUUGGAUAUGACCGCGAGGAGGAGAAUAGCAAAGGAAGGAACUUUUGAACGUCGACACUAAUCAAUGGACUUUAAGUAUACGACUAUUGGAGGAGAUGUCGAUCAUCUUUUGAAGUAUAGCCGAGUAUAGAAGACUAUGGAAUUUUGAUGUACCGAUGAAUGAUGUCCAUCUGGUUUAAGUAAAUAAAAGUGUUUGGCUUUUACCUAUAAAUGUUUAGUGGGUGUGCAUCGUUUUCUGAAUAUAGGGAAGGGAGUUGAUGGAUGUGCUUCCGCCAUAUUUUUGCGCAGGGAUCUAUGGAAAUAUAUAUAAACCCCUAGGACUUAUAGACUUAUUAUAUCUCUUUGGUAUUAGAGUGAUAUAUUAUCAGGUCAAGUAAAAGGUAAGUGAACAGUGGCGACCCUAAUGGUUCGGGGGCCGUCGAGGGGUGCCACACGGUGGCUGACGAUCGGCGACUAGUGGCUGGGGUCGGUGGCAGGUGGCUGGCAACUGGCAGCAGGCGUACGGCAUCCCACGAGCGGCAAGUGGACGACAGGCAAUGACAAGAGUGAACGAUGAGAAAAAUUUUGAUUUCUUAGUUCCAAAAAUAGAAAAGCUAAAAAUUUUAACUUUUGAUUUCUACUCCAAAUCUAUUUCUGGAAUAGAAAUCUAUUCCAAAAAUAGAAAAUUGAAAUUGCAUUACCAAACGGAUUUCUGUUCCAAACCUGUUCCGGGAAACAAAAAAAUAGAGAAAUAGAGAAACAUAAAUUUUGUUAUACGCACCCUAAGGGAUCCAUUGUUUUUUGAGCAUGUGGAAAUAUCACAAAACCAAAUGAUAUAAUAAGAAAGGUACGAGGAAUUUGAUUUCUAGACUUAGGCUCAAGAAUAAGAAGAUGUUGCUCAAGGAAAGUAGCUCAAGGAAAGUAUAAGUCAUGGAAUUUGAAUUUUCCUUAUCAUAGGGAAUGUUUAGGAAUUGACUCAAAAGAGAGAUUGGAUUUUGGCCAAUAGGAGGAAUGGCAAAACCUUGGGAAACCUUACCUAACCUAAUGACUAUCUCAAACUUUUCAAUUGUAGGGGUCAAAAUGUAUUGAUUGAACACGAAGAUAGAAGUCACAGGGUUCCAAAAGUGGACCAGCGCUUUCACCACGACAAUUUGGGGUUCGACCUUCAGUAGCACUUCUCCACAUAGUCUUGAUGCUUCGGGUCGAGGUUAUCCUAUAUAACCUUGAGACUUUUCGGCACGGGAAUAACGUUGAUCUUGGGCUUGCCCAUCUAAAUCCUAAAUCCAAAAGGGCAUUCAAGAUUAAAAACUCAUCGUCGUUGGAAAUACAAAGUAUGGAAUUGAAAUCCAGAAAUUAGAAAUAAUAACAAUAAUAAAAUGGGAAUGAUGUCUUACCAACCAAAACCAUGGCAAGCACAACCACACAUCGCAUGAGGACUUGUGAGGUUUUGACGCCUAAGGGUGAGGACGCUAAAGGCUCCAGGUCCCCAUCCCGAAAGAUAAAAGUAGUUUUCUCACCACUACUAUCGUCAACUAGUGCAAAUUUUAUCAAUUGAGAUGAGUAGAUAUAUGGAAGUAUAGAUUACCACGAGUGUUUACUAGCAGUUUCCACCCCCACAAACCCUCCUAAAGGUUCUAAAUUGGGCAAUCGGGGUUUUAGACCGCGAUUAUGUGUGUGAUGUAGUGCUAAAACUUUCAAAUAUGCAUUUAAGUUUAAACAACCAGCACUUCAAUAUAACCAAUCAUUCAUUCAUAUGUCCUUUCGCCACUUGCAAGACAAGGGGUUUACACUCACUUCACUCCUUAUGCCUUCCACCAACAAGACCAUUUAACACAUGGUUAGUGACUUACCUCUUUUUUCACGCGACUUUUAUAUGUAGACAGCCCUACCAUAAGACAUGCUAUUUAACACGACAACUAUUUUAAACAACUUCCAGUCCUCUUAACUAGUAACUAGUCUCUAGUGGAGUCGUCAAGCUUGUCACGACCCGACCUUGCACGCUAUGAAGAAGAGAGGUCGGGUUUAGGAGUACCUAGCCAUGAGAGUUCUCUCACAGUUCAUAUUCCAAAAGACAUCAUCACCUUGUCUUAUGGGACGAACCCUUGUGAGUUCCCUCAUUCACAGUCGCGAGCUCUCCCAAACUUGUAAGUCCUGUGACAGCGGAAUGUGUCAUGAUUCGUACCUACACGAACGACACACCUAAAAAAAAAGAGAGAGAUUGAAAUUUAGGGCCAUCUUUACCAUAGUAUCCCACCUCAUAGUACUCGCUCUCCAUGGAUGGCAUCAUUUCAUCCAUUAGGAACUUUUCACAGUGGGUAUGCCCUCACGAUGGGUUUAUUUUAUUAUCUAAUUGUUUAGAAAGUACUAAGAUGGGAGUUAUCACUAAUUUCAUUUUUGGAAGUCGGCUAGAAAACCUAAACGAGGGUCGGGAGUUAUCCCUCGAUUUCUACGCAACUAGAGAUUCUUGAUUUGGAAACUUGAGUUACGCUAAUAUUUCUAUUAGCGCCCUUUUAAUACUUAACAGUUUGUCGUGUCUCCUAAAGUGAUCAUGCAUUUCUUUUUACUUUUUAGGGCUGAUUACACUAAUUAAGUGAUCAUGCGCGGAUGGUUGGUUUCACGCAAUUCUAUUUCUAUGAAAGAUAAAAGAAGGCGCGCAAUUGAAAUUCAAAGAUAGAGCGAUAAGUAAACAAUCAAGUUGGCAGUUUAAGGAAAUUGGUAAAUCUAACAUGUAACCCUAAACAACAAAGGAAAUAAAAUGAAAAAAAAAAAAACCCGCAACUCUUCUGGUGUUUAUACAUCACAAGACAACCCAAAACAUAUAUCGAGGACAAAUGGUACAAAAAUACGGUUGAAGCGGACAUCGACUUUCCAUCCUAUUCGAGUCUCGAGGGACCUCCACCUUCAAAGACCUAAUCUAAUCCUAAACUAAAAGUAGGGCUAGGUGCAUACAAUAGGAAAGAAACAAUCAUUCAUGACAAAAACAAUCACAAGCCAAUCAAGAAUAAUCAAGCAAUUGAAAUCAUAUGCAAAAGUAGACAUAUUGAGUCUCGAGGUCAACCUUUGCAAUUUAUGCAUCUAUAACAUCCUCAAUUUCAACCCUUAUUUUAGCCUUAACUAGUAGGCCAAUGACCAGAACACCAAUGGCAAAACUAGGCCAUGACCCAGCAUAAAGGCCGGUCAUGAGUCAAAUUGGCCUAAUCGAGACUUAGCAACCAAAGGUCUGGAUAUGGAGUGUUCAACCAUGGGAGGGUUAUUUGACCAAAAAGAUUAGCCAUGGGAUGAUCACGUACCAUCAUGAAUCGGUGGAUAGUCAUGACUCGAUUUCGAUUGGUCAAUGUACUGAUUGCAAGUGAUUCCACCUAGUCAUUUUAACAGCCAUGAUGACCAUGAAUCAAUGUAAGACGACCGUGAAUCAAAACGAAUCGAUCAAUCCCACAUGAUUAUAUGACAACCAAUAAUCGACCAUGGAUCGAAUAAACUCAACAUGGUUCAAUUUUGGACUAACUAAGACUUGUGGUGCAUGACUUUAUACUGGUCACUGGAUCGGCUAUGAGACUAGUUGACUGGCUUAGUGAUUGACCACGGGACUGGCCAAACAAAAUUGACCCACAGACUAGCCCACAAAUUGGUUAGAGGACUGAUCGGUUGGGCUAGGACCUAGCCAAUAAACCUACAUGCAACCCCUUUUCUCGAUAAAAGGGAGCUCAAGUUCGGUUUGGUCAAUCGAGCCUGGUUGCAUUUGACUCCGUUUGGGCAUGGCUUAAGCACGAACCACGAGCCAAAUAAAGUGGCCAAUCAUGGUCAAACUCAACUAAUUUCCACCUAAUGACAAGCCAUCACAAAUUUAGAUAUUUUUCCAAGUUGCAUUUAAUAUAUCCGUCACUUAGUAAUGGACACUUGGCACGUUGGGGCUUUACCUUGGAAAAUAAUAUUAGCCUUGAACUUAGAACCAUUAAUGAAAAGGACAUUUAGGCAUGGGACUAGUAAAAUCUUCUUGAAAAACAAGUGUAAACAAAUGUGAACAAAUAUGAACAUAUUAAAUGGAGUGUGGAAUAGGUGUCCCUAUAGCCUAAGCCUAAUCAUACCCUAAUGACUAAGUGUGAAACAUGGAUUUUGCAGCCCACAAGGAAGGGCCACAUGCCAAAGAGAGAGAGAGAGAGAAGCAAAGUGAAGUCCAAACUUUGAACUAAAGAUAAGCAUAAGCCCACAUUAAUAUCUCUUGGACUUUAGCCAUUCGAUGACCAAGAAGAAGUGUCCAAGCUAACUUAGAACUUAAUUGGAAACUUGGAAGAUAAGAUUUUCCAACCAUCAGUGAUCCUUGACUCAAGACCAAGUGGGGCACCUCCUCUUUCCAAUUGGAUUUGCCGCCUUUGAUUUUUCAAAAUUGUUGGACCUUCACUGUUUGUCAAUUUUACAGAACUUUUUAUGAUUUGAAUUUGAAGAAACUUCCUUCAUAAAAUUUGGUCAAAACAUCUUGGUCUACAAUAUACUUAAAUUUCAGAUUUUUUUGAGGUGAAAUGGUUAGGGUGAAGGCCUAAUCAUUUACCAUCUAGAACCUGCCUAGUGUAGUAAAAAUAGUGACCAGGUUGCAUUCUUGAAUUUUUACAAAUUCCUUUCGAAUUUAGAAUUCUUCCUGCACAAAAAAUUUAAAGGAUAUCCUUAUCUACAACAUAUAAAAAUUUCAAAGAGUUUUGAAAAACUCUAGAAUUUGAAAUGGGUCUUUCUUUGCGGUCAUUAGAUCUGCUCAAUAGGCAGAAUGUUAUUUAAAGUCUUCUCUACAACAUAUUAACAUUUCAUAAUUUUUCUAUUUUGUUUGAUAGGGUAAUGACACUAAUUUUGAAAAUUGCUCAAAACUAUUUCUUCACCCUAGGACAAGCUUGAAGUCUAGUUCUUAAUUGUCAUCCUGAGGUAUCCCAAGCUACUUAGCUAUAGUCAUACCCUACUUUGAGGCUUGAUGACCAAGUAAGGCCCUCUUAAAUGACUAUUGACUAGGUUUAUUUGAGGCGGAUAAUGAAGGUAUACUAGAUGACCUAGGGCACCUAUUAAGGGGGGAAUCAAGUGUGAUCAUUCAUUAAUUAAGGGCCAUUAUUAUAGACCAAGUGGGCCAAUUGGAAAUUGGUCACCUUGCCCCCACACUUUUUACCUAAGCCACGGUAAUUAAUGGCCCAUUAGGACCGUUUUUGGGGGAAAGCCCUGUAAAUAGGAGCGAAAACCAUUCACCCCAACACAACUUCACGUUCAAAUCCCCACCUUCUCAGGGGGGGAUGGGGUGGGGACGCGUAAGCUUCAGAAGUGGAUUUCGACUCCCACGCCCUGCAAGAGGCAGGGCAAAAGUCUGAGAGUGAGUGUAGAGUAGGAAUAGAGUAGGACUGACCAAAAAAAAAAAAAAAACACAACUUCACCAAAGCCAUCCUCCUCUCUUUACCUUCCACCACCAACGACCCUCCUCUCUCCCUCUCAAAAUUCAGCCUCCUCUCCCCUAGGAAUCCCUGUCACCACCCUUGCCAUUGUCGCCACUGUUUUAAAAACAUUAGCUUAGAAAGCCGUAAGUAGACGUCCUAACAUUUGGUUAAAACGUUGUGUUAUGCUAGUCCAAGCUUGUAAGAAGUUCAUAUUUGAUUGUUGUUCUUGAUUUAGGUUUUAUUUAUGCUUAUUUGAGUUGGUUUUGGAUUGGCUCUUUUGACUAGAUCAGGUAUUUAUUGGCCUUGGCUUGGUCGUUUGCUUUUGAAUUUGAAGUAGCGUAGUUCUGAUGCUUGAUUGUUGUACCUUUACUUGGCUUGUUAAAGUGACCAUUUUUUGUGCUUGUUUUACUAUGCCUUCGUUUUAUUUUGAUCCCAACAAUUCUAAAAAGCGUUUUAAUGAAAGUUCAUUGUUGUUUUAUAAAGUAUUCUAAACCACUUUUGUAAAUGUAUGUUCAUGACCUGAGUUCCAAAUAAAGGUUUCGCCGGCCUGGGAUGAACGUGAGAUCAUGACAAAUUGGUCCUUUCUUAGUCUUGGGGCAUUAUUGAGGCGUAUCGGUUCCCCAAGCCAAGUUCGGUACUAAAUCCGUGUAUCGUACGAGUCGAACCAAGCCACGAACCUUCAUUCAAGCUCGGUGUGCUCAACUACUUGGAAUUAGUAAGGCAUUUCACAUACUUAUGCAUGGGAUGCCUUUGGGGUUUGAAUUAAAAGCGAAGAUAAGAAUCAACUUAUGAUGCUUGAUGCAUGGACAAAUAAGAGACUAAAUUAUGCCGUCGACCGAUGGAUUUCAGCGAUGAUGCCCGAUGGAUUUUGGAAGAACCAAUGGAUUUUGGAAGAACCAAUGGAUUUUGAUUAUGCCGUCGACCGAUGGAUUUCAGUGAUGAUGCCUGAUGGAUUUCGAAUGCCUGGUGAAUUUCGGAUGGCUCAAUGGAUUUCGAUUAUUAAUAAACGAACCCCGUGCGGGUGAGUUUCACAUAUGUGUAAUGGAUCCUUAGUAUAUGCUUGCAAUUAAUUAAUAACCGUCGACCGGUUAUUUGCUUGUUGAAAAAGGCGAGGCAUCAUCCUAUCCGGAUUUUAGUAAGUUAACUUACUAAGUUGUACUCACUUGUUUUUAUCCUCUAGAUUUGUAGGAUGGCUGCGCCGCCCGUAAAAUUCGGCAUUCCAAUAGAUAUGACUGUGUCUUAGUAAAUUUUGUAGUAUUAAUAAAAAUUCACAUUAAUAAAAAUUCACUACAACCAUCUGGGUGGAAGGACUUGACUAGCUCGUCCCACACAAGUACCACAUUCUAUGAGUGGAUUGACGAAGGCUUCGUCGGUCCCCUUCAUGGUUUCGAGGGUCCCCCAGGGCCUGACGGUGAUGUCUCACCCAAUGGCAUUGUAGAAGACUAAGUAGAAAUCAAUCCUUAGGGGUGCUAAUUUUGGUAGGAUCUCAUUAGAGGAGAUUAGAAUACCCCAAAGUCUGAUGUGUUUCAGAAAAAGGACUGUAUGUAUUAGAUAGUGUGGAACCUAGCUCGAAUAAAUGGACUUGUAAGAUAAAUAAGGUAUAUAUGUAAAAUUACAAAUGGUUGUCAUGUAUAUAUAAACAUAUGGUUGUAUGUGUAUUUUUCCUACUAAAUUGUUGUGAUUUUUUGUGAUCGGGUGUUGAUCGCUUUCGCAUGUGUAUAACUCAAAGAUCAAUAAAAGAAAGAAAUACUGGUCACCGACACGCUUGGGAGGUUGCAAAAAAUAAUCAUCACUGCUCGUGACCUUGGAGAUGGAGUUGGGGUCAUUACAGUGUCGAUCCCUCUAGAUGCUUAUCUCAAUUCAUUUUUUUGGCUUAUAGCCAUUUGCUUCCAUUUGUGUUCUCGCAUGGCAACCAACACUAGUAAGCUCCUAUGAUGUGUUCUAAUUUAAUCCCAAGGUCAUCCCACAAAAUCAUGCAUCACACUUAUGUAUAUACCUAAAAUCCACAUGCAUAGUGAGAAAUGAACAUGCAGGCAGGCCUAUGAGCCUCAAACAAUCAGACAAUUUUAGUGAGCCAAUGUUGGACACUUAUUCAGUCGACAAGCGCCAAAAAUAAUCAUAGGCAUUUCUAACGAAAGGAAUGAUAUUACGUAUGUCUAGUUCAUGUGAUACUUCAAAAAGUUUGGAUAUGUUUAAAACAUUGAGAAGGGAAAAUGAAGUACUUUGACAAAGGUACAACUCGACUAUGGAAUGCAUUUAAUUGUCAAGGCUAAUCUGGGGCGCAUAUCAUGCACUACUAAUAGAUAUCACAGACAUUUUAAAUACAGUCCAAAUCUAGACAAGUCCAAUGUCAAAUCAAAAUUUUAAAGAUACUAAACGACUAACGUUGGAAGUAUCACAUGUACCAAAGCCAUUUUUAUAUGCAAAACCAAUGUUUCACCUUGAAUUUGGAAAAAAGCGUUACUCAAAGACCACUUUAUUUAUUUUAAAAAAAAUCAACAAAGAAGAUUAGGGAAUUUAUAAUAGAUUUCAUGAAGAUGAUGAAUCAUAAUUCCAUAUGUAAGCCAUCCUAAAAAAUACUAAAAUAAUAUCACAGCAAAGAUUUGAAACAAAACAUCACAAAGCAGGACAAAUAAUAUCAACGCAAUUGAAAAUGAACCCAAUGAUAAUGUGUUCCAAGAAAAUUACACAAUAUUCACAAUAUUAUGGGGAACAAACUUCAUGAAGAAAGUUCUNNNNNNNNNNNNNNNNNNNNNNNNNNNNNNNNNNNNNNNNNNNNNNNNNNNNNNNNNNNNNNNNNNNNNNNNNNNNNNNNNNNNNNNNNNNNNNNNNNNNUAUCAGAAUUCCACAAAACAACAUGGUAUCAUGACAUAUCAACAGAGAUUUAACCUAGUAAGCAUGGUCUAAAAAAUAUGAAAUUUUACCGCAACAUAGACAAAAUAAUGAUGGACAAAGUUCAUUAAGGGUAUGACCUAAGAAUCCUUAAGGAGAAAAUCACACAAAAAUGACAAAAGUUUAGACUUAACAAGGGUAAAACAAGGGUUCUAAAUUUUGCCUAAGUUAGAUUUCUAACCAAAAUGAACAAAAAUAGAAAAUGGGUCAAAAAUUAUGAAAAUCGCACAAAAUCAGUGCAUUGGAAAAAUCUAGACGAGUCCUAAGACUUUCUAAGAAUAGACUUAGGAGCUAAGAGAGAUUGAUAAGGUUUAAAUAAGAGUGUGCCUAGUGUCUUUCACUGUCUGUUAUUAUUAAAGGAAGUGAUCGAUGGAGGAUAGAAGGCUAGGAUGCAGAAGAGUUCGAGUCCAAUCGAGGUCAAAUUGAUGCUCGAAAAAUGAUAUUCGUGAAAUUGCGCAUGUCAGCCACAUACAAAAUAGAAUAUGAUGCAUGCUUAAUAGUCUAUAAAACCACCUAGACAAUACAUGAAAAGAAUGAAAAUCACAUAUGACAUAAGGUUGAAUGUGAAAAAAUAUCAUCAAAAAAUUUUGGAAAAAUAGUGUUUCCAACACUAUUUUACCAUUACUCUAUCGUGCAGAAAAUAUCAUGAUUGUCAUGGAAAUUUCAUAAGUCAAAGCUCUCUUUUAUAAAAUCGGUCUUACAUUCAAGGUGGAUAGCCAGAUAAAGAGGGCAAAAACAUAAUUCGUCAAAUUUUUUUCACGUGAGAAAAGUUAUUACAAGUAAAGGAAAUUACUAACACAUUGGCCACAAAAAUUUACAAAAUAUAAAAAAUGUUACGAUCAAUUUAAUUUUUUACUAAAGAUACACAAUCUGUGUUUAUUUUGCGGAAAAGUACUUUUUUCAUAAUUUCUAAUAUUUAGAGCUUCUCCUCGCGCUUCUCUUCUAGAUACUAGAAAAAAAAAAAGGUCAAUUCAUAUCUCUCUCUCCCUCCCCAACAUAAAACUGAAACCCCGUCAAAUCUAAUGAAUUAUCAUUCGAUUUUGUUGAGAAAAUAUGUUUUGAUUGCCCUUGUUAUUCCCAAUAGGAUGGCGCGGUAACAAAUCGAUUCUUCCAAAGCGCGCCCCAUUCAUGCCACCUGCAAAACCUUUACACACCUUCAUUACCUUUUGGAUCAUCGAAAGGAUCUCGGAGACCCACCAAAGCACAAAAGCUACGAUCUUUCAGAAAUUGAUGCUAUCCGUGAACCUGUUUCUGGAUCUCUACUUUCUAGAAACAAUAUUAUCUCAGGUGCCAUUAUUCCUACUUCUACAACUAUACGUUUGCAUUUUUACCCAAUAUGGGAAGCGGCAUCUAUUGAUGAAUGGUUAUACAACGGCGGUCCUUAUGAGUUAAUUGUUCUAAACUUCUUACUUGGUGUAGCUUGUUACAUGGGUUGUGAGUGGAAACUUAGUUUCCGUUUGGGUUUUCUUCAUUUUCUCCCUCCUGUUGUUCCAAUCAUAAUUAUUGAUAUGGGCCCUUUCCACAUAAAAGGGGAAUCUUUUGAUAAUAGUAUCAAAUCUUCCUUAGCUUUGUCGGGAUUACUUCACUCGAGAAAUUGAGCUAUUUUCUCGUGAGAUUGUCAAUCCAUAGCCAAAGACGCUCCUUUUCAACUGACAAGUGUUGACAAAUGCGUAAGUCAUUUACAGAAUGCUUGGUCUACUGAAUUCGUUGGUGAUGUUGGAAGCAAGUCAGAAAUGGAUUGACCGCAGAUGAAUAGAUGGACCGUCUAUGCAAUCAUAGUUGUCUUGCUUUAGCUAGUAAAGUUUGAAGGGAAGUCACCAUAAACUGUUGGACUAGUUUAGUUAGAAGAACAAUUCAGUGAUCUGGCCCUUUGUAAUAGAAUCUAAUAAUUCAUGCGUAUGUCUCGAUUUGGACAUUUAUGUGAGAAGGAAAAGCAUGGACUGGAUCAUCGCACUAUCACUUUUUGCCUGAUUCUAGGGUCUUCUCUGCACGACUUCCUUUUGCCAGAUAAAUCAGACUGUUCUUGCACAUCAUGAUACUAUGAAAUACUAGCGUGGACCAAUGAUAAUUCUUUUUUCAACUAAUUUAGUGCUUAAAUUGUGUGAUAGAGAUUCCUUGUUCUAUUGAAUGGGAUGGGAUAGGGAUGAUAAUUAUGCGUCUUAUUUUGAUGUAGUGUUUAUUAGUUUGGUAGCCAUCUUGCCCUGCAGAUUCAGUUCAUUUUCCCUUCUCAUCUGGUUGUCAUUGAUUGUUCGACUGAUUCUUGGCUUUGAGUUGUGAAGAUCAUGCAGGAAUUUGUUCUACUCAAAAUGGUAUGUCUCAGCUUUCAGUCUUUGCCUUUUUUUUUCUCUUUGUAUAGCCGUGGUGUAUGCUUUAAAAUUUUUUAUUCUUCGCAUGAAGUAACUACUGAAUUUAUAUGAUUUUACUACUACAUUUGCUUAUAUCAACUUUUGCGAUCAAGCCAAACUCAACUAGAAUAAAUGAUACUUGAUUAGGUUUCGAUUUUUAACAUUUUAUAUUAUUAUAAUUUUUAAUAUCAUUUUUAAUAGUCUUUUUUCUUUAAUUUUAAGUUCUUUAAAUAUUUUUUAAACUUUUUAAUAUUUAAUAUUAUUAUAUUAAUAGGAAAACGGGUCCGGACGGGUAUCCUGAUUCGGACUGUUGACCUGAUCCAACAACCUGGAUCCGACCCACGUCCGAAAAGAACCCAAUUUUAUAUAUUUCGUUUAUUAUUUUUUCUGUUCUCUUUUUGUCUUUUCCCCUGUUUUGUCCUUUUCUUCUGGUCAUUUUCUUCCUCCGAAGCUUUCAUUCUCUGCAACUUCUUUUCUUCAUAUUUCGAACCAAUGCACCCAGGCAUCACACCAUCCUCCAUGGGCGCUGGAGCUUACACCACCGCACCCUGCCGGUCAUCCGUUCCGACCAGCAUGUACCAACACCGAAAUAAAAUGAGCUCACUUUCCGGCGUCUUCCAUCACACCGUCCACUCAUCCAGUUCAAUGAAGUAGACACAACAUAUAUCAAACAAAAUGCAACGUAGCGAUCUCAUUAUUCAUGAAAACCAAGUUAACGACCAGCACCUUCAAAUUCGAACAGAAACAGCAGCUAUUUCUUACAUAUUUCUUUGAAACAUUUCGUCGAAUGGGUUUCCGGUGUCUAACUAAAAGUAAUAUAGCGUGUCAAUGAACAUACACGUUGGUGUCUCAUUCAUCCCGCAUUAAACAAAAGACAUUUCAAGUCGAUGAAAAAAUAUUUCAACAGAUCCUCAACAUGCUUUCACAGAAGCAAAUAAAACCCCGGUCUCAUCUUUAGAACAACACUAAGGCAUCAUAUCGAGCGUGUGAUGAGCACGGAAGAAAGAGAGGUCAUAGACCCGUUGUAAACUCUAGCUCAUGCCCAGACUCAAAAGAGAAUAGCGAGUGACGCUCAAACACGACAGAAGGGACAGCUAAUUUAAACCGAGCGUGAUCGUGGACUAGCGGAAACAAGACCCUGCUAUCGUUUCGGCUCCGUUUUAAAUAAAGCCAAGCAACGGAGUUCCCAUAGACAAGCGUUUGACCGCGGAUGUCCGUACCCCAUGGCCGAACGCUACCUUUUUUUCAUCAGUCCCCGUCGAGCACCCCACUUCUCUCUGCCAAAUCAGCCGCGCUCCUCUCGGCCGAAUCUUUUUCUGUUAGGCCUCUCUCUCCCUUACACGACAGCUCACCUAUUCUAGAAGGCUUGGGCACGCUCACUUCACUUGCUCGCCGCUUCUCUCAGCCGAAUCAUUUUGAAUUAUUUUCUUCUAUUUUCUUUUCGUGGCCCUUGUAGGCCGGCGGCCACGCAUACUAUGUUAACUUUUUCAAAGUUGGAGAGCAGUCGUGUAACGGUGCGAAAGUUAGGGGGCUUUUGAGAAAUUAUCCACAAAAUUAAGAGCAAAAAAGGGGAAUUAAAAGGGAAAUCCGAAAAGAACCCAAGAAAAAACCCCUUCCCCGCGCUUUCUCAUACCCUAAUCAAUCCCAAUUUGGGGAAGAAUUCGGAAAAAGCUCACUCCCGUCAAUUUUCCCCAAGUCGCUUCUCCUUCAUCCUCUUCCAAGAAGGAAGAAAGGAAAUGAUGAACGUGUUCAUGCCGAGGAACUUGGUGCCUCCCGCGCUGUUGGACGCGCUCCACGACGCGCUCAAGCUGAAGGGAGCUGUUUCUUCCAGGGGUGGGCCCCGCGAUUUUCACGCCGUUUCUUCCCCCGAUCACGUGAGUACGUUGGGAUUGGGCGGCGCUACGGCUUUUGGGUUCAUUUUUUAGAAUUGGGUUUGAGGUUGUUUUACGUCUUGAGAAGUUCGAGGAUCUUCAGGCGAAAGGGUGGAAGCUAGUCGGCAAAGAUCUUGUUCUCAUCCUAGUUUUAUCUUUUGGUUUCUUACUCGAGGCUGCUAAAUGCUAAACCAGAACUUGUAGUUGAGAAACGAAAGCGGAAGCAUUGGGGUCAACGUGCUGGUCAAGCAAGUCGAGAGAAGUUCUUUCGGCUGGGAAAAAAAAUGUUGAUUUCGAUGGGGGAUAUUUCGGUUUCUUGUAGUUCUGCAGUGUGUGGUUUCGUGUGCGAAAGAAGGGAGACCUCUGCCUCAAAAAGGGUAUAAUUGUUUGUCUUGCAAUGGAUGGUGUCGAAGUCCUCGCAUCUGGAUUUGAGAUGGAUGAGAAGGUAUGUCUGUUCCUAGAUAAGUCUGGCCUUGUAUGAUUUUUUAGCGUGUAAUCUUUAUUGUUACUUGUCUCUCUAAUUCAGUGCGGCGCGUCACUUAUCCUUAUCCAUGUAUCCUUCUAUGUGAUCCAUUGAUUCUUAUGCCUUCAGACAUGCUUUUGUUUGAACAAAUAUGGCAAUAGCCUGUUGUCUCUCUUAUUGUUUCACCAUUUCCGCGAAUGUGCAAGCUGAGAUUGGGAAACUGGUAACUUCAAUGGGGGAGUUCUACAGACCAAAACUUUAGCAAAUGUUAGCUUCGUAAUUGCGAAGAUGUUUUGGCUGAACUGAGGAAGGGUUUCGUCCAUACUUUUUUGAGUAUUCUCUGUGCAAGUUCUUUUGUAAUCCCAUCUUGAGAGAUAAAUUGUAUUUAUCAAUUAGUAUUGUCCUCAUGCAGUGGGCUUUAAUUGUUCUGAAGAUACCUGUUGUCACCAUUACCAAUGCCGUAAUGAGCACCGUGUUGUUCCUCUGGAGUCUUACAAAGUUCUUCCAUUUUUUGGAUCAACAAUAUGUGUCAUAGGAAUUCCUACAGGUACUGAUGAUUUGAUAUAGUUGCUGCUAUUGAUUGUCCUCUAGUUCUUCAAUUUCUAUGUUGUUCAUUAUCUUAGAUGCACGUAAGGAGAUUCAAAAGCACAUCACACAAAAAAAAAAAAAAAAGGCAUAUCACAAAAAAUGGUGGGAAAUAUUCCGCAGAAUUGACCAGGAAAUGCACUCGUUUAAUUGCAGAAAUAUCCUUUUCUUCUUCAAGAUUAAGGUCCAGUGAUUUGCUUGCAUAUUUUCCCUUUGAUAUCUGAUCGCCGUAUGAAAAUGCAUAUAUGUUUAUCUUGUCUUCGCUCAUGAAAAGACUUUUAAGAGUUUGAAAAGAAAAUUUGUAUAAUUUCAAGGUUUAGUGACAAUUAUAGUUUGAAAUGGGAAAUAUCUAUACUUGAUUUAAUCCUUGUUUCUGGUAAUAUACUUAGUUGGGAAUUUGAUUACUCAAAUGAGAAACAGUGAAACUUCCUGGCACAAGAAUAUCAUUGACUUUGACUUCUAAAUGAGGCUCUUGACUUCGCCAAGAUCUCUGCAUCCUCUGUUCCUUGCUUAACUCCAUCUACAACAAGAAACAGAGCACGUUAAUAGCAACAUAUGAGCCAUUUACCAGAAAACUUUCAUAAAACCCCGGUCUUAUCUUUAGAACAAAACUAAGGCAUUAUAUCGAGCGUCUGAUGAGCAUGGACUAAAGAGAGGUCAUUGACCUAUUCUAAACUCUAGCUCAUGUUUUGACUCAAAAGAGAAUAGCAAGUGAUGCUCAAACUUGACAAAAGGGAUGGCUAGUUCAAACCGUGCAUGCUCGUGGACGAGGGAAAACAAGAUUUUAUUCCUUUUCAAAAUCUGAAGAAAUUUCUAGAGAACUUAUUAGAUCUUCAGUUAACUCCUCAAUCAAUUACUUAUUCAUAAUGCUAAAAGAAAAUUAAUCGAUUUUUCUUUUUCAAUAUACUAUAUUCCACACCCCCAUCGUCCAUCGAUUUGAUUCUUUCAAUAGAUAUAGGUAUUCGUAUUGAAAAUAAUUAGAAAUCUAGGAAUUCGAAGCGUACUAUUAAGAAUUGCCUUUCGAUUGCUUUAGAUUGAUUGGAAUCAAGACAAAUUAAAUAGAAUUUAGAUGCUAUGUACAUUACAUAUAUCAAUACAUAUAUAAAAAAGAUACAUAUCGUAGAUUAAUCUAUAUUAAGAUUAUUUAUAUAUGUUUUUAUUUUAUACCCAGCUAUCAUUUCGGCUCCGUUUUAAACAAAGCCAAGCGACAGAGUUCCAAGUGUUUGACCGCGGAUGUCCUUACCCACCCGCCCCCCCCCACAGGGUUCAAGUUGGUGAAUGUGACCACGAAAUUUGAAUGAACCCUGGAGACUUUAAUUGAUUUAAAUGGGACUUUCCUUGUCAAGUUCAUAGAAUAUGUUCUUCUUCUAUUUAAAUUGGCGGCCAUCUCAAAACGCAUUUAUCUUUUUCUCUGUUAUCAGGAAAGACGGAGAGUUCAUCAAGUAGACGAACUCUGGUGGUUGGUAAGUCUCGAUAAAACCCACACUUUGGUGCAAGGAUGUCGAAUUGAGGUUGGAAGAGGGGGAUUGUUUGGAAGAGUUGAAACCCAUUUAUAGAGGGGAAGGGAGAGUCUAAUACUAUAACCGCNNNNNNNNNNNNNNNNNNNNNNNNNNNNNNNNNNNNNNNNNNNNNNNNNNNNNNNNNNNNNNNNNNNNNNNNNNNNNNNNNNNNNNNNNNNNNNNNNNNNUAGAAGGGCUUGGGGCACGCUCACGUCACUUGCUCGUCGCUCCUCACCCUCGCUCACGGACGUUCCCUUUUUUGGUCACAGCACGUCCUUCUACCAUCUCUCUCUCUCUCUGUGGAGAGCGCCCAUUUAGAGAAGAGAAGGGGCCAUGGGCUGGGCUCCUCUCUUUUCAUAACUCUAAUGGGCCAUGAAGGAAACAAAAGGGAUGAAAGAAAUGGGCUGGAAAAAAUAAUUCAACGGAUGGGCCAACGGAAAGAAGGAGCUGGCCGACCAUUUGUUAAAGGAGUGGGACCGGCCCGUUCGACUUAAUCAUUUUACUUUAUUUUUUUUUAUUUCCUCUUCAUUCCACCUAUUUUCUUUCAUUUCUUUUUUUUUUAUAUAUAAUUUUUUGGAUCUUUAUACUUCCAUUAUUACUAUUUUCUUUAUUUUAAAUAUAUUUUAUUUUUGGCUUUUUUUAUCAUUUUAUAGAUUUUUGUAUUUUUGGAAAAUGAGUGGACAUUUAAAACGUCGAUAAAACUUCGGGCGUCAACGAGAUCUAUUGGUGAUUUCCAUGACCCUUUCGUUGAAGUACAUAUCUCAUCUACUUUUUUUGUACUGCCUUUUUCAAGUUGAAACGUGCUUUAGAAAGCUACUUUUAAACGUGAUUUUUUAUUAGAUCUCAUGCUUUCAAGGUCUUGAUGAGGACAUCGGUCCACAAGUCAGAAAAUUAUAUGCUGAGGUAUCACUAGCCCCAAAACUAAAAAUUACUAUUUGCAUUGCUCUCUAGCUGCUAUAGACAUGUUGCAAUCUUGUUUUGACAGUUCCUCUUCGUGAAGUGUUCACAAAACCAUCAUGAUUUUGUAUAUUGCCAUAGUUUGCAGGAAAUAAUAGUUGGAUGUGGGAUCAACUGCAUUUACGGUGUUGAUAUUUAAUAUAUUUUAUGGUCACGAUUGCAGGCACAUGUUCAUAUAGUGGUCAAACAUGGUGAUGGUUUUCCUGAUGUGGGUUCCACAUGUGUUAGUUUAUGAUUUAUUUAUGCAAUCAUAUGAAAUUAUGCAAGCACCAAACCUGCCUUUCCCCUUGUUCUGAAUUAACAACUAAUGUAAAUAGUGGACAGUGCAACCUGCUUUUUGAAAUGGCUGCAGUUGUCAACUUUGGGUCUCUGUGAAGUCGUUCAAGGAAACAUUUUGAUGAUGAUCAUGAUAGCAUGCAUAAUGAAACGUGGAGAACCCACUAAAUUGGUUGGCUUGACUUGUUAUUUUAUAUGAUCUCUAUUUAUUCAUCAUCUUUUGAUCAUUGUCCUUGUCCAGACCUUGGGAUCACUGAGAUGUAAAACAAUUAGAGGGUAUUCUUUCCUACUUGAAAAGAAGAAAAUACAGGGGGAAUUGAAGUUGUGAGGUACGUGGGCAUCAGCAUAUUAAAAUAAAUAAUGUUUCCAUGGAGCCCGCCAUCUCUACAUUGUAAAUGGUUUUAUAUAAUCUCUAUUUAUUUAUCAUCUCAAUUGGUUUUUACUUGCAUCCACUAGUUUUUUGUUCGAAAUUUCUUCGUUCAUACUGAACCGCUUGCAGAAUCAAAUCCUAUCCCACAAGAUUGUAUAUCACGAGGCUUUUGUCAGUGUAAUGUCUUGACUUUUGGAGACUUGGUACAGCUCGCAGAGUUGUGGCCAAAUGGUUUUAUGGCAAUUUGUAGGGCCAAAGAGAAGCGAAGGGCACUUUAUAGCAGACACAAGGUAUGAUUAUUUCUACGUUCUUCCAGGAACUUCCUUUUCCAUGAAAAAGAAUAUGUAGUGCUUGGUGAAAAGGGAGAACGCCAUGUUUUUGACGAUAAUCCAAUUUCAGAAAAAUCCCCGAAAAUAACCUUCUAACAUUGUAAACCGAAUAAAACAUAAGUCAAAAUCCUAAUAAGUAGCCAAAGCAUUUGUAGUACUUCUUUUUAUACAACGCAUCUAAUCCAUAUCAAGAGAUUAGAUUCAUUCUCAUUUUUUGCAAAAUUGAGGUUUCUCUACUAUUCGAAAAUAAUUUUAUUGCCGAUAACUGAAAAUGGAAACAAACAAGGGUAUCCGGGUAUACACUGCUUCAAUUUGAUGGACUUUCCCUUUUCAAGAUCUCUUUCAUUAAACUAGCGAAAAAAAAAAAAAGAACUGGAAAUUUCGUCCUGCAUAAAAAUCCCAAGCGGAGGAGAAAAAAGAAUGUAUGGAAAUCCAGAAAAGGGGAGGAGAGGGGAAAAUGGGGAUUUGGCCUUUAACCAUAUUCGAGAAAAAGAAAAAAAAAAGGAAAUAAAGAAAAGAUUAAAAAUUAAAAAACAGGGGAUGGAAGAGCGAAACGACGUUCCCCUCUGCCAAGAACUGCCAAGGUCGAACGGUUCGUGCUGCGUCGUCGUUUUUUCCUUUAAACUCCAAGCGCUGAAGCUGGCGGAUGUGGGCGUUCGAGGUGGGGUCACAUGAAAACCGGAAGCUUUCGAAUCUCUCUCUGUCUCUGCACCUGCGAGUCACGUGCCACGGACGAGAAAUGUGGGGGAUGGAUCGUGGGUCGGGCGAGGAAAGGGUGCCAUUUGCCCGUUGCAAUCGGUGCUGCGAAAACAGUGCUGAGUCCGGAUCCGAUCCGGGCGUGGUUUUGUCUUUUUAUCCCUCUUGAAUAUCUAAACCCAUCAAAAUAGAUUGAAAACGUACAUAAUAAAUUAUGAAGUAUUAAAUGGGUUUAUGACCCGACCCACCUCAAUUUUGGAUGUAAAUUUUCCUAGAUUUAGGUCAAAUAAAGAGAUGUUUUAGCAAUGCGGAACAUGUCAAAUAUGAGUCACUAUAUACAUAUUGUAUGUAAAUAGAUUAAAACAGAUUAAAAUGAGUUUAUUUGGGCCGGACCAUUUCCGACCCAUUCCAAAACAAACUUGAAACACCCUUUUGAUGGGUGUAUGAAGAUCUAUCUCCAAAUGACAAAAUAAGUUCAUUGCCAUUCAAUCUUUAUCACUCGUGAUCCUGGAUUUGAAUAUCGCAGCAUUUGCACCUCUUUGUUUUCACCAAAACAUCAUUUUGUCGCUCUCUAUUUUCCAAAAUUGCCCUCCUGUCGAAAGUUAAAAUCACACACCAUCUCCUUACCAACUAAUCACCAAAUUACACCCGUGUGUAAUUAGCAUGCACUCCACAUCCGCUCAAUAAAAAGAAUUCUUUUCUCUUCAUACGUUAUCCAUUUGUGAUCACGUAUGCACGCAGUGCGGGCCUCAAGACUAAAGCUGAUGCAAGAAAAUAACUCUUCGUUCCGUGGAGGCUUGGCGAUCUUUUUUUUUUUUUUUUUGGGCGUCUCUUCAAAGUUAUUGCACCUAUAAUUGCAACAACGUUGCCCUAAUUUAGUAAAGAUGUGAUGGAUCUAUAAGAAAGGUGGGGAGUGAGGGCUGACUCAUUGCCUAGAAUUUCUUUAUGCAAAAAGGCUUUCGAUCCUUACCAUGUUGACCUGAUUCUGGGACCAGAAUCCCAGCCGCUCCAUCUCUCCAAUCUGAGCAUAUUUAACUGUAUGCCAUGAUUACAUGUGGAGCUCCGCAUCGAAAACGGCAAACAAAGGAAUGGAUGGAAAAGAAAAGCUCCAUUGCCUUGUAUAAAAGUAGCUGUAAUCAAUCAUUAUCAUCACCAUCAUCUGGUGCUAAAAGAAUCCUAAUAAACUAUUACAGAUCAGAUAGAAUUAAGCAAGAGGAAACCAAGAUAACUUCGAGCACCUUCUCGGAAGAUGCAAGACAAGGAAAGGCGAUAUUGCCGUAGAAGAAGAUUAAGAGAAAAUCGGAGGUGGAUUUGAAUGAAAUGCCUUUCCACUCAAAGAAGUCCAGAGAGGAAAGACUCGUAUCUACCAAAUCCAAUCCCUCUCUUCCCCCUAAAAUAAACCUUCAACCAAUUGCACAUCCAAGUUUUGAACAAUCUAGUUAAUGCUACAUAGCGAGAAUUAAAAAGCAUUUGCCUUUAAGAUGUCCCUUAUGACAUAAGUUCACUUCCUUUUGUUGAACUUUUCAAUAGCUAAUUGAAUUCAUUUGAUUGACUGGUUGUCAUUGCCUUUGUAGUUAAUUGGCAUUGUGGAUGCCUCAUAUCUCCAGCAAUGAUUUUUUUGGGGCAAGAGCUGUAAAUUCCUAUUUGCCUUAAAAUUAGUUGCCUUUUUUGAGUUUAUUUUGGAGAUCGUCUUCUAUGUCAUCAAUAUAGAGCGGCAAUUGCCGGUAAGUUUUGUCACUUGGUGGACAAGGUUUUCUGUAAUGAAGUACCUUACUAGGUGCAUAAGUUGGGAGUGGCAAGGGAAACGGAUCGAGAUUUCUUGAAACUUUUUGGUGUUUAACUAUUUGAUCAUGUGGAGCCUAGUUGAUUCCAUUGGUCAGCUCCUAUAUUAAGGCUAACCAUGGACACACUGAUGAAUUAGUCUAGCAAUCCCGCAGAAGCCUUAAUACAAACUUGUUUAGAAACUGAGGUCAAACACAUUUCUGAUGAAUAGUAGACUUAUCAUAGGGCACUUCAAGAAGAAUAGCGUCACAAACUCAACAUGGAUAUAGCUGUAGGAUUAAUUAAAUGAAUGCAUAUCAUAUAAACCAAUAUAUCUAUAUGGAAAUUGUUUAUAUGUAGCUUGAUGGCUUAUUCAAAAUCUUCUUUGUACGAGGUGUGUUGGAAUUUAGGGGUCCCACCUCCUCUAUAGUUUCCGAAGUCCCAAAGUAUUGAUUGGAUCUAAUUGUACAUCUACUCCUACUGCCAGGCUUCCUUUUUCAUCUUGUAAGACUACAUGUUUCAAGGGGCUCUGAAUGCUCUGUCCAAUAUCGCGAUAGUCAUGUCCAACCUAAGAUGUCAUGGAUUGAUUCAUUGGAUUUUUGUAGUUAUUAUAUUUGUCCCAAGAUUAUAUGUGCAAACAUAGCAAGCAUAUUUCCAAAGUCAAGUAUAAGGAAUGAUCAUAAGUUUUGUUAGCAUGAUGAAUUUGUAAGUCAAUUUAAAAGAUGUCGUGACGAUACAUUUGGGUCUUAAAACUUUCAUUUUGUGCACCCGAGCCUCAACUUGUUGUAUUCAUCCACUUUAGUCUUCCCAUUAGUCCUAUUAGGUUUUGGCAGACAGAAAAUGCCCCGUGAGUAGAAAAAAAGCCACUUGUUAUUAUCCAUCCCUUGACAGAAUUAACAAAAGGACCCACAUAUGUUGGAGUUACAAAUUUUGGGAUUUAAAUGUACGAAAUGAAAGUUUUGACUCACGUUUAUUAUUAUAAUUAAUAUCAGGAUUUGCUUUGAAAGUGUCUCUAAAAUUCUUUUCGUUGGUCAUAUAAUGUAGUGUUGAACUCUAUAAAAAGAUAUCACCCAAAAAAAAAAAAAACCUAUAAAAAGAUUUAUCGCCAAGAAGCCCCAAUCUUUGGUUGCUCUUGAGACAUGAUAAAAAGUGUUAUCCAUGAUCCAAUGUAAUUUUUCGGCACUUACGGGUCCACAAUAAAAACUUCAUGUGAAGUUUUGAUCUAAACAUGUGACUAAAUUCUUAGGGAAAAUUAACAAAAUAAUCCUCAACGGAUGCUAAUUCGAUUAUAAAUAUUUUAAUUUGGUCAAUUUAAUUUUAAAACUUUUGACAAAUCGUUAUUGUAAUUCUUUUGACUAAUUUUGAUUGAAAAUUGCUAAUGUGAAUAUUGAUCAUUUAUCAUGACACAAUCAAUGUUGACAUGGAUAAGUUUUUGCAAUUUAAAAUUUUUUCUUUUUGAAUUCUUUGCUUUUAUUCUUUGCUUUUAUUUUCUUUCAUGGCUCGUGUCGCCGGCGCGGGCAUAGUGCGUAACCUUUUCACAGUUGGAGAGCAGUCAUGCAACGGUGUGAAAGUUGGGGGGUUUCUGAGAAAUUAUCCACAAAAUUAAUAGCACAAAAAAGGGGAAUUAAAACGAAAAUCCGAAAAGAGCCCAAGAGCAACCCCUUUCCCGCGCUUUCUCAUACCCUAAUCCAUCCCAAUUUGGGGGAAGAAUUCAGAAAAAGCUCACUCCACUCAAUUUUUCCCCAAGUCGCUCCUCCUUCAUCUUCUUCCAAGUUCCGAUUCCCUUCGCGCUUCACCGUUGCUCUCUCUCUCUCUCACUCACGCAAAUGCAUUUGGAUUUCGCAGAAAUCCUUAGCAACGAGACCGAUCAUCUGUUGAGGAAGUCGCUGCUGGAGAAGGAAGAUAGGAAAUGGCGAAGACGAAGCCAUUUCAUGGGGGGCGACCGUGUUCGUGCCGAGUAACUUGAGUGCCUCCCGAGCCGUUCGACGCGCUCAAGCUGAACGGAGCUGAGGCCUUCCUCCGCUGCGACCCUUGCAGAAGUGGGCCCCGCGAUUUUCACGCUGUUUCUUCUCCCCGAUCACGUGAGUACGUUGGGAUUGGGCGGCGCUAACGGCUUUUGGGUUCAUUUUGAGAAUUGGGUUUGAGGUUGUUUUACGUCUUGAGAAGUUCGAGGAUCUUCGAGCGAAAGGGUUGUAAGCUAGUCGGUGAAGAUCUUGUUCUCGUCCUAGUCAUAUCUUCUGGUAUUUCCUCGAGGCUGCUAAAUGCUAAACCAGGACUUGUAGUUGAGAAAUGAAAGCGGAGGCAUUGGGGUCAAUGUGCUGGUCAAGCAAGUCGAGAGGAGUUCUUCUGCCUGGGAAAAAAAUGUUGACUUUGAUGGACGAUAAUUCUUGCAGGUCCGCAGUGUGUGGUGGUUUCGCGUGCGAAAGAAUGGAGACCUCUACCUCGAAAAGGCUAUAUUUAUUUGUCUUGCGAUGGAUGGUGUCGAAGUCCUUGCAUCUGGAUUUGAGAUGGAUGAGGAGGUAUGCCUGUUCCUAGAUAAGCCUGGCCUUGUAUGAUUUUUUAGCGUGUAAUCUUUGUUGUAACUCGUCACUCAAAUUCAGUGUAGCGCGUCACUUAUCCUUAUCCAUGUAUCCUUCUAUGUGACCUCCUGAUUCUUUGCUUUCAGACAUGCUUUUGUUUGAACAAAUAUGGUGGCAGCCUGUCGUCUCUCUCAUCGUUUCACCAUUUCCGUGAAUUUGCAGACUGAGGACGAGUUUCCCCCAUAUUUUUUUUCUUGAAUGUUCUCUGUGCAAAUUCUUUUAAGAAUCCCAUCUUGAGAGAUAAAUUGUAUUUAUCAAUUAAAGUUGUCAUUGUGCAGUGGGCUUUAAAUGUUCUGAAGAAACCUGUUGUCACCAUUAAUUGGUUACACGAAUGUUGUAUUGUGCAGCGUGUUGUACCUCAGGAGUCUUCCAGAGUUCUUCCAUUUUCUGGAUCGACAAUGUAUGUGUCACAGGAAUUCCUGCACACACUGAUUAUUUGAUAUAACUGCUGCUGUUGGUUGUCCUCCAGUUCUUCAAUUUUUAUGUCCUUCAUUAUCUUAGAUGCACGGAAGGAGAUUCACAAGCAUAUCACACAAAAUGGUGGGAAAUAUUCUGCAGAAUAGACCAGGAAGUGAACUCAUUUAAUUGCAGAAAUAACCUUUUCUUCUUCAAGAUUAAAGUCCAGUGAUUUGCUUGCAUAUUUUCCCUUUGACAUCUGAUCGCCGUGUGAAAAUGCACAUAUCUUUAUCUUGUCUUCUCAUAUGAAAACACUUUUACGAGUUUGAAAAGAAAAUCUGUAUCAUUUCAAGGUUUAGUGACGAUUAUAGUUUGAAAUAGGAAAUAGCUAUACUUCAUUGAAUCAUGGUUUUUGGUAAAAUCCUUUUACUUGGGAAUUUGAUUACUCAGAUGAGAAACAGUGAAACUUCCCGGCAUGAGAAUAUCAUUGACUUUGACUUCUAAAUGAGUCCUAAAGAAUUGUGUUCUGUGGUUCAGGAAACAAGGUGUUAAACAACUUACAAUUUGAACCACCAAUUGUUAAAUGAUCCUCAGCCUGUUCUCGCUUUUCCAGUGUGAGUUAGGACUGCCUGUUGGUUGCUCAAAGCACAUUGCUCAGCAAUGUUAUUAUUUUUUGAAUCUUUCUAUUGGCCUCAUAAAUGAUGCUCUGAAGCACUGUGAGUCCCACUACGAUGCCCUUGACUGGCUGUAAGCUCCAGGAGAUAAAUACAAGGUCACUAAAAGAUGGGGUCACAUUCAUAUGUUGAAUCGCAAAUGGUUUGAUCGAUCAACUUCCAGGAAAGGUGAUAUUUCAGUUACUAAAAUACCUUGUUGCUGUCAAUUGUAGUAGCAUUUAAGUUCUUUUUGGGCCAUCUUGUUGUCUGCCUCUAAUUUUGAGUGCUUUUGCCGACUAGCAUGUCUUAAUGAGGAGUCCUAUCCUGUUCAGGGUAGUUCCAUGUCUUUAGUGAAAACUGCAAGUAGUCAGCAAAAUCAGUACAGAGUUAUUAGAAGUUCACAGUCUCUCCCCUCUUCAAUGGUUGGAGAUCAGGACUUCCAUUCCAUUUCCGCUACUGACAAUGCUGAUCCAGAUUUAGAAAUUACUCUCUCACAGAAUGUGUCUUCAAUGUUUGUGGAUCCCAUUUCCUUGCAAAAGAGGAUAAUAGUGAAGUGGCAGCUGUGCAAUCCAAUGGUGAAGUGAAUCAUGAUGGUUGGGUUGCUGAAGACUCUGAAAAUGAAGACAAUGACCUGUAUUUGUUAGAAUAUGGGUUAACAUCAUCAAAUGCUCGAUUUCCCCAAGAGUGUUCCUAAAAGAAGUGAUCUGCAACAACCAUUCAAAGUUGGCUUGAAGAUACAAAACUUGGUGAUCUGAUUUUGAAGGCAGUGGAGCCUUAAAUGGUUCUGCUUGACACAGAUGAUGACUGACUAAAGAGUAUAUCAUUGUACACUGCUUUCUCUCUUUUCAUUAUGAUUCUCCGUGCUCUUCAUGUGAACAAUGGGAAGGCUGAAAUGUUAGUAUUGCCUAAUAGGACAGUAGUUGCUGAUUCACAUGACAUUUGGCUGUCUUUCACAUAUGAUUAGUGGCUGAAGGCUGCGAUCCUUUAAAUGGCUUUGUCAGCUUGCAACUCUCCAAUUUGAGGAUACCAUGCACUUCAUGACAUGGGUGGCCAAUUUUGCUGAAUGAAAUCCUUGUGUUUACAUGUUAAAAGAUGACGUAUGACUCUAAUUAAUUUGUGUUAAAGACAAUCUUUUAGCUCUUCCCGCUAAUGACAUGCAUAUAGUUUCCAGUAUGGUAUAUCCUUGUAAGUAAUAAACGGUUUCAUGUGGUUUUCUUCUGGAUCUCUUUCCUGCAGUUGCUGCUGACCUUGCAAUCUUUUGGCUGGUGAAGGUAAAGAUCUUUUUUCUCUUCAUGUGUUGAUCCUUUGCUUUUGUUUAUUGUGCAGCAGAACCCAGGAUUUUUAACCUUGUUUUGAAGUCUUAUAUUUGGUGGUACGGGUGUCACUGAAUUUAUUCCUUUUUGUCCUUUUGUGUUUUGGGCCACUGAUGUCUUAUCUCAGUCAACGGAUGAAAGUGGGAAGGGUCAAAGAGCCAAUAGUACUCCAUUUAUCCUAGUAUUGCUCCGGAAGACACUUGAUAGAGCACCGACAUACCUUUGAUUUAUGUAGUUUCUAUCCAAUAAAAGCCGAUGAAAUCAGAUUUUUCUAGAUCAGUCUAACGGUCCGUUAUAUGUUAAGCCGGAAAAUGACAAGUUUGAUCCUCAGCAGAAGGCAAAAAUCUUGUUAGUUUUUCAUGUUACUCCUUUUAAUAACACUCUCCUACUAUUGUUCCCCUGGAUCAAUGAAAAUAAUUGGACUAACGUGGACUCAAUAAACUCAUCAUGAGCAGAGCAAUCAUGAGAGAAGAAAACACAUUAUGAAUUAGGACAAAGAUGAAAAUUUGACAAAUUUCAUUAGGAUAUUGAUGUAUAUUCCAAGCAACCAAUAGCUUGACAAAUCAAUGUCGACCCUCGUCAAACCUUUCGUGAGGCUAGCAAUUGAAUGCAUCGCAUAUUCUCGUGUUCACAUUCAUGUAUCAUGACUUAUAUUAGGUCACUCCUUUUCAUUUCAAGGUGUCACGCUCCGAAUCCCGAGCAUGUGCCCAUCCUUCUUUGGUCGAUAAAAUUUUGCGACUUCCCAGGACUAGUCGUCGAUCCUUUUUGUUUUAUUGCACAUGUGGAAGCGGAUUAUAAAUCCCCUGACAAUAAUUAUCUCGGGAUAGAAAAGCAGGACAAAACAAACAUGCUUUUAUAUAUACACUAAGUCAUGUACAAAAAUCUAUGGCCAAAAGACUACAGAAGACUGGCCUUCCAAAAAGAAGCGGUCCUAACUGACUUACACUUCCGAUCACCUCCUCUCAGCUCUAGGUCCUCCAUUCGACUACCCUGAAAAUGUUGUCCCACAAUUACUUGGAGACAGUUCUCAGUGAGUCUAGCUUUAAACCCCAAUUAGGAGGGAAAUACGCCAAGAAGCGUCCUAAUCACACAAUCAAGAAGACUUACCUCAUCUUAGAUCCACCUGCAGGUCAGUACAAUUUAUAACUCAGACAGCAUGAAAACGUGAGCAACAAAUAAGCUCCAACAACUGGAACGUCACACUCAAUUAAUCAUGUGUUCAUAGUUUUAAUUUCGGCAUAUAGCACGGCCUAUUCUCUCUUCGGUGGUCUUCAGGCAUCAUCUCACCCCAUUGAGCACGGCACAUCUCUUUAUCAGACAGCUUUCCCAAAAAAGCAUAGGGUCUAGAAUUUACGGUGACCGGCUUCCCGUUGUCCAGGGGUAUCCCGAAUAAGGAUAACGUCUAGCUUAAUAGCUCAGGAUGAUUGCUCUUAACCAACACACGAUCACUCAAAUAUGGCCUAGAGCACCGUGCAUUGUACUCAAAUGCUUCAAUUAAAAAUAGUGAGCCUGGCUUUUUUCCUCGUAAUAAAAAUUCACAUGAAAUUACUCGUGUGUAGAUACACGGUCAACUUGACCUAGAAAAUUUGAUAUUCUUCCUUUUUGAAAUCCCACUAUUUCAAAUAGUACUAAAAACUAUUUUCGGUGCCAAAAUCUGACACCCGAGAUUUUUUGAAUAAAUAUUGAAAAUUCAUAAUUUUUGGAAUUAAAUACCAAAAAUCCAAUCAACAUUCAAUUUGCAAAAUUUAACACUCAAUUGCAAAAAUUAACCACACCAUUGCAAUCAGCACGAAAUUUCGAUCACCGAAUAUCCCAGCCUAAUUUCUAGAAAAUAUUUAAUAAUUAAAUAAUUACUGAAAUUAAUUAAAUAAAUCAAUCUAAAUUCUAAAAAUACUAACCUAGGCCAAAAUCAUUAAAUUAAUAAUCAAUAUGGACCCGGAAAAUUUCCGAACCCCUUCUAGAUAAAUAGUACAAUUUAUUUAGGCCUUAGCUAAACCAUGCUAACCACCUAACAUGCUCAAUUAAAUAAUUACAUUUCUAAUUUAAUCUAACUAAUAACCUAAUUCCUAAUAAAAUAAAUCAAAAUAUCCUUUAAACGUCAUUAGCCUACUAAGCAGAGUUUAGAGUAUAAACUCUCCGAUUAAUUGCGGAAACCGGUUCACCGCGACGACGAUGCGACAGCGGCCGAAACUUGAAUUUUCGGCGGCGUCAACGGAGCUCAGACUAGGCCUAGAACGGGCCCAACAAAUCUCAGCCCAAAUUGAGUUUGUUAUUGGAACGGGCUUGGCUUGAAGCAGGUUGACCUCGCGGGCUUGGACUGCCGAAAAAGACAACUUGCUGGGCUUCAAAGUUGGACUGGACUGCUGAUGGGCAGAACAAAAUGGGCUCAAAGGAGCUGCUUCUUGGGCUGCAGCGUGGGCUCGAAACUGGACAAAGGUGGAGAUGGGCUUCGGCUUCAAAUGGCGUGGGUUUCUAUUGCUCGCGUGGGCUGCUUGUUUCGGUGAUGCUGGGCCCAUGAGAUGGGCUGCCGAAUUGAGCUGAGGGAGAGAAGCAGCUUCGGGGAUGUUUGCUAGCGUUGGAUCGAAUGGCAGCUUGCAGAUGUCAAAGAAGAUGGCGUCAACGCGUGGCUUUGGUUCAUGGGAAGCUGCUCGCUCGUCGAUGCUGGGCUAGAGAACUUCACGGUCAACCAAGAGGGGCUUUGGUGGGGGAGAGUUGACCAGCGUGGGGACGUGGACUGGCGAUGCAGGCGUGAGGCUUCGGUGGAUGAUGGCAGCUGGGAGAAAUGAAGAUGGCAAGCGCGUGGACAUGUAGGCAAGAGGCAGCAGGUUCAGUCGCGAAAGAGCAGCUCGAUGAAGAAAUAAUUGUUUCGAUGGACUUCGUUCGUGGAUGAAAAUACAGAGGAAGAUGGGAAUAGAAGCAAGUGACAGAGGCUGCUUCGGUCUUUGCUUGGGACGCCGCGGAUGGAGGAAAAUUAAAGAGCAGGCAGGACUGAAUGAAGAUGGCUGAAGAAAUGAAGAGAUAAGGCCAAUUGGUCAAAUGAAUGAUUAAAAUGCCCCAAUAGUCCAAGCUGCAUCCUCUCAAUUAAAUGCAUUGUCCCCCUAAUUCUUUCCACAAUUUAAAUCUCACAAUAAUAUCCAAAUUGAAAUCCACCCCAUUCUUAAAUUCGAAUUUCACCAAUUAAAUUUUAAUUUCUUUACUCAAUUUCCCAAAUUGAGGUCCAAUUUCGAUGUAGAAAAAUCCCGAACAAUUUUCUAUGAUUCCCCGACACUCAAAGGCUCGGCUUGGAAGUCCAAAUUUCCAUUGACUUAGCCCAUCUGAAUUUCUGCCAAUUUUUUGCGACAUCCAAAUCAAUUUUCCAUAAAAAUCCUGGAAUUUCUGAAAAAUCUUCGGAGGAUGAGUCGACGUUUCUAAAAUAGCUCGUGACACCACAGAACUUUCAAUUUAUGAAAUCGAGUUCAAAUUCGCGGUUAUUUUCAAUCCGGUGCACUUUUAACGUGACCUAGUCUACCGGGUAACUUUUAGGAAUUUUUUGUGCAAUUUACCCGUGAUCGAUUUAUCUUGAGUCAAAAUGUACAUCUCCGACACAUUGGCGACUCUCAAUUGUCGUGAAAAUCUCGAGAUUUCAAUUACGGGUACCGGUACCAAAACAACAGAAAAUCAAUUUAGUUCCGAUUGAUGAGAAUUUUGUAAAAUCACCCACAAUUUGAUCACAUAUCUCAGUCAAAUCGACCUAUCUUUGAUCUCUAAUCGAUCUCUGACAGUGCCGUAACGACCCUUGCAGACUAACAAGGUCGAGUAGUCGGCUCCUGGUCGAAUUCUCAAGUCCAAUUGCAUUUAGAUUCCUUAAUUGUUUCCCCAGAUAGUCCAAUUAUCUCGUGAGUGAUCAGCUCAGAGAAUAACAUUAUUGGUGCAUCGACGAAAGGCCCGAUUUAUUUAAUCGAAAACGAAAUCUGAAAAUUGAGGCUGUCACACAAGGGGGAAAAGAAAAAAGUAUAGUUAUAGAGCAGCAAAUGUAUAGAUAAAUGAGAGUUACUUGGAGAUAAUAAACAAAACGAAAAGUUCAGUGCAUAUCAAAUUUACAACAAGCAUCAAAAUUUCGCAAAAUAUCUAUGAAAAACUAUGAGAACCCUAUAUCAAGUCUUACUAGAAAACACAAGUAGCCACACUUUCAUCCAAAAGCUCCAAAUUAUGAUUAGCACUGUCCAUUGCAUCACUUAUAAAUUAAUCCUAUGCAACAUUUCCAUAAUAAAGACCGGUCUCUUGUCUCGCCGUGAACAUAACCUAAGUGUUUGUAAUUAUGAUGUCCCCUCACAUUCACACACCUUCGAGGCAAUUCAGGGGAAGAACAAGAAUCACUCCAAAGUUGAACGUUGACUAAAGUCUUUUAUUUAUUUAUUAAUUUUUUGGAGUAGGUUUUGUCCGCAUUGCCUUGUCCCUUUCUUUGGUUAAAAGAGGACUUGGGAAAUGCAAUGAAGCGAGCAAGAUGAAGGAUGACUUUGACUUGCUUUCCCUCGCCUGACGCUAUGAAAUAUGAUUAGCUAACAACCAUGAUUUGGAAGUUGUAUGCUUUCCAUAUAAAUAACCAAUCAAGAUUGAUUUAAAUAUGAGUAUACAUCACCUCCUUCAUUACCUUCUUUUAAAUAUAAUUUAAGCAAGCUGCAAAUUAAAAAUAUGGAAUGAAAUAUAUCAAGCUGCUCUGAUUACAUCAUAAUUAUAUAAAAAGAAUUAUUACGAAUUUUUUAAUUCAAUCCAUUAUUAAGUCGUAGUAUGGGUGAAAAUUGAAAACUAUCAGCUAGAACCGUAUUCAAUUUUUAACGCAAAUCUUCUUUGGUUCCCACAUCCAAUGACCCAGCAACACUGCAGAAGACAGAGACCGUGUUUUCUCAUUUUCACACGUGCAAAAACCAAAGAUAUUUGCAUCCAUUUUACUUGCCAUAAACCAAAGUAAAACAUCUGUUUCAAAUUUCCCUCUCCUAGUUUUAAACAUUGAAGCUGUUUGACAUUAAGGGUGUGUUUGUCUUGUGAAAAAUGAAUUUGACAAACAUUUCCACUAAAAUCGCUAACAAUAACGAAUGAACAAAAGAUACUUUUAUGACUCAUGAAAAUGUUUGGACCUAAAUUUUGUCAAUAAUGAAAAUAAUUUUCAUUGGCUAAUUACGUUAAGUGAUAUAAGCAAUAAUUUUUAUGAUAUAAAUACCUUGCCAUGUGCAUGAAAAGUACGUUUGAGAGUGAUGUGCUUUUUGAAUAUCAUGCUCUUCAUGACAAGGGGGGUAAAUUUUACCGAAUGAAAUGGUUGUUUUUACAUGUUAAAAAAGAUGAGGUAUGACUAUAGUUAUUUUGUGUUGAAGACAAUCUUUCAGCUCUUCCCCUUGAUGGCAUGCAUAUUGUCUCUAGGAUGGUUUGUGUUUGUAAAUAAUAAAAGGUUUUCUUCUGUUUCUUUCCUACAUUUUCUGUUGACCUUGCAAUCUUUUGGCUGGUGAAGGUAAACAAUAUUCUUUGUUCACAUCAUGUGUUUAUCCUUUGCGUUUGUCUAUUAAGCAAUAGAAGCCAAGAUUUUUAACCUCGUUUCAAAGUCUUAAUAUUUGGUGGUACUAAGAUUAUGGGUGUGAAUGAAUUUAUUCCAAUUUGUUCUUUUCCAUUUUGGGCCACUGAUGUCUCAUCUCAGUCGACUGAUGAAAGAAAGAAGAGUCAAAGAUACAAUCUUAUUCCAUUUAUCCAACUAUUGCUCUGGAAGACACUUAAGAGAGUACCAAGAUACCUUCGAUUCCUGUGGUUAAUGACCAAUAAAAGCCAGCAAAAUGGGAUUUUUCAGAUCAGUUUAAUAGUCCAUUAUCUGUUAACUUGUUAAGCCCUAAAAUGACAAGAAUGUUCCUCAUCAGAAGGCAAAAAUUUUACUAAUUUUACAUGUUACUCCUUUUAAUAGAAUUCUCAUAAUAUGGAGCAAUUUUUUUUUUUAUCUUAUAUAUGUGCUGAAUUGUAUCCGGACCAAAAAAAAAUGUUGGAUCUAAUGUAAAUCUCAAAAAACAAAACAACUCACGAGCAGCAAAAGCGAAGCAAGCAGGGCGGAGGAAAAAGGAUUUUAUGAAUUUAAAUAAAGAUAAAAAUUUGACAAACUCUAUCAGGUAGCUAUUUUUGGAUAUGUUGAUGUAAUUUCAAGUAACAGAUAGCUUUCACAUGUCAAUUUCAACUCUUGCCAAACACUUGAUGAUAGACUAGCAUUAGGAUUACAUGUAUCAAAUAUUCGUGAGGUACAUUCAUGGACCAUGAUCUAUAUUGGCUCACUCUUGUCAAUUUAAAGGAAAAAGAGCAUAAUUAUAGAACAAUAAUAUUACCACAUUUGCUAUUAGAUAAAUAUAAGUUGUUUAGAGUCAAUAGGACAGUUUGAUGUAUAACAUAUUUAUGUAGUAUUGUGAAACAUUUAGAUUUUAAUAAAACACCUAAGAGAAACCAUGCAAACCCCAUACAAAGCCCCUGCUGCAAAAUACAAAUUUUAGUACAAUUAUUAUAUCAUAAUUCAUUUGCCCCGUCACAUCGUUUAUAAAUUAAAUUUAGACAAUAUUUUCACCAUAAAUAAUGGUUUAUGUUCUCCUCAUGUAACUAAGCAAGCAAAAUGGUGGAAGAAUUUGAUUUGCUUUCAAUUGCUAGAAUCUUUUUCCCCCAUUUCUUUUGAGUAGGUCUUGUUGGUUUGGCAAGCAAGAUGGCGGAAGACUUUGAUUUCUUUUCCUCGUCAAUCCUUUGCCUGCCUCCUCCUUCUUGUUAGCUUUUUCCUUACCACUUUCUUUGUAAUUGAGUGAGCAGGAUGGUGGAAGACUUUGAUUUGCUUUUCUUUGCCAGUUCUUCCUCUACCUCUUCUUUUAGGUCAUGUUAGCUUUUGCAUCGCUUUCUCUACAACUAAGCAAGUAAGAUGGUGGAAGACUUUGACUUGCUUUUCCUCGCCAAUCCUUCCCCUUCUCUUAGGUCUUGUUAGCUUUUGGCUUAUCACUUUCUUUGUAACUAAGGAAGCAAGAUGAUGGAAGACUUUGACUUGCUUUUCCUCACUAGUCCGUCCCCUCCCCCCCCCUUCCUUUAGGGGUGAGCACGGUUCCGGGGUAACCGGGAAACCGGGAACCGAACCGGAAGAGGGUCCCGGUUCGGUUCCCGANNNNNNNNNNNNNNNNNNNNNNNNNNNNNNNNNNNNNNNNNNNNNNNNNNNNNNNNNNNNNNNNNNNNNNNNNNNNNNNNNNNNNNNNNNNNNNNNNNNNAUUUAAAAAAAAACCCUAACGUCCCCUCCGCAAGAUUUCCCCCCCCCCUCUGCGGAUUCUUCCCCCCCUUUCCCUUUCUUUUCUCUCUCUCUCUCUUUCUUUUCUCCCCUUUUCCCUCGUCACGUCACUUCCUGCCCCCUCAACUUUUUUCUUUUCUUCUCUUUCUCUCUUCUCUUUCCUCCUCUCUCGGCCAAAACCCUACCCCUUCUUCUUCUUCUUUUUCUUCUUCCUCCUCCUCUUGCUGGCUGCUGCUUCACCCACCACCACACCGCUGCCCCACGCCCUACUCACCACCACCUCUUGGCCACCGAACCACCACCACCCACCGCUCGUCCGACAAGCCGUCUCGCCGUUGAGUCUGACGAGCUGUCGCGCCGUUCGCGCCGCCCCUCGCCGCUGUGAGCCACCGCCGCCGUCCCCAAGCCACCGUCACCACCUCUUGCCGCCGCCGCCUGAGAUUAGCUUCCGGUCCGUACUGAAAUGUCGCUCUCCGCGGCGUUCGGCAAGUGGCUGGAACAACUGGACCGGACCAGGAACCAGCGCCUCUCUCUCUCCUCCAGGUCUACUCCACCGCGACGCGAUCUCUCGAACUUUUCUUCGUGAGGCGAUCGGUUUGGAUCGGUAGCGGAUGAGAGGUGCUGGAAGUUUUUGCAGGCGAAGAGAGAGAGCUGCAAGCCGCCAAAUCGCUGGUCCUGGAGUCGAAGCGCGCGGCCAUCAGGUCGAUGGAAGAGAGGUGCUUGAGGCUCGAGUGGAGCCUGGCUUCGCAGAGCUUGAAGAUCUCGGCUCUCGAAUCUAAGAUUGCCGCUCUCGAUGCCGAGUACGACAACAAUGUCCAGCGACUGAGGUGAAGCAUAGACUUGUCAUCAUAAGAUUUUGGUCGCAUGUUAUGGCUUAUUUGUGCUUGAUUUUAGGGAGUUGAAGUGCGAGGUGGAGGAGCUUGAGGAGGCGGAGAAGGAGAAGGACGGAUUCUACCGAGCGCAGACCAGCGAAAUGAAGGAUUUUAAAGAAGCUACUAACGGAUUCGUCGUGGAUUGCCAGAUUUGCAUAGAGGAAUUAAGAGACGAGCUAAAUGAGGUAAAAGAGAAGCUCUCUAUUUUCGGAUCCUUGAGCUAACGUGAUACUGUGCUGGAUCAUUCUGUUAGCUGGAUCAAAGGCUGCAAGGUGAUAGCAAUAACGGUGAACUUUUAUCGCUUGUUUGGCUACUAUACCAGAGAAUGAAGAAAGAUUAUUUUCCCCUGUUAUCUUCGCUCAUGUUCGAUUUUGAUUUGAUGAAAUAGAGCUAUGGUUCAUCUUGAGUAGCAUACGAGAUAACUUGAAGAUAUAAAGUAUCAUGUUUUGAUAUUCUAUGACUGCAAUUAUUUGUGAUGUGCUAACUGCAAAAUGAAGUGGAUUUACAAGAGUCCAUGCAAUUGCUUCUCCCACAAUAUACCGUAUAGGCAGAACUAGCUGGAGAUGCUUCCAUAUGGUAUGUUGCUUGAGACCAAUAUGCGACUCUGCACGAAUGAUUGAUGGUGCUAUGAACUGGUCUCAAUCUCGUGAACUAAUUCUUUGCUUAGUUUUUCAGCAUGGUCGUCGUGGCCACCGGCAAAUGAGUACACUCGAAUGCGAAUUGAAAAGCCCUUCAAAGCAUUUUUGUGUAAUUAGUUCUUUGUGUUUGUGAUUUUGUUAACGUCAGUUUGUUCUCAAUUUCCUUUGCUUCUCUGCUUUCCUGUGUCAGAUCCAAAAAAGAAAGGAGCAGUUGAGGGCUCACGUUCUCUUCCCCGAGUAAUAUGUAAAUUGUGAAGACGGCUCACUGGUCAAGAGCGAAAUGCCAAGAGCCUAUGCUCAUACAACAUGCCUGUAGUUAUUAUUAUGAAACACAUUAACGAUAAGGAAUCACCAAAUUAUACAUUAGACAAUGUUUUCUCUAGAAAACUAUGAAAUUAGUUGUCUAUUUGGAUGUAAAAGAUUCACAUUGCUGUGUAUUGGUAGGUACUGAAAAUGGAGGGCCAACUAUUAAAUUAUUUCGGCUUCCGGAUAUUCGUGCCCACUACGAAAAUGAAAAAAAAAAAAAAAGAACCUGUUGGAACUUGGAACCGACCCCGGAGCGUGUGACAGGGUAGGUUCCAGGUUCUCGGUUCUGACGGGUAGGUUCUAGGUUCCAAAAAUUGAGGAACAUGUACCCGAGGGUAGGUUCCAGGUUCCAGGUUCCCGACGGAACUGAACCGGAACCGGGAACCGCUCACCCCUACCUUCCUUUUAGGUCUUGUCAGCUUUUGUCUUAUCUCUUUCUUUGUAACUAAGCAAGCAAGUUGGUGGAACACUUUGACUUGCUUUUCCUCACCGGUCCUUCCCCCCUCCCCCCUCUUCUUUUAGGUCUUGUCAGCUUUUGCCUUAUCGCUUUCUUUGCAAAGCAAGCAAGACGGUGGGAAUAUUUUUGACUUGCUUUUCCUNNNNNNNNNNNNNNNNNNNNNNNNNNNNNNNNNNNNNNNNNNNNNNNNNNNNNNNNNNNNNNNNNNNNNNNNNNNNNNNNNNNNNNNNNNNNNNNNNNNNNNNNNNNNNNNNNNNNNNNNNNNNNNNNNNNNNNNNNNNNNNNNNNNNNNNNNNNNNNNNNNNNNNNNNNNNNNNNNNNNNNNNNNNNNNNNNNNNNNNNNNNNNNNNNNNNNNNNNNNNNNNNNNNNNNNNNNNNNNNNNNNNNNNNNNNNNNNNNNNNNNNNNNNNNNNNNNNNNNNNNNNNNNNNNNNNNNNNNNNNNNNNNNNNNNNNNNNNNNNNNNNNNNNNNNNNNNNNNNNNNNNNNNNNNNNNNNNNNNNNNNNNNNNNNNNNNNNNNNNNNNNNNNNNNNNNNNNNNNNNNNNNNNNNNNNNNNNNNNNNNNNNNNNNNNNNNNNNNNNNNNNNNNNNNNNNNNNNNNNNNNNNNNNNNNNNNNNNNNNNNNNNNNNNNNNNNNNNNNNNNNNNNNNNNNNNNNNNNNNNNNNNNNNNNNNNNNNNNNNNNNNNNNNNNNNNNNNNNNNNNNNNNNNNNNNNNNNNNNNNNNNNNNNNNNNNNNNNNNNNNNNNNNNNNNNNNNNNNNNNNNNNNNNNNNNNNNNNNNNNNNNNNNNNNNNNNNNNNNNNNNNNNNNNNNNNNNNNNNNNNNNNNNNNNNNNNNNNNNNNNNNNNNNNNNNNNNNNNNNNNNNNNNNNNNNNNNNNNNNNNNNNNNNNNNNNNNNNNNNNNNNNNNNNNNNNNNNNNNNNNNNNNNNNNNNNNNNNNNNNNNNNNNNNNNNNNNNNNNNNNNNNNNNNNNNNNNNNNNNNNNNNNNNNNNNNNNNNNNNNNNNNNNGAAGCCUUUAUUUUCGACUUUAGAUGUGGCUAAUCCUAUGAUGGCCUUAUUACACGAUUGUUGGUUGCAUCGUAAUUCAGUACUGAUCUCUUUUUGAACUAGAAAGAGUAGGUCUGCAAGCACGCUAGACUCUAUUAAUUGCCACAUUUCGCUUGAAUCCGGAGACCUUCUUUUAUCUUCUUUUUCUUCCAUUGAAUAAGUACCUAAUUUCUAAUUGUUCAGACUAACAUGAAGAAAGAAAAGAGUGCAUAAAAAGAGAGCACUGAGGGAGCAUCCGCUCCUCCGUUUGGUGCCGUCUAACAAAUUAUAUUUCUAGUUUACAAGGAGAAGGAAGGCUUUGUGCUGUGCAGGAGGAGAAAUCUAUGGCCAAAUUAAAUUUAAAAUCACAUUCAUAAUUACUAGCUAGGUCCUUUCUUCACGCCUUCCCCACAUUUCCAAUUUUGUCUCAGCUCAGUUAUCAGCUUUUCAAUGAUUUAUCAAAUUCUUUGACAAAAAAUGAUUUAUUAAAAAUUUUAUUUUCAAUAAUCAAGUAAAAACUGAACCACUACGUAUAAUUUUGAACGAAUGCAAUCUGCUUGUACAUAGAUUCCAUUAUUCUAUAGCCCAAUUAAGAAAUUAAUGUACGCGUUAUAUGUUAGGGGACCAAAGCCGGCAAGAUUGACUUGACUAGAGGAUGAUAUCCAAAAGAAGAUAAAGCAAGGAUUAAAAGCAUCAGCGACUGCUCCUAGUCAAUCAAAUAAUAAUUAAUUAAUAAUUUCAUGUUUCUUUUUUCUUGCUUGGUAAAAGAUUUCAUGUCCAUACUUGUUCAUACUUCAUAGAGACUAAUUAUCAAUCCUUUUAUGCAGCAGAGAGCAUCAUUCUCUCACUUUUCCCACUCAGAUGCAUUGACAAAGGGCGGAGUCACACUGAAACAAACGANNNNNNNNNNNNNNNNNNNNNNNNNNNNNNNNNNNNNNNNNNNNNNNNNNNNNNNNNNNNNNNNNNNNNNNNNNNNNNNNNNNNNNNNNNNNNNNNNNNNNNNNNNNNNNNNNNNNNNNNNNNNNNNNNNNNNNNNNNNNNNNNNNNNNNNNNNNNNNNNNNNNNNNNNNNNNNNNNNNNNNNNNNNNNNNNNNNNNNNNNNNNNNNNNNNNNNNNNNNNNNNNNNNNNNNNNNNNNNNNNNNNNNNNNNNNNNNNNNNNNNNNNNNNNNNNNNNNNNNNNNNNNNNNNNNNNNNNNNNNNNNNNNNNNNNNNNNNNNNNNNNNNNNNNNNNNNNNNNNNNNNNNNNNNNNNNNNNNNNNNNNNNNNNNNNNNNNNNNNNNNNNNNNNNNNNNNNNNNNNNNNNNNNNNNNNNNNNNNNNNNNNNNNNNNNNNNNNNNNNNNNNNNNNNNNNNNNNNNNNNNNNNNNNNNNNNNNNNNNNNNNNNNNNNNNNNNNNNNNNNNNNNNNNNNNNNNNNNNNNNNNNNNNNNNNNNNNNNNNNNNNNNNNNNNNNNNNNNNNNNNNNNNNNNNNNNNNNNNNNNNNNNNNNNNNNNNNNNNNNNNNNNNNNNNNNNNNNNNNNNNNNNNNNNNNNNNNNNNNNNNNNNNNNNNNNNNNNNNNNNNNNNNNNNNNNNNNNNNNNNNNNNNNNNNNNNNNNNNNNNNNNNNNNNNNNNNNNNNNNNNNNNNNNNNNNNNNNNNNNNNNNNNNNNNNNNNNNNNNNNNNNNNNNNNNNNNNNNNNNNNNNNNNNNNNNNNNNNNNNNNNNNNNNNNNNNNNNNNNNNNNNNNNNNNNNNNNNNNNNNNNNNNNNNNNNNNNNNNNNNNNNNNNNNNNNNNNNNNNNNNNNNNNNNNNNNNNNNNNNNNNNNNNNNNNNNNNNNNNNNNNNNNNNNNNNNNNNNNNNNNNNNNNNNNNNNNNNNNNNNNNNNNNNNNNNNNNNNNNNNNNNNNNNNNNNNNNNNNNNNNNNNNNNNNNNNNNNNNNNNNNNNNNNNNNNNNNNNNNNNNNNNNNNNNNNNNNNNNNNNNNNNNNNNNNNNNNNNNNNNNNNNNNNNNNNNNNNNNNNNNNNNNNNNNNNNNNNNNNNNNNNNNNNNNNNNNNNNNNNNNNNNNNNNNNNNNNNNNNNNNNNNNNNNNNNNNNNNNNNNNNNNNNNNNNNNNNNNNNNNNNNNNNNNNNNNNNNNNNNNNNNNNNNNNNNNNNNNNNNNNNNNNNNNNNNNNNNNNNNNNNNNNNNNNNNNNNNNNNNNNNNNNNNNNNNNNNNNNNNNNNNNNNNNNNNNNNNNNNNNNNNNNNNNNNNNNNNNNNNNNNNNNNNNNNNNNNNNNNNNNNNNNNNNNNNNNNNNNNNNNNNNNNNNNNNNNNNNNNNNNNNNNNNNNNNNNNNNNNNNNNNNNNNNNNNNNNNNNNNNNNNNNNNNNNNNNNNNNNNNNNNNNNNNNNNNNNNNNNNNNNNNNNNNNNNNNNNNNNNNNNNNNNNNNNNNNNNNNNNNNNNNNNNNNNNNNNNNNNNNNNNNNNNNNNNNNNNNNNNNNNNNNNNNNNNNNNNNNNNNNNNNNNNNNNNNNNNNNNNNNNNNNNNNNNNNNNNNNNNNNNNNNNNNNNNNNNNNNNNNNNNNNNNNNNNNNNNNNNNNNNNNNNNNNNNNNNNNNNNNNNNNNNNNNNNNNNNNNNNNNNNNNNNNNNNNNNNNNNNNNNNNNNNNNNNNNNNNNNNNNNNNNNNNNNNNNNNNNNNNNNNNNNNNNNNNNNNNNNNNNNNNNNNNNNNNNNNNNNNNNNNNNNNNNNNNNNNNNNNNNNNNNNNNNNNNNNNNNNNNNNNNNNNNNNNNNNNNNNNNNNNNNNNNNNNNNNNNNNNNNNNNNNNNNNNNNNNNNNNNNNNNNNNNNNNNNNNNNNNNNNNNNNNNNNNNNNAAAAUCAUUUAAAGCCUAAAACAUCCAAAAUACUCAGUUUUGCAAAAAUAACUCUUUUUUUUUUCUUGAAAAUUGUUAAAAAUAUUUUCCAAAUAUCGAUCAUGCUAGUUUUUUCUCUUCAAUAAUGCACAAAACCUUUCAUAGGCUACAAAUCAAAAUUGUCAACAAUAAAAAUUUAUCUAAACAUAUCCGAUCAACUAGAGAAUUUUUGGUUGUCCACAAAACCAUUUCUCAUUAUAUUGGCAAUUUUCAUAUUUUUGGAAAAAUGAUAGAAAAUUCAAAUUUUUUCCAAUUAUAAAAAAUUCACCAUUGUACCUUUUUUUUUCUCAUUUUUUUUUUGGUGCUAGUUACAAUGGAAAACUUGAAAGUAAGCAAAGCUACUGGUUUCAAUGCACUUGCACGUAUUAAUUAUGUGGACAAUUUUUCGCCCCCACUUUAUCUUUGUGGAUUGAAUUAGAGAAACUUAUCAUAAAAUGUGCUUUUCAUGCGAAUUUAUUGCUUACAGCAAAGACAUGACUUUUACGUAUAUAUAGUGCCGGAAAUUAUUGACCUACAAUGGAUUUGACAAUAUGAUUUAUGCAUCUUUGUGGUGGGAGGAAAGUGCUGCACCUACGGUAGUAAGAACGUCUUUGGUAAUAAUAUAAUGGAAGAUUUACAAGCUGGUUAGAGCCACAUUUAUCUAUUUAACAAAGUGAUUUUUAAGUGGAUAUGAAUGGAAGUGGUCAUUCUGUACUCUCGUCCGAAUUGUGUGGCUUGACUUUGCUUGCCAUCUGAAAAGAAUUUUUAUUGCUACCAGUCAAUUAGCCUAUCGUCCUAUGAAGCACGGACACGUUACACGUGCUUCCGUGUCGUGUCCAACACGUGUCAACACGCUCGGACACACGUUGACUGCAUGUCCCAAAAACAAUGGAGGGUGGAGGCGAGGGCGAGGGAGCAUAGAUGAGGCCACGAGCGAUGGCGAGAGAUGGCCAAAGAAAGAGCAGAGACUGAGGCGAGGACCGCCACUUUGUGAUGCUGUGAUGGAUCGGUGACGAGGCUACAGCUGCGAGGGAGGAAGAGCUGGAGGCGAGGCAGUGAGCGAUUGUGAUGAGGACUGAGAGCAAGCAAAGAUCGAGAGGAAGGGGUCAUGCGGCGAGGAGGAGGAGAAGAAGGUCACUGCUAGGGUUUUGAGAAGGAAACUAAAAGAAUAAAAAUGGGAUUUGGCGUGUUGGAGGGAGGGAGAAGUGACAGGAAGGAGGGGUAAGUGUCAGGCAAUGUUGCACGGACACAUUGCCCAUGCUUUCGUGUCGUGUCCGACACGUGUUGGACCGUGUCAGACACGUUGACACGGUUGGACACGCAGUCAAUGCAUGUCCGAUUUUCCGACACGUUAUCAACUUUUGCUCAACACGUUUCGACACACAUGUCUGGAAGACGAUGGAGGGUGGAGGCAAGGAUGAGGGAGCAAAGACGAGGCCGCGAGGGACGGCAAGAGAUGGCUAGAGAAAGAGCAUAGAUUGAGGCGAGGGCCGCCACUAUGAUGCUGCGAUAGAUUAGUGACAAGGUUGCAGCUGCGAGGGAGAAAGGGCCAAAGGCGAGGCGGUAAACGAUUGUGAUGAGAAUCGAGAGCAAGCAGAGAUCGAGAGGAAGAGGAGAGGAAGGCGGUUGUGCGGCAAGCGGCGAGGAAGGGGGUCGUGCGGCGAGGAGGAGGAGGAGAAGGAUCGAGAGGAAGGGUCGUGCGGCAAGUGGCGAAGAGGAGGAAGUAAAGGAGCUAAGGUUUUUGAUAAGAAACUCUAAAUGAUAAAAAAAAAGAAAUGGGGACUCUGAUGGGCCAUCAGUGAUGGCGUGACUUUUGGGAGAGGGGGAGUGACAGGGACAGCCUAGGUGGUGGGGAGGGAAAGAAAAUUAAAAUUAGGGUGGGGGGAAAUGGACGAUGGUGGGGAAGGAAAGAAAUUUAAAUUUGGGGAUGGGGGGAAAUGGACGAGGGAGAGAAGAGAGUGGGGGUGGACCCCAGUAGGGAUUUUUUUAAUGGGAAAAAUAAAUAAAUGGGAUUAAAAAAUAAUUUCGGAAAAUAAAAUUACUGAAUUUGNNNNNNNNNNNNNNNNNNNNNNNNNNNNNNNNNNNNNNNNNNNNNNNNNNNNNNNNNNNNNNNNNNNNNNNNNNNNNNNNNNNNNNNNNNNNNNNNNNNNNNNNNNNNNNNNNNNNNNNNNNNNNNNNNNNNNNNNNNNNNNNNNNNNNNNNNNNNNNNNNNNNNNNNNNNNNNNNNNNNNNNNNNNNNNNNNNNNNNNNNNNNNNNNNNNNNNNNNNNNNNNNNNNNNNNNNNNNNNNNNNNNNNNNNNNNNNNNNNNNNNNNNNNNNNNNNNNNNNNNNNNNNNNNNNNNNNNNNNNNNNNNNNNNNNNNNNNNNNNNNNNNNNNNNNNNNNNNNNNNNNNNNNNNNNNNNNNNNNNNNNNNNNNNNNNNNNNNNNNNNNNNNNNNNNNNNNNNNNNNNNNNNNNNNNNNNNNNNNNNNNNNNNNNNNNNNNNNNNNNNNNNNNNNNNNNNNNNNNNNNNNNNNNNNNNNNNNNNNNNNNNNNNNNNNNNNNNNNNNNNNNNNNNNNNNNNNNNNNNNNNNNNNNNNNNNNNNNNNNNNNNNNNNNNNNNNNNNNNNNNNNNNNNNNNNNNNNNNNNNNNNNNNNNNNNNNNNNNNNNNNNNNNNNNNNNNNNNNNNNNNNCGGCUGAACUAGUGUCUUCUGGGCCCUUUUUGUCUACUGGGGAUGUGGGGUGGCUGCUGAAUAGCCGAGGAGGGUGUCUUUUAUUCUCUCUUUUGGAAUCGUUGUUGCCUGUUAACGAGGUACCUUAGCUCAGAUUUGACUUCGGUGAAAAAAGAAAGCCUUUAUUUUCGACUUUAGAUGUGGCUAAUCCUAUGAUGGCCUUAUUACACGAUUGUUGGUUGCAUCGUAAUUCAGUACUGAUCUCUUUUUGAACUAGAAAGAGUAGGUCUGCAAGCACGCUAGACUCUAUUAAUUGCCACAUUUCGCUUGAAUCCGGAGACCUUCUUUUAUCUUCUUUUUCUUCCAUUGAAUAAGUACCUAAUUUCUAAUUGUUCAGACUAACAUGAAGAAAGAAAAGAGUGCAUAAAAAGAGAGCACUGAGGGAGCAUCCGCUCCUCCGUUUGGUGCCGUCUAACAAAUUAUAUUUCUAGUUUACAAGGAGAAGGAAGGCUUUGUGCUGUGCAGGAGGAGAAAUCUAUGGCCAAAUUAAAUUUAAAAUCACAUUCAUAAUUACUAGCUAGGUCCUUUCUUCACGCCUUCCCCACAUUUCCAAUUUUGUCUCAGCUCAGUUAUCAGCUUUUCAAUGAUUUAUCAAAUUCUUUGACAAAAAAUGAUUUAUUAAAAAUUUUAUUUUCAAUAAUCAAGUAAAAACUGAACCACUACGUAUAAUUUUGAACGAAUGCAAUCUGCUUGUACAUAGAUUCCAUUAUUCUAUAGCCCAAUUAAGAAAUUAAUGUACGCGUUAUAUGUUAGGGGACCAAAGCCGGCAAGAUUGACUUGACUAGAGGAUGAUAUCCAAAAGAAGAUAAAGCAAGGAUUAAAAGCAUCAGCGACUGCUCCUAGUCAAUCAAAUAAUAAUUAAUUAAUAAUUUCAUGUUUCUUUUUUCUUGCUUGGUAAAAGAUUUCAUGUCCAUACUUGUUCAUACUUCAUAGAGACUAAUUAUCAAUCCUUUUAUGCAGCAGGAGAGCAUCAUUCUCUCCAACUUUCCCACUCAGAUUGCCAUUGACAAAGGGCGGAGUCACACUGAAACAAACGAAGGGUUGCACCCUUUAAUAAUGCCCGCGGUGCUUGCGGCGACCAUUCUUUUUGGUAUUCUUGCAUUCAAUCUUGUCAAGAAGAAGAGAGCAUCCACACCUUCGUUCAUCUCUCCAACACUCAUAGAAAUUGGUAAUAAUCAUUAUGAUGUGUUCUUGAGCUUUAGAGGGUCAGAUACCCGCAAGGGAUUCACCGAUCACCUCUAUCACAGUUUAGUCAAGGCAGGGAUUGCACCAGGUUUUGUGUUCAGGGAUGCUAAGAGCGUCCAAAUUGGUGAGGAAUUUGGUCCACGAAUUCUCAAUGCCAUCGCUUGGUCUAAGAUUUCGAUUCUCAUCAUCUCAGAAAAUUAUGCUUCAAGCAAAUGGUGCCUCCGCGAGCUUAUUCAUAUCAUGGAUCGCGCGAAGAGCACAUCACACACAGUUUUGCCCAUCUUUUAUAAAGUGGACCCAUCGGAUGUGGGGCAUCUAAAAGGAAACUUUGGGAAGGCCUUUCAUUCAUGUAAGAAGUAUUUUGAUGAGGAGGAUAUCCAUAAAGGGCAGCAAGCACUCAGAGAAGUGAGUCAAUUACAUGGAUGGGAGUCCGAGAAAGUUGCUAACGGGUACUUUGCUUCCACCUAAACUUCUCUUUUUUGAUAAGUACGUUUUGGGGAAAUUACCCAAAAAAAUAAUCUAUUAUAACAUUGAUAGUUUAGUUCUAGACCUUUUCAUUUAGUUAUUUUAGUCCUAAACCUUUUGAAAAUCUACCAAUAUAGUCCAUCCGACUGAUUUUAGCUAGAAAUCCCUUCUUUCUCUCCGGUUGCUAGCCUCCUUGAUGGCUGGCAACAGGCUAUGGACUAGGGUUGGUGAGGCUCGUCCUCCCUGUCAAGGGCCAACCUCGCCCGAAUCUUGUCCUUCUAAAGAGGUCAGGCCAACACAAAAUGAAAUGACCGUUGGUGAUCAUCCCCCAUUGUUAUUUGUAAAACCAAAACAUUUUGCUUGUUAAUUGGUCCCAUCCAUUCUUCACAUGUCUGUCGGUGACUUUUGAUGAGAUUAAGUAUAAUCAUGAAAUUAUCAAUGCAUUUUUUUUUUUUACAGGCAUGAAGGAGAAUUAGUGAAAAAAGUUAUCGAAGAUGUUUGGAGCAAGUUGCAACAAGAUUUUCAGCUUGAUGUUACGAAGCACUUAGUUGGAAUUGAUGAUCAUGUGAACAAAAUAAUGAAUUGGGUAGACACUCCUACCACUGAUCCUCGAAUGAUUGGAAUCUAUGGCAUGGGUGGGAUCGGAAAAACGACUCUUGCCAAGGUAAUCUAUAACCAGCUAUUGAAACGCUUUGUGCAUCAUAGCUUCCUUGCAGAUAUUCGAGAAACAACUUGCUGCAAAAAAAUUGUUUAUUUACAAAAGCAACUAAUUAAGGACAUUCUAAAAGUUGAACAUGAAUUUUGGAAUGUCGAUGAUGGAAUUAGAUGGAUUGAAUCUGGAUUUAGAGGAAAAAAGGUUCUCAUUCUUCUGGAUGAUAUAGAUCACAAUGAUCAAUUAAAUGCUUUGGCUAGAGAAUGUAAUUGGUUUAUGGAGGGAAGUAUUAUUAUUGUUACAACCAGAUAUGAAGCCGUUCUUGAUCAUUCUGAAUUCCAGGUGGACAAGUAUGACUUGAAUGAAUUGGAUCGGGAGCAUGCUUUGCUUUUGUUUAAUAGACAUGCAUUUCGUACAAACCAUUCUUCGAUAGAAUUUGAGGGUCUAUCUCAUGACAUUGUAUCCACCAUGGGUGGGCUUCCCUUGGCACUUAAGGUCGUAGGUUCAUACUUGUAUAAAAAAACGAAUCGAAAAGUAUGGGAAGAUGUGUGGAGGCAGUUAAAAAACCAACCAUGUGGAGACGUCCAAAAAACAUUGCGAAUAAGUUAUGAUGCAUUAAAGGAUGGACAUAAGCAGAUUUUUCUCGAUAUUGUUUGUUUCUUUAUUGGCGAAAAGAGUAAAUAUGCCAUGUACAUGUGGGAGGAUUGUGGGUUUUAUCCAAGUGAAGGUAUUGAAGAGUUGAAGUUGAGGUGCUUAAUUAAAAUUGGAGAUGAUGGUAAAUUUGAGGUGCAUGAUCAAUUGAGAGAUCUUGGAAGGAGCAUUUUUUGCCAAGGACAACCUAGCGGACCAUGGGACGACGACUACGAGGGAAUCACAAAAGUACUAAGACCCCGUGAAUGGGUAAAUAUGGCACUCCAUUCUUUUUCUUUCCCUCUUAUUUUAAUAUAUUUAAUUUGAUCUAUACUAAUAUUUUUUCUGGCAUGAACAGAUGCUCUUACUUUUUAGGAAAAAAGAUCUAUGUAAACAUCCAAUUAUGUCCAUCUUAGAUUAUUUGUGACAACUAAAAGGAUUAUAUGUAUUUAAAGGAUGAACAAGUUAUACCAUUUGAUUCGAUUUCAUUGACAUAAAUUACAUUUAUAAAGAUUUGCUUGACAAUCAAUUUAAGAUCCUUUAACUACAAUUUUGCUCUAUAAAACUCAUUUACUAAAAGCAUGCCAUUGUCAUAUCUAGUUGAAAAUAUUGAUAAUCUGAAGGACUACAAGAACGAAUGUAGAUGAAGUGCAAACAUCAUAGAUCAGAUAAAUGAAGAUGUCUGGGUUUAAAAAAAAAAAAAGAUAGUAUGUGCCAAUUACAAUAAUUGAUAAUUAAUUCAAAACAAUAAGAUUCGAAAAAAUUUCACACUUAUGAUACGUGCUUAUUUUCUAGUAUGGCCGAAUGUAUUGGGGGCUCUUGUGAUUCGGGAAUCCAAUGUUUGAUAUUAUUUUCUCCAUUUUGAUUUUGAAGAUAUCGGUCUCUCUAUUAGUUAUAUCUCUCUCUUUUCAUUCGUAUUUCCUCUUAAUAGAUAAGAUAGCAAAAAUCUCCUUAAAAAUACUUUUAGGAAGAUCUUACGAUUUUUAGAAGUUUUAUCCCGUUGACCUUGCUCAUUUCAUGGAUUAGGUUAGGUGUAUGAUAAAGAGUGGAUUUUAUUGUAACAAACAUUUCUAUCCGCUAUAAGUUUUCUUAUAUUAUUUAUAUUGUUAGGGACAAUGCCUCUUUCAUGCUAGAAAUGUCUAGACUGAAUUGACUAUUUAUAAUUUUUUUUUUUAAAAAAAGACCAGUUAAAGGAAAUGCCAUGCUAAUUAUUAUAUCCAUACCCUUGUCUUAUGAUAUAUGAUUUUCAGCAUGAAGUCAAUUUUUUGAACUAUGUUUUAUCUUUUACUUAAAUUAUCAAUGUUCAUGUCAUUUUAUUAUUAUAUAUUGUCCAUUUGGGAUGCCUCAUAGGCUCAUGGCUGAUCAAAGGCGAGGAAUUAACCCUAGCAAUUAACCAAGAGAUGGGCAAACAAAACGGCUUUAUAUUCUUGAUAUAAUUUGAAAUAGUUUGUUCCUAUGAUUCCAUAUCACACUCUUUUGUUUUUUUGUCGGUCACUCUUUUGUUGAUCCAAUAACUUUUUAACAUUAGCAAAAAGAGCACACCAUACGGGUGUUUGAAAAAUCAAAAAAAAAAAAAAAGAAGUCAAAUAUGUUUUGAAUGGAAAAAAUAGCUGAAAGAUGAUAAUUAGUGUGGUAAAAAAAAUUAAUGAUUGUACGAUUCGAGAGAUUUUGAUUUAAUUUUGCAAAUUGAAAUACAUAUGGGAAUAAUUUCCAAUUGUCUUGACUAUUUCAAAUAUGAUUAUAUCUAUUUUGUUAUAUCAUAUUUUUUCAGUUCAUUUUGGUGAAAUAUAUGUGUAUUGUGUGGAAACUUUUGACGAAAGUUUGAGGUUUGAAAUCCCAUUUCCAUAUAGUAGAUUUUUUAAUGUAAUACAUAGUAUAGAUCGAUGUACAAGCGAAAAUCAUUGAAGAUAGUGUGGGAUGGUGAUUAUAACAAUUUAGCGACAUUUUAGGCAAAUAGACUUAAGAGAAUUUAUUCCCAUUGCAUUUCACUGGUUAAUAUUUAAAGCAUAGAUAACGACAAAGGUGUCAACCUGUAAAAGCGAAUUUCUAACCAAUUAAACAUUUGGGGGAAAACAUAGGUAUUAUUACAAAAUUCAAAUAAAGCCAUAAGGGAAUUUCUUUUGCCGUCUUCAACUAAUUAGAGGAUCUGUGUUUAUAAGAUGGAAAAAGAAACGAUGCAAUUCUUAUGGAAACGGACAUGUGAUGAUUAAACAAUGUCACCACAUUACUUUUUAGUUAAUCGGUUUGUUUUCUAGUUGUUCUGAAAGCGACUUAUUUUUUUCAAUCCCGGUCAAAACUGCAAACCAAUGUCAUCACGUCACUUUUUAAACAUACUUCACCGAAAAACAAAAAAACGUUUCAAUUUUCAAAGAAAUGAGUAAACACUUCGCACAAAUAGUUAAUGAUGUUAAAGACAUUUAGAUAUCUUCUAGAGAUAUUUAGAAUAUUUCUUUUGAUUUUCUAUAUCUAUUUUGAUUAUAUAGAUAUAUAUAUAUAUAUAUAUAUAUAUCAGAUUUGAUUUCUUUUUAUUUCCCUCCAUGUAAUCCUUUCUAUAUAUCUAAAUAUAUUAAAAACUUCACUUUUCUUCUCUCUUGUAUUAUUAUAUUUAACUAAUGAAAUGAAAAUAGGGUGCUUUCUUAGUUGCUUACAGGUGGCCCAUCGGCACUCUUUAACAAAUUCUUUUGAAAAAUUAUACAUAAGUCAUUUGAAACUUUACAAGUAAACAUUUGUACGUUGUAAAAUGGUUUCAUGUAUUUUGUCUUAAAUGAAAGUCAAAAUUCACACGCUACAAAUUAAAAAAAAAAAAAAACAAGAGAUGAAACAUCGAGGUGCAUUUGCCUUAGUUGUUUUAAAGCAGUAAUUAUUUUUUCCUUUAUUUUCGUGUCAUUUGAAAAAAAAAAAAAAGAAUUAAAUGUAAGUUCACAUAUCCAUAUAUGUAUAGGGGAAGGAUGGAAAGGUGUCAGAUCGUGCAAAUCCAAGAUUUGAAAAAAGCAAAAACUAAAAAUUUAAAAAAACUUGCAGGGACACCCCUGGUUCCACGACUUUUUAGGGGCAGCUUCAAGUGAACACUCCAAGCAACUCCUUUCUGAAGUGAGAUGGCUUCGGUGGAACUUUAUUAAAAGCGAUGCAUCUCUUUUGACGGACAAUUUGCAUCUACCAAAAUUAUCGGUGCUGGAGUUAUUGAAAAGCGAUAUCACCGAGGAUUGGGAAGGAUGGAGUUCAUUCAUGGUAAGAUUGAAAAAAGAAGACAUAAUUUCUGCAAUUUUAGAGUUCUGUUCAUGUUUAGCCGAUCAACUCAUUUUUUCACAGCUUAUUCUCUUUUUGUAUUAGGCAUCAAAGCAGCUUAAAGUUCUCAAUCUGAGGCUUAAAUUAAGGCGUACUCCUGAUCUCUCGGCUUUCACGCAGUUGAAGAUUCUCAAGUUGAGCUGCUGUAAGAAAUUGAAGCAUCUCCACCCUUCUAUUGGCAAACUCACGAGCCUCAUUUCCUUGAAUUUGAAUUGCUGUAAGCAUCUCAAGGAGUUACCAAAGGAGGUGGGUGAACUCACGAGCCUCGUUUCCUUGGACUUGCGUUCCUGUGAAAGUCUCAAGAAGUUACCAAAGGAGGUGGGUAAACUGACGAGCCUCAUUUCCUUGAACUUGUGUUACUGUGAAAGUCUCGAGGAGUUAUCAAAGGAGGUGGGCAAACUCACGAGCCUCGUUUCCUUGGACUUGCGUUACUGUGAAAGUCUCGAGGAGUUACCAAAGGAGGUGGGUGAAUUAAAAGAUUUAAAAGAACUUUUAUUAAUUGUUACUGGUAUUACAAAGAUUCCUCCGUCUAUUGGUUCUCUGAGGAAGCUGGAGACAUUAAGUGCCGAUUCUUGUUACUCAUUGAGAGAAAUCCCUGGCUCAAUUUGGGAUUUACAGAAUUUGCAACAUCUUUACUUGAGUGACUCUGGGAUCGAAAAGCUUCCUAGUGCUAUUGGAAGGUUCAAAAAUCUAUGGACUCUAGAUCUCUCAUCCUGCGAUAGUCUGAAAAGGGUAAUUCCAAGUGAAAUUGGCGACUUGCCUUUCCUUAAGGAUCUCAAUCUCUCUGGCACACCAAUAUCUGACCUUCCAGAAAGCGUCCAGAAUCUUUCUUCUCUCCAAGGCCUUUACCUAAUGGGCUCUAAGUAGGGGUGUCAAUAGUUUGGUUCGGUUCAGUUUUUCAAAAAAACCGAACCGAAUCGAACCGUUAGAAAAAACUUUUAAACUGAACCGAACGAGACCCGAAUCGAAUACGAACCGAAUCGAAAAUUUCGGUUCGAUUCGAUUCAGUUUUCUGGUUUUUGAUUUUCAGCUUUUGGUCUUUGGUUUUUUUUUUUUCAUUUUUUUUUCUGUUCAACCCAAAAUAAUUUAAAUUCAAUAUGUCCCGCGCAUGUAGUCACAUGCUAUACAGUUUCUCUUAUCUUCCCGUCCAUGCAAGCAUGCAAUUUGCAGGGUCCGUAGGUCGCUUCGUCUUCAUGCAUGGCCCUGCAUCGAACCCAGAGAAAACCAGGCUAGACGAUCAUGGAGAUCAUCAGUCAUCAUUUCGUCUUCGGGAAACACUGAAGAGAAAGAAGGAACAGCCAUCGCUUCUUCUUUCUCUUCUUUUCGAAUCUGUCGUCGCUCUUUCGUCUUCCUCGCAUCGAAAGACCAAACGCCUCCAUCGAAGAAAGUUGAUACUUUAUCAGCAAUUUUCCCUAUAAAUCACACCGCUUCCCGUCUCCCUCAUGCACGUCUUGCAUUCGAUUCUCACAUCACUCAUCACCCACAGAGAGAGAGAGAGAGAGAGAGAGAGAGAGAGAAUGGUUGAAGGCGGCAAGAACACUUCUUCUAAGUCGACGAUCAUCGUCAACCCCUCCGCCCAAGAUGGCGCAGACCUGGCCCUCACCGUGUCAGUCGCCCACGCGCAGCCACUUGCUGCCUCCUACAAUGACAGAAUCCACCCUCUUCUCGACGCUGUCGACACUGUCGACAGUUUAUUCUCAUAAUGAAACCGAAUUUUUAAUGGUUUGGUGUUAUCGGUUUGUGGUUCGGUUCGGCUCGGUUAACCGAUAAUAAUCAAACCAAUAAAAAAAAUAUUAGUUUUUAAUGAGAACCAGAUCGAACAAAAAAAUCGAAUUUUUCAGUUCCUGACACCCCUAGCUGUAAGGAGCUCCAGUCACUGCCAAAGCUUCCUUCGAGCGUAACAGAUCUGUAGGUCAUUUGUCAGAGUCUUGGACUGCCACAGCUUUUUAGCCUCACCCACCUAGAAGAACUCGAUCUUGAGGUAAGCCAUCUACUUGAAGACAUCCGCGAGCUUUCCUCAAUACCAUUGAAACUCCGUUUUGAGGAGUGGGAUAAGCUUACAUUACUUUCGCUCCACGGAUUUGGGCACUUGGAAGAGCUUUCAAUAAAAAAAGUGUAGUUCCAUCAAAACAUUGACGCUUUCACAAUUGAUUCAUCUUAAACGAUUACGCAUUGAGCGUUGCGAUAGCCUAGUUGAAAUUCAAAGCUUUGGUAAUUUGGAGUCCGGUCAUAUUUUUAUAUGAAUGCAAGUGUUUGGAGACAUUAAAGGCUUCUGGGUGCCACCAUCUAGUUGAAAUUCAAGGUCUUGAGGGUGCGAAGUUCUUAGAAGUGUUGGAUUUUACAGGAUGCAAAUCGAUAAAGACUUUGCCAGAUUUGAUAGGAUUCAAGAAGUUAUGAUCUCUAAUAGUUCAAGACUGCAAGAAACUUACUCAACUUCAAGGACUUGAAAAGUUGAAUUUAAGUGAUUUGGAUAUUUCUGGUCGUGACUCAUUGGAAGCAAUACUGAAAUUAUCUAGAAUGCACAUCUUUAGAAAAUACGAACGAUUUUGAGUUCUCUAUGGAAAUAUUAUCUUGCAGUGAUAAUGAUGUGAGGAAUCCUAUACCCAUAUACAACAGUGAGACUAGUUAUGUUUCUUCAACAAAGGUAAUUAAGUAGUGAACAAUUAUUUUUCCUCUGAGAUUCAGGACCUCCUUUUCAUCACUAUCUUCUUUUGACAAGAAGGUUUUCCAUGACAGGAUUUUGUACUUUCCUAAAUUGCUGGUCUUGCACAAUUGAAGGAGUGGAGGAGUUGGUCAUAGAAGCUCACAUGAUGGUUCGGCCAAGAUCAAAAUGUAGACCCAAAUGUCAAUAGAAGGCAUAGUAAGAUUCUCCAUCCUUGAACGGUCAGCGUGAGCGAAUAGAGUGAUACUUUUCUCGAAGCUCUAUUUUUUUAGAAUGAUAUGCUUCACACUGGAUAUCUAUUUGAUUGAUUUUGGAAACUCUGGAUUUGCCUCUGUAUAAUUGUUAUUGAUUACGUUAUAGCAAUGUUUUUUAUUCAUCCUUCCAUUGGCAGCUUCUGUAGACUGCAAACAGAUAGCAGCUUGCAAGGCAAGAAAGAAAAUAUCAACAAAGGUAAACAAGAAUUACCUAGUGAUUUCAGUUCCCCUAUCAGCAAAUUCGGGAUUUGAAAUUUUCAUCUAGAGGCCAAUGAACUUCUGCUACUCAUUAUUGUANNNNNNNNNNNNNNNNNNNNNNNNNNNNNNNNNNNNNNNNNNNNNNNNNNNNNNNNNNNNNNNNNNNNNNNNNNNNNNNNNNNNNNNNNNNNNNNNNNNNNNNNNNNNNNNNNNNNNNNNNNNNNNNNNNNNNNNNNNNNNNNNNNNNNNNNNNNNNNNNNNNNNNNNNNNNNNNNNNNNNNNNNNNUCCCUUGAUGGCCCUCCAUUAGCCCUCUAAGAAGAGCAUCCACUUCCCAGUUAUAUGGUGAACUGAACUAAAAUAAAAUUCAAGGUUUAAGUGUUUCUGAUUGGUGACAAAAAAAAUGUUAAAGUAGUUUGGGCUAGUUUGUCAUGUAUGAAUGUUGACCAAUUUAACAUUACCAGUAGGCAAACUAUUGUUUUGAAAUAUCAUUAAGCAAGGCAAAUUGGUGCUGCUUCUAUGACAGAUUUGGUUGGUCUAUAUAACGAUCUAGGCUUACUUUGGGACUUCAAUUCAAUCAACUGUAUCGAUGGCCUUUCGCAUUAAAGGACAAUUUUUUGCCUGUCUGUGAAACAAGCUGGGACGAGGAGCUCAAGAAUUUGCUAAUUAGUCUGUAUCCCGUUUGAUCCUAUUGUUGUCAUGGAAUUGCUUUAUGACGUGACUGAUUUGGGUGUGGCUAAGUGGGCUGACGAACUUCAAAUUGCAUACUUGAGAUCGAUCAAAAUAAAGAAAAGGGAUUUUGCAAAGGAAUCAUCAGCAACAAUUGAGGACCAUCUUGCAUGCCAAACUUAAAGACACUUUGGGGCUAACUGGAGUGUCCCAAGGAAGUUUUGAUGCUUCUGAAUAUUCAAAUACUUGAUCUGAUCUCAUCACAUCCCUAAAUGAUUGUAAAUGUAUUUUUUUAGAUUAAACAUGCUUUCUUUAUGCUCAUUAGGUUCUAGCUCUCCUUUAAUCAAAUACUAAGCUACUGAUUUUUUGUAUGUUACCCUGAUGCACAGUUGUUCGACGCGGUUGCAUUCUAAUGAUAUCACUUCGGAAUUGAUGAGGCUUUGCAAAGGGAGGUAUGCACUGCUAGGCUCCUCCAUUUCUAUUAGUUUAUGGGCGUGAUGACAUCCUUUGAAUGUUGUCAUAUAGUUUUCUGAUUUGAUAAGCUCAGUUCUGAUGUACGCGGCAUUGGAUUUGUAAAGUUGAAAUUGACCUCCUCGCAAACUAUCCCGCAUUGCUGAGUUUGCUAAUUGGAACUUGCAAAAUAACCCAGUAGCAAAUGCAUCUUUCUGUUCUGUAGUUUAGGCACUUCACCUUUUUAGCGUAAUUUUUUAGCUUCAAUUCUGUUCCUAAACACAAACAGGGAAAGUGUUGCUAAAUGUUUAAGUCUAUUGGUUUCUAUUUCAUCGGCUAGCUAAAGGAGUCUCUGUUCAUUGUGGUCUAAGUCCGAUUGGUAUCAAUGUUUACGCAUUUUUACCUUAUCUGUCAUGGGGUAAAUUCCGAUGCUAUGAUCUUGGAUAUCUUCAUUUAAUUAUAAUUAGUUAGUGCUAUCUUGCUUAUGCAGAUUAAAGCUGCAUUUGAUGAAACUUGGUGAAACUCCCCAAACACCACGGGUUGGAGAUAUGGGCAAGAAUGAGCUAUGUCAGUAUGGAAAGGCAGUUCCAAAGUUAUUUGCAAUUGGCGUUUAUCUUUUGCUCCAUGUUGUUAAUACUCUUCGAAGGAUUCUUGAUAAAGGUGACCUCUUCUCAUGUGGUGCAUUAGUGUUGGAGAAAUCUUUCCAGAAUAUUUUGAAGCUGACAAAACAUUUCUAUCAGUCUAAGUCUGGAUGUCGAUAGUCUCAAGACUUUAUAGUCUCAAGUCUCAAGACUUUGUUAUCUCAAGACUCAAGACUCAAGACUCAAAAUUAUUCUCACUGACAGUCUUUCUAAUCCAGUGUUGAAGGAAAUUCAAAGCCGAGGUUUAUGGUUGAGGAUUUGAUCCUAUCCUCUGGAAUAGAUUCUUUGGUUGGAUAAUCAUUUCGGAUUCUUUAAUUCUUAUCUAAGAUCGAUUGAAGAUCCGAUGGUCGACGAAAUAAUCUUGGAUUAUUCUAUUCUUGGAAACCGAGAUCCUGAUUGUAUGGGCGAACAGGAUUGAUGGGCUAUCAUCAGAUUCCUUAAAUAGCUCGGAUGAUCUUCUUGAUUGAUUCCGUCCAACGGGUAGAUUGGAGGAAUUCCUUUGGUAAGUACCAAUGGCUAUGAUGGCAUGAAGGAGUAUAAAAGGAAGACGUUCUAGUUGUUUCAAGUGUGUGAUCGAUAGAAAAAUUCCAAAGUCUGAAGAUCCUUGAUUGUUAGUUGAGACUGAGCGAAAUUGUAUACAGAGAGUGUUUAUACUUGGUGACGCCUUGAGUGAGUGUGGUAGAUCAUCUACACCUAGAAAUCAAGGAAGAUCAACACUGUAACAACUCUUUGAUCAUAGUGGAAUCCAGCCAAUCGGCUGUCAGUGCAGAAGAGUGGACGUAGGCUUGAAUCAAGCCGAACCACUAUAAACCGAGUGUUCAAUUCUCUCUUUCCCUUACUCAGUCUUGCGAUUGAAUUUUUAACUGUUGCAAAUUCUCUAAUUGUUUAAAUAUUGUGCAAGCUUCGAGAAAUUUUUUGUAUACCUAUUCACCCCCCCUCUAGGUACUCGUACUAGCUACUUCAAUUAGUCCUUUGCAAGCUUUGAAAUUGUGCUAUUCUUUAACCAAGGCCCCAUCACUAAUCGCUUGGAGGAAGACCGCAUGUGAGUGGUUCUGUAUGUGAAGUCAAGCAAAAAAUGAGAUUUGUUAUCAAGAUUACCAUUUAGAUGUCCACUUCAAGCUACAGUUUUGUGACUGGGAGAGACUUUUUUCUUGAAAAAGCAAAUGCUGAGGAAUCAGCAAACAAUCUGUCCAUUGCAGCCAAGAGAUUCAAUGAAAAGGUUUUCAAGAAGACAGCAGUUUCUUAUUUGGAAGAAUUUAGAGCACAAAAUACAGGCGUUCAUUAGUGUAAAAUCAUCUCUCUAGGCUGGUUAUGUCGGAAAAUUCAUAUGUAGGCAUUUUGCAAUCACUUUGGUCGUAUUAUCUCAAACUUGAUUUAUUUAAGCAUGAAUCUAAAAGCAGAAGAGACACAGCCAUGUACACUUUCAUACCUAAAAUCAAGUAGAGAGACCAGUUCGUUCUUGAAGAGCAGCAUUACUUUUUCCCUUCCAGAUUCUCUCAGGUGGAUGCAUGGAGCUCGUGUCGCUUGGCAAAUUCUCAAUCAAGUACUGGGGUCUGGAGUGGAGUGUUGAGUUGUUUUAUGCAAAUUCUCGAUCAAAGGUUUGUCUGAGUCUCUAGUGUGGAUGGAGUUUAUAUAGGGUCUUUUUCUUGAACGAGAAACUUUGGUUGGUGAUUACGAAAUGUUAAAGUAGUUUUGGCUAGUCUGUCAUAUAUGAAUGUAUGCCUUUCUUAAAAUUACCAGUAGUCAAAAUGUUGUCUUUAAAUAUUAUCAAGCAAGGUAAACUGGUGCUGCUUUUAUGACAGGUUUGGUUGGUCUGUGUAAUGAUCAAGGCUUACUUUGGGACUUAAAUUCCAUCAGCUGUAUUGAUGACCUUUUGCAUAACUGGACAAUUUUUUGCCAUCUGUGAAACAAGCUGGGGCGAGGAGCUCAAUAAUUUGCUAAUUAGUUUACAUCCCAUUUGAUCAUAUUGUUGUCAUGGAAUUAUAUUAUCACAUGGCUGAAUUAGGUGUGGCUCACUUGGCUGAGGAACUUCAAAUUCCACAAAGCAUCAGCAACAGCUGAGGUGCCAAACUUGAAGAGGCUCGUGGGCCAAGCGGAACGUUCUGAGGAAGUUUUGAUGCUUGUGAAGAUCCAAAACACUUGAUCUGGUCUCAACAGCAUGUACCUGAAUGAUAGUAAAUGUAGAAUUUUAAAUUGAAUAUGUUGUUUGUAUGCUCGUUAGGUUCUAUCUCUUUGUUAAUCAAAUGAGUAGCUAGUGAUUUUUGUGUAUGUUAGCCUGAUGCAGAGUUGUUUGAUGUGGUUGCAUUCUAAGGAUAUCACUCCUGAACUCGAUGAGGCUAUGCAGAGGUAGGUAUCCACUGCUAAGCUCCUCCAUUUCUAUCAGUUUAUCCUUUGAAUGUUGUCAUAUAGGUUUCUGAUUUGAUAAGCUCAGUUCUCAUGUUUGCAGUAUUGAAUUAGUGAAGUUGAAACUGACCUCCUCACAAUCUAUCCCGAAUUGCCGAUUUUGUUGACUGGAUAUUGCCAAUGAUCAAGUAACAAGUACGUCUUUUUGUUCUGUAGUUUAGGCUUUUACCUUUUCAGCAUAAUUUUAUUAACAUCUAUUUUGUUCCUGAACACAAACGGGGAAAGUGUUGUUGCUAUUUGUUUACUUCUUUUAAGCCUAUUUUUUUCUUUUUCAUCUGCUAGCUAAUGAAGUCUCUGUUCACUGUGGUUGAACAGUGAUUGGUGUAAAUGAUGUUUAUGCAUUUGUGAUGCUGCAAUCUUGCAUUUCUUUAUUUAUUGAUAAUGAGUCAGUCCUAUCCUCAUCAUGUAGAUUCAAGCUGCAAUUCAUGGAGCUUGAAGAAAGUCCCCAAACACCACACGGGGGAGGUGCGGGCAGGAAUGAGCUAUGUCAUUAUGAAAAUGUAUUCUGAACCUAGCGAUGUUUAUCAUGUGCUCCGUGUUGAUAAUACUCUUCAAAGGAUUCUGGAUAUAAAGCAGCCUCUUCUCAUGUGGGGUAUUUGUCAUUUGCAAGCACAAAUUGCUUGCAGGAAGACCGCACGUGCAGGUGGUUUUAUUUGUGCAGGUUAUGCAUAAAGUGAGAUUUGUCAACGAGAUUACCAGUUAGGUGUCCACUUCAGGCAACAAUUUUGCGACUAGAAAAAGUGAAUGCCAUGGAAUCAGCAAAAAAUCUGUCAAUUGCAGCCAAGAGUUUCGGUGAAAAGGUUUACAAGAAGACAGUAGUUUCUCAUUCGGUUGAAUUUUGAACACAAAAGAAAGGUGUUCAGUAGUGUAAAAUCAUCCAUCUGUUCUGGUGCUACAUCAGAAAAUUCAUAUGUCCGCAUUUUGCAAUCACUUUUAUUGUAUAAUCUCAAACUUGAUUUAUCUAAGCAUGAAUCUAAAAGCUGAAGAGACCCAACCGUAUAUAUUUUCACACCUGAAACCUGUUUAUCUCUUGCAUUGGCUGCAGUUGAAGACUAAUAACAAAACGUGGACUACAUUUUUGGAAGGGUGAAAAGAGCCCUUCCCAAAAUUUACUCAUUUUCAUUGAACAAAAAACUUCUAAAGGUCAUCUAAUUGGUUUAUAAUGAGAUGAUACUCCACCAAAUUGUGGUCACUGUUUCACACAUUCAAGUGUCAAUCAAAGCAAUUUCUUUGAGGCCACUCUCAGAUAUUCCUGUACCCUGUACUAAAUUAUAAUGGUGGAAUUUUAGUAGUUGAAAGCUACUCCCAAGGUAUUCAUGGUUUGAUGUGCUUGUUGUCCCCUUGAACUUUGACUCAAUUUUUCCAGAGCUCAAGACAAGGCCAAGUAGCUUGUUAAGCCACAUUUGAAUCUAUAAGUACAUAUGUAAUGCAGUUUGUGUUGAAAUACUUGUUAAAUGUACUUAACAUGAAAUAAUUUAAUUUCAGAAUAUUGGUUGAACAUUGCACGAGAAAAGUCGCAAGUAAAGUCAAUGUAUCAGCUCUACACUUUAUUUACUUAGCUGCUUAGCCAGUGUCUAGGUAAUUAAUCCAAAGGGCAAUAGCUUUGUGUUUGACUACUUAUGGAACAUCAUUCACAGCCCCAUCAGCCGAAUUGAUUUGAAGUCGGAACGCAUGAAUAGACCGGAUAAUUGGAUGAACAUUCUGAACCAAUUGAGCUGAUGUGAUUUUGUUCAUGGGCUUUCCUCCCUUUUUCUCUUCCACUUUCGUUUCAUGCCAACAAUUUGCUUCGAGCUUGUUUUUUUAAAGUUCUAUCACAUUUUACAUCAAGAUCAUAUGAAUAACAGCCGUUCAAACAAUAACUAUGUAAGUUCCCAAAGGACAAGAGAAGAUUUGGUUCGGGCUCUUUGAUUUCCUCAUAUUUGUAACUCCAAGCUCGACAGGAUGGAAGUUGAAAUAUGAAAACUGUCCUCAAAUCAGAAUGGAACUAUAGAAGGCCUUACAGCUUAUUUAACACCUGCUAGCUGCAUGUUAGAAUGUAUAGGUUUGGUAGCUUGCCAUAGGAUAAAUAAUAUAAUGCACAUGAAUCGAAAUAGACAAAUUGAGGAAUUACAGGGUUAAUGAACCCCAAAACGGAGAAUUAAAACAACAUUUGGCCAAAAAUAAAAGUUCUAAACAAUGAAAUCGACCACGAAAGUAAAUGUAAACGUCAAAUCCUCCAAAUGAAAGCAGUCGUCUUAUUUUGCAAUCAGCAUCGUGUUGUUGAGAAGAGAAAUUAGUAGGUCAGACAAUUUUUACUUUGCACGAGAAUGCAUGCAUAAUCAUAUUGCAGAUAAAUCAGAAGGCAAGGAAAUUCGAGGAAAAAAAUCUUUUGGCAAAUAUAAAUAUAUGUGAAUAUCACAUACGAGUGGUCUCAUCUUCCUAUGUUUCAGAUGCUGAAGAUCAAUAAAUGAAACAAGGAUUCGAACAAACAUUAUACUGGAAAGAUCGAACAUUGUGGCACUCUUCUGAAUACUUAAUUACCAUUAGAUACAUAUUAAGAUGAUUAGCCAAUAAACAAAGCAAACCUCUUUGUUUCCUCCUGACCGAUUUCAUCCUUUUCUCUCUUGAUGACAAUGAGCAUGAUAUUCCGUAAUUUCUACAUAUUAAAAAUCGAUACAUAAAGCCCUAGCAUUGCGCUUCAACCACCGGAACCCUUGUUUGAAAGAAGCCUUGAACUUGCCCUCGACCAAAUAAAGCUUGUAUCUUGCCACCUCCUCUUCUCUGCUUCUCCGGGUCAUUCCACCACGUUUAUCAAAUUCUAAAACGUAAGAAAUAGGCAAAGGCCAGAGUCCAUUUCGACUUACAACAUCAGGUUUGUCUAUUCCCAUCCCAAAGGCAAUGGUAACACACAAUCUGGACCUCUUCAGUAUGCCAAUUCUUUUGAACAGUGACGAGCUACUAAUCCAGCAUGAUAGUACACCACUUUUAUAUGACCUUGUAUUUUAGAUCUAGUCUGUCAAACCUUGGGUCCCUGAGCUUUGACAGACUAGAUCUAAUAUAUGAGAACAUGGGGAACCCCAAGAGCUUUUAGGAUAUCCUGCGAUGGAUGUAUAAUUCAAUCAAAUUAAACAGAUUAUUUCAACAUAAUCAAGGGGUUAAUAUGUGAGCUUAGUACUCAUGAACUGACUGAGUGGCGGUUGCAGUUAAGGCCAUCACUGGGACAUACGGAAAGUUCUGCUUGAGACAUCCUAGUCCCCUAUAAUCUAGUUGAAAAUCGUGUCCCCCUUGACUAAUAAUGACAACCACAAAAGUGACAAUCAAUGAGCUUUACUCCUUAAUCAGUCUAAAUGUACAAGAAAAGCUCAAACCAGCAGCAUUUUCCUUUCAUGAGAUCAAACUGGCAGAGCAAAUCCAGUUAAGACCUUGUAAGAAACACAAUCAAUGAUCACAUGGUUGAACCUUUGCCUUUCUCAAGUUGUUACCAUAAAGUAUAAGUGUUAAUAGAAUAAACGGGGACACAAGAACCAGCUUAAGAGACUGAGUAUCAUGCCAAACAUAGAUAGGAGGUAUAAUCCUUAUCCAAGCUUAUGCCGAUUCCAAUUGCUCUGGGAAGUAAUUUCCAUUGGAGCUUAUUUAAGUUGUGCGCUCUUUACUCAAUAUAGUGAAAGAUGGGCCACUAAGUAUUCCCAAACGAUGGAACCUAAAUCUUUUCAUCGAACAAGGAGCACCGCAUUAUGUUAUAUAGAAAUUUCAUAGGGCUUUGGGCUUCAGAAGGCCUAGUGUAACACUGACAAUUUAAUUAGGCUAGACACAUAAAAAAUGCAGAGAAGUUUGGAAAAAGAGCUUAAGUUAGCAUAUAUAAAAGCUCAAACCAGCAGUACAUUCCUUUCAUGACAACCAUGAAAGUGACAACCAAUGAGCUCUUGUCGUCAAUCAAGCAAAUGUACAAUAAAAGCUCAAACCAGCAGCACGUUCCUUUCAUGAGAUUAAAUUGGCAGAGCAAAUCUAGUCAAUACCUUUUAUGAAACACGAUCAAUGAUCACGUGGGUGGACCCUUGCCUUUCUCAAAUUGUCAGUAUAUAGUAUAACCAUUAAUAGAAUAAAUAGAUACACAAGAACGAGCUUAAGAUAUUGAGUAUUAUGCCAAACAUAGAUAGCAGAUAGCAUCUUCCUUGUAAGAAACACAAUCAAUGAUCACGUGGGUGGACCUUUGCCUUUCUCAAGUUGUCAGUACAUAGUUUAACCAUUAAUAGAAUAAAUAGAUACUCAAGAACCAGCUUAAGAGAUGGAGUAUCAUGCCAAACAUAGACAACAGAUGGCAUCCUUAUCCAAGCUUAUGCCACUUCCAAUUACUUUAGGAAGUCAUUUCCAUUGCAGCUUAUUUAAGUUGAGUGCUCUUACUCCAUAUAAUGAAUGAUAUGCCACUAAGUUUUCCCAAACGACAGAACCUAGAUCUUUUCCAAAGCUCAAACAAGGAACAUUGCAUUCUGUUAUAUUAGAACUUCAGAGGGCUUCAGAAGGUCUAGGGUAACACUGACAAUUUAAUAAGGCUAGAAACACAGAAAAUGCAAAAAAGUUUGGAAAAAGAGUUUAAGUUAGCUUAUAUAAAAGGAAACUUGCUUAUAUUUAUCUGGAAUAAGGACAAAAGUUUUGCAAUGGCAACAUCACAAAUGAUUAUUCUUUUUGAAGUAACUCUAGCAUGAUCUUUCUUCAUGUGCGAGGCAUGCCAAAGCUUAUGCAUAUGUCACGCAAUGUCCCUCAUCAACAACAAAACCAGAGAGUUGUGCCUACAAUAAAAUAUCAUCAAAUAUAAAAAAUUAUAAAGAACCAUUUUGGAAAAAAGUUACAGUGCAUCAGAAACAACACCUUUCUGUGCAUGCAUUUCAAUAUCUCGAGAAAUGAUAUUUUUCCCCCAAUCCUUUUAGGAGUUACAUGCAAUAGCUUGCACGAUGUUUAUCUUUUCUGAAAGGGCAGGCAAAGCAGAAGUGGAGGUUAAUAAUUUGGCAGUCACAACACUCAGCAUAAAAGUUUUUUGAUCAAAAACCGCGAGGACAACUGCCAAUUGGGCAACAGUCUGUUGAGAGUUCAAGAAAGUAGAUUGUAUGCUGUACUUGAGGGUUACAUUAGUUAUUUGAUCCUAGAUGAGAAAUAGCAAGGGAGAUAUAACAACUGUGACACCUGGUUUUAAAGUUGCUAGCAGCUGAAACGAAGGUAAAAACAUCAGAAGAGCAAAUGAAGAAAGGAAGGGACGAUGGAAUUAUUAUUUCUUUCACCUUCAGUUGAUCAGGAAGGACAAGUUGUCACUACUUGUUUUAUAAUUACUUUCAGUACAUAUAUCAACUACUUCAAGACUAAAUAGAAAACACUUCUAAAAAAAUCAACUUAAUAAAUCCAAACUUAUAUCUUCCUUCUUAAUUCAGUUAUCAUUAAUUUUGCUUGCAACCAAGAUCCAUUGUAUAUUAAAGGACAUUAAUUUCAAACCAAUUAUGGGAAAAAGAAGUCCUAGAUCAUCACCCUUUGUUGAGAUAAUGGCAUAGCAAAUAACUGCAAAGGACCUUACCAAAAAAAAAAAACUGCAAAGGACAUAUAAAAAUCUAGAACCCAUUUCUCUCUGACUUAAUAACCCUCUUGAAUUGGACAUGAAUUAUGACUGACAACAACACAUAACAUGCAUAAACAAGAUGAAUUUUCAUGUAAGUGAUUAGAAGGUCCUAGAAGUGUAGCGCAAACUUCAAAUCCUAAAGAUUACAGACUAGAUAGAGAGGUGCGAAGGCAGAACAAGAAUGUACAAUAUUUCCUUCUUUUCUACUUUUGUCCGAUGCCAUACAUUGGAACCCAUGCUUAUGUGCCUGAAUCACUUCCUAUAGCUUAAUUUCAUUUGAAAAACAUUUCCUUCCUUAAGUUCACAACCUUCUUAAAAUGCUAAACAAAGCAGAUCAGAAGAUCAUGUUAUAGCUUAAAUGUUGACAUACAAGUCUACUUAAACAUUUAAUUGGUGGAACCACUGAGCAAAGUGCACAGGGCUUGUGCUCUAACAUUGUCUCCACACACUUCUACAUACAAUCAUCACCCAGUUGAGACAAUGUUAACAUUAACUAACCUGGUAACAUAAACUUUUACCACCUUUAUUGGGCAUGAGAAUAAAGCAAACUUGCUUGGCUACAGAAGCUUUACAAGCCUGACGUUGCAUUGGUCGAAAUGCCUUGGUUCCGAAUAUGACAAUGUGACAUCCCGAUUUUUCUCAAUUUUAUUUUUAGUCAAUUGAGUCGGGCAAUUCAUCUGUGCGUGUAGUUCGUCUCUCAGAGUUGGCCACUCACGAGGGAACUAGUCUAUUGAGUGAAGCAAUUAAGGAAUUUUAAUGCGUCAGACUUGGGGACUGAUCACCCUCGGGUCGGAUGCAAGAAAAUUUCCCCAAAAGCUACUCAGUGGAUUAGGCGCGCUGAAAUCGCACCAGAGUGAAUUCAACCGUAAAAAUUGGGAUUGAAUUUAGAAGUUGGAAGCCCGGUUAUGUCACACAUCUUAUUAGGAUGAUGGGAUAAUUUUGUGGAUUUUAAUUGAAUUCAAUUAGAAGAGAAUUGAAAGAAAAAUUGAAGAAAUUGGAUGUGCAAGGAUUUGGACCCCUGUGGAAAUGAUAUUGCACCCAUUGAAGAAUGUUGCGGGAGAGGAGAUACUGGAAGAUGACAUCAUGGGGGUGAUGUCAUGCUGAUUGAAGCCAAGGAUUGAGGGCUUGACAAGUGGAGGGUGGAGAUUUAAUCUCCAAAAAGGGGGCCAUCACCAUCAUCUUCAACCUUGGGAAGGAGAGAGAGAGAACUGGCGAAGGGGAGCUCGCCCGUCGACCAGCCUGCCCGCGCAUGCCGCUCCUCUGCCGUUCGUCGUCGUCGUGCAGCGCCGUCGUCACCGUCCCGUGCGACCGCGCAUCGCCCCGCACCCGCGUGCUCAUGCUUCGUCAACGCCGCCUCAGCAGUGCUCGUCCCGUCGGCCCAGCCACCCCAGCCGCUGUUCGACCUUGCCAGAGCCUCCUUCACCGUCGCCGUUGAGCCAGCCGAGCCGCCGCCUCUUCCUCCGCUCGUUUCGCACGCCUGCACCUCCCCGUCGCGCCUCUUUCCGGCCCGGUUCAACUGCUCCAUUUAUGGGUAUCUUAGCCCCUUCUAGGCCCACUUUGGCUAUCUUCCCGGCUCCGGAAGCUAGGCCCGCCUUUGGAAAAGUCAAUCCCGGCGUUGCCCUCGUCGUUUUGGUCCAAGCGGUGAGUUAAUCAAGUGAGUUUAUCUCACUAAACCCUAAUUAGAGUGUUAAUAAUGCCCUAAGUUUGUUUAGUUUGAAUUAGGUGAAUUUAGGUGGGUAGAUUAGUAUAUUUAAUUAUAAAUUGGGUUAAGAGGUUGGUUUAUAUUAAAGUAUGUUUAAUUAAGGUGAAAAUAGGUUAUUUAAUGUUAAGCCUUGAUGGGACAUAAUAGGAUUUUAGUUUUGAAUUAUUUAAUUGCUUCAAAAUUCUGGAUAAUAUAAUAUUAUAUUAUAAUCCGAAAUUAUUUAAAUAUUAUUAAAAAAACGGAAAAAUUAUUUUUGACCCCGGUUGCUCAGAAUUUCGUGACGAUCGCUGCUAUGCAUUUAGAAUUUGAAAUUGAUGAUUGAUUGUGACAAAUUGAGUGUGAUUGCGAUAAAUAGAGAUUUUUUUUAUAAAAUCUUAAGUGUGGAAAUUGAUGGGAGAUUGGCCGUGAUUGACCACCUAUUAGAGGUCGUGCCCAAUAGGGUCGUGAUUAACCACCUAUUAGAGGUCAUGCCCAGUGAGGUCGUGAUGUACCACCUAUGAGAGGUCGUGCCCAAUAGGGACGUGAUUAACCACCUAUUAGAGGUUGUGCCCAGUGAGGCCGUGAUGGACCACCUAUGAGAGGUCGUGCCCAAUAGGGCCGUGAUUAACCACCUAUUAGAGGUCGUGCCUAAUGAGGCCGUGAUGGAUCACCUAUGAGAGGUCGUGCCCAAUAGGGCCGUGAUUAAUCACCUAUUAGAGGUCGUGCCCAGUGAGGCCGUGAUGGACCACCUAUGAGAGGUCGUGCCCAAUAGGGUCGUGAUUAACCACCUAUUAGAGGUCGUGCCUAGUGAGGCCGUGAUGGACCACCAAUGAGAGGUCGUGCCCAAUAGGGCCGUGAUUAAUCACCUAUUAAAGGUCGUGCUCAGUGAGGCCGUGAUGGACCACCUAUGAGAGGUUGUGCCUAAUAGGGCCGUGAUUGACCACCUAUGAGAGGUCGUGCCCAAUAGGGCCGUGAUUGACCACCUAUUAGAGGUCGUGCCCAUCGGGCUGAGAUCUACCACCUAAUUAAAGGUCGUGCCAAGUGGGGCCGUGAUUGCCACUGGUUAUUAAACCUUCCUAUAGGGUCCUGAUUGGAAGCAGUAAUUGAUUUGCUAGAAUGACAUGUAAUUGGCCGAGUCAAUUGAUCGCUAAGACGAUCCAAGUGAUUGAAUUGUUCUGAUAAUGUGAUUGUGCCUCAGUUGUUUGGUUAUCAGAAUUGCACAUUGUUGAAUUAUAUAAAUUGUGCUAACCUGUAGAUAAAGGCUAAUGUGAGGACCGUAGAUGGCGGUACCCCCGGAGAAGAGUGGCAUGCCGACAGAGAUUGACCAGACGACGCAGAGUGCUCCUGACCCUGGAAGUCCUUGGGUCUAUCAGUUGGUUAGGUCCAUUGUCUAGGUCUAGGUGACUGUGGAUGUCAGGGUACCUUAUAUGUUUAGGGCUUGGUUUCGUUUUGGAGUCGAUGGCGUUAGGGUUGGCCCACUGGAUAGUAUGGACAUUCCGUUGGCUGUGAUGAACGCCAUUUUGGGUGAAGGCGUGGCGGAUCUUCCUGACGGUAGAGUGAUCAAUGCAUCGCCCCCAGCCUCUUGGGUGACAGAUCCUAAGGAUGUGGGAUCGUCGAACGAGGCCAACCAAUAGUCUUAGGACUGUUUUUCUUUUUGGCGGACCGAUCCAUGUUGUGUAGACUAACCCUUUUUUAUGCACAUAAGCUUUGACCCAUUUUUGGUGCAUAUAGUCUCUGGAUCCUGUUGGUGUAUAUAAACCCUGGAAUGAUGAUGAUUUAUGAAAGUAUGUUUGUUUGAUUUUGAAUUGAUUUUCCUGUUGUCAUAUCCCGUAUGUUUUUAUCAGGGUUUCUUAGCACAUUCCACAUUCACAUAAUAAUUUAAAAUGGGGCCGGCGACACUACCUGGGAAUGUCGCAUUUACAUGACCAUGGCAGGUUGUUCAAGUGUCUCGGGGUUUGAGGCGUGACAUCCCCGUUUAAGUGGUAUCAGAGCAUGUUUUGUGUAUGGAGUGAUAAGGGCGAUGAGUCAUGGGAUAAUUAGUAGGAAGAACUUUCCAUAUCCUAAUGCACGUGAUUGUUAGUUGUUUGUUAACUUGGUUGGAAUGUUACUCAAAUUCUAAUAUGGUAUUGGAAUUCGCCAAUAGGCGUCUGUAUUGAGCCUGUAGCAUGAGUGACCGAGUGCCGAGAGCUGUUAGGAAGAGAGCAGCAGGUCCCGUGUUUCGAGGUGGGUCUUCGUUGAGGGCCGGUGCCCGUGGUACCCUGGGAGGAGCGCAGGCCAAGACCAGUGCAAAUGGUGCAGCUUUGCCUCCAGACGGUGCAACAGCGUUAGAGGAUUCGAGGUUUAUUGGAAUCAUGCAGAUGCUCGAGGCGAUGGGAGACAGGAUGGAUCAGCAAGCCACUGCUAUAGCCACCGCAUUGAACACCGCCAAUACCACUGCUACUGCCGCCGCACCGGUUGCCGAACCAGAAGAGGAACCCGAUGAAAUUCUACUUGAGGAUGUGGCCGCUGGGAGGCCUAGACAGAAGUUGGUAUAGCAUCAACGUUCACGGGAGCAAGAGACCCCAAAGCUACAGCAUUAUGGAUCCUGGAGUUAGAGAAUGCCUUUGAGUUGCUGUUGUGCACUGAAGCAGAAAAAGUCGUCCUGGCAGCCUAUCAGUUGAGGGGGAUCGCGGCUACAUGGUGAAAGACUAACAAAAGGAUAAUGUUCCCUAAAGGUGUGGUUCUAGAGUGGAAUGCUUUUCUUGAAGUCUUCAAUGAGAAGUACUUUUUUGAUUGUGCCAGAGAGGUGAAAAUGGCGGAGUUUCAGUGCCUUCGUCAAGGUACCAUGUCAGUUGAUCAUUAUGAAGCGAAGUUCACCGAACUGUCGCAGUAUGCCCCUGAGUUGGUCCAGCGACCGUCAGACCGAGCUCGAAGGUUUAGAGAUGGGUUCCGAUCGGAGGUGAGGAGCUUGUUGGUACCACUGGAUUUGAAGGAGUACAAUGACCUCUACAAGCAGGCCCAGCUAAUCGAGAAAGACCAGAAUGAGAGAGCUGUCGCAUUUGGGUCACGGUUUAAUUCAAACAGAGAUGAUAAUCGGUUUGGGAAGAGGCCGAUGCCUGGGGGAAGGUAUCAUGUUCCACCCAACAGGAAGGGUGGAGUGGGGAAGUCGUCAUCGAGCUUCAAUGGAGCAUGUCGUUCGUGUGGAAGGCGACAUGGCUCAGCCCCGUGCCCUCUUAGGACGGGUGCUUGAUAUGAGUGUGGCCAGCAGGGUCACAUUACUAGGGUUUGUCCCAGGAGACAGAUGAGACAACCUCAAUUGCCGCCACCACUGGGUCAGAACAGAGGAUUCGCACCGCAGAUCGUGUCGCCCGGUGGAUUGAACCGACCUCUAGCUCAAGGAAGGACUUAUGCACUCACUAGAGGACAGGCGGAGGAUGCACCUAAUGUGGCCAUAGGUAUGGUCUUGCUGAACGACAAACCUGCUUAUGCUUUAUUUGAUCCCGGAGCUUCGCAUUCGUUUAUAGCUGAAAUAUUUAUUAAGUUGGUAGAAUUAAUUCCUGAAUUGUUGGAGUUUGUGAUUAGCGUAUCUACUCCGUUGAAAGAUAAGGUGUUAGUUACAGUAGGUUGCCUAGGUUGCAAGCUAGUGAUUGGUGAGCGAGAGGGGAGGAUAGAUUUGAUAGUCCUAGCCAUGUAUAAUUUUGAUGUGAUAAUUGGCAUGGACUGGCUCACCAAGCAACGAGCUAAGAUGGACUGUUAUCGCAAGGCGAUUUAGUUUAACCCAUUAGAGGGUGAGAGUUUCGAAUUCAAUUGGAGUCGAGGAGGACCCUCGGUUUCCUUAAUCUCAUUGCUCGAGGCAACUCGCUUGCUAGGCAAGGGUUGCCAAGGUUACCUGGCGACUAUCGUGGACAUGAUAGUAGAGGAGUCGAAGAUAGAAGACAUUCCAGUGGUGCGAGAGUUCCUAGAUGUGUUCCCGAAAGAAUUACUAGGUUUGUUGCCAAAAAGAGAGAUAGAGUUUGUAAUUGAGUUAGCUCUCGGGACCGAGCCUAUCUCCAAAGCUCCUUACCGGAUGGCCUUGUCAAAGCUUAAGGAACUAAAGGUGCAAAUGCAAGAGUUGUUGGAUAAAUGAUUUAUACGUCCAAGUGCAUCACCUUGGGGAGCAUCGGUGUUGUUUGUGAAGAAGAAUGAUGGUUCAUUACGCUUGUGCAUCGACUACCGACAGCUCAACCAGGUGACAAUUAACAACAAGUAUCCGUUGCCAAGGAUUGAUGAUUUGUUUGAUCAACUUCAAGGAGUGUCGAUAUUUUCUAAGAUCGACUUGAGGACGGGAUAUCAUCAGCUAAGAAUCAAGAAGGAAGAUAUACCGAAGUCGGUGUUUCGCACUCGAUACGGCCAUUACAAGUUUACCGUGAUGCCGUUUGGGCUGACGAACGCCCCGACUGCUUUCAUGGACCUAAUGAACCGGGUGUUCAGAGAGUAUUUAGAUCAGUUCGUAAUUGUCUUCAUCGACGACAUCCUGGUGUAUUCAAGGAGUACUAAGGAUCAUGAAAGGCACUUAAGAAUAGUGCUUUAGACUUUGAGAGAUCACGAGUUGUACGCUAAGUUCAGUAAGUGCGAGUUUUGGCUAACUCGUGUGGCUUUCCUAGGUCAUGUUAUCUCUGGAGAAGGAAUCUCAGUGGACCCAGCCAAGAUUGAAGCAGUGAUCAACUGGCCGAGACCUACUACAGUGACAUAAAUAAGAAGUUUUCUGGGUUUAGCAGGGUAUUACAGACAGUUUGUAGAAGGGUUUCCAAUGUUAGCAUCGCCGAUGACGAGACUGCUGAAGAAGGAAGAAAAGUUUGUAUGGUUAAAUAAGUGCGAGUGUAGUUUCCAAGAGCUCAAGCAAAAGCUAACUAGUGCACCUAUACUUACUAUUCCAUCUAGUCCAGGAGGAUUUGAAAUCUACAGCGAUGCGUCGUUUAAAGGAUUAGGUUGCAUAUUGAUGUAGCAUGGUAGGGUUGUUGCGUAUGCGUCCCGUUAGUUGAGACCUCAUGAGUUGAAUUAUCCGACGCAUGACUUAGAACUUGCAGCGAUCAUCUUUGCCCUUAAGAUUUGGAGGCACUACCUGUGCGGAGAAAGAUUCCAAAUCUUCACUGACCACCAGAGUCUUAAGUACUUAUUCUCUCAGAAGGAGUUGAAUAUGAGACAGCGCCGAUGGAUGGAACUCCUAAAGGACUAUGACUAUGAGAUUUUGUAUCAUCCCGGAAGGGCGAACAAGGUCGCCGAUGCAUUGAGCAGGAAGUCUUCAGUUGCACAUAUGGUACUCAAGGAAUGGAGUCUACUUGAGGGAGCACGAGAUUCGAGUUUCAAGUUUGAAGUAUGCCACCUUUCGAACCUUAUGGCCACCCUCAGAAUUGAGCCAGAAGUUCAGGUCAGGAUCAGGACACUUCAGCAGACAGAUCCGAAUAUUUAGAAAAUCGUACAAGAGGAUACAAAGAAGAGGAAAGCUGACUUCCAGAUUUCUGAUAAUGGAACGUUGAGGUUCCAAGGACGGUUGGUUGUACCCCGCGAUGUGGAGCUUAGGGAGGAGAUUUUAUCAGAAGCGCAUCGUAACAGUUACAACAUUCAUCCUGGUAGUACCAAGAUAUAUCAGAAUCUGCGUCAACACUAUUGGUGGUGUGGCAUGAAGGCGGAUAUCGCCAAACAUGUCGCCAAGUGUUUGACGUGUCAGCAAGUGAAAGCCCAGCAUUGCAAACCGAGAGGACUUCUGCAACCCCUUGAGAUCCCAGAAUGGAAAUGGGAGCAUAUCACGAUGGGCUUCGUGACGGGACUACCGAGGAGCUAGAGAGGAAAUGAUUCGAUUUGGGUAAUAGUUGACAGAUUGACAAAAUCGGCUCACUUCAUUGCAAUUUGAAGGGACUUGAGUUUGGAUAGACUCGCAGAUCUGUAUGUACGUUAGGUAAUUCGUAUGCAUAGAGUGCCGGUCACAAUUACUUCAGAUAGAGACCUGAGGUUCACUGCCGCUUUUUGGAAGAGUUUGCAAUCCGCUUUAGGAACGAAGCUGCAGUACAGUACGGCCUAUCACCCGCAGACUGAUGGCCAGUCUGAGAGGACAAUUCAGACUCUUGAGGACAUGCUGCGAGCUUGUGUCUUAGACUUCAAAGGAAGUUGGGAGGAACAGCUUCAUCUGGUUGAGUUUGCCUACAACAACAGUUAUUGGCAGAGUAUUCAGAUGGCUCCUUUUGAAGCGUUGUAUGGUAGAGCAUGCAGAACGCCAGUGUAUUGGGAUGAGAUCGGAGAAAGAAAGAUCACCGGUCCAGAGUUAGUACAGCAGUCAGUGGAAGCAGUUGCAGUUAUCAGAGACAAACUAAAGACUGUUCAGAGUCGACAGAAAAGUUAUGCCGAUAAUCGUCGGAGGCCAUUGGAAUUCCAAGUUGGUAAGCACGUCUUCUUGAAGGUGUCAUCGGUGAGAGGUACUUCCCGCUUUGGCAAAAAGGGGAAACUAAGUUCGAGGUACGUAGGUCUCUUCGAGAUUUUGGAAAGAAUAGGGACUCUAGCGUAUCAUCUUGCACUGCCGCCGAAGUUGUCACAGGUGCACAACGUCUUUCACGUGUCGAUGUUGAGGAAAUAUGAACCUGACCCGACUCACGUUCUAAAUUUCGAGGAAUUAAACGUGGACAACAAAGUGUCGUACGUUGAAAACUCGAUUCAGAUUGUGGAUCACAAAGAGCAAGUUCUGCGCACUAGGACCAUCCCAAUGGUCAAAGUGAUCUGGCAACACCAUGGCACUAAAGGAGCAACCUAAGAGACCGAAGAAUCAAUAAAAAAAUUGUACCCCUACCUUCUUGUUUAAAGAUCUGUAAUGGUUUAAAUUUCGAGGACAAAAUUUUUAUAAGAGAGGAAGAGUUGUGACAUUCCAAUUUUUCUCAAUUUUAUUUUCAGUUAAUUGAGUCGGGCAAUUCAUCUGUGCGUGUAGUUUGUCUCUCAGAGUUGGCCACUCACGAGGGAACUAGUCUAUUGAGUGAAGCAAUUAAGGAAUUUUAAUGCGUCAGACUUGGGGACUGAUCACCCUCGGGUCGGAUGCAAGAAAAUUUCCCCAAAAGCUACUCAGUGGAUUAGGCGCGCUGAAAUCGCACCAGAGUGAAUUCAACCGUAAAAAUUGGGAUUGAAUUUAGAAGUUGGAAGCCCGGUUAUGUCACACAUCUUAUUAGGAUGAUGGGAUAAUUUUGUGGAUUUUAAUUGAAUUCAAUUAGAAGAGAAUUGAAAGAAAAAUUGAAGAAAUUGGAUGUGCAAAGAUUUGGACCCCUGCGGAAAUGAUAUUGCACCCAUUGAAGAAUGUUGCGGGAGAGGAGAUAGUGGAAGAUGACAUCAUGGGGGUGAUGUCAUGCUAAUUGAAGCCAAGGAUUGAGGGCUUGACAAGUGGAGGGUGGAGAUUUAAUCUCCAAAAAGGGGGCCAUCACCAUCAUCUUCAACCUUGGGAAGGAGAGAGAGAGAACUGGCGAAGGGGAGCUCACCCGUCGACCAGCCUGCCCGCGCACGCCACUCCUCCGCCGUUCGUGGCCGUCGUGCAGUGCCGUCGUUGCCGUCCCGCGCGACCGCGCGUCGCCCUGCGCCCACGUGCCCGUGCUCCAUCGACACCGCCUCAGCCAUGCUCCAUCCCAUCGGCCCAGCCACCCCAACCGCCAUUCGACCUCGCUGUAGCCUCCUUCACCAUUGCCGUUGAGCCAGCUGAGCCGCCGCCUCUUCCUCCGCCCGUUUCGCACACCCACACCUCCCCGUCGCGCCUCCUUCCGGCCCAGUUCAGCUGCUCCAUUUGUGGGUAUCUUAGCCCCUUUUAGGCUCGCUUUAGCUAUCUUCCCAGCCCCAGAAGCUUGGCCCGCCUUUGGAAAAGUCAAUCUCGGCAUCGCUCUCGUCGUUUUGGUCCAAGUGGCAAGUUAAUCAAGUGAGUUUACCUCACUAAACCCUAAUUAGAGUGUUAAUAAUACCCUAAGUAUGUUUAGUUUGAAUUAAGUGAAUUUAGGUGGGUAGAUUAAUAUAUUUAAUUAUAAGUUGGGUUAAGAGAUUGGUUUAUAUUAAAGUAUGUUUUAAUUAAGGUGAAAAGAGGUUAUUUAAUGUUAAGGCUUGAUGGGAUAUAAUAGGAUUUUAGUUUUGAAUUAUUUAAUUGCUUCAAAAUUCUGGAUAAUAUAAUAUUAUAUUAUAAUCCGAAAUUAUUUAAAUAUUAUUAAAAAAAUGGAAAAAUUAUUUUUGACCUUGGUUGCUCAAAAUUUCGUGCCAAUCGCUACCGUGCAUUUAGAAUUUGAAAUUGAUGAUUGAUUGUGGCAAAUUGAGUGUGAUUGCGAUAAAUAGGAAUUUUUUUUUAUAAAAUCCUAAGUGUGGAAAUUGAUGGGAGAUUGGCCGUGAUUGACCACCUAUUAGAGAUCGUGCCCAAUAGGGUCGUGAUUAACCACCUAUUAGAGGUCGUGCCCAGUGAGGCUGUGAUGGACCAUCUAUGAGAGGUCGUGCCUAAUAGAGCCAUGAUUAACCACCUAUUAGAGGUCGUGCCCAGUGAAGCCGUGAUGGACCACCUAUGAGAGGUCGUGCCCAAUAGGGCCGUGAUUAACCACCUAUUAGAGGUCGUGCCCAGUGAGGCCGUGAUGGACCACUUAUGAGAGGUUGUGCCCAAUAGGGCCGUAAUUAAUCACCUAUUAGAGGUCGUGUCUAGUGAGGCAGUGAUGGACCACCUAUGAGAGAUCGUGCCCAAUAGGACCGUGAUUAAUCACCUAUUAGAGGUCGUGUUCAGUGAGGCCGUGAUGGACCACCUAUGAGAGGUCGUGCCCAAUAGGGCCGUGAUUAACCACCUAUUAGAGGUUGUGCCUAGUGAGGCCAUGAUGGACCAUCUAUGAGAGGUCGUGCUUAAUAAGGCCGUGAUUGACCACCUAUGAGAGGUCGUGCCCAAUAGGGCCGUGACUGACCACUUAUUAGAGGUCGUGCCCAUCGGGCCGAGAUCUACCACCUAAUUAAAGGUCGUGUCGAAUGGGGUCGUGAUUUGAAGCAAUAAUUGAUUUGCUAGAAUGACAUGUAAUCGGCCGAGUCGAUUGAUCGCUGAGACGAUCCAAGUGAUUGAAUUGUUCUGAUAAUGUGAUUGUGCCUCAGUUAUUUGGUUAUCAGAAUUGCACGUGGUUGAAUUAUAUAAACUGUGCUAACCUGCAGAUGAAGGCUAGCUCGUGUCCAGACUCAUAAAAGAUUAGCAAGUGACAUUCAAACAUGACAAAAGGGACGGCUAAUUUAAACCGAGUGUGAUCGUGGACCAGGGGAAACGAGACCCUACUAUCGUGUUGGCUCCGUCUUAAAUAAAGCCAAGCAACAGAGUUCCCAGAGACAUGUGUUUGACCGCGGAUGUCCGUACCCCAUGGCCGAACGCUACCUUUUUUUCAUCAGUCCCCGUCCAGCACCCCCUUCUCUCUGCCAAAUCAGCCGCGCUCUUCUCAGCCGAAUCUUUUUUUGUUAGGUCUCUCUCUUUGCUCACUUCACUUGCUCGUCUCUCCUCUCAGCCGAAUCAUUUUGAAUUAUUUUCUUUUAUAUCGUGGCCCUUCCAGGCCGGCGGCCACGCAUGGUAUGUAAACUUUUUCAAAGUUGCAGAGCAGUCAUGUAACGGUGCGAAAGUUAGAGGGCUUUUGAGAAAUUAUCCACAAAAUUAAGAGCAAAAAAAGGGGAAUUAAAAGGAAAAUCCAAAAAAGAACGCAAGAAAAAACCCCUUCCCCGCGCUUUCUCAUACCCUAAUCGAUCUUGGUCCUCGGCAAGACCUUAAACUGCAGCGCUCCGGGGGGGACAACCCCGAUAACAAGGCCCCGCGCGGGCGGGUAAUCCCGUGCCUCCCCACCAUGGGGGCCCUGAAGGCCAUACGAGGGGUAGUCCCUUUCCUGGGGACGAAAAAGAUUCAGGUUGGGGGUAAAAGUCCAGACCCCUGGAAAAAACAGGAGAACCUGGCGUCGGACCUGAGCAGGUCCUUAAAAGGCUCAAGGGGGGCCACCCCGACAGGAGGAAUAACCUCCCAGGGGUGAGAGACCCCGCGUCGGGGCCCCCUAUUCCCGUGGGAGGGAAGAAAAAAUAAAACUACCCCCACUGCCUCGCCCGCCACAGCUCUGGAACCCAGAAGGGUAAAGGAGAGGGAUGGCACACGGUAAGGGUAGAACGGCAGCCCUCUCGGUAGCCGAACCCAGGCCCGAGACAGGACCUAGUAGCCCAAUGACCCGUGCCAGAAAGGAAACUUUCUGGGUGGCGGCGGGCGGCUUCGGAAAAAGUUCACUCCCGUCAAUUUUCCCCAAGUCGCUCCUCCUUCAUCCUCGUCCAAGAAGGAAGAAAGGAAAUGAUGAACGUGUUCAUGCCGAGGAACUUGGUGCCUCCCGAGCUGUUGGACGCGCUCCACGACGCGCUCAAGCUGAACGGAGCUGUUUCUUCCAGGGGUGGGCCCCGCGAAUUUCACGCGUUUCUUCUCCCGAUCCCGUGAGUACGUUGGGAUUGGGCGGCGCUAAGGCUUUUAGGUUCAUUUUUGAGAAUCGGGUUUGAGGUUGUUUUACGUCUUGAGAAGUUCGAGGAUCUUCAGGCGAAAGGGUGGAAGCUAGUCGGCAAAGAUCUUGUUCUCGUCCUAGUUUUAUCUUUUGGUUUUUAACUCGAGGCUGCUAAAUGCUAAACCAGAACUUGUAGUUGAGAAACGAAAGCGGAAGCAUUGGGGUCAACGUGCUGGUCAAGCAAGUCGAGAGGAGUUCUUCUGCCUGGGAAAAAAAAGGUCGAUUUCGAUGGGGGAUAUUUCGGUUUCUUGCAGGUCCGCAGUGUGUGGUUUCGUGUGCGAAAGAAGGGAGACCUCUACCUCGAAAAGGGUAUACUUGUUUGUCUUGCGAUGGAUGGUGUCGAAGUCCUUGCAUCUAGAUUUGAGAUGGAUGAGAAAGCAUGCCUGUUCCUAGAUAAGCCUGGCCUUGUAUAAUUUUUUAGGGUGUAAUCUUUGUCAUUACUCGUCUCUCGAAUUCAGUGUGGCACGACACUUAUCCUUAUCCAUGUAUCCUUCUAUGUGACCCCUUGAUUCUUUUGCCUUCAGACAUGCUUUUGUCUGAACAAAUAUGGUGGCAGCCUGUCAUCUCUCUUAUUGUUUCACCAUAUACGUGAAUCCGCUGGCUGAGAUUGAGAAAUUGGUUACUUCAACGGGGGGAGUUCUACAGACCAAAACUUCAGCAAUGUUAGCUUCGUAAUUGCAAAGAAUAUUUUGGCUGCAAAAUGCAAGGUUUAAGUCUUGGAGUUAAUAAUUUGAAUUUAGUUUAAGAGUUGCGAAUUUGUUGUAUCUUGUUAAGGUUAAAUCACCUUAGAUGAGAUUCAUUAUGCUUUUUCACUAAGUAUGGGAAGUAUCGUGGGUAGUACUCUCAUUGAGUUGGCUGAACUAAAGAAGAGUUUCCUCCAUAUUUUUUUGAAUAUUCCCUGUGCAAAGUCUUUUAUGAAUUUCAUCUUGAAAGAUAAAUUGUAUUUAUCAAUUAAUGUUGUCAUCGUGCAAUGGGCUUUAAAUGUUCUGAAGAAACCUGUUGUCGCCAUUAAUUGUUAUACCAAUGUUGUGUUGUGCACCGUGUUUUACCUCAGGAGUCUUACGAAGUUCUUCCAUUUUCUGGAUCGACAAUGUGUGUCACAGGAAUUUCUGCACAUACUGAUUAUUUGAUAUAGCUGCUGCUGUUGGUUGUCCUCCAGUUCUUCAAUUUUGAUGUCCUUCAUUAUCUUAGAUGCACAGAAGGAGAUUCAGAAGCAUAAAACAAAAUGGUGGGAAAUAUUCUGCAGAAUUGACCAGGAAGUGCACUCAUUUAAUUGCAGAAAUAACUUUUUCUUCUUCAAGAUUAAAGUCCAGUUAUUUGCUUGCAUAUUUUACCUUUGAUAUCUGAUCGCCGUGUGAAAAUGCACAUAUCUUUAUCUUGUCUUCGCAUAUGAAAAGACUUUUAAGAGUUUGAAAAGAAAAUCUGUAUCAUUUCAAGGUUUAGUGACGAUUUUAAUUUGAAAUAGGAAAUAGCUAUACUUGAUUUAAUCCUGGUUUUUGGUAUUAUCCUUUUACUUGGGAAUUUGAUUACUCAGAUGAGAAACAGUGAAACUUCCCGGCAUGAGAAUAUCAUUGACUUUGACUUCUAAAUCAGUCCUAAAGAAUUGUGUUCUGUGGUUCAAGGAAACAAGGUGUUAAACAACCUACAAUUUGAACUGCCACUUGUUAAAAGAUCCUCAGCCAGUUUUCGCUUUUCCAGUGUGAGUUAGGACUGCCUGUUGGUUGCUCAAAACACAUUGCUCAGCAAUGUUAUUACCAUUGAAUCUUUCUAUUGGCCUCAUAUAUGAUGCUCUGCAACACUGUGAGUCCCACUACGAUGCCCUUGACUGGCUGUAAGCUCCAGAAGAUAAAUACAAGGUUGCUAAAAGAUGGGGUCACAUUCAUAUUUUGAAUCGCAAAUGGUUUGAUCAAUUAACUUCCGGGAAAGGUGAUAUUUCAGUACUAAAAUACCUUGUUGCUGUCAACUGUAGGAACAUUUAAGUUCUUUUGAGCCAUCUUGUUGUCUGCUCUAAUUUUGAGUUCUUUGCCGACUAGCAUCUCUUAAUGAGGAGNNNNNNNNNNNNNNNNNNNNNNNNNNNNNNNNNNNNNNNNNNNNNNNNNNNNNNNNNNNNNNNNNNNNNNNNNNNNNNNNNNNNNNNNNNNNNNNNNNNNGUAGUCAGCAAAAUCAGUAGAGUUAUUAGAAGUUCACAGUCUCUCCCUCUCAAUGGUUGGAGAUCAGGACUUCCAUUCCAUUUCAGCUACUGACCAUGCCAAACCAGAUUUAGAAACUACUCUCUCACAGAAUGUGUCUUCAAUGUUUGUGGAUCCCCAUUUCCUUGCAAAAGAGGAUAAUAGUGAAGUGGCAGCUGUGCAAUCCAAUGGUGAAGUGAAUCAUGAUUGUUGGGUUGCUGAAGACUGAAAAUGAAGACAAUGACCUGUAUUUGUCAGAAUGUAGGUUAACAUCAUCAAAUGCUCGAUUUCCCCAAGAGUGUUCCUAAAAGAAGUGAUCUGAAACUACCAUUCAAAGUUGGCUUGAAGAUACAAAACUUGGUGAUCUGAUUUUGAAGGCAGUGGUGCCUUAAAUAGUUCUGCUUGACACAUAUGAUGACUGACUAAAGAUUAUAUCAUCGUACACUGCUUUCUCUCGUUUCAUUAUGAUUCUCCGUGCUCUUCAUGUGAACAAUGGGAAUGCUGAAAUGUUAGUAUUGCCUAAUAGGACAGUAGCUGCUGAUUCACAUGACAUUUGGCUGUCUUUCACAUAUGAUUAGUGGCUGAAGGCUGCGAUCCUUUAAAUGGCUUUGUCAGCUUGCAACUCUCCAAUUUGAGGAUACCACACACUUCAUGACAUGGGUGGCCAAUUUUGCCGAAUGAAAUCAUUGUGUUUACAUGUUAGAAGAUGACGUAUGACUAUAGUUAAUCUGUGCUAAAGACAAUCUUUCAGCUCUUCCCGCUAAUAGCAUGCAUAUAGUUUCCAGGAUGGCAUAUGCUUGUAAGUAAUAAACGGUUUCAUAUGGUUUUCUUCUGGAUCUCAUUCCUGCAUUUGCUGCUGACCUUGCAAUCUUUUGGCUGGUGAAGGUAAAGGAUCUUUUUUCUCUUCAUGUGUUGAUCCUUUGCUUUUGUUUAUUGUGCAGCAGAACCCAGGAUUUUUAAACUCGUUUUGAAAUCUUAUAUUUGUUGGUACGGGUGUCACUGAAUUUAUUCUUUUUUGUUCUUUUGUGUUUUGGGCCACUGAUGUCUUAUCCCGGUCAAUGGAUGAAAGAGGGAAGGGUCAAAGAGCCAAUAGUAUUCAUUUAUCCUAGUAUUGCUCCGGAAGACACUUGGUAGAGCACCGACGUACCUUUGAUUUAUGUAGUUUCUAUGCAAUAAAAGCCGAUAAAAUCAGAUUUUUCCAGAUCAGUCUAACGGUCCGUUAUAUGUUCAAGUUUGAUCCUCAGCAGAAGGCAAAAAUCUUGUUAGUUUUUCAUGUUACUCCUUUUAAUAGCACUCUUGUACUAUUGUUCCCUUGGAUCAAUGAAAAUAAUUGGACUAACGUGGAUUCAAUAAACUCACCAUGAGCGGAGCAAGCAUGAGAGAAGAAAACACAUAUUGAUGUAUAUUCCAAGCAACCCAUAGCUUGACAAAUCAAUGUCAGCCCUCUUCAAACCUUUCGUGAGGCUAGCAAUUGAAUGCAUCGCAUAUUCUUGUGUUCACAUUCAUGUAUCAUGAGGCUAGCAAUUGAAUGCAUCGCAUAUUCUUGUGUUCACAUUCAUGUAUCAUGAGGCUAGCAAUUGAAUGCAUCGCAUAUUCUCGUGUUCACAUUGAUGUAUCAUGACUUAUAUUAGGUCACUCCUUUUCAUUUCAAGGGAAAAAAGAAAAAAAAAUGUAUAGUUAUAGAGCAGCAAAUGCAUAGAUAAAUAAGAGUUACUUGGAGUUAAUAAUCAAAAUGAAAAGUUCAAUGCAUAUCAAAUUUACAACAAGCAUCAAAAUUUCUUAAAAUAUCUAUGAAAAACUAUGAGAACCCUAUAUCAAGUCUUACUAGAAAACACAAGUAGCCACACUUUCGUCCAAAAGCUCCAAAUUAUGAUUAGCAUUGUCCGUUGCGUCACUUAUAAAUUAAUCUUAUGCAACAUUUCCACAAUAAAGACCGGUCUCUUGUCUCGCUGUGAGCAUAACCUAAGUGUUUGUAAUUAUGAUGUCCCCUAGNNNNNNNNNNNNNNNNNNNNNNNNNNNNNNNNNNNNNNNNNNNNNNNNNNNNNNNNNNNNNNNNNNNNNNNNNNNNNNNNNNNNNNNNNNNNNNNNNNNNAGAAGAAGAAUCACAGAAUCACUCCAAAGUUGACGUUGACUACAGUCUUUUAUUAUUUAUAAUUUUUGAGUAGGUUUGUCCGCAUUUGCCUUGUCCCUUUCUUUGGUCAAAAGAGGACUUGGGAAAUGCAAUGAAGCGAGCAAGAUGAAGGAUGACUUUGACUUGCUUUCCCUCGCCUGAUGCUAUAAAAUAUGAUUAGCUAACAAUCAUGAUUUGGAAGUUGUAUGCUUUCCACAUAAAUAACCAACCGAGAUUGAUUUAAAUAUGAGUAUACAUCACCUCCUUCAUUACCUUCUUUUAAAUAUAAUUUUAGCAAGCUGCAAAUUUAAAAUAUGAAAUGAAAUAUAUCAAGCUGCUCUGAUUACAUCAUAAUUAUAUAAAAAAAAUUAUUACAAUUUUGUGAUUCAAUCCAUUAUUAAGUCGUAGUAUGGGUGAAAAUUGAAAACUAUCCGCUAGAACCGCAUUCAAUUUUUUACGCAAAUCUUCUUUGGUUCCGACAUCCAAUGACCCAGCAACACUAUGGAAGACAGAGACCGUGUUUUCUCAUUUUCACACGUGCAAAAACCAAAGAUAUUUGCAAUCCAUUUUACUUGCCAUAAACCAAAGUAAAACGUCUGUUUCAAAUUUCCCUCUCCUAGUUUUAAACAUUCAAGCUCUUUGACAUUAAGGGUGUGUUUGUCUUGUGAAAAAUGAAUUUGACAAACAUUUCCACUAAAACCGCUAACAAUAACGAAUGAGCAAAAGAUACCUUUAUGACUCACGAAAAUGUUUAGACCUAAUUUUUUGUCGAUAAUGACUAUUUCAAUGCCUCCAACGGUGAGAGGCUUUUAUUUCAAUAGGAAGGGAAAGCAAAAUGUUGUCCAUCUUCACUUUGAUUUGUGCGGCCAUGUGAUUCCACUACAAAGAGAACUAACACAAGGUGGGGGUUCGUUUGUAAAAAUAGUAAAUUUUCUCAUUGAGGACACGCAAAUCCAUGGUAAGAUUGUGUGUGUCCCUAGCACAUUGCACUCACUUUUCGAGACAAGAGAAGAAGUAAUUUUCAAUAUGAACACCUUGCAAAAGUUCCCAAGUAAAGGAGAUAAUUUCUUUUGACAAAAAAAGAAAAAAAAAAAAGAAAGAAAAGGAGAUGAUUCCGGGGCUGUUGAGGACUAGCAUCGUGUAAAAAAGUUAAUUUCCACUAUGAUUUACUUGGCCACAGAAUAUAAUAACAAAAAGAAUUAAUAAGUGAAGUCUAUAGGGGGUCGUCUUGCCAAUUUCGAGGAAAGGAUUGUUCUGGUAGUCUUGGUCAAAAAGGCAGGAAUCAAAAGAAGUAAAUAAUUGCCUCGUCCAAGAAACGCAAUCCACCACAAGUUGUCUCUACUUCUAGAUCUGAAGCACAUCGAAUCCUCUACCAGAGCGAGAGCUUCAGCUUGAAUCGGCGGAGGAAGCAAGGGAUCUUCUUUCUCGUGAAUCCAUCGAGCGGUACGCCUGAGGCCGUCGCGAAGAGCACCUGCAAUCGCUCCUUCCGAACCACCGGCUCAAAGAACCCCAUCGAUAGUUGUCUUGAGGGACGGGGUUUUCGGCGGGCAUCCAUUAACAGGUAAAAUCGACUCGAAUCGCGUCGAGUUUCCAACUUUUUAGUGUUCCGCUCGCUAUAAUUUCCGAUCGUGGACUCCGCUGAGGCGAUUAGGGUUCCUGGGUUUGGUGGCGCGGUCUUUGCUGGGAACACGAGGGUUGUUUCUGGGAUCUCCAGAUAUACCAGAGAAGAGCUGCAAUUUAAUCGAGAGAUAGUAAGUUCCUUGCAUGUUGUUGGUGAUUUUGUAGCCACUACUCGUCCUUUCUCGUGAUGUUCUGACCUGAGAUGAUCUGCAAAUUUACCUCGGCGUAUCUCCAAACGAAGCCGGUCCAGGUCGAGGCGUGAAGGUGAUCCUCGGGAUUGUGCUGCCUUUCGGAACUCAGACACAACUCGAUCUGCUUCGAGGCGACUUCUUCUCAAAAACUGACGCCUAUCACAGUGAUUUCAUCUCUGAAUACCCCCUUCUGGAGGUAAGUCCGACCUUCGUCCUCCGGUCUAUUGCAAUUGAUAGGACAAAAAUACAUUUGAUUAUUACUCACUGCUUUAUCGCCUAACAUCCUCAAAGGCCUACGGAAUAAUACAUGUGAAAUUCCCUUGGGACAAAAAGCCCGUUCGAUUAAAAUUACGAGAAUACCCUUCUAAACCCGAUUUUGUGUCCGUUGGUCCUAUGUUCACCCUAAUUGUCCAAAAUUACUUGUUUUUUUUGGUCGGAGCCAACAGUACUUAAAGCCUGAAACAUCCAAAAUACUCAAUUUUUGCAGAAAUAAUUCUUCUUUUUUCCUUGAAUACAUUUAAAAACUAGAUUUUUUCCAAAUAUCGAUCGUGCUGGUCUAUUCUCUUCAAGAGUCGCACAAAACCUUUCAAAGGGUGUGGAUCAGAAUUGUCAACAACAAAAAUUUAUCUGAACCGAUCAGGUCAACUAGAGAAUUUUUAAAUGUCCAUAAAACCAUUUUCCCUUAUAUUGGCAAUUUUUGUAAUUUCUAGAAAAUGACAAAAAAUUCAAAUGUUUUCCGGAAAUUAUGAAAAAUUCACAAUUGCACUAUUUUUUUGUGCUGGUUACAAUGGAAAUUUGAAAGUGAGCGAAGCUGCUGGUUUCAAUGAGCUUACACAUAUUUGUGGACAAUUUUUAGGUGGACUUUAUCUUAGCGGAUUGAAUUAGAGAAACUUGUCAUAAAGUGUGGUUUUCAUGCGAUUUUACUGCUUUCAACAAAGACUUUUACGUAUAUAUAGUGUAGAAAAUUACUGACCUAUGAUAGAUUUGACGAUAUGAUUUAUGCAUAUUUAGGGUGGAAGGGAAAUGUAGCAUUUACAGAGUAAGAACGACUUUGACAUAAAAUUCACAAGCCGAUUAGAGCCACAUUUAUCUGUUUAACAAAAUGUUUUAUAAGUAGAUAUGAACAGAAGUGGGCAUUCCGUACUCGGGUCCAAAUUGCGUGACUUGACUUGGCUUGCCAUUUGAAAACAAUUUAAUUGCUACCAGUCAAUCAGCCUAUCGUCUACUACUCAUUAGUCCUCUCUCUCUCUCUCUCCCUCUCUCCCUCUCUCAUUUCUUACUUUUAUGUUUCACAUUUGGCCUCUCUCUUGCACUCUCUUGCAGAACAAUUCGAGAUUAUCAUCUACUGAUUAGUCCUCACUCUCUGUCUGUUCUUUCCCUCUUAGAAGUUCUUGCCCAGACUUGUUUAGGGUCUUCUCUCGCCGAUCUCACGCCUCCCUCUGCAUCUCAACUCACGAAAGGUAAUCACUUUUUCAUCCCUUAUUAGCAUGUCGUUUCUAUUGAUUCGUCGCUUUAUUAUUGAAAUGAUAGGCCGAACUAGUAUGUUCUGGGCCCUUUUGGUCUAUUGGGGAUGUGGUGGUGGCUGCUGAAUUGCAGAGGAUGGCCUUUUAUUCUUUCUUUUGGAGUCGCUGUUACCUCCUAACGAGGAAUGUCCCCAGCUCCGAUUUGACUUCGAUGAAAAUAGAAAGCCUUUGUUCUCAACUUUAGAUGUGGCUAAUCCUAUGAUGGCCUUAUUGCCUCAUUGUUAGUUGCAUUGUGAUUCAGUAUUGAGCAUUUGUUGAACUAGAACGAGUAGGUUUGGAAAUGCGCUAGACUCUAUUGCGUGCAAAAUUGCCAUGUUUCGCUCGAAUCCAGAGACCAAUUUUUUUUUUUAUUCAUUGUGAGGCUUCUCUGUGUUUAAGGGUCCUCGAUCAAUUUAUAGAAAAAAAAAUAGUUGGGUGGUUCUGGGGUCAACUAGUUUGG